Molecule: long non-coding RNA, 300138 nt
Filed under: Triticum aestivum (bread wheat)
Lineage: Eukaryota; Viridiplantae; Streptophyta; Magnoliopsida; Poales; Poaceae
Description: long non-coding RNA (TAES_LNC024070)
Source: RNAcentral
GUCCAUAUUGUUGUUUGUACUAUAGAUAUGCCUAUUGCCAGUCCCAAUUGUGUGGUGGUUGAUGACAUUCUGUAGUGACAUAUCCUAUUUGCUAAUAUCUCUUUUUUCCCCUCGCUUGAGGGUGACAACAAUCAGCCGAUGAGUGAAGUGUGGGAUUGGAACAUGUAUGGAACCAAACUGAAGUUUCAUGGAUGGUUUAUUAACACUGCCAAUGAGGAUGGUGACGGAGGUGAGGAUGGUGACGGAGGUGAGGAUGAUGCUUCAUUUGCCUCGGAGCAUUCCGAUGAUGAAGAUUUGACGGAGGUGUCAAUUUUACGUGCGGUGCAAGUGUUGGCCAUUCGUGCAAACUUUCGUAUUAGCCGUAUGGACGCCCAUGACUGGUACCAAAGUUUUGUCAUCUAUGUGGCGCUCGAGGGGGAAGUACAAGAGGUAUACACCAGCUACCGUAUGUUAUAUCUACUACAUGCUUUAUGCCUCUUUACAUGCAUUAUAUAUUGUAAUAAAUUAAAAUCCUUCACAUUCAUGCUUUCAUGUGUAGGAAGGAAAGGAUUUGGUACUCGCUGGACCAUGUGGGAUACUACAGGCUUACGGUGCCUUUUGCUUGGAGGUUUUCACAGAAGACCUGGUUUUCACAGAAGACGAUGAGGGGUCUUCUACUGAUGAUGAGGGGUCUUGGGGCGGUCAUUUCCGCCGAGGCUGGGAUGUUACUGAGCCUGAUGAAGUUGAGGAAUUCACACAAACCAUCUAUGGAGGCCUUGGCCGCAAGUUGGAGAUCACAUACUUGGUGAUUCCGGAAGCAGUUGAGACCUAUGUUGAGGUCAGGUUGAACCUCAAAGACUUCGGUUCGAGAAGCCGCUCUGUGUAUGGUAGCGUCAAGGCAAUUGCCAUUGACUAUGGGAGCAAAAGUGUCAAUCUCUUCAGUUUUGAACGAGGCAGUAGCUUGUCCCUGCCCUGUGGUUCCACGUGCAUUCUUCCACUGGGACCACACAUGAUUGCAUUGCCUUAUGAUAGCAAGUACAAACUCCACAUAGAGGUGGACCUAAGAGUAAUCACAACCUGUGACAGCCAAGAAGAGGACAAGAAUUUGAAAUUCUGUCUAGACUGCAGCCGUAGAAUUAGGAGUGAAGAAAGUCUAGAGUUACCCCGUAGAAUUAGGACUCAAAAAAGAGAAUUCGAUGGUGAUCAAGUUGAAGUGAAGGUCAUCUGGGUCCUAGAAAAAUUCUUCUAGAUCCUAGAAAAAUUCGUCUAAGAAAGGAGCUAGAAGCGAAAUAAGUGAAGGAAGGCAUGUGCCUAUUUAUAUGAUAAUACCACAAACUGUGUAAAAAUUAAUCAACACAUCAUUUCAACAUAAGAGAUUGGUGUUUACCAUCCACUUAUCAGUUUGCAUGAGACUCAAUCAAGACAAGAACAAAAUAGCAGUACUGAUAAACACCAUGCACCGGAAGACAAUGGCAUCUAGAAAAACCAUUCGCCUCACAUGAGUGCAGUGCAGGACGUACCUGCGAUUAUUCCCCAACAUGCUCCAACGCUCAACAUCUUUUGCUGAGUAUAAGACAUGCAACUUCUUUUUUCAUCCAGGAAGUGAAUUAUGCCAAUUCUACAUUGUAAAUUGAGCACUGCUUCACACACGACACUUUCCACACGAAAUACAGACGACAUGUCAAAUCCCAUCCAAAGCCAAGGCUAAACAGCUUCAGCCGGUUGGAUUGGGCAUCGUUCCAGUAUCGUUCACCGAAGCAUCGUGUGUGAAGUACUUUUGUUGUAAAUUUCUUCAGUUCAAGAACAAUCAACACCAAAUGUGUUUAGCAAAGAUUCUAUAACAUUAUUGAAAUAGCUACUAAAUAAAGCUAGAUCAACUAACCUCCCUCCCGCGGACUAUCAUCUGGGCUGCAAAUCAACGUGAGCACGCCAUGACCCAAGAACAUUGAGUUUGAAGAAGAAAAAGAAGGAACUAUGUAACCACGUAAUCUAGCAUCACAACCAAAAAUCACAGCACGGGCAGACAGCGGCGAACUCCGGGCAAAUAUAGUAGUCAAAUAUCCGAAAAGGGCCCCCUUUCCCCACGAUUCUGAUAUAAAACAACAACACCUUCAGACUGAUUGACUGUUGUGGUCUAAACUCUGAAAACCUGAAUCAACUCAUGUGCAAUAUGUGAUAAUGCAACAUGAAAGUUCACAAAAUCCAAUUCUGAAAAAGUGGUAGUGCUCUUCCUUGUUGAAUCCAUAAUAAACCAACUAACUUGGUUGAAUACAAGCUUGUAUAGAUGGACAGAUAUGAUGUUGGACGGCUUGGUUCAGAAUCAUAUAAAACCAGUUUUCGGAAUAAAGCAGGAUCCCGUUGGCGAUGCCGAAGCGGCUGAAGUCAAUCUUCUUCCAGUCUUCCUGCAUCUCUAACCAAAAUCCCGUACCCCUUCUCGAUCAUGUGAACCGGCAGUGACUCCUUGCCCAGCUCCUCGCUCCUCUGGAUCAUAUCAGCGGGGUAUAUUGUGGAAUCAAGGUUGUGGAUGAUGGGGGCUGCCUCUUCUGGGCCAGAAACAUAAUACAUCAUUUAUCUAGUGUGCCUACCCUUCCUUCCAAAAGAAUGAUGCAUCUACUUGGCCUACAACAGCACCAUAUCUAAAAAAUAAUGGAUAAACAUGUAGUUCCUUCCUAAUUAACUAAGAUUUGUGAAUUAGUACGUUGGAAGGAUCAUACUACUAAUAAUAAGAUAAUUAGAAAAUUUCUGAAGUGUGAACGAUACGAGAUCAAGCAGUCUCCGUAGAAUUAGUACAGACUACACAGUGUGUCGAGAACAUAUGACACAUAAAGACAUAUUCAUAAUCUAGAAGACAACCAUGCUAGCAUAUUCCUGAGGCAGGGAAGACAACAUACGGAAUCUGAACAUGCAUCAUUGUACUGUUUAGGCUUUGCUUUGCUUUCCAUACCACGUCCUUUGUUCCACAUGUUCCACUGCAUUUUUCACUUAAACAACUUCAUGUUGAACCAAAAGACACCACCACCAAUGUGAACAACGAACAUAUUCCCUAGCUGAUGGUCCAUCUUUUUCAAGUAGAAAUUUAGAAUAGAGGUUUGCCUUUGUUAGUAGCUCGUCCAACCUGCAGAACCAUGCCUUGAGAUCAAAAGGCUUCUGCCUUGCUGAUUCUCUCUUUCUGGCCUCCUCUUCUUCAUCUACCUCGAGCUGGGCCUGACACAACUCUUCCUCCUUCGCCAUCACCUCCGUAUAAAGAGAUGGGGAGAUUCUAAUGCUACUAAGUAAGAAAAAUAGCGAUACAUAUUACCUUUAUACGCGGGCUCUAUAAAGCACUGGAUCUCCACCAAUAUAAACAACCAGUUGUCCAAAAAAAUAUAAAACAAGUAAGAAAAAAAAAUAUCUUCAGAAGUCUGCUUUCAGGUAAAGCAACUCCUUUAUGGAGAUGGUCUUUCCAGUAAUUGUGGUGAGUGUGAGCCAUAUUGUUGUGUGCCUCAAUCGCAAACAUGUUUCCAGUGUUCACAAGGACGACCUCCUUCAAUCUGCAUCACCAUUACAAUAUAUUAAGCAUCCAAAUAAGUAAGAUUAACUACACUUGAUACUUUUUUUAAACAAACUGCACAUGAUACUUAUAUGGUACUAAUUACUAAAGGUGCAAUCUUGCCGUGUUAGGCCGUGUGUACAGCAAAUUUUGUGAAAAUCAAUCCAACAAUUAUUGGAAAUAAAAUUGCGAUAUUUGUAAGAUAUUAAACUUUUUUGAUUGUGGACAACCCAGUGUAGAUUGCAGUGUACUUCAACUCUGCAUCACCAUACAACAUAUUAAGCUUACGGAUAAAUGAGAUUAAACAUACUUGAUAGUUGACACUGAUGUUACUAAAGGUGCAAUCUUGCCUGUACUUCAAUCUGCAUCACCAUUGAUUGUAACUGCUGCCUGCUACUUAUGUGGCCUAACUAAAAAAACAUCAAAAGGACGUUUGUGCCUACUUGUGUAGAGGGACUAAAUAUAUGCAACUUUAGAGUUCACGACAUGAAAUCAGCUGCCUGAGAGCACAAAGCAGCAAAUUCUAUCGCACUUCUGCGUACAGUUCAAGACAGAAGGCUAUAACCAGAAGACCAUGCUAAAUGGUCUCCCAAACGGAAUCUAUUCAAGUAUAGCAUACACCUUAUUCUUCCAAAUCAAGCGAUGCGCCUACCUCUUUCAUGGAGUAUCCAACAGUUAAUUCGUCUAAAGAGCAAGCACCUUUUCAUGCCAAUGUACAGAGCUGAGCCUACUGGAAAAUUUAACUGAAGUUAAUCAACCAGAUUGAAGAACAAUGUUAGUCUCUCUAGGACAGGGCGUGUAAGCAUGACGAAUCAAACAAUGAGAAAUUAGUUGGCUCUCAAUUAAAAAAUUCACAAUGGCUGGCUGUAGUUCCGUGGUUUAUAUUGUGUAAUGUGGUCUCAGAAAAUCAUGUGCUCACAGAUUUGAGAUGACACCAUAAAAAAAUUUGGUUGAAUUUAAACUCAUGCUUAUCAACUUGAUUACCCUUGAAAUACACUUGUGACUCUAACCCAACCAAAUAUGACAUGGUGGCAACCUGUACAUCGUGAAUCAUUACCUUACACAGUGUUCUUUUUCUUCUUCUUAAUUAACCCAGUCUCUCUAGCUUGUGGACAGACUAACUAAGCACAACAAUGAAAAAUUAAUUAAAGAACAGGAAGUAGCCCAUUAAGGUUCAGUUUGUGUUUGCUUCAUUAACUGUAGGUUUCUAGAAAAACAAAUAGCACGAUUCCAAUUCUCCUUGUGGCUUCAGUAUGCAAUACCUCAUGGAGAACCGGCAGUCGGAGUUCCGGCGAUGUGUAGAGUAACGUCGGAUUGCAGAUGGUCUUCUGGCGAAGUAGGUGGAGGCGACAUUGGACAGUUCCCGCAAUCUCGUCUUACGAACUUGCAAUGCGAUUUACUUGUGCUUCCACUCUAGGGUUUCUUCUUAUGGCAGAGAGAUUGAUCUGAAAUUUGGGUCGGCCCCAUGGCUACAUGCUGGAGCAGUUUUCCUGCGUGAACACGCCAUCAACUCCUAUCCAAAUCGGAGACGUCCGCCUCGAGGUGGAGAAGGCUGGGGGUGAGGAGUUGGGGCGGGUGAGGAGGCGAAGAAGAACAGGGCAACGAAGGCGCAUCUCGGGGGUAGCUGGAAAGGAAGAUCGGUCGCGCGUGGUGGCGGGAUUCAUGGCGGCGGUGCUGUGCCGUGCCGUGCAGGGAGAGGACCCCGUGUUGUUGUGCUAUUUUUCCCCUGAAGGCCAAGCCGAGGGCCCAAUAACGAAACGUUUUUACUCUGUUUACCAAUUCAAACUGUAGCUCCCGGCCUAAUUUUCUGCUAGCUCCUCCCUUGGGAGUGGAUCGCAAAGUGGGUUUCCAGGGCGUGGUGAUAUGCAGUGGCGGAGCCAGGAAAGUAUGAUCAAGGGGGCCGAGCCAUGCUAAAACAUGUUGGUGAGGGCCAAACCUUAGAAAGAAGAUGAGCUUUUUGCAGCAAAUAAGCAGUAAUCAUGUACUGUUUAUAAGCAAAUUAGCAUGUAAUUCCUGUUGUUAGGGAGGGCCAGGGCUCCUGCUGGCCCCCCCGGUCUCCGCCACUGGUGAUAUGGGUAUCUUAUAUGUGACCGUCGUCGUUUUCCCCCUCCUGUUAGGGUUUUCUCUCCUCUCGGCGACUCCUGGAGCCGCCGUUGAGACCAGCCUAUCCCCUCGCCGAUCUCUCUCCGAUCCCCGGCUAGACUUGGAAUGACUAAGCGGGCAUUCUAGAAUCGCUUCCCGGUCUCGGUCCGGCUAGGGUUUUUGGAGGCAGGGAGGUAGAUAGGGUCUCUCCACCCGGUGAUCACUUUUCUUCGGGUUAGGGUUUUUGUGGUAUGGCAAGCCCGGCUUCAGGAUCGGGCGUGGAGGCCAAGGAUGUUGAGGAGAUGAUGAAAAACUUGGGCAUCACCGAGGACGACUUGGAUGACGUCGUUUUCGAAGAGAAACAAGCACCGGCGGACUCGGCCGUCAGGUGGAUGGCCAUAGCGAGAGUUCAUACCCCGAAGAACUAUAGUCAGUAUUGGUUCUUCUGUAACAUGAGGGCGGCGUGGGACCUGGCGCAGGAGGUAAAGAUCCAUCCGCUUGAAGCAAAAUCUAUAUACAAUGCAGUUCUCGUGCCUUGGUGACUGGGAGCACGUCAUGGCGGAUGGGCGGUGGACCUUCGAAGGUAACGCAGUCGUGCUAGCUGAGUACGAUGGGUUCACGAAGUCGUCAGAGGUCAACCUGGACAUGCUGGACAUCUGGGCUCAGAUACAUGAUAUUCUUGAUGGUUACUUUUUAAUGGUUAAAGCGAUGGCAGGGAAGAUAGGUUAGUACAUAUAUGCGGAACCAAAAUGACAAGACUUUGAAGGAAAUUUCGUUCGGGUCAGGGUCAAGAUCAACGUCCAUCAUCCACUGAAGAACGCAGUUUCUCUGGUGAAGGAGGGCAAGAGAAAGAUUUUUCUGGUGAAAUAUGAACGUUUACCCGACUGGUGUACUGUGUGCGGCCAUUUCGGACAUCAGUUCAAGGAACAUGGGGACGGUGUGCACCCCCCAAGCCCCGGUUUUUAAAAACCUAAGGGCAUCGUGGUUCAGGGGCCCGGAAAGGGGACCAGGAGAAGGAAGAGGACGUGGUAGGUCGGGACGCGGCUGCGGUCGAGGCCAUGGAUCUUCCCAGAGGAACCAGGAUGAGUGGCAGAGUACGAGGUUUCAAAGAACCCCAGGGGUGAUGUUGCUAUGGAUGAUGCUGAGAACAACAGGAAGAGGGGCUCUUUGAUGGUGAUGGACCCGAAGGUUUCAGCUAGUUCAACACCGAGGAUCCAGUCCAGUAAUCCUUUGCUUUUGCCCCAGCACCCAGAUGCACCGACGAGCUCCCCCUCUAAGAAGGAACCAAAGAGGACCAAGCCGUCCCUACCUGCUCCGGACAAUGCAAUGGUGAAGAACAUAGUUCAGACUAUAAACAAUGACGCGCGUUUGGCGGGCUCCCAAGGGGAGUUGCACCAUGCGCAAUGAGUCUCCUCUGCUGGAGCUUUCGUGGGGCUGGCAAACCCGCGACAGUUCGUGAGCUUCAUGAUCUCACGAGGCAAUUUGCCCCCUCUAUCUUAUGUAUUGUCGAAACUCAAAUAGAGGGCUCUCGAGUAGAGAAUCUAGCAUGCACUUUAGGUUUCACUAAUAGUUUUGCAGUUAGUAGUUCUGGGAGAAGUGGUGGACUUGGUAUUUUUUGGAACAAUGAAAUAAAGCUUGUGGCUGAUGGUUACUCUAAAUAUCAUAUUAAUGUAGUGGUUGAUGAUUUGGCACAUAUCAAAACUGAAGGGGAACGUAGUAAUUUCAAAAAAAUUCCCACGCACACGCAAGAUCAUGUUGAUGCAUAGCAACGAGAGGGGAGAGUGUUGUCCACGUACCCUCGUAGACAGAAAGCGGAAGUGUUAUAUCAACGCGGUUGAUGUAGUCGUACGUCUUCACGACCCGACCGAUCCAAGCACCGAAACUACGGCACCUCCGAGUUCUAGCACACGUUCAGCUCGAUGACGAUCCCCGGACUCCGAUCCAGCAAAGUGUCGGGGAAGAGUUCCGUCAGCACGACGGCGUGGUGACGAUCUUGAUGUUCUACCGUCGCAGGGCUUCGCCUAAGAACCGCUACAAUAUUAUUGAGGAGUAUGGUGGAGGGGGGCACCGCACACGGCUAAGAGAACGAUCACGAAGAUCAACUUGUGUGUCUAGAGGUGCCCCCUGCCCCCGUAUAUAAAGGAGCAAGGGGGAGGGGCGGCCGACUAGGAGGAGGCGCGCCAGGGAGGAGUCCUACUCCUACCGGGAGUAGGACUCCCUCCUUUUCCUUGUCCAAGUAGGAGAGGGGGAAGGAAGGGAGAGAGGAGAGGAAGGAAAGGGGGGGCACCGCCCCCCCCCCUCCUUGUCCAAUUCGGACUAGAGGGGGAAGGGGCGCGCGGCCUGCCCUGGCCGCCCCUCCUCUUCUCCACUUUAGGCCCAUGAGGCCCAUUAACCCCCGGGAGGAUUCCGGUAACCCCCCGGUACUCCGGUUUUAUCCGAAACUUCUCCGGAACACUUCCGGUGUCCGAAUAUAGUCGUCCAAUAUAUCAAUCUUUAUGUCUCGACCAUUUCGAGACUCCUCGUCAUGUCCGUGAUCAAAUCCAGGACUCCGAACAACAUUCGGUACAUCAAAAUAUAUAAACUCAUAAUGAAACUGUCAUCGUAACGUUAAGCGUGCGGACCCUACGGGUUCGAGAACAAUGUAAACAUGACCAAGACACGUCUCCGGUCAAUAACCAAUAGCGGAACCUGGAUGCUCAUAUUGGCUCCUACAUAUUCUACGAAGAUCUUUUAUCGGCCAGACCGCAUAACAACAUACGUUGUUCCCUUUGUCACCGGUAUGUUACUUGCCCGAGAUUCGAUCGUCGGUAUCUCAAUACCUAGUUCAAUCUCGUUGCCGGCAAGUCUCUUUACUCGUUUCGUAAUACAUCAUCUCGCAACUAACUCAUUAGUUGCAUUGGUUGCAAGGCUCAGGUGAUGUGCAUUACCGAGAGGGCCCAGAGAUACCUCUCCGACAACCGGAGUGACAAAUCCUAAUCUCGAAAUACGCCAACCCAACAUGUACCUUUGGAGACACCUAUAGAGCACCUUUAUAAUCACCCAGUUACGUUGUGACGUUUGGUAGCACACAAAGUGUUCCUCUAGCAAACGGGAGUUGCAUAAUCUCAUAGUCAUAGGAACAUGUAUAAGUCAUGAAGAAAGCAAUAGCAACAUACUAAACGAUCGGGUGCUAAGCUAAUGGAAUGGGUCAUGUCAAUCACAACAUUCUUCUAAUGAUGUGAUCCCGUUAAUCAAAUGACAACACAUGUCUAUGGUUAGGAAACAUAACCAUCUUCGAUUAACGAGCUAGUCAAGUAGAGGCAUACUAGUGACGUUUAGUUUGUCUAUGUAUUCACACAAGUAUUAUGUUUCCGGUUAAUACAAUUCUAGCAUGAAUAAUAAACAUUUAUCAUGAUAUAAGGAAAUAGAUAAUAACUUUAUUAUUGCCUCUAGGGCAUAUUUCCUUCAGUCUCCCACUUGCACUAGAGUCAAUAAUCUAGAUUACACAAUAAUGAUUCUAACACCCAUGGAGCUUUGGUGCUGAUCAUGUUUUGCUCGUGGAAGAGGCUUAGUCAACGGGUCUGCUACAUUUAGAUCCGUAUGUAUCUUGCAAAUCUCUAUGUCUCCCACCUGGACUAGAUCCCGGAUGGAAUUGAAGCGUCUCUUGAUGUGCUUGGUUCUCUUGUGAAAUCUGGAUUCCUUUGCCACGGCAAUUGCACCAGUAUUGUCACAAAAGAUUUUCAUUGGACCCGAUGCACUAGGUAUGACACCUAGAUCAGAUAUGAACUCCUUCAUCCAGACUCCUUCGUUUGCUGCUUCUGAAGCAGCUAUGUACUCCGCUUCACAUGUAGAUCCCGCCACAACGCUUUGUUUAGAACUGCACCAACUGACAGCUCCACCGUUUAAUGUAAACACGUAUCCGGUUUGCGAUUUAGAAUCGUCCGGAUCAGUGUCAAAGCUUGCAUUAACGUAACCAUUUACUAUGAGCUCUUUGUCACCUCCAUAUACGAGAAACAUAUCCUUAGUCCUUUUCAGGUAUUUCAGGAUGUUCUUGACCGUUGUCCAGUGAUCCACUCCUGGAUUACUUUGGUACCUCCCUGCUAGGCUUAUAGCAAGACACACAUCAGGUCUCGUACACAGCAUUGCAUACAUGAUAGAGCCUAUGGCUGAAGCAUAGGGAACAUCUUUCAUUUUCUCUCUAUCUUCUGAAGUGGUCGGGCAUUGAUUCUUACUCAACUUCACACCUUGUAAUACAGGCAAGAAUCCUUUCUUAGCCUGAUCCAUUUUGAACUUCUUCAAAACUUUGUCAAGGUAUGUGCUUUGUGAAAGUCCAAUUAAGUGUCUUGAUCUAUCUCUAUAGAUCUUAAUGCCCAAUAUGUAAGCAGCUUCACCGAGGUCUUUCAUUGAAAAACUCUUAUUCAAGUAUCCCUUUAUGCUAUCCAGAAAUUCUAUAUCAUUUCCGAUUAGUAAUAUGUCAUCCACAUAUAAUAUCAGAAAUGCUACAGAGCUCCCACUCACUUUCUUGUAAAUACAGGCUUCUCCAAAAGUCUGUACAAACCCAAAAGCUUUGAUCACACUAUCAAAGCGUUUAUUCCAACUCCGAGAGGCGUGCACCAGUCCAUAAAUGGAUCACUGGAGCUUGCACACUUUGUUAGCUCCCUUUGGAUCAACAAAACCUUCCGGCUGCAUUAUAUACAACUCUUCUUCCAGAAAUCCAUUCAGGAAUGCAGUUUUGACAUCCAUCUGCCAAAUUUCAUAAUCAUAAAAUGCGACAAUUGCUAACAUGAUUCGGACAGACUUAAGCAUCGCUAUGGGUGAGAAGGUCUCAUCGUAGUCAAUCCCUUGAACUUGUCGAAAACCUUUUGCGACAAGUCGAGCUUUGUAGAUAGUAAUAUUACCGUCAGCGUCAGUCUUCUUCUUGAAGAUCCAUUUAUUCUCAAUUGCUUGCUGAUCAUUGGGCAAGUCAACCAAAGUCCAUACUUUGUUCUCAUACAUGGAUCCCAUCUCAGAUUUCAUGGCUUCAAGCCAUUUUGCGGAAUCUGGGCUCACCAUCGCUUCUUUAUAGUUCGUAGGUUCAUCAUGAUCUAGUAGCAUGACUUCCAGAACAGGAUUACCGUACCACUCUGGUGCGGAUCUUACUCUGGUUGAUCUACGAGGUUUAGUAGUAACUUGUUUUGAAGUUUCAUGAUCAUUAUCAUUAGCUUCCUCACUAAUUGGUGUAGGUGUCACAGAAACCGGUUUCUGCGAUGUACUACUUUCCAAUAAGGGAGCAGGUACAGUUACCUCAUCAAGUUCUACUUUCCUCCCACUCACUUCUUUCGAGAGAAACUCCUUCUCUAGAAAGGAUCCAUUCUUAGCGACAAAUGUCUUGCCUUCGGAUCUGUGAUAGAGGUUGUACCCAACAGUCUCCUUUUGGUAUCCUAUGAAGACACAUUUCUCCGAUUUGGGUUCGAGCUUAUCAGGUUGAAGUUUUUUCACAUAAGCAUCGCAACCCCAAAUUUUCAGAAACGACAACUUUGGUUUCUUGCCAAAACACAGUUCAUAAGGCGUCGUCUCAACGGAUUUUGAUGGUGCCCUAUUUAACGUGAAUGCGGCCGUCUCUAAAGCAUAACCCCAAAACGAUAGCGGUAAAUCUGUAAGAGAUAUCAUAGAUCGCACCAUAUCAAGUAAAGUACGAUUACGACGUUCGGACACACCAUUACGAUGUGGUGUUCCGGGUGGCGUGAGUUGCGAAACUAUUCUGCAUUGUUUCAAAUGUAGACCAAACUCGUAACUCAAAUAUUCUCCUCCACGAUUAGAUUGUAGAAACUUUAUUUUCUUGUUGAUGAUUUUCAACUUCACUCUGAAAUUCUUUGAACUUUUCAAAUGUUUCAGACUUAUGUUUCAUUAAGUAGAUAUACCCAUAUCUGCUUAAAUCAUCUGUGAAGGUGAGAAAAUAACGAUAUCCGCCAUGAGCUUCAACACUCAUUGGACCACAUACAUCUGUAUGUAUGAUUUCCAUCAAAUCUGUUGCUCUCUCCAUAGUACCGGAGAACGGUGUUUUAGUCAUCUUGCCCAUGAGGCACGGUUUGCAAGUACCAAGUGAUUCAUAAUCAAGUGGUUCCAAAAGUCCAUCAGUAUGGAGUUUCUUCAUGCGUUUUACACCAAUAUGACCUAAACGGCAGUGCCACAAAUAAGUUGCACUAUCAUUAUCAACUCUGCAUCUUUUGGCUUCAACAUUAUGAAUAUGUGUAUCACUACUAUCGAGAUUCAUCAAAAAUAGACCACUCUUCAAGGGUGCAUGACCAUAAAAGAUAUUACUCAUAUAAAUAGAACAACCAUUAUUCUCUAAUUUAAAUGAAUAACCGUCUCGCAUCAAACAAGAUCCAGAUAUAAUGUUCAUGCUCAACGCUGGCACCAAAUAACCAUUAUUUAGGUCUAAUACUAAUCCCGAUGGUAGAUGUAGAGGUAGAGUGCCGACCGCGAUCACAUCGACUUUGGAACCAUUUCCCACGCGCAUCGUCACCUCGUCCUUCGCUAGUGUUCGCUUAAUCCGUUGUCCCUGUUUCGAGUUGCAAAUAUUAGCAACAGAACUAGUAUCAAAUACCCAGGUGCUACUGCGAGCGCUAGUAAGGUGCACAUCAAUAACAUGUGUAUCACAUAUACCUUUGUUCACCUUGCCAUCCUUCUUAUCCGCCAAAUACUUCGGGCAGUUCUGCUUCCAGUGACCAGUCUGCUUGCAGUAGAAGCACUCAGUUUCAGGCUUAGGUCCAGAUUUGGGUUUCUUCUCUUGAGAAGCAACUUGCUUGUUGUUCUUCUUAAAGUUCUCCUUCUUCUUCCCUUUGCCCCUUUUCUUGAAACCAAUGGUCUUGUUGACCAUCAACACUUGAUGCUCCUUUUUGAUUUCUAGCUCCGCAGCUUUUAGCAUUGCGAAGAGCUCGAGAAUUGUCUUAUCCAUCCCUUGCAUAUUAUAGUUCAUCACGAAGCUCUUGUAGCUAGGUGGAAGUGAUUGGAGAAUUCUGUCAAUGACGCAAUCAUCCGGAAGAUUAACUCGUAGUUGAAUCAAGUGAUUACUAUACCCAGACAUUUUGAGUAUAUGCUCACUGACAGAACUGUUCUCCUCCAUCUUGCAGCUAUAGAAUUUAUUGGAGACUUCAUAUCUCUCAAUUCGGGCAUUUGCUUGAAAUAUUAACUUCAACUCCUGGAACAUCUCAUAUGCUCCAUGACGUUCAAAACAUCGUUGAAGUCCCGAUUCUAAGCCGUAAAGCAUGGCACAUUGAACUAUCGAGUAGUCAUCAGCUUUGCUCUGCCAGACAUUCUUAACAUUGUCAGUUGCAUCAGCAGCAGGCCUGACACCCAGCGGUGCUUCCAGGACGUAACUUUUCUGUGCAGCAAUGAGGAUAAUCCUCAAGUUACGGACCCAAUCCGUGUAAUUGCUACCAUCAUCUUUCAACUUUUCUUUCUCAAGGAACGCAUUAAAAUUGAAUGGAACAACAGCACGGGCCAUCUAUCUACAAUCAAACAUAAACAAUCAAGAUACUAUCAGGUACUAAGUUCAUGAUAAAUUUAAGUUCAAUUAAUCAUAUUACUUAAGAACUCCCACUUAGAAAGACAUCCCUCUAAUCUUCUAAGUGAUUACGUGAUCCAAAUCAACUAAACCAUAACCGAUCAUGACGUGAAAUGGAGUAGUUUUCAAUGGUGAACAUCGCUAUGUUGAUCAUAUUUACUAUAUGAUUCACGCCCGACCUUUCGGUCUCAGUGUUCCGAGGCCAUAUCUGCAUAUGCUAGGCUCGUCAAGUUUAACCUGAGUAUUCUACGUGUGCAAAACUGGCUUGCACCCGUUGUAGAUGGACGUAGAGCUUAUCACACCCGAUCAUCACGUGGUGUCUGGGCACGACAAACUUUGGCAACGGUGCAUACUCAGGGAGAACACUUUUAUCUUGAAAUUUAGUGAGAGAUCAUCUUAUAAUGCUACCAUCAAUCAAAGCAAGAUAAGAUGCAUAAAAGAUAAACAUCACAUGCAAUCAAUAUAAGUGAUAUGAUAUGGCCAUCAUCAUCUUGUGCUUGUGAUCUCCAUCUCCGAAGCAUCGUCAUGAUCACCAUCGUCACCAGCGCGACACCUUGAUCUCCAUCGUAGCAUCGUUGUCGUCUCGCCAAUCUUAUGCUUCUACGACUAUCGCUACCGCUUAGUGAUAAAGUAAAGCAUUACAGGGCGAUUGCAUUGCAUACAAUAAAGCGACAACCAUAUGGCUCCUGCCAGUUGCCGAUAACUCGGUUACAAAACAUGAUCAUCUCAUACAAUAAAAUUUAGCAUCAUGUCUUGACCAUAUCACAUCACAACAUGCCCUGCAAAAACAAGUUAGACGUCCUCUACUUUGUUUGUUGCAAGUUUUAUGUGGCUGCUACGGGCUUAAGCAAGAACCAAUCUUACCUACGCAUCAAAACCACAACGAUAGUUUGUCAAGUUGGUGCUGUUUUAACCUUCACAAGGACCGGGCGUAGCCACACUCGGUUCAACUAAAGUUGGAGAAACUGACACCCGCCAGCCACCUGUGUGCAAAGCACGUUGGUAGAACCAAUCUCGCGUAAGCGUACACGUAAUGUCGGUCCGGGCCGCUUCAUCCAACAAUACCGCCGAACCAAAGUAUGACAUGCUGGUAAGCAGUAUGACUUAUAUCGCCCACAACUCACUUGUGUUCUACUCGUGCAUAUAACAUCAACACAUAAAACCUAGGCUCGGAUGCCACUGAAGGGGAACGUAGUAAUUUCAAAAAAAAUUCCCAUGCACACGCAAGAUCAUGUUGAUGCAUAGCAACGAGAGGGGAGAGUGUUGUCCACGUACCCUCGUAGACCGAAAGCGGAAGCGUUAUAUCAACGCGGUUGAUGUAGUUGUACGUCUUCACGAUCCGACCGAUCCAAGCACCGAAACUACGGCACCUCCGAGUUCUAGCACACGUUCAGCUCGAUGACGAUCCCCGUACUCCGAUCCAGCAAAAUGUCGGGGAAGAGUUCCGUCAGCAUGACAGCGUGGUGAUGAUCUUGAUGUUCUACCGUCGCAGGGCUUCGCCUAAGCACCGCUACAAUAUUAUCGAUCGUUGGUUUCUCAAUACCAAGUUCAAUCUCGUUACCUACAAGUCUCUUUACUCGUUCCGUAAUGCAUCAUCUCGCAACUAACUCAUUAGUUGCCAUGCUUGCAAGGCUUAAGUGAUGUGCAUUACCGAGAGGGCCCAGAGAUACCUCUCCGACAAUCGGAGUGACAAAUCCUAAUCUCGAAAUACGCCAACCUAACAAGUACCUUCGGAGACACCUGUAGAGCACCUUUAUAAUCACCCAGUUACGUUGUGAUGUUUGGUAGCACACAAAGUGUUCCUCCGGUAAACGGGAGUUGCAUAAUCUCAUAGUCAUAGGAACAUGUAUAAGUCAUCAAGAAAGCAUUUGCAACAUACUAAACGAUCGGGUGCUAAGCUAACGGAAUGGGUCAAGUCAAUCACAUCAUUCUCCUAAUGAUGUGAUCCCGUUAAUCCAAUUACAACCCAUGUCAAUGGCUAGGAAACUUAACCAUCUUUGAUUAAUGAGCUAGUCAAGUAGAGGCAUACUAGUGAUACUCUGUUUGUCUAUGUAUUCACACAUGUUCAAUCUCGUUGCCAGCAAGUCUCUUUACUCGUUCUGUAAUACAUCAUCUCGCAACUAACUCAUUAGUUGCAUUGCUUGCAAGGCUCAGGUGAUGUGCAUUACCGAGAGGGCCCAGAGAUACCUCUCUGACAAUUGGAAUGACAAAUUCUAAUCUCGAAAUACGCCAACCCAACAUGUACCUUUGGAGACACCUGUAGAGCACCUUUAUAAUCACCCAGUUACGUUGUGAUGUUUGGUAGCACACAAAGUGUUCCUCCGGCAAACGGGAGUUGCAUAAUCUCAUAGUCAUAGGAACAUGUAUAAGUCAUGAAGAAAGCAAUAGCAACAUACUAAACGAUCGGGUGCUAAGCUAAUGGAAUGGGUCAUGUCAAUCACAACAUUCUUCUAAUGAUGUGAUCCCGUUAAUCAAAUGACAACACAUGUCUAUGGUUAGGAAACAUAACCAUCUUCGAUUAACGAGCUAGUCAAGUAGAGGCAUACUAGUGAUGUUUAGUUUGUCUAUGUAUUCAUACAAGUAUUAUGUUUCCGGUUAAUACAAUUCUAGCAUGAAUAAUAAACGUUCAUCAUGAUAUAAGGAAAUAGAUAAUAACUUUAUUAUUGCCUCUAGGGCAUAUUUCCUUCAAAAACAAGGGUCACCUUCGUCUAUGGAGAGGCCCAGGUGUCUGAAAGGUAUAAAACUUGGGACAUGUUGCGUGGUAUUCUUGGUGCAAAUAAUCUUCCAUGGGUAGUCAUGGGAGACUUCAAUGAGGUGUUAUAUUCUCACGAGCAUGAUGGAGUGGCAAACAAUAGCCAGGCGCAGAUGGACGCAUUCAGAGAUGCUUUGGAUACAUAUGGAUUAUCAGAUAUAGAAUAUAAUUGAAGAAAAUACGCCCUAGAGGCAAUAAUAAAGUUGUUAUUUAUAUUUCCUUAUAUCAUGAUAAAUGUUUAUUAUUCAUGCUAGAAUUGUAUUAACCGGAAACUUAGUACAUGUGUGAAUACAUAGACAAACAAAGUGUCACUAGUAUGCCUCUACCUGACUAGCUCGUUGAAUCAAAGAUGGUUAAGUUUCCUAGCCAUAGACAUGAGUUGUCAUUUGAUUAACGGGAUCACAUCAUUAGAUAAUGAUGUGAUUAACUUGACCCAUUCCGUUAGCUUAGCAUUUGAUCGUUUAGUAUAUUGCUAUUGCUUUCUUCAUGACUUAUACAUGUUCCUAUGACUAUGAGAUUAUGCAACUCCCGAGUACCGGAGGAACACUUUGUUUGCUACCAAACGUCACAACGUAACCGGGUGAUUAUAAAGGUGCUCUACAGGUCCCUGAUGGUACUUGUUGAGUUGGCAUAGAUCGAGAUUAGGAUUUGUCACUCCGAUUGUCAGAGAGGUAUCUCUGGGCCCUCUUGGUAAUGCACAUCACUAUAAGCCUUGCAAGCAAUGUAAUUAAUGAGUUAGUUGCGGGAUGAUGCAUUAUGAAACGAGUAAAGGGACUUGCCGGUAAUGAGAUUGAACUAGGUAUUGAGAUACCGACGAUCGAAUCUCGGGCAAGUAACAUACCGAUGACAAAGGGAACAAUGUAUGUUGUUAUGCGGUUUGACCGAUAAAGAUCUUCGUAGAAUAUGUAGGAGCCAAUAUGAGCAUCCAGGUUCCGCUAUUGGUUAUUGACUGGAGACGUGUCUCGGUAAAGUCUACAUAGUUCUCUAACCUGUAGGUUCCGCACGCUUAACGUUCGGUGACAAUCGGUAUUAUGAGUUUAUGUGUUUUGAUGUACCGAAGGUAGUUCAGAGCCCGGAUAUGAUCACGAACAUGACGAGGAGUCUCGAAAUGGUCGAGACAUAAAGAUCGAUAUAUUGGAAGCCUAUAUUUGGACAUUAGAAUAGUUCCGGGUGAAAUCAGGAUUUUACCGGAGUACUGGGAGGUUACCGGAACCCCCGGUAAGUGUAUGGGCCUUAUUGGGCCAUAGUGGAGAGAGAGAGGGGACCAGGGCACGCCGCGCCCCACCUCUCCCUCUGGUCCAAAUUGGAUUAGGAGGGGGGCGCCCCCUUUCCUUCCUCCCUCUCUCCCCCUUCAUUCUCUCCUAGUCCAACUAGGGAAGGGGGGGAUCCUACUCCUGGUGGGAGUAGGACUCCUCCAGGGUGCGCCAUAGAGGGUCGGACCUCCCCCUCCUCCACUCCUUUAUAUACGUGGCCAGGGAUGCACCCCAAAGACACACAAGUUGAUCAUUGAUCUUUUAGCCGUGUGCGGUGCCCCCUCCACCAUAAUCCACCUCGGUCAUAUCGUAGAGGUGCUUAGGAGAAGCCCUGCGUCGGUAGCUUCAUCAACACCGUCAUCACGCCAUCGUGCUGACGGAACCCUCUCUCAAAGCUCUACUGGAUCGUGAGUUCGUGGGACGUCAUCGAGUUGAACAUGUGAAGAUCACGGAGGUGUCGUACGUUCGGUACUAGGAUCGGUCGAUCGUGAAGACGUAUGACUACAUCAACCGCGUUGUCAUAAUGCUUCUGCUUACGGUCUACGAGGGUACAUGGACGACACUCUCCCCUCUCGUUGCUAUGCAUCACCAUGAUCUUGCGUGUGCGUAGGAAUUUUUUUGAAAUUACUGCGUUCCCCAACAAUAAUGGCAUCGGUUAGACUUUUGAAAAAAAGGUUACGGGGGGAAGUUAUACCAGAGUGCGUUUUUACAGAUGUGUUGCGAACCUAGCUUGGUCCUUGGCUUUUCCAAUGGCAUCUCUGGAGCACAAGCAUGAAACAUCAUACGAUCACAUUUCGAUCUUCCUCCAGCUAAAUAUGUUGCAUGCAUGUGCAUGCGGACCGAGGCGAUUUAGAUACGAAUUGUGCUGGGAGAGAGACCCCAUGCAUGCAAAUGUGAUUGGUGAAGGGUGGACCUCACAGCAGAAUCUAGACCCUAGCCGACCAGUGGAACGUGUCCGACAAAAGCUGCAGCAGGUGGCAGGUGAUCUGUCCACGUGGGACCGCAUGCACUUCGGGAAUGUCAGACUCCAGAUCGCACAAUACAGAAGCAUCUACAGGAGUCACGCGGCCUCCCAGGAAGAUCGGGGCCCAACCAUUUGGAAUUAAAAAUCACAGAAAAUCUUGUGGAGUUAUAUCACCGGGAGGAAAUACUGUGGCGUCAAAGGGCAAGUGUCGGUGUCAAAACCGGUAGAUCUCGGGUAGGGAGUCCCGAACUGUGCGUCUAAGGCGGAUGGUAACAGGAGGCAGGGGACACAAUGUUUUACCCAGGUUCGGGCCCUCUUGAUGGAGGUAAAACCCUACGUCCUGCUUGAUUAUUCUUGAUAAUAUGAGUAGUACAAGAGUUGAUCUACCACGAGAUCGGAGAGGCUAAACCCUAGAAGCUAGCCUAUGGUAUGAUUGUAUGUUAUCCUACGAACUAAAACCCUCCGGUUUAUAUAGACACCGGAGGGGCUAGGGUUACACAAGGUCGGUUUCAAAGGAGGAGAUAUACAUAUCUGUAUUGCCUAGCUUGCCUUCUACGCCAAGUAGAGUCCCAUCCGGACAUGGGACGAAGUCUUCAAUGUUGUAUCUUCAUGGUCCAACAGUCUGGCCAAAGGAUAUAAUCCGGAUGUUCGGAUACCCCCUAAUCCAGGGCUCCCUCAGUAGCCCCCGAACCAGGCUUCAAUGAUGAUGAGUCCGGCGUGCAGUGUUGUCUUCGGCAUUGCAAGGCGGGUUCUUCUCCAAAUUUUGAACGUUUGUUAAGCAGUGUCCGGUCCCAUAAAUGUUGAAACUCUUGGCUUCUGCGCCCAAUAAGGGCUAUCUUCCACGCGUCGAAUGAAUGCGAGGCGCCAGGGUAUUUUUACAUUCGCCCCCUAGCCAGAUAAAUAAAUUGUCUAUUAAAGGGAUGGGGAUUCUUAGAUCCAAUCUAUACCAUCAUCCCCCAGUGAGAAUCCAUUGGAGCAUGCUUCAGAAAGAUCCACUCCAGCAUGGCCGAUCUCCGCAACUCCUCCUCCCACCCCAUAGCCCUAAGUCCGGUGAUUGGGAGAGGUGUUCAGUCCCACACAGUCGAUUAGUCGAACUGCAGACUAAGGGAUUUCUCCCUCCGGCGUAUAUGGUGCUCGUCCGAGUCGGGCUCGCCACCUACAAUGGCGGGGAGCAAGCGGAGAGCUUCCCCAGCCCCUCUACGGGGGAGCGGGUAUGCCUUGUCCCUUAUUUAUUGAGGGGACUCGGAUUUCCGAUUCAUCCGUUCCUCUGCGGGCUCCUGGAGUUUUACGGCCUCCAACUGCAUAAUUUCACCCCUGCUUCCAUUUUACACAUCGCUGGCUAUGUUGCCCUUUGCGAGUUAUUCCUGGGCUGCGAGGCUCAUUUCGAGAUGUGGAAAAGGUUAUUUUGCCUCGUCCCUCGCACACAUAAGGGGUCACUUUAUCAAGUGGGCGGAGCCGAAAUAUGGCGCAUCGCCGAAACUGGAUACCUGUCCGGUACUCCAAAGAAGACGUCCGAAGACUGGCCUUUGGAAUGGUUUUAUAUGGAGGACGUCCCCCUUCCGGACCCUGUUCGGUGGGGUCUUCGUGAGUUCAGCAAUGCUCCUCUGAAGAAACGCCGAAGUUGGCGCCCACGGAGCCCCCAGGAGGAAGACAACGGAGAAGUCCUUUACCCGAUGAACCGGAUUAAAGCGCUGGCUCAAUCAGGAUUGACAGUAAUCGAGGUUAUGUCAAUAUGCAUAAUGCGAGGAGUGCAACCACUUCAAUAUUGAGAGCACCCCUUGUGGUGUUUUAACGGGGAAGAUGACGCCACCCGUUGCGGGCGUAAGGGUCCGGACAACGCUGUCGCUUUAGCAAAAAUUCUAUUCGAAUUGUUCAAGGGAGAGGAAGAGGAGUUCAUCCGCAUCAAGCCACGGGAUGGAUUCUCCAUGUACAACCCUCCAAGCUGGGUGAGUUAUAUCUCCAUACUCCCGUUCUUCCCGCAUUCUUUGUCGUAGGUACUCACCUUGCCAUUUUGCGGCAGGAACUGCGAAAAGCCAUAAGGGAGGUCAACAGCCCAUCUCCACAACCAGAGGACCCUGACCGGGCCCUCGGUGCCGGACUCGAAGAAGAUCCGGACAUAUUCAUGGAGCUGAUAGACCGGCAGUUCUAUCAAUUAAGUUGUGAUGACGCCAUGUUGGCCAUUACGGCCGAUUAUCCUGGACUACUUCCUGCGUCGCACGUAAGAAAAACCAAAAAUCCCAACUCCAAAAACUAGGAUCCCCUUUUAGACACUUCACCUACCAUAUACAUAUGGUGUUUUUACAGGGAAGGCAUUCGGGACGCCAUGCCGAACCCGCAGCAACUCGCCAACAAGAGGCACCGGGGCCGGGCAGGCCAAAAAGGAAGGAGAUCAGGACGGAGACGCCGGCGCAGAGGUAUGACAGAAACCCUGCUCCGUGGCUGUCAUCUUUCUUGAAAUGUAAUGACGUCCAUGUUUCUUUAACAAAAAAAACGCUCGCCGGAAUAUGUCCGGUGAGGCUGCCGAUCAUGCUUCCACCAGUCGGGCUCCAGGACCGGACAUAGAGGCGGAAGCUGACAUGGGGCGGACACCGGAUAGUCCCCCUAUAGAGGAUGCGGAUAGGCUAUCCGCUACACAUUCAGAAGUGGAGAGUGCCAUGAAUCAUAGGCAUCGCCGGGCCGUACUCCGCGACGCUUGCUUCUCACCAGAGGCAUUUGAUGCCUUCAAUUCUGGAGAGGCGUACCUCCGUGCUGCUCAAAAUGGUCUAGCCAGAGCCACGGACUAGUAUGUAAAGGAUGUACGGGUAAGAAAAUCUGACGAUUAUAUGUAUCAGUAGCCCCUGAGACUUGAAACAGUUAGAAGAAGUGAUUUAAGGAUCAUCUUAUUGUGCAGGUUCUUACAGAGAAGAAUAGUCGACUGUCACAGGAGCUGGAGGAAUGCAAGACCCAACUUCGGGCCGCUGUUGCCGCAUUGAAGGAUCCUAAAAAGUCCCCAGCUGGUAACAUUUCUUUCAAAUAAUGGCUGCAGAUCUAAUAAUAGAUGUUGCAGAUGAAUCCGGAGAGAAUCCGGAGGAGCAGCACGCCGUACGAAAGCUAAAGGCUGGCGAACGCGUGCUGACUGAGGUCAGGCAGGAGAAAAACAAUCUCCAAGACGCCAAUACCAAGCUGAGCGUGGAACUGAAAGAUGUUCGAUCCAGCUUGCGGACUCCGAGAAGGAGAAUAAGCGGCUUCGACGCGGAAUAUUUAGUAAGUGCUUGAACGAACCCUUAAUAAAGGGGACGGCGGAGAAGCCGACUAACAGAGUUAUGUCUGCAGGUAUGCUGACGGGUCAUCCCGCGGAGGAGAUGCCCGGGUUUGCGGGUGAUCUUCUAUCUGAGCUCUCACAACUGCACAAACAAGUUCGGCAGGUGAUGCAAGGUAUUGCCCAGGCCUUGUGGCCAUCCGCCUCCCUGGCAGAAGGCGUUGGAGAGCUUGUGGAGAAGCUCAAGGGAGAUAUCUGCCUUCCGUCAAGGUGCCAGGGAAGCCUGGGCCAUGGUGAAGACGCGGUAUACCAAGGCUGACCCAAAUCACAUGGCCGAGGUCGGACCUGUGGGGCCUGACGGGAAAGAGAUCCCUGUUAGCUUAGUCUAUGGGCAAGUAGAAUUAGCCGCAAAGUAUUCCCAAUAGGAUUGUAGGCUAGACCGCCUGUUGGAUGGUAUAGAAGAGGAAUUUAGUCAGUCUACAUGACUAUGUAAUUAAAGUGACAUGUAUAAUGCCUUCUACCCGGAUUGUAGAUCAUUUGUCAUGGCGGACGUUUUCGCUUCAACCUCGGGACCCGAUAGUCUGGAGUGUAUCCGAAUACCCGCUCAAUUAUAUAAGAACCGGGGUAUGCGUGGAGACCAGGCGUAGGGGUCAUUAGUGCUUGAACAGACAUGUGCCCAACUAGUUAUGUUAUAUUACAUGGGUAGUAAGAACCAUCUUCCAGGGAGAAUAGUUCUGUUAAGGGUUCCUUUCCCUAGGUACGCAUGCCCUAAAGUGCAUGUCCGGACUGCGAGAGGAAACGCAGGAAAAACAUCUGGGGGCACAUAUGGAAAAUAAAUAAAUAAAAUCAUAUUUUGUUCGCCAACCGAAUAUUCCCUUAAGAACGCUAGCUUUCAGCUUCACCCAGUCUGAGGUACACAUCCGGCUGACCCGGCAGUAACAAUCGCAGAGGUGCUCCCCUUAUGCCCUAGCCGAAUUAACGGGAACGUAGGGCAUAAAUACAAGAGCCAGGCAACCCAGCUUGGCCAAAACUUAAGUCAUAUUGAUGCAUAUAGUGGCGGAGAAAAGGUACAUGCGGAAGAAUCACACAUGUGCGGGGCGUGAAACCCAGAUAGAUAAUUAAGCUUUUGUGUAAGAAGCCCCCAGGUAUAAUGAGCGCGGUUAGCACAUCUAUAAUGUGCAAGCGAGGCACAAGGUGGCCCUUGAAGGCCUAGAGAAAGAGUAAAAGAAAGAAAGAGAAAAAAGACAGACAAUGUAUAUGCAAAAAAUGGACAGAGGAAGGAGACGAACAUAGAGUCCGACGCUAGGCGUAGAAUCUUCGGAGCCUGGCUGCGUUCCAUGGGUUCAACUCAAGUCGAUUAUUCGAUGCAUCCCGCAGACGGUACGCUCCGCCGGUCAGAACUUGGUCAAUAAUGAAGGGACCUUCCCAUUUGGGCUCGAGCUUGAACUUUUUCUUCUCCGGCAGGCGUAGAACUAACUCGCCAACGUUAUAAGUUUUGGCCCAUACUUCUCUACUUUGGUAUCUGCGAGCUUGUUGCUGAUAAAACGCGGAACGGGCUUUUGCCACGUCGCGCUCCUCCUCCAGGGUGUCCAGACUAUCCUGCCGAUCGAGCUCGGUUUCUCUUUCUUCGCACAUGCGCACUCAAGGUGAGUCAUGAAUUAUGUCGUAGGGCAAAACUGCCUCUGCCCGUACACCAUAAAGAAGGGUGUAUAUCCGGUAGUGCGAUUUGGCAUGCUCCGCAGCCCCCAGAGUACGGAGUCGAGCUCCUCUACCCAGUGCUUGUUAGACUCCUUUAAGGACCGCACUAAUCUGGGUUUAAUGCCGCUCAUGAUAAGACCAUUUGCUCGCUCAACUUGGCCGUUGGUUUGUGGGUGAUAGAGGGAAGCAUAAUCGAGCUUGAUGCCCAUGUUGCUGCACCAGAGUUUUACCUCGUCGGCCGUAAAGUUCGUGCCGUUGUCAGUGAUGAUGCUGUGGGGGACGCCGUAACGGUGUACAACCCCGGAUAUGAAGUCUAUCACCGGUCCGGAUUCAGCUAUUUUAACAGGUUUGGCUUCUAUCCGUUUGGUGAAUUUAUCUACUAUGACCAAUAAGUAUUUUUUGUUAUGGGUUCCCCCUUUAAGGGGUCCAACCAUGUCAAGCCCCCAGACCGCGAAAGGCCAGGUAAUGGGGAUUGUUUGGAGGGCGGUGGGUGGCAUAUGGCUUUGAUUUGCAAAAAGCUGGCAAUCGGCGCAGCGUUGGACCAAGUCCUGCGCGUCUGACCGGGCCGUCGGCCAAUAAAAACCUGUACGGAAGGCCUUGCUUACAAGGGCCCGGGCUGCGUCGUGGUGGCCGCCAAGUCCGGCAUGAAUUUCUGCCAAAAGCUUCCGCCCUUCCUCUUUGGAGAUGCACCUUUGAAGGACUCUGGUAGUGCUUUUCUUAUACAGCUCUCCCUCGUGGACCCUGUAGGCUUUAGAUCGCGGCACUAUGCAGCGUGCCUCAUUUUGGUCCUUGGGAAGUUCCUGCCUAGUUAGGUAGGCCAGGAAUGGUUCUGUCCAUGGGGCGAUGACGGCCAUUAUUACGUGGGCUGAAGGUGUUUCCCACAAAUAAUUCACGAAAUCAACCCCCCACCCCACCUCACCCCAAAACAAAAAACACUCACGAACGCGGUUUGUAUCUCUCACACACACCCACAUAGGUGGGUGACAUGCACGAAGAGAAGAGGUGCAUGCACGGCGCACGUACUCCCAUCUCUUUCCCAACCACACCCGCGCGGGUACACGGCGGAGCUCAUUUCUGUACGAAAAAGGCAGCCCACGUGGUAAUUUGGCACAUGUACUGGUUGUCCACUUGGUGGAGGGAGGAUCGUCUACCACGGGUGAACAAACAAAUUGCGACUUGACGUGUUAUGUUAAAAAAAGAGGCACACCAUGUGGGGCCUACCUUAGAGGCAAGGCUCUAUACACUGGAGUACUUUUGAUGUGUCCCGUCAACUCGCAGAACGGGGAGAAGCUUGCUUAGUACGCCAUCUCCCCCGCCCACGGGCGCGGUGGCUCGCAGGAUGAGGUGAAGCUUGCUUACUACGCCUUACGCCCGCUCCCUCGCCCAUGCGCGCGGUGGCUCGCAGUACAAGGAGAAAAAUUUACUACUCCCUCCGUUUACUCCUCGUCCCUACUACCUUGGUUAUAGAGAUUAUAUCAUAUUGUUUGGAAUAUAUAUGUCCUUUAGUAGAUUUCAAUAUGAACUACUAGUACAUACUCCAAACACUGGUGUAUAUAGACGUAUUUUAGAGUGUAGAUUCACUCAUUUUGCUCCGUAUGUAGCACUCUCCCUCGCCCUCGACCCUCGCCCACGUGGUGGACGUGCAGCAAUUCAUUCGGUCUCAUAUAGCCAGAACGAUAUAUACUGCACUACCAUUAUUUCUCGACUUCCCGAAGAGGCGAAGAGCCAAUCGCAAGGUUAAUAUUUUGGAGAUGCCAAGCGCAAGGUUAUAGGAGAACGAGUAGUAGGUGCCGCGUCAUUUAUAAAUAAAGUUUUUUUUCUUCAGUGGCACGUACGCAAUAUGAUAGGUUCAUAUGGAGAGAAAAGGAAACCGCUCCACUAUAUACAUAGUUAGGACGGGCCAGCCUACACGGUUGCUUGCUGGGGUUGCUCUCUUCACACUCUCUUGCACAAAACGACUGUGGCCACAUCUCUAACAUCCCGGUGGAUCACGUCCGCUUGGGGAAGGGGUGGAUGCUUAGUGUAGAUGCGGUGGCCGCCGCCGACGGCGAAAACCCACUGUCGGCACGUCCCGUUCAGGGGUCCCCGUCGUUCUCUCUCACAAAGCCGGUGAGGUUGCCUUCGUCCCUUGCUCACUGCUGCGACGUGGGCAGUUGCCGUCUCCCGCCGCCCUCCUCAAGGUUGAGCUACGUCCCUCAGGUACAACUCCCUUUAUAGCCGGCUUGCACCACUGCUCCAGCUGCCCACAUCACUCCCUGUGGAUAUUUCUCUACUUCUUUGCCCCGCACAUACCUCUACUGGCUUCUACGUACUGUAUUUGUGAUGAGUUUAUGUCUCAUCGACUAGUCCUAGUAAUCUUAUUCUAAUCACGCUUGUUCAAUUUCUUUUCCAUAGGGAUGCUCAUCUCGAUUUUGGUGAAACUGCACAAAAUGAUCCGAUGGUCAAAAGGUUGCAAACUUCAUUUAUUAGGAAGCUCGAACGUUGCCAGCAAAUUGAAGCCUGGUCAGGGUUCACGGUUCAAGGGCUAGGGACUGCAUGGAUCAUUUUUUUAGCUGCCUCUGUUCCAAAAUAAGUGUCAACUUUAGUAGUAGUACAACUUUGUACUAAAGUUCGCACAAAGUUGAGAAACUUAUUUUAGAACGGAGGGAGUACAUAUUUGCUAUGAUCUGUCAAUUAUUGAGAUGCAAUAGCAUGCAUGUUAGUCUCCUUUGUAUUUGAUGAAAUGUUGCAACGAGCAACCUUGGACGCAAGAUACAUGUAACAGAAGUUGGAAGCUUCAUAGCAUUGUACAAAUUUAUCUCGCUGAUAAAUUACAGUACGUACUAUACUAGUACUUCAUCCGUUCCUAAAUAUAAGUCUUUGUAGAGAUUUCACCAUGAACCACAUGCGGAUGUAUAUAGAUGCAUUUUAAGUGUAGAUUCAUUCAUUUUUUUCCGUAUGUAGUGGAAUCUCUACAAAGACUUAUAUCUACUAGUAAUAGCUAGCCCCCACUACUAGGAAUUCUCUAUCCUCUCCUUGAGCCACGUCAUCAAAAUUGAUGUAGCCGUUAGAUGAAGUAAAUCAGUCCAUAAUAGCCGUCUGAUCUUGACGUUGAGAGGCUCCACACUAAGCCACAUGCAAGCAUGUAGAAAUACCAUGCCACAUGCAUGUGAGUGGGUUUUAAAUCACAUCAACAUGUUUGCAUGCAAGCAUGCACCGGUAGCAUGCAUGUAAUUAAGUGAGCUUUUAAGUCCCAUUAACAUGUCAAAAAGAAAAAUAUAAUCCCAUUAUGCAGUAGGAGUUGGCUGAUCUUUUUUCCUUACGUGGCAUGAUCUAAAUGAUGAUGGGAGUUUAUUUAGUUUGGCUACCACAUUUUUCAUGUGGUUAUAGAGUUUUUUUGUUCUAUGAAAUCGAUAAUUUUGUGCAGAGAGAUAUACUACUGUUCCUCGCCAACGCGCGGGGACUCAUCUAGUAAUAUUUAGGAACGGAGGGAGUACUAUGUAAAGAGUUAGGUGUCGCACGGUGAUAGUGUGAGGUGGGCCAUGUAAUCACUGAGCCUGCGUGUUUUCACUGCUCUUGCACGCCUCCGCUGUAAGAACGGAGAAAAUUGUAAUCUAGUAGUAGUAUACCUCCUUUCGCCGAAAGUGUGGGACAUCCAGCAGUCCUACCACCUCAGUAAUAAAGACCAAUGAGCCGUCAAAUCACAUAGACCCAGCAGUAAGUUGGACGGACAAAGCAACCAUCACUCUUGCGCGAGUGAGAGGUCGCGUCCGCUCUGCCCGGGCAUGAAUGUGGCAUCGAUUCUUUGGAGCGGCGCUGACCGUUUCAGGCGGGAAGCGCGCGCGGGCGAUGGAGGGGCUUUGGGUGGGCCAGGCUGGUCAGGAGCGGGCGUGGCAGAUGUCCGCAUGUCCCUACUGGACACGCCCGGAAACGAGAGGAUGCACCGACUCUUGCGGCUAAAAUCGUACACUACACAACAUCUCUCUGUAGGAGUAGGUCGAUCUGUCGCUCUCUCUAACAGACACAUGGUGUUAAACACACACACACACACACACAUGCACACGCACGCACCUUGGUCCCGUUGUACCUUCUAACGUGGCUUAUUACACCUAGAUGGAGGGAGUAGAAUACGAGAUACGGUGGCACACUGACUUAAGUCGAAUACAAGUGCCCAAAAUUUGUGUGCAUGUUAUAAUAAGGAUUCACUUCAAAUAGUACGUGAGUGAACAGAGGGAUCAAUUGGACAGUGUUACCGAGAAGUAGCGAGAUGUGUGAGGUAAGAUACACCGCUGGCGCUUUUAAUUUUUCUUAUUAAUUUGUUUGUUUCACCCUCUGACUGGUGGGACCCAAUGUAUUACGUGGAGAGAGGUAAGGUGACUAAGGCCGAAUUAUUUCUGCACCACUGUGGAUAGUCUUACCACCAAAGCCACAUGACACGAUUAUGAUUGAAAUCCCAAUGACUCCCACACAAAAAAAACACGGCAUGCUUGUCACACGAAUGAAGGAAUGUAUAAAAGGUUAUUUCCCUCUCGCUGAACAUAACGGGAGGGUUGUGUAGCUGGUUAGCCUGUUCGCUCAUCAAACUUGAGGUCUCGGGUUCGAUAACUACACUUGAGCAUAAUUUGUGCCAGGAGGAUUCUUUGACUGGUCAAAAUGUUUUCUAGGGUUUGCACGCUUCACACUCUCUCUCCAGUAUAUAUACACACGCUAGAGCCUCAGCGCUUGUAGUUGCUCUCUUCACACUCUCCCGCCCUCUCCCGCUGGAGCCUCAGCGCUUGUAGUUUCUCUCUUCACACUCUCUCGCCCUCUCCAGAUCUAAACAAGACUUCGUUGGCCUCACUCUCUCCUCACUGCUGCUCAAAGAGCCGGCAGGAUCUGUCCGCCGCGAAGGGAAGGAGGCUUAACGCUGUCGCCGUCGGCGAGGGACUACCGGCGCAGCUGUUCACUUUCCACCCAGCGGCGGCGCGGGAGGGUCUCUGACCCCUUCUUCUUCGCCGCCGUCCCGUCGCCCAUCGAACCACGCCCCAAGAACCUUAAGGUAUAAUUUACUUACUCCACAUGCAUUGCUCUAGCUGCAUGUAUACCAUGAAUCUAGGACGUGGUUCAAAGAGGAAAGGAGUGGGGGAAAGUAGUGGGAAAAGUUGUAUGUAGCAUGAAUCUAGGACGUGGUUCAAAGAGGAAAUGAAGGGGGAAAGUUGUAUAGCAUUAAUCUAGGAUGUGGUUCAAAGAUGAAAGGAAUGGGGGAAACUAGUGGGGAAAGUUGUAUCGCAUAAAUCUAGGAUGUGGUUCAAAGAGGACAGGAAGGGGCGAAAGUACUAGUUCAAAAAGGAAAGGAAGGGACAAGGCUGUAGAGUUUGAGCAGGACUAGAUUUGCUGCGCUCACAUAGGGAAAGGCGUCUAAAGAUAACAAAACCGGGACCAACACAAAUAUGCUCCUUGGUUGUUUGUUCUUUGUUGCAACAGACUGUGCAUGACCAUAGUACAUCGGUAGAUGCACAUGGUGCUGGUGCAUCCACUGUCCCGUGCAACUCAUUAGCUGUUGUUAAUCUAAGGCCCUAUUUGGUUAAAAAACUCCCUAGUCCCUACCUGUUGGGUUCCAGGGACUAAACAUGGACUAGAGGUUAUUAAAUGACAUGCUAAAAGACCAUGUUACCCCUAGUAAUGAACUAAUAGAGACAAGGUGCGAUGCGUGGCAGGGGUAACUAUUGGAAAAAGUCCCAAAAAGACUCCCUCGGGGUCUUCUUUCUUUAGUCCCAAAUGCCCACUUUUAGUCCCUAAAAGUCUCUCCUCUUUGGUUUAGAUGGGACAGACACGGAGUUUUUUUAGUCCCUACACCAAAAUGUCCCUGUAAACAAACACCCUCUGAUAAUGCCACUGGAAAAUUGAUGCAAUGCCACAGUUAAAAGCAAAUUACAUGUUUAACGAAUUUUAUUGUUAAUAUAAUCUCUAUGUUAAUAUUAAUCAAUGCCACCGUUUGAGAAAUGCUACUGUCUUGCUUUCUUUCCCAUUUAGAUAAGGUAGAUGCUUCUUUUUGUUGGCUUCUGUGUCAUCCACUGUUAUUGACCACUAAUUGUUUCAUUUGCACCUCUGUGUAAACAGGGUUAUCUGCUUCACCUUGUUGCCAUUGUGACCUUUUGUUGCAUUGCACAAAACACUUUUGUUUUAAGAGUGUUUUGUGUAGUUCAACCAAAAUGUCAGACCGACAACAUUGCUUGAUUGCUUGAUCUUAGUGGAACUGCACAAGAGGAGCUCUUACUUCCUAUCCGUUAAGGCAAAUUUGGUUCAGAUCUUCUUCUUGUGAGUUGUUUGAAUUCCGCAUCAUGAGAGGUCAGUACUAGCCUUCUUUCACAUGAUUCUGCAGUGUGCAUUCAUAUGUUGUGCUACUUCUAUGAUAAUGUUGCUUGAUCUUAGUGAACUGCACAAAUGGAGACAAGACUUCCAAUCUGUAUGUGCACCGUAAUAUCCCAUUGAGGUAAGAUAAGGAUAUUUCACAACUGCUGGCCUGUAUUUUGCCACUUUCAUCAGAAAAUUAAGUUUAGUACUAUACUUGUGCUCCCUAAUUGACAUGCCAAAUCUUACAUUGAAGGCGAAGCUUGUUUGUUAUUGAACCAAGUGAUGAAGGGCAAGAACAAGGGGAAGAAAAACAAAAAUCAACUCCCGGUGUUGUAAUGAAGCACUAGAACUGUGAUGACACAAGUAAUGAUAUAGUUUUGCAUCUUAAUUUAUUGCUAUGGCUGGAACGAGCAAUUGUUUUGCCACUGAUUUGAUGCCACUCUUAAUGUAAUAUGUAAUUAUCUCUACUUGUGCAAACAGGGAUCUUCUUUGAAGAUACCAUAUAUUUUAGUGGAACUGCACAAGAAGAUGUUGGAAACAUUAAACUAAUCGAGGAGUAUAUAGUAAGCAUGGACACCACCAUAGAUAGCAACAGAUGGUUCCGGAGAAUUGCUUCAUCUGUAUGCUCUACACAAUAAGCCUCCUGACAAAGGUUGGUACUCUCCCACUGAUUUCAUCCAUAUGAUUGAGCUUUGUCAUCUCUAUUGGUGUUGUGCUACUGUUUAGAUACUAUCAUGAAAAAGUGGUAUUGUCCUUGAGAAGUGCUUCAUCUGUGCUGUUUUAAAUAUUUCCUUUCCUUUUUUCGAGCAAACAGUAAUGCUAGCAUUUAGUAGUCCUCUUGUGUUUGCACAACAGGAUCAUCUUCCUCUGAAGAAGAAUAUGGAGUACGUGAAGUGACUAGUUCCGAUUAUGCCAGGAUGAAGAAGCCCUGUCUAUCUUAUCAUCAGAAGGAGCAGUUGAAGGAUGGUUACAUUACUCCCCACAAGACCAAACUAACUUCAGCUCAGAAGGACUGACAAAAUCUCCAUUUUUUGCUGUGACAAAUGUCCGAACUGAUGGCAAACCCUGCCCAUUCCACAAUCGUAGGCAUUUGAUAUUUUGGAAUGGGACAACCUUGUCAAAUUUUGCUCAUUGAUUUUAGCAAGACAUGCGUUUGAUAUUUUCGAAUGGGACGCCCUUUGCUGUCAGCAGCGUCGAUCAAUUUUUUCCUUAUUCUUUAGUUGUGAAGUAAAUAUUGCCUCUGACAUGUGAGUCACUGAGAUGCAUAAUCAUCGAUUGUUUUGAAUGUUCUCUAUGAAUUGCCAUGCCUGUGUGUUUGAUUGCAAUGUACAGAAAUGCUAAAAAGCCGCUCAAACUCUUUGUGCUCCUUCUGCUCCUUUUUACUUCGCACAUUGUGAAAGUGCAUAUUUUUUUGUAUAAGAUUGGUCAAAGUAGAGAUACUUUGACCGCAGACAAAACUUGUAUGCAGACUAGAAAGGACCGGAGGGAGUACAUGUGAAACUGCUGCAAACGAGGUGAUCACCCUGGGAAUAAUGCUAGUAUGUAUUGUUUUGCAUGUUCAUCCAAUGCCAGUGAUACAGGAAUUCGAACUAAUCGAAAUAAAUUCAUUCAUACACGGUCGGAUUUCAUAUAAACAUGCCGGAUUUCAUUACAUUUCAUACAUUCUUCAACUAAAAAGGGGUGCACUGGAGGUAUAAUUAAUUAACCGAAGCUACCCACCUGUGUCCCGCUGAGCCGAACAGAAGCUUCAGUGACUUAACUGCAGGUGCAAUUGUGUAACUGACAUGUGGCCUAUUGGGCCCACGUGUCAGUCAGCCAACUACACCAGCAGUUAAGUAGAAGCAGCGUUCCAGCAGAACUCCCCGACUCCACGUCGCUGCCAAGAAGCUAACCGACCGUCAAUGGUCAACCCGCCUAGCUUGGCUUCAACAGGAGGGUAGCAGCGGUGGCCUUACUUGGACCCGAGCGGCGGCAACCUACCGUGUUCUACUCUUCCUCGUUUUCUAUGUGGCGCGGCCUCGUUGGCAGCGGGGCGGGGCCUUGGCGAGGCCGACGAUGUCCUCUGUCUCGUUGCCGGCGGGCGGCGCCUCAGCGGAGCGGUGGAAAUCCUCCCCCGCGUUGCCAGCAGGGUGGGGCCCCGGCUGAGCCGGCGAUGUCCUCUGCCUAGUUGUUGGCAGGGCGGGGCCUCGGCGGAGUCGGCGGUGUCCUCUGCCUCAUUGUUGGUGCCGUGGGGCCUCAGCGGAGCAGGGCCUCGUCGACGCCAGCGGAGCGAGGACUCGUUGGAGCCGACAUUGUCCUCUGCCUCGUCCUCGGUCUCGCCAAACAGCGCCUCGCCCGCUCCAUCGCCCUCUUUGCUAGCCUCUUUGUAGGCGGCCGCAGCCUCCGCCACCCGCAUGCGGUACCGCCAGCGCUCGAGGCGGCCCUUGCGGGCGGAGCGGUACGAGUCGAGCAGUGCCUCCUGCUCUGCCCGCUCCGCGGCGAUCUGCUCCUCCUCCUGCAGGUGCUCCUGGAUGAGAUGGUGGUUGUAGGCGGCGUUGGCCUGCGCCUCCCGGAACUGCUCCUGAUGCAUCUGCCUCACACUGUCCAUAUAUCGGGCACGGGCCUCGCCGAUGGUCAUGGUGCAAUGCACCAACGAGGAUGGUGCGGAGGAGGGGGUUGGCGCCGGAUCAUCGACUACCAUGUUCUCCAUUGGGACGUCGUCGUCCUCCGGCUGCCUGCCGGCCAGCCGGUCAGCCGCAAUGGCUGCCAUCUCCUUGUGGUCCGUCGUCCGCCCAUCCUGAAGAGCGCUGGAGCGCGAGGAAGCCAUGGUGGGCAAUAGUGGUGUGGAUAGGAGAAAGGGAACGGAUGCAGAUGAUUGCAGCUAUGGCUGGCCCAGCAGUUUAUAUAGCAAUGGUGGGCGGGCGGAGGGGCGGACGUGUGGCGCCGGAGUAGUCGCCUCACAAACCGUGUAUCAUUAAUGUGGGCGGCAGAUGGAUGGAUGGACGACACUUGUGUUGUUUGAAGGCGGAGCAAUCGCCUGCACCGGGAAGCGGGGCGGGCGGCGCUGACUGUUUCGGGCGGAAAGCACACGCGGGCGAGGAGAUGACUUUACUUGGAGAGGAUGACAAUGGGGACCCACCAGGUCCAUAGCCUCACAUAUGCAAGUGCCUCCUUAUUAUAUAUAUAUAUGUAUAAAACUAUACUCCCUCCAUCUAGGUCAAUAAGUCGUAUUAGAAGGUGCAUCACGACCUAGGUGCAAGCAGAUUGGUGGAAAAGAAGAAUAUUUCUCUCUUCUAAACACAACAUUUAAUCACAGCUGUUAAGAGGAUGCCUUAUUAGCUACCCACUCAGGCCAUCAUAAUUCAUAGCAUGCAAAGCGCUUUUAUUUCUUGCCUAAUAACCGCAUGGACGUGCUGCAUGCAUUGGUCCUUGCCCGAGCAAAAAAAAGGGAGGAAAGGGGUUUCCACGGGAGACAACGAGGCAGAGGUGGAAGUGCUUGCUGGAGUAAUUUAUUUUGCUUCCCUCUGGUUUCCUGACACCACGGUCCCACACCAUUGUCAACCUAUGUAGUAGUCAAUAAACGAGAGAAUUGCAUAAGAAGCGGCCGACAGCUGGGACCAAGCAGCUUGAGCAGUAUUUGUGUUUUUGAGGUGUGAGCACCGAGAGUUUUUCGAUGUUUAGCCCAAAUAUCAAUUUUUCACCUCUGAACAACAACGAAAACAUCGCUGCAGGUAUUAACUGGGCAGGCUGUGGCCCGUCUAGCCCAGGCCAGAUAUCCUGCCCAGAUAUUAAUUUUUUCAAGCUGAAAAUGGCUAGCCCAGCUAUACUUUUUUUUAGGAAUACCCAGGUAAGGUCAAGUUGUUAUUCUCCGCCCCGCUGGGCUGCAAAUCUUUCCUAGGAGGGAUGCAUUAGGCUUAACAAGAAAAUGGGCUUUAAUAAAUAAUAAAUGGGAUGUAAUUAUAAAAAUUGGGCAAUAACUAUAAAAAAAUGCACCAAACACGUGAUUACUUUAUAAAAUAUUAUUUUUGGAUAUUGAAAAUUUUAAUUUCAUUAAUUAUUGCGAGCGCAAUGUUUCGUUGGAUUUUUACGUAAUAUAAAUUUAUAUUGAAAUUGUAUUUAAUCUGACUAGAAAUUUCGGGAUAAAAAUAUUUCGGAUCCCAUCAAAAUGUGGGAAAUUUUAUUGAAUUAUGUUUUGAACGGUUGGUUGAAAUGGGAUGUACUUUUAACAAACUGUAAAUGGGAUGUAGUAAAUUCCAUUAGAAUUCAAAAAUGGGCUACACAUUCUUACAAAUCUCAAAUGGGCUAUAAGUUCUCUGCCACACACUUCUGGUCUUACUAAGUUGACGCGUCCCCUAAAAAAACAGAGUUGACGCGUAUGCAAGGCUUUAUCAACUUAUAGUCAACACACGGUUCUAGCAGCAGUGGCCGUUGGAUGUCCAUCCAACGGAUGCCGUGCUUCUUCUUCAAUCUUGGAUAUUCUAGCUUCACCCGCCCAAAAAAUGAUUCCUCCCCCUGACAUCUGGGGUGCACCAUUUCAAAAGCUGACCUGUGGGCCUACUAAGUUGAUGUACCAAGGGCUUUGUCAACUUAAUCAAUAUAAACGAUUCUAGCUGCAGUGACCGUACGAUGUCCAUCCAACGGUCGUAGUGCUUCUUCAACCUCUGGUCUUCUUGCUCUAGCAGCCCAAAGCAGCGCCGGUCGUGCCGCCUGCUCCUGCCUCCCGUGGCCGGCUGUGCUGCCGCGGAGGCCUCACCGCCCCUACUAUUCCCAUAGCUGGCCAGGCCCUGCGACGACGGCAGCCUCACACCACAGCUGAACGAGUGAACCCUCAUACUCCUCUUCGUGUGGGCAUCCACUACCGCGUCUUCACGGGCUCCGCGUCGUCCCCUUCCUAGGACUCGCCGUCGUCCACCGCCCUGGUGCUCUUGGCGUGGCAUGGUCAACGUGGUCAAGGAACGACUUCCAUCGAACGUGGACUGUACAUGGAGAGGCUAACAGCUGGGUCCAUGGCGGCAACAAGGAAGUGCCUCUUAUUAUGUGAAAAAUAAUGAUUUCUCCACCUAACAGUAGGGACCCACCGGACGGGCCACCAGUAUUUUGCAAAAAAAUUGUUUCCCCCUGACUGCUGAGACCCACCGGAUGGGCCACCGUAUUUCGCGAAAAAAAUGUUCCCCUCGCUGUUAGCUCGGACCCACCGGAAGUGCCUCCUUAUUACGCACAAAAAAAUGAAUACUCCCCUGGCUAGCUGGGACCCACCUUGCUGGGGGGCUGACUUGUGGGCCUACUAAGUUGACGGGGACGAAGGGCUUUGUCAACUUAGUCAAUAUGAAUGAUUCUAGCUCCAGUGACCAUACGAUGUCCCUCCAAUGGCCGUAGGGCUUCUUCAACCUCUGGUCUUCUUGCUCCAGCCGCCCAAAGCAGCGCCGGUCAUGCCGCAUGCUCCUGCCUCCCGUGGCCGGUUGUGCUGCCGCAGAGGCCUCACCGCCCCCUACUAUUCCCAUCGCUGGCCAGGCCGUGCGGCGACGGCAGCCUCACACCAUAGCCGAACUAGUGAACCCUCGUAGUCCUCUCUGCGCGGGCUUCCACUACCGCGUCGUCCCCUUCCUAGGCCUCGCCGUCGUCUACCGCCGUGGUGCUCUCCGCGCGGCGUGGUCAACAUGGUCAGGGAACGACUUCCAUCGGAAGAGUACUGUACGUGGAGAGGCUGACAGCUGGGUCCACGGCCACAGCCCAGUUUUUUUGUGAUUUUCCAAGUAAGUCGCUUUGUCAGGCCUAUUGGGCUGCAAAUCUUUCAAGACAAGGAGAGCUUUCAUUCGGCUGGCCGAGAAAAUGGCCCAUCAGUAAUGAGAAAUGGGUUGUACAUUUUUAAAACACAUCAAACCGGCAAUUAGUUUCAAAUAUCUUUUUUUCAUUUCAAGAUUUUAAAUUACAUGAAUUUUUAUGCAUGGAGAAUUUGUUGGAUUUUAUAUUGAUAUACAUUUCUUUUUAAAAUCAGUUUGAAUGUGAAUCGAAAUUUCGGGAUUAAAAACAGUUCGGACCGCACCGAAAUAUGCAAAAUUUCGUAUAAUUUUUUAACCGUUGCCACAAUAUGGGCUGUAAUGCUAACAAAAAUAAUAUGGGCUCCAAAAAAAAACUUAAGAAUUAGCAAAUGGGCUGUAAAUUAUUAGAAAUAAUGGUAGAUGGGCUGUAUGCUAUUUUCCACAGAUUUGAGGAUUUCCUAAAAAAAGGUUGACACACAAGCACCGACUGUUGGAUGUCCAUCCAACGGCCAUCGUGCUUCUUCAAUCUCUGCUCUUCCUGCUCCAGCCGCUCAAACAAGCGCCAGCGAGACUGCUUGCUCCCUCCUCCUCGCGGCCGGCUGUGCUGCCGCGCAGGCCUCACAGCCCGACCGUACUCCCAUCGCUGGCCUAGCCAUCCCUGUACUCACCCACACCUGCUGUUAUUCUCCGGCGACGACAGACGAACCAGUAAACCCUCGUAUAGUCGUACUCCCCUCCGCAUGGGAAACAACUGCCGAGUCUUCCCUGCCUCCGUGUCAUCCCCUUUCUAGGCCUCGCUGUCGUCCACCGCCCUGGUGCUCUUGGCGCGGUGUGGUCAACGUGGUCAAGGAACGACUUCCAUCGGACAUGGACUGUACGUGGAGAGGCUGACAGCUGGGUCCACGACCGCAGCAAGGAAGUGCCUCCUUAUUAUGCGGAAAAUAAUGAUUCCUCCACCUGACAGCUAGGACCCACCGGACGGGCCACUGUAUUUCGUGAAAAAAACGUUUCCCCCUGACAGCUGGGACCCACCAGCUACAUCUUUGCACACAAGGAAGUGCCUCAUAGUCGGGACCCACCUGGUUGAAGUGUACGUAGUGUUGUCAUUCUGGUCGCGAACGUGUAUGUACAUACUGGUUGAUGUAGAGGCGCGCACAUGUACCACAAAACGGAGGAAACGGACCUCAAAACAGAGGAAACGCCUUGUGUUCGACCGGCCACGUUCGAAACGGGAUCCUGUUCAUCGGGAGGGGUCUGGCGUACCGCCAAACGGAGGAAACGGACCGCCUACGGUCGAAACGGGGGUCCUGUUGAUCGGGAGGGGUGUGGCGUACCGCAAAACGGAUGAAACGGACUUGUGUUGGAGCGCUACGGUCGAAAUAGGGGUCCUGUUCAUCGGGAGGGGUGUGGCGUACCGCAAAACAGGACUCCACGGGAUACUUUUCAUCUCCAUCGCCGACCCCCUCCAGCCUCCACGAGCUACUGUUCAUCCACCGUUGACCUCCUCCAGCCUCCACCUGCAACUAUUCAUCCACGGGCUGCUGUUCAUCCAGCCUCCACCGCGUGCUACUCCACCGGCUACUAUUCAACCAGCCCUCUCCACGGGCUCCUGUUCAACCACCCCUCCACGGGCUACUGUUCAUCCUGCCCUCCACCGUCUACUAUUCAUCCUGCCCUCCACGGGGUGGUCCUGUUCAUCUAGCCCUCCAUGGGGUGGUCCUGUUCAUCCAGCCCUCCACCGGGUCCUGUUCAUCCAGCCCCAACCGGCUCGAUCGAUCGGGGUCCUAUUCAUCCAGAGGCAAUACCACGGGGUCCUGUUCAUCCACACCCACCGGGAACUGUUCAUCCAAAUCCCCCCCCCAAUGCUCAAUGUUCAUCCAGAGGCAGCAUCGAUCAGCUUCAGUUAGCAGCAGUAGCGAAGGAAUCGCUCGAUCGGGUUCACUUAAUAGCCAUCAAUCGAUUGCUCGGGUUCAGUAACGCGUAGCCUGCAGUGCAAUCACUCGGUUCAGUUAGAGCCCAACGGCUCGCUCGGGUUCAGUUAGAGCCAACGCCUCGCACACACGCGUGUAUGGGUACGAGAGAAACGCGCAUCGCUCGGCCCCCGACCUCCCACCGUAACCAGGAACUCCCCGAAGUUUUCCUCGCCCUCGCUUCUACCACGGUUUUUUCUGUCAUGGAUGGCCCAAAGAAUGUCAUGCAGCUGCAUCUCCGGCCCGCCCAGGACGAAAAGCCCAUUUUCUGUCAUGAUUUUUUGUCAUAGAAGUAGGAGCCCACCACAUCUAUGAUGAUACCGACUUUUGUCACAAUUAUCGUCAUAGAAGUAUCAUAUGUAUGACAGAAAUUUUUUUCGUCCGGCCCAAAAUGUCACGGAUGUGUCUUUUUUUUGUAGUGAUAGUAGUAGAUGCAGAAUCAUUUCGGUCUACUUGUCGUGGACGUGAUGCCUAUAUACAUGAUCAUGCCUAGAUAUUCUCAUAAUUAUGCAAUUUUAUAUCAAUUGCUCGACAGUAAUUUGUUUACCCACCAUAAUACUUAUGCUAUUUUGAGAGAAGCCACUAGUGAAACCUAUGGCCCCCGGGUCUAUUUUCCAUCAUAUAAGUUUCCAAUCUAUUUUACUUUGCAAUCUUUACUUUCAAUCUAUAUCAUAAAAAUACCAAAAAUAUUUAUCUUAUUUUUUGGGAACAUAGUAAUUUCAAAAAAAUCCUACGCACAUGCAAGAUCAUAGUGAUGCAUAGCUACGAGAGGGGAGAGUGUGUCCAUGUACCCUCGUAGACCGAAAGCGGAAGCGUUAGCACAACGCGGUUGAUGUAAUCGUACGUCUUCACGAUCCGACCGAUCAAGUACCGAAUGCACGACACCUCCGAGUUCUACACACGUUCAACUCGAUGACGUCCCUCGAACUCCAAUCCAGCCGAGCUUUGAGGGAGAGUUCCGCCAGCACGACGGUGUGGUGACAAUGAUGAUGUUCUACCGAUGCAGGGCUUCGUCUAAGCUCCGCUACGAUAUUAUCGAGGUGGAUUAUGGUGGAGGGGGGCACCCCACACGGCUAAGAGAUCAAAGAGAUCAAUUAUUGUGUCUAUGGGGUGCCCCCCUCCUCCAUAGAUAAAGGGGGGAGGAGGAGGGGGUCGGCCAAGGGGAGGAGGCGUGCCCAAGGGGGGCAAUCCUACUCCAAGUAGGUUUUGCCCCCCUUUCCUAUUCCAACUAGGAGAAGGGGGAAGGAGGAGGUGUAGAAGGGGGGCCGCCACCCCCUUCCCUUUCCCAAUUCGGAUUGGGGCAAGGGGGGCCGCGCGCCACCUCCUGCCGCCUCUCCUCUUCCACCACUUGGGCCCAUGAGGCCCAAUAACCCCCCGGGGGUUCCGGUAACCCCCUGGUUUCUCCGGUUUAUAUCCGAUAACCCCAGGAACUCAUCCAGUGUCUGAAUAUAACAUUCCAAUAUAUCAAUCUUUAUGUCUCGACCAUUUCGAGACUCCUCGUCAUGUCCGUGAUCACAUCUAGGACUCUGAACUACCUACAGUACAUCAAAACACAUAAACUCUUAAUAUAACCAUCAUCGAACUUUAAGCGUGCGGACCCUACGGGUUCGAGAACUAUGUAGACAUGACCGAGACACGUCUUCGGUCAAUAACCAAUAGCGGAACCUGGAUGCUCAUAUUGGCUCCCACAUAUUCUACGAAGAUCUUUAUCGGUCAAACCGCAUAAAAACAUACGUUGUUCCCUUUGUCAUCGGUAUGUUACUUGCCCGAGAUUCGAUUGUCGGUAUCUCAAUACCUAGUUCAAUCUCGUUACCGUCAAGACUCUUUACUCGUUUUGUAAUACAUCACCCCCCAACUAACUCAUUAGUUGCAAUGCUUGCAAGGCUCAUAGUGCUGUGCAUUACCGAGUGGGCCCAGAGAUACCUCUCCGACAAUCGGAGUGACAAAUCCUAAUCUCAAAAUACGCUAACCCAACAAGUACCUUCGGAGACACCUGUAGAGCACCUUUAUAAUCACCCAGUUACAUUGUGACGUUUGGUAGCACACAAAGUGUUCCUCUAGUAAACGGGAGUUGCAUAAUGUCAUAGUCAUAGGAACAUGUAUAAGUCAUGAAGAAAGCAAUAGCAGAAUACUAAACGAUCAAGUGCUAAGCUAAUGGAAUGGGUCAAGUCAAUCACAUCAUUCUCCUAAUGAUGUGAUCCCAUUAAUCAAAUGACAACUCAUGUCUAUGGCUAGGAAACAUAACCAUCUUUGAUCAACGAGCUAGUCAAGUAGAGGCAUACUAGUGACACUCUAUUUGUCUAUGUAUUCACACAAGUAUUAUGUUUCCGGUUAAUACAAUUCUAGCAUGAAUAAUAAACAUUUAUCAUGAUAUAAGGAAAUAAAUAAUUACUUUAUUAUUGCCUCUAGGGCAUAUUUCCUUAAGUCUCCCACUUGCACUAGAGCCAAUAAUCUAGAUUACACAGUAAUGAUUCUAACACCCAUGGAGCCUUGGUGUUGAUCAUAUUUUGCUCAUGGAAGAGGCUUAGUCAACGGGUCUGCAACAUUCAGAUCUGUGUGUAUCUUGCAAAUUUCUAUGUCUCCCACCUGGAAUUGAUCCCGGAUGGAGUUGAAGCGUCUCUUGAUGUGCUUGGUUCUCUUGUGAAAUCUGGAUUCCUUUGCCAAGGCAAUUGCACCAGUAUUGUCACAAAAGAUUUUCAUUGGACCCGAUGCACUAGGUAUGACACGUAGAUCGGAUAUGAACUCCUCAUCCAGACUCCUUAAUUUGCUGCUUCCGAAGCAGCUAUGUACUCCGCUUCACACGUAGAUCCCGCCACAACGCUUUGUUUAGAACUGCACCAACCGACAGCUCCACCGUUCAUUAAGGCAAAUUUUAACAUGGUCCCUCUUACCUCCUUUUUUACAUGUGAGGUAAGAAGGUAAGAGUCAAUCAAGCCAUUCAUUGAUGAUAUCAACGGCUAAGAUCUAUUUUAUACUCUUACCUCUCAUGUGAAAAGAUUGGGUAAGAGGGACCAUGCUAAACUGCUCUCAAUAUAAACAUGUAUCCGGUUUGCGAUUUAGAAUCGUCCGGAUCAGUGUCAAAGCUUGCAUCGACGUAACCAUUUACGACUAGCUCUUUGUCACCUCCAUAAACGAGAAACAUACCCUUAGUCCUUUUCAGGUAUUUCAGGAUGUUCUUGACCGCUGUCCAGUGAUCCACUCCUGGAUUACUUUGGUACCUCCCUGCUAGACUUAUAGCAAGGCACACAUCAUGUCUGGUACACAACAUUGCAUACAUGAUAGAGCCUAUGUCUAAAGCAUUGGGAACAUCUUUCAUCUUCUCUCUAUCUUCUGCAGUGGUCGGGCAUUGAGUCUUACUCAACUUCACACCUUAUAAUAGAGGAAAGAACCCUUUCUUUGCUUGAUCCAUUUUGAACUUCUUCAAAACUUUGUCAAGGUAUGAGCUUUGUGAAAGUCCAAUUAAGCGUCUUGAUCUAUCUCUAUAGAUCUUGAUUCCCAAUAUAUAAGCACCUUCACCGAGGUUUUUCAUUGAAAAACUCUUAUUCAUGUAUCCUUUUAUGCUAUCCAGAAAUUCUAUAUCAUUUCCAAUCAGCAAUAUGUCAUCCACAUAUAAUAUCAGAAAUGCUACAGAGCUCCCACUCACUUUCUUGUAAAUACAGGCUUCUCCAAAAGUCUGUAUAAAACCAUAUGCUUUGAUUACACUAUCAAAGCGUUUAUUCCAACUCCGAGAGGAUUGCACCAGUCCAUAAAUGGAUCGCUGGAGCUUGCACACUUUGUUACCUCCCUUUGGAUCGACAAAACCUUCUGGUUGCAUCAUAUACAACUCUUCUUCCAGAAAUCCAUUCAGGAAUGCAGUUUUGACAUCCAUUUGCCAAAUUUCACAAUCAUAAAAUGCGGUAAUUUCUAACUUGAUUCGGACAGACUUAAGCAUCGCUAUGGGUGAGAAAUUCUCAUCGUAGUCAAUCCUUUGAACUUGUCGAAAACCUUUUGCAACAAGCCAAGCUUUAUAGACAGUAACAUUACCGUCAGCGUCAGUCUUCUUCUUGAAGAUCCAUUUAUUCUCAAAGGCUUGUCGAUCAUCGGGCAAGUCAACCAAAGUCCACACUUUAUUCUCAUACAUGGAUCCCAUCCCAGAUUUCAUGGCCUCAAUCCAUUUUGCAGAAUCUGGGCUCACCAUCGCUUCUUGAUAGUUCGUAGGUUCGUCAUGGUCUAGUAACAUAACCUCCAGAACAGGAUUAGCAUACCACUUUGGUGUGUAUCUUACUCUGGUUGAUCUACGAGGUUCAGUAACAAGUUGAUCUGACGUUUCAUGAUCAUCAUCAUUAACGUCCUCACUAAUUGGUGUAGGUGUCACAUGAACCGAUUUCUGUGAGGAACUACUUUCCAAUAAGGGAGCAGGUAUAGUUACCUCAUCAAGUUCUACUUUCCUCCCUGUAGGAUCGAAAGUAUGUCUAGAGGGGGGUGAUAAGACUACUUGACCAAAUAAAAACUUAACCUUUUCCCAAUUUUAGUUCUUGGCAGAUUUUAGAUAAUUUAGGACAAGUCAAGCAAUCAUCACAUAAUUCAAGCAAGCAUGCAAAGAGUAUAUAGGCAGCGGAAAGUAAAGCACACAACUUGCAAGAAUGUAAAGGGAAGGGUUUGGAGAAUUCAAACGCAAUUGGAGACACGGAUGUUUUUCCUGUGGUUCGGAUAGGUGGUGCUAUCCUACAUCCACGUUGAUGGAGACUGCAACCCCCGAAGGGUAACGGUUGCGCGAGUCCACACAGGGCUCCACCCAAGGGUAACGGUUGCGCGAGUCCACACAGGGCUCCACCCACAAAGGGUCCACGAAGAAGCAACCACCCACAAAGGGUCCACAAAGUAGCAACCUUGUCUAUCCCACCAUGGCCAUCGCCCACACAGGACUUGCCUCACUAGCGAUAGAUCUUCACGAAGUAGGCGAUCUCCUUGCCCUUACAAACUCCUUGGUUCAACUACACAAUCUUGUCGGAGGCUCCCAAGUGACACCUAGCUAAUCUAGGAGACACCACUCUCCAAGAAGUAACAAAUGGUGUGUAGGUAAUGAACUCCUUGCUCUUGUGCUUCAAAUGAUAGUCUCCCCAACACUCAACUCUCUCUCAUAGGAUUUGGAUUUGGUGGAAAGAAGAUUUGAGUGGAAAGCAACUUGGGAAGGCUAGAGAUCAAGAUUCAUAUGGUAGGAAUGGAAUAUCUUGGUCUCAACACAUGAGUAGGUGGUUCUCUCUCAGAACAUAUGAGUUGGAAUGGUGUGUGUGUUCUGAUGGCUCUCUCCUCGAAUGAGAAGAAGGUGGAGGGGUAUAUAUAGCCUCCACACAAAAUCCAACCGUUACAUAGUUUUCCAAUCUCGGUGGGACCGAAUCAAUAAACUCGGUCGGACCGAAAAUGUAAACCUAGUGACCGUUAGAGAUUUUCGGUGGGACUGACAUGCAACUCGGUAGGACCGAUGUGGUUAGGGUUUGGGCAUAACGUAAUCUCGGUGAGACCGAUUACACAAACUCGGUGAGACCGAAUUUGGUACUUAGCUAACCAGAGAGUUGGUCAGGCAAACUCGGUGGGACCGAUUUGCUCUUUCGGUGAGACUGAGUGGAACUCGGUGAGACCGAAAAGUUACAAAGGGGAAACACUGAGUUUACAUUGCAAUCUCAGUGGGACUGAUUCGCUCUUUCGAUGAGACCGAAAAGUUACGAAAGGGAAAGAGAGAGUUUGCAAUCCCAUCUCAGUGAGACCGAGAUCCUUAUCGGUAGGACCGAAUUGCUAGGGUUUGGCAGUGGCUAAUGACAAGUGAAACUCGGUGGCGCCGGAUAGGAAGAAUCGGUAGGACCGAGUUUGGCUUAGGGUUUAGGCAUAUGUGGAUAUGGGAAAGUAGUUGAGGGUUUUGGAGCAUAUCACUAAGCACAUGAAGCAAGAGGCUCAUUAAGCAACACCUCAUCCCUCCUUGAUAGUAUUGGCUUUUCCUAAAGACUCAAUGUGAUCUUGGAUCACUAAAAUAUAAAAUGAAGAGUCUUGAACUUUUGAGCUUGAGCCAAUCCUUUGUCCUUAGUAUUUUGAGGGUUCCACUUUCACAUCCAUGCCAUGCCAAUCAUUGAGCUUUCCUGAAAUAAUCAUCUUGGAAUAGCAUUAGCUCAAUGAGCUAUAUGUUGUUAUGAAUUACCAAAACCACCUAGGGAUAGUUGCACUUUCAAUCUCCCCCUUUUUGGUAAUUGAUGACAACAUAUAGAUCAAAGCUUCGACAAAUGAUAAUAAGCAUGAAAUAUAUCGUCGCUUUGAGAAGUAUGUGAUAAGUAAGAGCUCCCCCUAAAUUUGUGCAUAUUUUAAAAUUUGCUUUGGAAUGCAAAUGCACAAAGAGUUAGAGUCAUGGGUUACUCUUCCAUGUCACAUACAUCUUGGUGGAGCGCUCAAAAUGAUAAGAAUGAAAUACAUGCACUCAUCACCAAGAAUAGUGAAUGAUCACACAAGAUAGAUAGUAUAAUAGCAAUAAGCAAGCAUUAAGUGUAGCUUAUGAUCAAACACAUGAUCAUCAAUGUCUCACAAAUAAUGACGUAGUACUCAAGCACUCAAAAGCAAACAAGUUUGAAAAACCACCAAAUAAAGCAAGAGAGAAAAGCAACACUCUCUCUCUCGAAGCCUAUGAUCUAUACAUCUUCUCCCCCUUUGGCAACAAGUUACCAAAAAGUUCCUAGAAAAUGCAUAGUGCUAAAUCUUCUGUUGGUGGUGGAGUCCGGAUCACUCCAAGGACGAAGGCUUCGAUAGAUGCUGAAGUAGUCGCUGGAGUUGGAGCUGAAGUAGAUGCUGGAGCUGAGGCUAUAGCUGGUGCUGAAGUGGUGGCUCUGGUGUCAGCAACUGGCACGGCAGAUGACCUCGGGCCUCAUGGCACUCUGGAAAAGGCAUGAGUGGUAGUCCUGCCUCUCCUGUCCUGCAUGUCCUCCUGGAGCUGCUCCACUGCAGACUGAACUUCCGUUACUUUGACAUCCAAGUCAUAGAACUUCUGUUCCAUGAUUCUCUCUAGGCUCUGCUGAUUCUGAGUGAGGGUGGCCAGACUUUGCUCAAUCCUCAGCGUGGAUGCAAUCAAGUAACCAAGCUGCUCUUGUUUGGUCUUCAAGAAGUACUCAGAUGCCUCCACUUGAGUAGGCAUCUUGGCAGCUUUCUCCUUCCUCGCCUUCUCCUUCUUUGCAAAUGCUUGGGCAGAUGAUGGCUCGUUCUCAGUCAUGACAACUUGAUUGUCUUCGAAAUCUGGACGGAUGGGCAGGUGUUCCUUGUCCAAUAGAUAUACGCCCGUGCCUAUCUUGGAGUUGAUGAGUUCCUGAAUUUGAGGGGCAUAUCCGCAGCUCCUCUUCUGAUCUGCUGCAGUCCUCUUGAUAGUUUCCACUAUGAGGCUCAUCACCUUGAACUUCUGAGGCACAUCAAACACAUGUAGCAAGUUGAUAGCAUGACCUCUGAUCAUCUUGUGAUCGCCUGACUUGGGCAAUAAGGUGUGCCUCAAGAUCCAAUUGAUAGUCGGGAGCCCUGACAGAAGGUAAUGUACUGAUCCAAACUUGAAGGUAUCAAGUGCUUCAUUUGGGAUCUCCUUGUACAUAUUCGACAUCGAGUUGUGGUCCAUCUUCUUCUUGGCAUAGAUAUCCAAGUCAUCAUCUUGCUCCUCUGGGGCAUUAAUGAUCUGUGCCCAUUCAGCAACUGUGGAUUGGUACCUUGUACCCUCAGACAUCCAUGUGAUCCUCCCAUCCGGAUAAAAGUGAGAUGUGGAGUAGAACUGCAUGAUAAGCUCCUCGUUCCACUUUGUGAGCUUCUGCCCAACAAAGUCAGCUACUCCACAAGCAUGAAAGCUGUCAUAUACUCCUGGGUAGUGUUCCUCCUUCUCCCUCAUGUAGGUCCAGUCAACCCAUCUCAUAUCACAGACGAUUGGCUUCUUAUCUAGCAAAACAGUCUCAUAAAAAUCCUGCUUCUCCUUGGUGUGAAACAUGUAGUCCACGACAGUCCUUCUCCUUCAAGCAUAUGGGUCUGCUUCUCUCCAUUUCCUCAGCCCUGAAUCUCUUCUGAGCUUCAUGUCCUCAGCCACAGGAUGAGCAUCAUUGUGGUCUGGGAUCUUGGGCUUUAGCUUUCUCAGGACAUUCUCUUCCUCAUCUUCAGCAAUAGUCUCAGGCACUGGGGCCUUGUUCUUCUUAGCUGCAGGAAUGCUCCUUGUAUUUCUCUUAGGCUUUGGCUUUGGAGCUGGCUUGGCCUUGGAAGCAGCUCCCCCUGAUUUUAUGGCAUCUCCCAUUAGCUUGGGUGCCUUGGGCGCUGGUGCAGCUGCCUCUUCUUCUUCCUCCUCUUCCAUGAUGGAAGCUUUGCCAAGCACUCUAGCAACAGUCUUCUUUACCCUUUCCUUCCUUUUCUUGCCCUCAGCUGCAACUGGCUCUAUGGGCUUCUCAGUUGACAUUCUGACCUUUGACAUUGGUUGCCUGCCUGCUGGCCUUUUGAUUUCCAGGCCUGGCUUAGUGCCUUGAGCUGGCUCAAUUCUCUUGGAAGUGGCCUCUUCCUCUGCCACAUAGUCCUCAUCUUCGGAAUCUGAAGUCCUCUUCUUCCUUUGUCUCGUGGAAGCCUUUGGCAAAUUGCUAGGAGUGCUCCUGCUGCCUUCAUCAGAAGAACUUGAGGGACUAGUGCCCUCACUCAUCACCACUUGCUGCUCUGACAUAUUUUGGCUAUCACUUUGAUCAGACAUGCUGCAAACUGACUGCUGACCCGGUGAAUAGAUUAUAGAAGAGAUAGAGUGGAUGAGCAUCACAAAAUGCAGAGAUUUUUGCAAAAGAAUGAUCCAAAAACUUAGUUUUAGUUUCCCACUGAAAUCAUCUCGGAUCUACCGAUUUUCAAACUCGGUGAUACCGAAGCAGUUUUAGAACCUAAACUAGUGAACUCGAUAGGACCGAGUCACAGUUCGGUGGCACCGAGACUGCUAGGGUUUCACUGAGUUCAAAAAUCGGUCACACCGAUAAGUAAUUCUCGGUCAGACCGAGUCUCACUUGUGCAAUGGCAUAAGCCAAAUCGGUGGGACCGAGUUUUUCAACUCGGUGGGUCCAAGAUAGUUUCGGCGGAAACCUAAACCUAGAAUUUUCGAAUCAAACCUAAUAUAUGAGCAUUUUGACUGGAUAGGAGUGUUUCAGUCGUGGCUAGAAUCAAUAUGAUCACAAUGUGCUAGGAAUCAGAUUGGGGAAUAGCACAAAGAUCAAGUCCAUACCUAGUUCGGCGGGGACUUGCUACGGCGGCAACGGCGGGGCAGAAUUCCCGUUAACAGCGACGGAGACCAGCGACUGGAGGCUACUGGCAGCGAGAAGACGAUCCGGAGACCUCGAGGGCAGAGCAGGCUAUCGCGCAGGCGAAGGGGUUCGGAGAAAUUUCCAAAAUUUGCCCGUGACUAUAUAUCGCCCGACCCUGUCGGUGUGACCGAGAGGAACAACUCGGUGGCACCGAGAUUCAUAACUGCAAGCAGUUACUGAAACUCGGUGUGACCGAAGUGUUCAAAUCGGUUGCACCGAGAUCGAAAACCUAGAUCAACUUAAUGAUCUCGGUAGGACCGAAAGUGGAGUAUCGGUCAGACCGAGAAUCAUAAAGAGGUUUUGGAAGUUUAAGUCUAUGACGAAUCGGGGACUCUGAGCUCUCCUCACACAGAGUGGUUCGAAUCUGACUUGAUCAAAUUUUGUGAUGCAGCAUGAAUAGAGUUUGAGACGAGAAAAGCAUAGAUGGCUAGAGGAGGUUCUUAGGCAUUCUUGUCCAUCCACUUGGCAAAAGAAGAUAAAACCAAACAAUCAAAACAACAAGUGGAUGUCCUCGAAUGAGUAAAUUAUGCAACCAGCAUGCUCACACAAUAAGAUGGCAAAUGAAAUAUGUGGCAAGGCAUGCACAACCAAUUCUAGCAUCUAUCAAGUAAUUUGCGAUGACUAGGUCAUCUAUAUAUGAGUAUAUUGACUUAGGAGUCAAGUGAGAACACUUGAUCAUAGGUCAUACUCAUCGUUUAAGCUCAAGUGGGGUUACCACUUUUACAUAAAGCAUUGAUUUGUUCACAUCUUUAGAGUUGCUUUAGCUCAAGUCUUAGAGUAAAGCUCCCCCUAGAUGUGAUAUCCCCCCUUAAGAGGGAUGAACUAACCUUGUCAAUGAUGACUUCAUGUAGAUAUUGGAGAUGUGGAUGCUCAAUGUUGAUGUAGAUCUCUUGGAGCUAUCCAUUUGAGUGAAUUGCACUUUCAAUACCUACAUGGGUUAGUCCCACAAGGAACAAACAAGGAUAUCCAUAGACAUAGAGUGAUACACACAAAGAUGAUGUCCAUGAAAUUUUUUAGGUUACCUUGUCCCUUGUCUUACCAACAAGAGGGUUUAUGACUCCUUGAACUAGUGCAAGAUGUGGAAGUUCAUUGCACUUGUUCUUGCCAAAAUGAUAAGAGUGAAGUAUGUUGGCGGAGUCACCCUCAAGAACUCUCUAGUUCUUAUUCUUUUGGAUCCACAUCAUCUUGAUGGGAAUCCUUGGAGUUGUAGUCGUACUUGAUGAAGUGGAACUUGAAGUAGUCUUGGGAAUCCACUUGACUAAGGUCUUUGGAGCUUCUUCAAAUGCAUCAAUUUUCUCUUGAAGCUUGUCCUUGCCUUUUUGCUUGUAGUCUUGUGGUGGAAGAUCAUCUUGAGCUUGUGUCCCCUUGAAAGAAGUAUACUUCUCUUGUUGAGGGACAAACUUUGUCUUGGGGUAUUGAUCUUCUUCCCACUCAACUCCAUUGGCAUUGAACUUUCGUUCAAAACCAAUACCUUGAUUCUUUCGGUGCAUUCCUUGCUUGCGUACAAUUUCCUCGAAUUGCUUACUCCCGGCAAGGCUUUUGUACACUCCUUUCUCUAUAAUUCCCUUUAAUAAGCUAUUUUCUUGCUCAAGUGUAACUUGGCUAAGAGAAUCAUUAGUGAAAUCAAGAGAACUACUAGAAGCAACAAUAUUGGAUUUAGCAUGAUCAUUGUUACUACUAGAGGAAGAAUCUUUCUUGUUACUAGACUUGACUUGAGGCAUGUAAGUGGAUAAGAGUAAACGCUUGGCAAUGUAAGAAGAACUUUUCUUGCGAAGAUCAUCAUUGAUUGCCUUUAAGAACUCAUGCUCUUGAUCAAGAUUGAGCUUUUCAAAGCGUAAUUUCUCAUGAGCUCUUAAAAGUUCUCGAUGAUCUUCGAAGAUGGUUUCAUGAGCUAACUUAAGAGUGUUUAGUUCUUUAGUUAGGGCCUCAAUUUUCUCCUUAUCAUUGUCAUUCGUUUUAUCUUGAUUAGCAUGAUUAAUUGGUCUUUCAUCAUAAUAUUCAUCACUAGAGUUGUCACCAAGCAAAUCAUCACCUAACAAGUCAUCUUCAUCACUAUUGAAAUCAACAUACUCGGGGUGUGUUACCUUAGGACCUUUGGCCAUGAAGCAUCUUCCAAUUCCUUCAUUUGGUGAGUCAAAUAUGUCGUAGGAGUUGGUUGACACAAGUGCUAGACCGGCAACACCUUCAUCUUGAGUAUCUUCGGAGUCAGAGUAAUAACUUCUCUCGGAGUGGCUGUCGGAGUCGGAGCCGGAUACCCAUUCACCAACAUGAGCUUGAUGUCUUCGUCUUGUGUGGCUCCUUGAUGAUUUUUCCUUCCUUUCCGAAUCCUUGCUUCUCCGUGAGUAUCUUUGUUCAUAACGAUCAUCUCUACUCCUUCUCUCUCUUGGUGGUGAUCCUUUGCUUCUUCUUUUUGGAGAAUCUUCUCUUCUCUUGUAGGGAGCCGUACACUCAUUGGAAUAGUGUCCGGGUCUUCCACAGUUGUAGCAGUUUCGCUCUCGACUAGAAGAUCUUUUGUCAUUGUAGGACCUUGACUUGGAGCUUCUAUCUUUGCUUCUACUCUUGUAGAACUUGUUGAAGUUCUUCACCAUUAAGCUCAAUUCUUCAUUGAAGUCUUGUUUCUCACUUGAUGAUGUAGGGGCUUCACAUGAGGCUUUAUAGGCACCACUUGAUUUGUUGUGAAGUUCCUCUUUAUCCUUAAGUGACAUCUCAUGAGCAACAAUUCUCCCAAUCACCUCCAUUGGCUUGCAAUCUUUGUAAUUGGGCAUCAUUUGGAUCAAUGUGCACAUGGUAUCAUAUUUUCCAUCCAAGGCUCUUAGAAUCUUCUUGAUGAUGAAUUUAUCGGUCAUCUCUUCACUUCCUAAGCCGGCAAUCUCAUUUGUGAUGAGAGCAAGCCUAGAGUACAUUUCAGCAACACCUUCACCAUCCUUCAUCUUGAACUUGUCAAGUUGGCUUUGAAGCACAUCCAACUUGGAUUCCUUGACGGAGUCGGUACCUUCAUGCAUAUCAAUCAAAGUGUCCCAAAUUUCCUUUGCAUUCUCAAGGCGGCUGAUUUUGUUGAAUUCUUCGGGGCACAAUCCAUUGAAGAGAAUAUCACAAGCUUGAGCAUUGUAUUGCAACAUCUUCAACUCAUCCGCGGUAGCUUCACGGUUCGGUUCUCUCCCAUCAAAGAAGUCACCUUGCAAACCAACACACACAAUAGCCCAAACAGCGGGGUUAUGUCCAAGAAUAUGCAUUUUCAUUUUAUGCUUCCAACUAGCAAAAUUAGUACCAUCGAAGUAAGGACCUCUACGGUGAUAAUUUCCCUUGCUAGACGCCAUACUCUCCUAGGUUGUGAAACCAAGGCUAUGACCACCAAAAGCUAUGGAGAUCAAAGCGAAUGGAGACCAAAGCUCUGAUACCACUUGUAGGAUCGAAAGUAUGUCUAGAGGAGGGUGAUUAGACUACUUGACCAAAUAAAAACUUAACCUUUUCCCAAUUUUAGUUCUUGGCAGAUUUUAGCUAAUUUAGGACAAGUCAAGCAAUCAUCACAUAAUUCAAGCAAGCAUGCAAAGAGUAUAUAGGCAGCGGAAAGUAAAGCACGCAACUUGCAAGAAUGUAAAGGGAAGGGUUUGGAGAAUUCAAACGCAAUUGGAGACACGGAUGUUUUUCCCGUGGUUCGGAUAGGUGGUGCUAUCCUACAUCCACGUUGAUGGAGACUUCAACCCACAAAGGGUAACGGUUGCGCGAGUCCACACAGGGCUCCACCCACGAAGGGUCCAUGAAGAAGCAACCACCCACAAAGGGUCCACGAAGUAGCAACCUUGUCUAUCCCACCAUGGCCAUCGGCCACACAGGACUUGCCUCACUAGCGGUAGAUCUUCACGAAGUAGGCGAUCUCCUUGCCCUUACAAACUCCUUGGUUCAACUCCACAAUCUUGUCGGAGGCUCCCAAGUGACACCUAGCCAAUCUAGGAGACACCACUCUCCAAGAAGUAAGAAAUGGUGUGUAGGUAAUGAACUCCUUGCUCUUGUGCUUCAAAUGAUAGUCUCCCCAACACUCAACUCUCUCUCAUAGGAUUUGGAUUUGGUGGAAAGAAUAUUUGAGUGGAAAGCAACUUGGGAAGGCUAGAGAUCAAGAUUCAUAUGUUAGGAAUGGAAUAUCUUGGUCUCAACACAUGAGUAGGUGGUUCUCUCUCAGAACAUAUGAGUUGGAAUGGUGUGUGUGUUCUGAUGGAUCUCUCCUCGAAUGAGAAGAAGGUGGAGGGGUAUAUAUAGCCUCCACACAAAAUCCAACCGUUACACAGUUUUCCAAUCUCGGUGGGACCGAAUCAAUAAACUCGGUCGGACCGAAAAUGUAAACCUAGUGACCGUUAGAGAUUUUCGGUGGGACUGACAUGCAACUCGGUAGGACCGAUGUGGUUAGGGUUUGGGCAUAACGUAAUCUCGGUGAGACCGAUUACACAAACUCGGUGAGACUGAAUUUGGUAAUUAGCUAACCAGAGAGUUGGCCAGACAAACUCUGUAGGACCGAUUUGCUCUUUCGGUGAGACCGAGUGGAACUCGGUGAGACCGAAAAGUUACAAAGGGGAAACACUGAGUUUACAUUGCAAUCUCGGUGGGACCGAUUCGCUCUUUCGGUGAGACCGAAACGUUAUGAAAGGGAAAUAGAGAGUUUGCAAUCCCAUCUCGGUGAGACCGAGAUCCUUAUCGGUAGGACCGAAUUGCUAGGGUUUGGCAGUGGCUAAUGACAAGUGAAACUCGGUGGCGCCGGAUAGGAAGAAUCGGUAGGACCGAGUUUAGCUUAGGGUUUAGGUCAUAUGUGGAUAUGGGAAAGUAGUUGAGGGUUUUGGAGCAUAUCACUAAGCACAUGAAGCAAGAGGCUCAUUAAGCAACACCUCAUCCCUCCUUGAUAGUAUUGGCUUUUCCUAAAGACUCAAUGUGAUCUUGGAUCACUAAAAUAUAAAAUGAAGAGUCUUGAGAUUUUGAGCUUGAGCCAAUCCUUUGUCCUUAGUAUUUUGAGGGUUCCACUUUCACAUCCAUGCCAUGCCAAUCAUUGAGCUUUCCUGAAAUAAUCAUCUUGGAAUAGCAUUAGCUCAAUGAGCUAUAUGUUGUUAUGAAUUACCAAAACCACCUAGGGAUAGUUGCACUUUCACUCUGAUCAUAGAAACUUUAUUUUCUUGUUACGAUGAUUUUCCACUUCACUCUGAAAUUCUUUGAACUUUUCAAAUGUUUCAGACUUAUGUUUUAUUAAGUAGAUAUAUCCAUAUCUUCUUAAAUCAUCUGUGAAGGUGAGAAAAUAACGAUACCCGCCGCGAGCCUCAACAUUCAUUGGACCACAUACAUCUGUAUGUAUGAUUUCCAACAAAUUUGUUGCUUGCUCCAUAGUUCCAUAGAAUGGCAUUUUAGUCAUCUUUCCCAUGAGGCAUGGUUCACAAGUACCAAGUGAUUCAUAAUCAAGUGGUUCCAAAAGUCCAUCAGUAUGGAGUUUCUUCAUGCUUUACACCGAUAUGACCUAAACGGCAGUGCCACAACUAAGUUGCACUAUCAUUAUCAACUUUGCAUCUUUUGGCCUCAAUAUUAUGAAUAUGUGUAUCACUAUUAUCGAGAUUUAAUAUAAAUAGACCACUCUUCAAGGGUGCAUGACCAUAAAAUAUAUUACUCAUAUAAAUAGAACAACCAUUAUUCUCUGAUUUAAAUUUAUAACCGUCUCGCAUCAAACAAGAUCCAGAUAUAAUGUUCAUGCUCAACAUUGGCACCAAAUAACAAUUAUUCAGGUCUAAAACUAAUCCCGAAGGUAGAUGUAGAGGUAGCAUGCCGACCGCGAUCACAUCGACUUUGGAACCAUUUCCCACGUGCAUCGUCACCUCGUCCUUAGCCAAUCUUUGCUUAAUCUGUUGUCCCUGUUUUGAGUUGCAAAUAUUAGCAACAGAACCAGUAUCAAAUACCCAGGUGCUACUGCGAGCAUUAUUAAGGUACACAUCAAUAACAUGUAUAUCACAUAUACCUUUGUUCACCUUGACAUCCUUCUUAUCCGCCAAAUGCUUAGGGCAGUUCCGCUUCCAGUGACCAGUCUGUUUGCAGUAGAAGCACUCAGUCUCAGGCUUAGGUCCAGACUUGGGUUUCUUCUCCUGAGCAGCAACUUGUUUGCUAUUCUUCUUGAAGUUUCCCUUCUGCUUCCCUUUGCCCUUUUUCUUGAAACUGGUGGUCUUUUUGACUAUCAACACUUGAUGAUCUUUCUUGAUUUCUACCUCCGCAGCCUUUAGCAUUGCGAAGAGCUCGGGAAUCGUCUUAUCCAUCCCUUGCAUGUUAUAGUUCAUCACAAAGCUCUUGUAGCUUGGUGGUAGUGAUUGAAGAAUUCUGUCAAUAACGCUAUCAUCCGGAAGAUUAACUCCCAGUUGAAUCAAGUGAUUGUUAUAGCCAGACAUUCUGAGUAUAUGCUCACUGACAGAACUAUUCUCCACCAUCUUGCAGCCGUAGAACUUAUUGGAGACUUCAUAUCUCUCAAUCCAUGCAUCUUCUUGAAAUAUUAACUUCAACUCCUGGAACAUCUCAUAUGCUCCAUGACGUUUAAAAUGUCGUUGAAGUCCUGGUUCUAAGCCGUAAAGCAUGGCACACUGAAAUAUUGAGUAGUCAUCAGCUUUGCUCAGCCAGACGUUCAUAACAUCUGGUGUUCCUCCUGCAGUAGGUCUGGCACGUAGCGGUGAUUCCAGGACGUAAUUCUUCUGUGCAGCAAUGAGGAUAAUCCUCAAGUUACGGACCCAGUCCGUGUAAUUGCUACCAUCAUCUUUCAACUUUGCUUUCUCAAGGAAUGCAUUAAAAUUCAAUGGAACAACAACACGAGCCAUCUAUCUACAAUCAACAUAGACAAGCAAAACACUAUCAGGUACAAAGUUCAUGAUAAAUUUAAGUUCAAUUAAUCAUAUUACUUAAGAACUCCCACUUAGAUAGACAUCCCUCUAAUCCUCUAAGUGAUCACGUGAUCCAAAUCAACUAAACCAUGUCCGAUCAUCACGUGAGAUGGAGUAGUUUCAAUGGUGAACAUCACUAUGUUGAUCAUAUCUACUAUAUGAUUCACGCUCGAACUUUCGGUCUCACUGUUUUGAGGCCAUAUCUGCAUAUGCUAGGCUCGUCAAGUUUAACCUGAGUAUUCUGCGUGUGCAACUAUUUUGCACCCGUUGUAUUUGAAUGUAGAGCCUAUCACACCCGAUCAUCACGUGGUGUCUCAGCACGAAGAACUUUCACAAUGGUGCAUACUUAGGGAGAACACUUAUACCUUGAUAAUUUAGUGAGAGAUCAUCUUAUAAUGGUACCGUCAAUCAAAGCAAGAUAAGAUGCAUAAAAGAUAAACAUCACAUGCAAUCAAUAUAAUUGAUAUGAUAUGGCCAUCAUCAUCUUGUGCUUGUGAUCUCCAUCUCCGAAGCACCGUCAUGAUCACCAUCGUCACUGACGCGACACCUUGAUCUCCAUCGUAGCAUCGUUGUUGUCUCGCCAACUUAUGCUUCUACGACUAUCGCUACCGCUUAGUGAUAAAGUAAAGCAUUACAGGGCGAUUGCAUUGCAUACAAUAAAGCGACAACCAUAUGGCACCUGCCAGUUGCCGAUAACUCGGUUACAAAACAUGAUCAUGUCAUACAAUAAAAUUUAGCAUCAUGUCUUGACCAUAUCACAUCACAACAUGCCCUGCAAAAACAAGUUAGACGUCCUCUACUUUGUUGUUGCAAGUUUUACGUGGCUGCUACGGGCUGAGCAAGAACCGUUCUUAUCUACACAUCAAAACCACAACGAUAGUUCGUCAAGUUAGUGUUGUUUUAACCUUCUCAAGGACCGGGCGUAUGCAACUCAGUUCAACUAAAGUUGGAGAAACUGACACCCACCGGCCACCUGUGUGUAAAGCACGUCGGUAGAACCAGUCUCACGUAAGCGUACGCGUAAUGUCGGUCCGGGUCGCUUCAUCCAACAAUACUGCUAAACCAAAGUAUGACAUGCUGGUAAGUAGUAUGACUUGUAUCACCCACAACUCACUUGUGUUCUACUCAUGCAACUAACAUCUACGCAUAAAACCAGGCUCUGAUACCACUGUUGGGGAACGUAGUAAUUUCAAAAAAAAUCCUACGCACACGCAAGAUCAUGGUGAUGCAUAGCAGCGAGAGGGGAGAGGGUGUGUCCACGUACCCUCGUAGACCGAAAGCGUAAGCAUUAGCACAACGCGGUUGAUGUAGUCAUAUGUCUUCACGAUCCAACCGAUCAAGUACCGAACUCACGACACCUCCGAGUUCUGGACACGUUCAACUCGAUGACGUUCCUCGAACUCCGAUCCAGCCGAGCUUUGAGGGAGAGUUCCAUCAGCAUGACGGUGUGUUGACGAUGAUGAUGUUCUACCGAUGCAGGGCUUCGCCUAAGCACCGCUACGGUAUUAUCGAGGUUGAUUAUGGUGGAAGGGGCACCGCACACGGCUAAGAGAUCAAAGAGAUCAAUUGUUGUGUCUAUGGGGUGCCCCCUCCUUCGUAUAUAAAGGGGGGAGGAGGAGGGGGUCGGCCAAGGGGAGGAUGCGUGCCCAAGGGGGGCAAUCCUACUCCAAGUCGGUUUUGCCCCCCUUUCCCAUUCAAACUGGGAGAAGGGGGAAGGAGGAGGUGGAGAGAAGGAAGGAGAAGGGGGGCCGCCGCCCCCUUCCCUUUCCCAAUUCGAAUUGGGGCAAGGGGGGCCGCACGCCACCUCCUUCCGCCUCUCCUCUUCCACCACUUGGGCCCAUGAGGCCCAAUAACCCCCCCCGGCGUUCCGGUAACCCCCCCCCCGGUUUCUCCGGUUUAUAUCUGAUAACCCCCGGUACCCAUCUAGUGUCCGAAUAUAACAUUCCAAUAUAUCAAUCUUUAUGCCUCGACCAUUUCGAGACUCCUCAUCAUGUCCGUUAUCACAUCCAGGACUCCAAACUACCUACAGUACAUCAAAACACAUAAACUCUUAAUAUAACCGUCAUCGAACUUUAAGCGUGCGGACCCUACGGGUUCGAGAACUAUGUAGACAUGACCGAGACACGUCUUCGGUCAAUAACCAAUAUCGGAACCUGGAUGCUCAUAUUGGCUCCCACAUAUUCUACGAAGAUCUUUAUCGGUCAAACCGCAUAACAACAUACGUUGUUCCCUUUGUCAUCGGUAUGUUACUUGCCCGAGAUUCGAUCGUCGGUAUCUCAAUACCUAAUUCAAUCUCGUUACCGGCAAGUCUCUUUACUCGUUCCGUAAUACAUCAUCCCCCAACUAACUCAUUAGUUGCAAUCCUUGCAAGGCUUAUAGUGAUGUGCAUUACCAAGUGGGCCUAGAGAUACCUCUCCGACAAUCGGAGUGACAAAUCCUAAUCUCAAAAUAUGCCAACCCAACAAGUACCUUCGGAGACACCUGUAGAGCACCUUUAUAAUCACCCAGUUACGUUGUGAUGUUUGGUAGCACAUAAAGUGUUCCUCUGGUAAACGAGAGUUGCAUAAUCUCAUAGUCAUAGGAACAUGUAUAAGUCAUGAAGAAAGCAAUAGCAGAAUACUAAAUGAUCAAGUGCUAAGCUACCGGAAUGGGUCAAGUCAAUCACAUCAUUCUCCUAAUGAUGUGAUCCCGUUAAUCAAAUGACAACUCAUGUCUAUGGCUAGGAAACAUAACCAUCUUUGAUCAACGAGCUAGUCAAGUAGAGGCAUACUAGUGACACUCUGUUUGUCUAUGUAUUCACACAAGUAUUAUGUUUCCGGUUAAUACAAUUCUAGCAUGAUAUAAGGAAAUAAAUAACAACUUUAUUAUUGCCUCUAGGGCAUAUUUCCUUCAUUAUUAUCUCUAUCAGAUCUCACUUUUGCAAGUGGUCGUGAAGGGAUUGACAACCCCUUUAUCACGUUGCUUGCAAGGUUCUUAUUUGUUUGUGUAGGUGCGAGGCGACUUGUGUGUAGUCUCCUACUGGAUUGAUACCUUGGUUCUCAAAAACUGAGGGAAAUACUUACACUACUUUGCUGCAUCACCCUUUCCUCUUCAAGGGAAAACCAACGCAGUGCUCAAGAGGUAGCAGUCCACAUGUGAUGAGCUUGAGGCAAUUGGCGAGAAAUAGGAGCCGGCGAGAACGGAGCCAAGAGUGGCCGUUCAAAAUAGGAGACCAAAAGCUCCUCCACCGGGAUACGCCAAAAUAAACACCGACGUGGGUGCCGAAGAGGAAGCUAGACACCAGAGAGGAAUUCCCCCCUCCGGUAGGGUGCCGGAAUGGGUCUAGAUUGGUUUUCGGUGGCUACAGAGGCUUGCGGCGGCGGAACUCCCGAUCUAGGUUUAUUUCUGGGGGCUUCUGUAUUUAUAGGAAUUUUUGGCAUAGGUCUCACGUCAGGGGUGGGGGGGGGGGGUUCUCUGGAUCGUCCACGAGAUAGGGGCCCUCGCCCAGGGGGUAGGGCGCGCCCCCCACCCUCGUGGACAGCCCGGGACUCUUCCGACCCAACUCUUUUACUCCGGGGGCUUCUUUUGGUCCAUAAAAAAUCAUCAAAAAUUGGCACGUCAAUUGGACUCCAUUUGGUAUUCCUUUUCUGCGAUACUCAAAAACAAGGAAAAACAGAAACUGGCACUGGGCUCUAGGUUAAUAGGUUAGUCCCAAAAAUCAUAUAAAAUAGCAUAUAAAUGCAUAUAAAACAUCCAAGGUUGAUAACAUAAUAGCAUGGAACAAUCAAAAAUUAUAGAUACGUUGGAGACGUAUCAAUGGAAUGGUUGAAAGCACCUACUGCCUCUAUCGUUUUUGCCACCAAAGUCGUUCAUCUCCUACAUCCUUCCGAUGAGAUAGUAAGCUACCAUGCUCAGAUUUUUCAAAACGUUGAAGCACGACUUUAUUUAUUGAAUGCGUUGAAUGCAACACCUCUUAAGGGAAUUGAAAAUAUUCCAGUUGUUCGCGACUUCCUAGACGUCUUUCCAGAAGAACUUCCAGGAAUACCUCCUGCUCGGGCUGUCGAGUUCGUCAUCGACUUGAAACCAGGCGCCGUUCCUAUCGCCAAAAGACCCUACAAGAUGCCGCCUCAUGAACUCCUUGAACUUAAGGAGGAAAACGACAAAUCUCUUCGCAAGGGUUUCAUUCGUCCAAGCUCCUCUGCUUGGGGAGCACCUUCCCUCUUCGUCAAGAAGAAGGAUGGAACAAACCGUUUGGUCCAAGACUACCGUCCUAUCAACCAAGCUACAAUUUAGAACAAAUAUCCCCUUUCUUGGAUCAAUGAUCUGUGUGAUCAACUGGCUGGUUCAUCGAUAUUCUCUAAACUCGACUUGAGGUUGGGUUACCACCAGAUCCAUGUUCGUGAAGAGGAUAAUCCAAAGACCGCAUUCGUCACUCGUUAUGGUUCUUACGAUUACAUGAUGUCUACUACACGACCUUCUUCUUGUAGACGUUGUUGGGCCUCCAAGUGCAGAGGUUUGUAGGACAGUAGCAAAUUUCCCUCAAGUGGAUGACCUAAGGUUUAUCAAUCCGUGGGAGGCGUAGGAUGAAGAUGGUCUCUCUCAAACAACCCUGCAACCAAAUAACAAAGAGUCUCUUGUGUCCCCAACACACCCAAUACAAUGGUAAAUUGUAUAGGUGCACUAGUUCGGCGAAGAGAUGGUGAUACAAGUGCAAUAUGGAUGAUAGAUAUGGGUAUUUGUAAUCUGAAAAUAUAAAAACAGCAAGGUAGCAAGUGGUAAAAGUGAGCGUAAACGAUAUUGCAAUGCAUUGAAACAAGGCCUAGGGUUCAUACUUUCACGUGUAAGUUCUCUCAACAAUAAUAACAUACUUGGAUCAUAUAACUAUCCCUCAACAUGCAACAAAGAGUCACUCCAAAGUCACUAAUAGCAGAGAACAAACGAAGAGAUUAUUGUAGGGUACAAAACCACCUCAAAGUUAUUCUUUCUGAUCGAUCUAUUCAAGAGUCCGUAGUACAAUAACACGAAGCUAUUCUUUCCAUUCGAUCUAUCAUAGAGUUCGUACUAGAAUAAUGAUGACCCACAAGUAUAGGGGAUCUAUCUUAGUCCUUUUGAUAAGUAAGAGUGUCGAACCCAACGAGGAGCAGAAGGAAAUGAUAAGCGGUUUUCAGUAAGGUAUUCUCUGCAAGCACUGAAAUAAUAGGUAAUAGAUAGUUUUGUGAUAGGAUGAUUUGUAACGAGUAACAAGUAACAAAAGUAAAUAAAGUGUAGCAAGGUGGCCCAAUCCUUUUUUGUAGCAAAGGACAAGCCUGGACAAACUCUUAUAUAGAGAAAAGCGCUCCCAAGGACACAUGGGAAUAACGUCAAGCUAGUUUUCAUCAUGUUCAUAUGAUUCGUGUCCCGUACUUUGAUAAUUUGGUAUGUGGGUGGACCGGUGCUUGGGUACUGUCCUCACUUGGACAAGCAUCCCACUUAUGAUUAACCUCUAUUGCAAGCAUCCGCAACUACAACAAAAGUAUUAAGGUAAACCUAACCAUAGCAUGAAACAUAUGGAUCCAAAUCAGUCCCUUACGAAGCAACGCAUAAACUAGGGUUUAAGCUUCUGUCACUCUAGCAACCCAUCAUCUACUUAUUACUUCCCAAUGCCUUCCUUUAGGCCCAAAUAAUGGUGAAGUGUCAUGUAGUCGACGUUCACAUAAUACCACUAGAGGAGAGACAACAAACAUCUCAUCAAAAUAUAGAACGAAUACCAAAUUCACAUGACUACUAAUAGCAAGACUUCUCCCAUGUCCUCAGGAAGAAACGUGUGACGCCCUUGAUUCAAUCGUACACUAAUCAUACACGCAAAUGUGUAUGAUCAAGAUCAAGGACUCACGGGAAGAUAUCACAACACAACUCUAGACACAACUUAAAAUAAUACAAGCUUUAUAUUACAAGCCAGGGGCCUCGAGGGCUCGAAUACAUAAGAGUCAGCAGGACCAAGAAUAUCUGAGUAGAGACAUAAGUUAAACAAGUUUGCCUUAAGAAGGCUAGCACAAAAGCAACAACGAUCGAAAAGGCAAGGCCUCCUACCUGGGAGCCUCCUACCUACUCCUAGUCGUCUGCGGUCUUCACGUAGUAGUAGGCAUCCUCCGGGUAGUAGUUAUCAUCAGUGGCAUUGUCUGGCUCCUGGGACCGUCAUCUGGUCGCAACAAUUGGGUAUGGGGGAAAAAGAAGUAGCAAAGCAACCGUGAGUACUCAUCCAAAGCACUCGCAAGACUUACAUCAGAUCUAAACUAAGUAUGCAUCUGUAUCAAAGGAAUGGGUUGUAUCUGUGGACUAAACUGCAGAAUGCCAUAAGGGAAGGGGAAAGCCUAGCCUAUCGAAGACUAGCAUCUUCAAGUAUCUUGCAGCAUAUAGAAGAGUACAGAUCAACAUAAUGUAAAGUUGUAGUAGUGUUAUCAACCUCGUCCAGAGAUCCCUUCUCGUCUCCCCACGAGAAAGCAAUCCUAGAGCCAUACUAUCCAUUUCUCAUCACCAUCCAUUUCUCAUCACAAUCCAUUCAUUUCUCAUCACAAGUAUCCAGUUCUAGUUGUAUCGAUCGGGAUACAAAUCCAAGUGUCCGUUACCGUAGGACAAGCUAUCGAUAUAUGUUUUCUUCCCUGCAGGGGUGCACCAACUUACCCACCAUGCUCGAUUAACUCCGGCUGGACACACUUUCCUGGGUCAUGCCUAGCCUCAGCCAAACAAUAUGUUGCAACCCGACCUAGGCUUAAUAGAGAGGCCAGCAUGCCAGACUAAAUCUAUGCCCCAGGGGUCAUGGGCCAUCUCCUCGGGAACUCCUGCACGUUGCGUACGCGGCCGGUGAGCAGACCUAGCUACCUCCUUCAACAAGGUAGGUGCUUACCAGUCCAAACCGGCACGCGCCGCUCAGUCGCUGACAUCUAUUAAGCUUCGGCUGAUGUAUACGACGCAGAAUGCCCAUACUAUGCCCACGAGAUGGUUAGUGCUAUCAGUCCAGAGGCCCCUCAGAUCAAAUAUCCAAAUCGUAGUGGAUUAGCAGCACAUGGUAACGAGCAGAGACUCCCGAUCGAUAUGACCCCGUCGCCCCUUCUCGAGUACUUGCGGCAAGGGCUAAGAAUGCUCGGCCACGCCUCGUAAGUAUCUCGCAGGCACCUUCCAGGUCAACCCGACUCCACAUCACUCGCUAUUAAGCUCACGCGGGUACACCUCAGGGCCAACCCGUCUUAGUAACAUGGCUCAGUGCAAAUUCAUAGUAACCAUAGUAACUGUGUCUAACACCAAGGGGAAAACCCGAGGAAUCACCCCCGUUGAAUUCCAGUCGAUGUUGUCAUCAAGGUGAACGUAAGAGGAUCCACGCUCGACGUUCAUAUUUGAUGGAUUGCACGACAGAGCCAUAACGGAAGUGGUUAAGGAGGAAAUCACCCUCGAUGACGUCGACCAUAUAGCUACACUACAGGGAUCUCAUCAGGUGUGAUGUAAGAGGUUCCACCCUCGGCACUCGAUGGUAACUCUGUAGAGUCGUACAACUAGGGGGGGUGAUGUGAGGUGUCGGGGCCUGGACGUCGAUCACGUUGAUCGAGUCAUCAAACAUAAAGCAAGACAACUUGGACGAGUUGGGGGUCACUGAUGGAUCUCUAACCAACCUAUACUAAGUAGUUUAGGAUAAGCAGGUAAGGUAUGAAAGCAUGUAACAAAAACAGGCUAUGCAUCAGAGUAGGAUCAUACAUAAAGCAGUAGCAGUUCUAAUGCAAGCAUGAGAGGGAAAGAAAUGGGCGAUAUCGGAAUGCUCAAAGGGGGUUUGCUUGCCUGGUUGCUCAGACAAGAAGGAUGGUUCGUUGGUGACGUAGUCGAUCACAGCGGCAUCAUCGGUCUCGGGGUCUACCGGAGAGAAGAGGGGGAAGAAACAGUAAAUGCAGAGCAAACAAAGGUACCACUAAGCAUUACAUGACGAUAGGAAGAGCUAGGGUUGACCUAACAUAGGGCUACACGAUAUAGGUGAAGGGGAAAUUCAACCAGGAAUGUUUUCCCGGUUCCGAACCUGUGUUAGACAGAUGACCGGAGGGGCAAAGUUCCAUGUUCAGCAUGCUAGGGGCAUGUGACAGAAGAAUGGACCACAUAUUCAGAUUCGUCUUGUCUUUCUGACCAACUUUCAUGUAUAAAACUUUUUCAUCCGAGGUACAUUUUAUUUUCUAUGAUUUUCAAAGAUUAAAACAUUUUCAGGAUUUAUUUAUAGUAACAGAAAUGGAAUAUUGCAUCAGCAUGAUGUCAUAGUGACGUCAUCAGUCAACAGCCGCACUGACCCGGUCAAACCUGACAAGUGGGGCCACAGGGACCCACAUGUCACCCUUUGUGGGUUAAUAGUGGAUUAAUUUGACUAAUAGUAGUAGUUAGGGGUGUGGGCCCCAUUAGUCAAUGACUAAUUAGUGAUUAAACUAACUAACAGCCAAACGCAGCGGCGCGGCUCGGGAGGGGCGCGGAUUUCGCGCACAGGGGGUCUGCGGGGUUGUGGUUGGGCACGUUCGACGCGGCUCGGCGUCGCGCAUCGAACGGUGGUGGCCAGAGUGGCUGGAACGGAUGGGAGCGAGUGCUUCAAGCUCGCCGGCGGCGAGGUGCUUCGGGCGAGCAACAACAUCGGUGGUACGACGCGAGUUCGGGCUAUCCAGAGCGCGAGGCGAGGCCUACGUGCACGCGCGAGCAAGAUGGGCGUGAACAAAAGACCAAAAGGUCGCCGGAACGACGCCGGCAACGAGCUAGGCGGAGGCGCAUCCGGUCGGAGCACGGGGUCGGCGCUACGGGGCUCGACAAAGCGCGAGGGAGGGGUGCAACGGGCCCGCACGGACGUGCUGAGCACGAUUCCGAGCUCAUCUGAGCUCGACGGGCAGCAACGACACGACUACGAGCACGCCGGUGGAAGCAGAGGCACGGCAAUGACGGUGAACUAGCUAGGGACAAACGCGGCUGCGGGAAGAAGGAAUGGAGGGAGAGAGGAGCUCACCGAGCGGCCAAGAAAAGCCCUUGAUGGUUUAGUAGCUGCCGGGUUCGUCGGAGACGACAAGAAUCGUCAGCGACAGAGGCGGAAGGGGGCGAAGCAGAAAGCCCUCAGCAGAGCCUCCCAGCUCCUGCUGAUGGUCUGAGACGAAGGAGCGGAGAACGCCGAAGCUUGUGGAGGCGUUGGUGAAGCUCGGGGUCGCCGGUCGCCGUAGCGGUGCGAGAAGAACAACGACCACAUCGUCGGGCGACGUGAGGGGGGGGGGAGAGGCCAGAGGGAGAGCAGGGUGGAUCUGGGGGGAGGCGCAAGUGGGAGUGAGGAGAGAGGGUCGAGGCGACGCGGAGGGAGGGGAUCCUUAUCCCCUCGUUGGCGAGGCGCGAGGCGGCGAGCGGGUUCGUCGGCGACCACGGGCGCGGAUCAGUCGAACAGGAGAAGGGGAAGGCGACCGGGGAGGGGGAGUGGGCCGGCUGGGGUGGACAUGGUGGGCCGGCCCAGGUGGGAUGGCCCAAACCCAAGGGGGGCAUAGGCUCUACCACUCCUUCUUUCCUUUUUCCUUUUCUUUUCUUUGUUGUGAAUUUUAGCUACUAUUUUCUAUUAAUUUAUAAAACUAAAUGAGUUUUGUUUUGAACAAAACUUGGCACAUAAAACUAACACAAUACCUUGAGAUGGAACAGAAAGUUUGGGGUCAAAAGGAGUUGUCUAAUCAAUUUUAGAAAUUUAAAAGGACAUCUUAAAUACUGCUGGACUAGAUAAUAAAAUCCCAGGGGCAAUUUGGGAAUUCCAAAAAUGUUGGUUCCAACAAGACAAUUACUUAGUGAUUAUUUGCCACACUUUGAACAUUUUAGUUUUCAUGUUUGGCAAAUUUGAAUUUUUGACUUUGAAUUUGAGUUUGAACAUGAACAGUGAUUUGGAUCAAGUGAGGAUUAGCAAUAGUAGUGUGAUGACAUGGCACCAUCAAUAGGGGAUUAAUGUAGCAUGACACACGGGGUGUUACAAAUCUCCUCCACUACAAGAAAUCUCGUCCCGAGAUUUAAGUGGGGAAGUAAAGAGUAACUUCAGGUGAACUGACCCUUCUAGGGUUAAUUGUCUGGUGAACAACGUAGGGAAUGAGGCAGAAGUAUCUCUCGAGUUGAAACUUAAUAAAAUAUCGAGAGCAAAGUAUGAAGGUACAAUAGGAAGUUUCAAGCGGAUGGACAAACGAUUGAUACCUGAACCGAGUGUGAGAAAGGAGUUCAGAGCAUCAGGAAUAGAUCAUCUCUUAGAAGGUGGCUCGUGACAUGAUACGAAGCCAAGCGUGAGGAAUAACCUUAGAAACAGGGGGUACAUGAGAGUCAGGUUUCGAUCCUGUGGAACUGUGGGUUAUGGGCCCACCAUGUGGGUUAAAAGUAGGAAGGGUGCUGGCAUCUUGCACGGUUAUGAUAGCAAGGCAUGUCAGAGGGUAGCCUGUCAGUUAUGUCGGCAACAACGUUGGUACCAAGGGCGAGGGACGAAGAGAACCAUUAUCCUGCUCGUUGAACGAGGCGGGCCAUUAGGCAAAGUUCUCGUCCAUCGGUGGCUACCGGAAUGUCAUCAACAAAUGUAACAGGGUCUUAUUGACAGAGUGAUGCAACGAGGUGUUUACAUAAGCAGGGAAAUAUUACUCAUUAUAUAAUAUAGAUCACAAUAAGGAUUAAACAAACCAAUGGAAAGGAAAAUGUAAUUGUCAGAUUAAACAGAACAAUGGAAAGGAAAAUGUGUUUAAACACAUAUUUCAGGGGUAUAUCCUUCCCAAGGACAAGCAGAGCAUGGUAUCCAUGACAGGAUAGAAGUUUAAAACCAUUUAGGUAAGGGGAAAGAAAUUUCAUGACAUUACCCAUACAACGGUGUUGGGAUAAUUGAUAAAGAAGGUUUAGUAUCGUGCUUCAAAUGUUCUUAUUGGAGAUUGGAUUACCACAGACAUGCUUCGAGAUAGCAAAGGUCAGACUUUGGAUACACCAAGGAUCCAUCAGGAAUUUCUAGAACAUAUCACGUUAUUUUAUCAGGAAAAAGAUGAGGAGGUGGCCGAUGGGUUCAGUAGCAAUCCAUCAACAUGUCAACAAGGAUGUAUUCCCAAAAUUUAAUAUGAUCAAGUUUGUGUUGGGGGGGGGAGACAAGAAUGUUGUUGAUGCGGACACAAAUCAUCAAGAGGCAAGGAUGGUAUUACUAGCCAUGAAUUCAAUUUACAUCUCUGAAGAAGCCAAAGUGUUGACGGUGAUCAAGACAAAUUUUGUCGAGAGACUCUAAGAAGAUGCCAUCGGGCAGAAAAUGAAGGAUGAAGUGAAAGGCUAUGAGAACCACAGAUUCGAGACAAGCUUAAAGUCAAGCUUGUUGUUCAAGGUGAAAUGAUAAGAUGAGGAAGAUCGACGUAUGCUUAGCUAAUCAUCGGAAGUUGCUCUGGGCAUAAGGACCAGGUAGCACAGUUAAAAAGUUGUCAUGAUAAAAUAUAGCCAAUCAGGCUAGGAAUGAUGUGAUGGGAUAUAAAGCUUCCCAGUAUCAAGUACUAGGUGUAAUGCCAGAAGGUAAAUUGGAGUAGAGGUUGGACAGGGGAAAUGAGUUAUAGAUAAUAAGUAAUUUAACUUACCUAGUACAUGGGAUCAAGGAGGAAAUAUGGUCGGGUCCAUAAAUGCAAGGGAUCCAAUUUGCGAUACCGAAAGAAUUAUUCAAAGGAUUACAUAUCCUUGCAAGAGGCUUUCAUGAUAAGUUCCACACCAUGUCCGUGGGCAUGAACACAAAGGUUCAGGGUCGACUCACACUUCUACAAUGCAUAACCUUUCAUUUUAUUUCUCGCUCUUGAUGAAGCUGUAGUAUCGAAAUUUUAUCUGACAAAAAGCCAGUAGAGUAUAACCCGCAUAACUCCCGAGUUCACAAAGAUUAGGGAAGGCAUAGGUUCAACCCAUCGAGGCAUCUUAGGAACAUAUAUCAUAAAUUCCAAGAAUAAAUAAUACAAGCUUGGUAGUAGAGCAUGCUUGAGAAAGCGGAGGAUACAAUUUACCAACAGCAUCAUGUAUCCGAGGAAAAGCUCACAAUCUUAUUGAAUAUGAAGGACGUUGUCGGAUAAAAUCCAAAAAAAGGUCUGCUGGUCCACAAGGGAUCCGAUGUGAGCAUCAAUAUUCAACUAGAGGAACAAAGAAUGCAAGGAGAUCAGAUUAUAGAAACAACCGACUAACUCAAAGCUCAAUUGCAAAGGAAUUAUGAAUUACAAGACAAGGGAUCAGAAGCAAUGCUCUGAUUAGGGAUGGAUAGACAGAAUAGCCUUAGGGGUACAAUCGAUGGCAAUUUGAUUGAUCGAGAUUCAGCACAUGUUAAAAUGACGUCUGAGCCGGAAGGAUGAAUUCUAGGAUCUGAUUGAGGAUUGCGAGCAUUUACAACAUAUUCUAACAACAGACUCAAAAUGAUAAUGACAAAGGCUAACAAUAGGAUUACUAGACUUAUGGUAUUAACCAUAAUGCAAGCAAGCAAGAAAUUCAAGAACAAUAGGUUAUUGAGGAUUUUCACAAGAACGAAUGGUAUUACGAAGACUAUUGUGAAGUACAUGAAUCAACUAAGUAUGAGCAGAUACUCGAUAGGUGCACAAAGUUAUCCGUAGGGAUAUUCAGAUGACAAGGAACUACAAGGCAGUAAGCUCAAAGGAUUCUCGAAAAAAGGAGAGCAGUUCAGGGCUUCUUGUAAUAACAAGAUCAAUGGGAUAGAGUGUAAGAUGGGCAAGUGUGUGGUUAUCCAUAAGGGUAUUUCGGUGGUAGGGAAUUGCAAGGGCAACAGGCACAAAGUCUCGAGAGAAUAUCAUAGAGUAUCUUCGGACUCUUCUGAUACAUCAUGCGAUCAUCUGAAAUAAGGGGCUCUCCGGGCAGAUGUGAUCACGAGAUCCUAAUGUUCGAGUUAGUAAAACCUUUUAACCCGAAUAGAAGAGAGAUCAGAGUCCCAGACUAUAGACGAGGAAUAAAAGAUCCUAAUACCACUCAAUUGGCGAUGUGAGCCCGUAAGACACACAGCCAAGUUAGUAAAACGGUUUUCGGUUUCUAGACUCAACUUCGACCAAGGAGUUGGAAAGGGGGGGUCCUACAGGCAGUCGACUCUGAUACCAAAUUGUGACACCCUCAAUUCAAUCGUACACUAAUCAUACACGCAAAUGUGUACGAUCAAGAUCAAGGACUCACAGGAAGAUAUCACAACACAACUCUAGACACAAAUUAAUAUAAUACAAGCUUUAUAUUACAAGCUAGGGGCCUCGAGGGCUCGAAUACACAAGAGUCAGCGGAAGCAACAAUAUCUGAGUACAGACAUAAGUUAAACAAGUUUGCCUUAAGAAGGCUAGCACAAAAGCAACAACGAUCGAAAAGGCAAGGCCUCCUACCUGGGAGCCUCCUACCUACUCCUAGUCGUCUGCGGUCUUCACAUAGUAGUAGGCAUCCUCCGGGUAGUAGUUGUCAUCAGUGGCGUUGUCUGGCUCCUGGGAUCCGUCAUCUGGUCGCAACAAUCGGGUAUGGGGGAAAAAGAAGUAGCAAAGCAACCGUGAGUACUCAUCCAAAGUACUCGCAAGACUUACAUCAUAUCUAAACUAAGUAUGCAUCUAUAUCAAAGGAAUGGGUUGUAUCUGUGGACUAAACUGAAGAAUGCCAGAAGGGAAGGGGAAAGCCUAGCCUAUCGAAGACUAGCAUCUUCAAGCAUCUUACAGCAUAUAGAAGAGUACAGAUCAACAUAAUGUAAAGUAGUAGUAGUGUUAUCAACCUCGGCCAGAGAUCCCUUCUCGUCUCCCCGCGAGAAAGCAAUCCCAGAGCCAUACUAUCCAUUUCUCAUCACCAUCCAUUUCUCUUCACAAUCCAUUCAUUUCUCAUCACAAGUAUCCAGUUCUAGUUGUAUCGAUCAGGAUACAACUCCAAGUGUCCAUUACCGUAGGACAAGCUAUCGAUAGAUGUUUUCUUCCCUGCAGGGGUGCACCAACUUACCCACCACGCUCGAUUAACUCCGGCCGGACACACUUACCUGGGUCAUGCCCGGCCUCGGCCAAACAAUACGCUGCAACCCGACGUAGGCUUAAUAGAGAGGUCAGCAUGUCAGACUAAACCUAUGCCCCAGGGGUCAUGGGCCAUCUCCCUGGGAACUCCUGCACGUUGCGUACGCGGCCGGUGAGCAGACCUAGCUACCUCCUUCAACAAGGUAGGUGCUUACCAGUCCAACCCAGCACGCGCCGCUCAGUCGCUGACAUCUAUUAAGCUUCGGCUGAUAUAUACGAUGCAGAACGCCCAUACUAUGCCCACGUGAUGGUUAGUGCUAUCAGGCCAGAGGCCCCUCAGAUCAAAUAUCCAAAUCGUAGUGGAUUAGGAGCACGCGGUAAUGAGCAGAGACUCACGAUCGAUGCUACCCCCAUCGCCCCGUCUUGCCUACUUGCGGCAAGGGCUAAGAAUGCCCGGCCACGCCUCGUAAGUAUCUCGCGGGCACCUUCCAGGUCAACCCGACUCCACGUCACUCGCUAUUAAGCUCGCGCGGGUACCCCUCAGGGCCGACCCAUCUUAGUAACAUGGCUUAGUGCAAAGUCAUAGUAACCAUAGUAACUGUGUGUCUAACACCAAGGGGAAAACCCAAGGAAUCACCCCAGGUGAAUUCCACUCGAUGUUGUCAUCAAGGUGAACGUAAGAGGAUCCACCCUCGAGGUUCACAUUUGAUGGGUUGCACGACAGAGCCGUAACGGAAGUGGUUAAGGAGGAAAUCACCUUCGAUGACGUCGACCAUAUAGCUACACUACCGGGAUCUCAUCAGGAGCGAUGUAAGAGGUUCCACCCUAGACACUCGAUGGUAACUCUACAGAGUCGUACAACUAGGGGGGUAAUGUGCGGUGUCGGGCCUGGACGUCAAUCAUGUUGAUCGAGUCAUCGAACAUAAAGCGAGACAACUGGGACAAGGUGGGGGUCACUGAUGGAUCUCUAACCAACCUAUACUAAGCAGUUUAGGAUAAGCAGGUAAGGUAUGAUAGCAGGUAACAAAACAAGUUAUGCAUCAGAGUAGGACCACACAUAGAGUAGUAGCAGUUCUAAUGCAAGCAUGAGAGGGAAAGAAAUGGGCGAUCUCGGAAUGCUCAAAGGGGGUUUGCUUGCCUGGUUGCUCAGACAAGAAGGAGGGGUCGUUGGUGACGUAGUCGAUCACAGCGGCAUCAUUGUUCUCGGGGUCUACCGGAGAGAAGAGGGGGAAGAAACAGUAAAUACAGAGCAAACAAGGGUACCACUAAGCAUUACAUGACGAUAGGCAGAGCUAGGGCUGACCUAACGUAGGGCUACAUGAUAUAGGUGAAGAGGGAAUUCAACUGGCAAUGUUUUCCCGGUUCCGGACCUGUGUUAGACAGAUGACCGGAGGGGGAAAGUUCCAUGUUCAGCAUGCUAGGGGCAUGUGAUGGACCGCGUAUUCGGAUUCAUCUCAUCUUUCUGAGCAACUUUCAUGUAUAAAUUUUUUUCAUCCGAGGUGCAGUUUAUUUUCUAUGAUUUUUCAAAGAUUAAAACAUUUUUGGAUUUAUUUAUAGUAACAGAAAUGGAAUAUUGCAUCAGCAUGACAUCAUAGUGACAUCAUCAGUCAACAGCCGCACUACCCAGGUCAAACCUGAUUAGUGGGGCCACCGGGACCCACAUGUCAGCCUCUGUGGGUUAACAGGGGAUUAAUUUGACUAACAGUAGUAGUUAGGGAUGUGGGCCCCAUUAGUCAGCGACUAAUUAGUGAUUAAACUAAUUAACAGAUUAAUUAGCAUUUUGUUUAUUUAUAAAACCUGUUUAAUUAGCACGGGGCCCACAUGUCAGUUGCACUGGGGGCAGCCACGUCAGUGUUGACCCAAGUCAACAGGACAAAGGGGGCCCCUGGGCCCACCAGUCAGUGGCCCAGGUGGUGCCACGUGGAUGCCACGUCGGACACCGGCUGUAGACGCGCCGGAGUUGACUCCGGCGAGCCAAACGCGGCGGCGCAGCUUGGGAGGGGCGCGUAUUUCGUGCACAGGGGGUCUGCGGGGUUGUGGCUGGGCGCGUUCGACGUGGCUCGGCAUCGCGCAUCAAAUGGUGGUGGCCGGAGUGGCUGGAAAGGACGGCGACGAGCGCUUCGAGCUCGCCGGCAAGGUGCUUCGGGCGAGCAACGACAUCGGUUGUACGACGCGAGUUCGGGCUAUCCAGAGAGCGGGGCGAGGUCUACGUGCACGAGCGAGCAAGAUGGGCGCGAGCAAAAGACCAAAAGGUCGCCGGAACGACGCCGGCGACGAGCUACGCGGAGGCCCAUCCGGUCGGAGCACGGGGUCGGCGCUACAAGGCUCGACAAAGCGUGGGGGAGGGGUGCAAUGGGCCCGCACGGACGUGCUGAGCACCAUCCCGAGCUCAUCUGAGCUCGACGGGCAGCAAUGACACGACUAUGAGCACGCCGGCGGAAGUAGAGGCACGGCAACGGCGGCGAACUAGCUAGGGACGAACGCGGCUGCGGGAAGAAGGAAUGGUGGGAGAGAGGAGCUCACCGAGCGGCCAAGAAAAGCCCUCGACGGUUUAGUAGCUGCCGGGUUCGUCGGAGAUGACGAGGAUCGUCGGUUACAGAGGCGGAAGGAGGCGGAGCAGAAAGCCCUCAGCGGAGCCUCCCAGCUCCUACUGAUGGUCGGAGACGAGGAGUGGAGAACGCCGGAGCUCGUGGAGGCGUUGGUGAAGCUCGGGGUCACCGGUCGCUGUGGCGGNNNNNNNNNNNNNNNNNNNNNNNNNNNNNNNNNNNNNNNNNNNNNNNNNNNNNNNNNNNNNNNNNNNNNNNNNNNNNNNNNNNNNNNNNNNNNNNNNNNNNNNNNNNNNNNNNNNNNNNNNNNNNNNNNNNNNNNNNNNNNNNNNNNNNNNNNNNNNNNNNNNNNNNNNNNNNNNNNNNNNNNNNNNNNNNNNNNNNNNNNNNNNNNNNNNNNNNNNNNNNNNNNNNNNNNNNNNNNNNNNNNNNNNNNNNNNNNNNNNNNNNNNNNNNNNNNNNNNNNNNNNNNNNNNNNNNNNNNNNNNNNNNNNNNNNNNNNNNNNNNNNNNNNNNNNNNNNNNNNNNNNNNNNNNNNNNNNNNNNNNNNNNNNNNNNNNNNNNNNNNNAGAGGGUCGAGGCGACGCGGAGGGAGGGGAUCCUUUUCCCCUCGUCGGCGAGGCGCGAGAUGGCGAGCGGGUUCGUCGGCGACCACGGGCGCGGGUCGGUCUAAUAGGAGAAGGGGGAAGGCGACCGGGGAAGGGGAAGUGGGCCGACUUGGGUGGACAUAGUGGGCCGGCCCAGGUGGGAUGGCCGAAACCCAAGGGGGCAGGGGCUCUACCACUCCUUCUUUCCUUUUUCCUUUCCUUUUCUUUGUUUUGAAUUUUAGCUACUGUUUUCUAUUAAUUUAUAAAACUAAUUGAGUUUUGUUUUGAACAAAACUUGGCACAUAAAACUAACACAAUACCUUGAGAUGGAACAAAAAGUUUGGGGUCAAAAGGAGUUGUCUAAUCAAUUUUAGAAAUUGAAAAGGACAUCUUAAAUACUGCUGGACCAGAUAAUAAAAUCCUAGGGGCAAUUUGGGAAUUCCAAAAAUGUUGGUUCCAACAAGACAAUUACUCAGUGAUUAUUUGCCAAACUUUGAACAUUUUAGUUUUCAUGUUUGGCAAAUUUGAAUUUUUGACUCUGAAUUUGAGUUUGAACAUGAACAGCGAUUUGGAUCAAGUGAGGAUUAGCAACAGUAGUGUGAUGACAUGGCACCAUCAAUAGGGGAUUACUGUAGCAUGACACUGGGGGUGUUACAAAAUGUAACUACUCACAAAGCAUAUUCAUGUUCAUAAUCAGAGGGGAGCCAUGAAAUCUGUAGCGAUGGUGAGCCCAGAUUCCACAAAAUGGCCAGAAGCCAUGAAAUCUAAGAUGGGAUCCAUGUAUGAGAACAAAGUGUGGACUUUGGUUGACUUGUCCGUUGAUCGGCAAGCAAUUGAGAAUAAAUGGAUCUUCAAGAAGAAGACUGACGUUGACGGUAAUGUUACUGUCUACAAAGCUCGACUUGUUGCCAAAGGUUUUCGACAAGUUCAAGGGAUUGACUACGAUGAGACCUUCUCAUCCGUAGCGAUGCUUAAGUCUGUCCGAAUCAUGUUAGCAAUUGCCGCAUUUUAUGAUUAUGAAAUUUGCCAAAUGGAUGUCAAAAUUGCAUUCCUAAAUGGAUUUCUGGAAGAAGAGUUGUAUAUGAUGCAACCAGAAGGUUUUGUUGAUCCAAAGGGAGCUAACAAAGUGUACAAGCUCCAGCGAUCCAUUUAUGGACUGGUUUUGAUAGUGUGAUCAAAGCAUUUGGUUUGAUACAGACUUUUGGAGAAGCCUGUAUUUACAAGAAAGUGAGUGGGAGCUCUGUAGCAUUUCUGAUAUUAUAUGUGGAUGACAUAUUAUUGAUUGGAAAUAAUAUAGAAUUUCUGGAUAGCAUAAAGGGAUACUUGAAUAAGAGUUUUUCGAUGAAAGACCUCGGUGAAGCUGCUUACAUAUUGGGCAUUAAGAUCUAUAGAGAUAGAUCAAGACGCUUAAUUGGACUUUCACAAAGCACGUACCUUGACAAAGUUUUGAAAAAGUUCAAAAUGGAUGAAGCGAAGAAAGGGUUCUUGCCUGUGUUACAAGGUGUGAAGUUGAGUAAGACUCAAUGUCCGACCACUACAGAAGAUAGAGAGAAAAUGAAAGAUGUUCCCUAUGCUUCAGCCAUAGGCUCUAUCAUGUAUGCAAUGCUGUGUACCAGACCUGAUGUGUGCCUUGCUAUAAGUCUAGCAUGGAGGUACCAAAGUAAUCCAGGAGUGGAUCACUGGACAACAGUCAAGAACAUCCUGAAGUACCUGAAAAGAACUAAGGAUAUGUUUCUCGUAUAUGGAGGUGACAAAGAGCUCAUCGUAAACGGUUACAUUGAUGCAAGCUUUGACACUGAUCCGGACAAUUCUAAAUCGCAAACCAGAUACGUGUUUACAUUAAACGGUGGAGCUGUCAGUUGGUGCAGCUCUAAACAAAGCGUCGUGGCGGGAUCUACAUUUGAAGCGGAGUACAUAGCUUCUUCGAAAGUAGCAAAUGAAGGAGUCUGGAUGAAGGAGUUCAUAUCCGAUCUAGGUGUCAUACCUAGUGCAUCAGGUCCAAUGAAAAUCUUUUGUGACAAUACUGGUGCAAUUGCCUUGGCAAAGGAAUCCAGAUUUCACAAGAGAACCAAGCACAUCAAGAGACGCUUCAAUUCCAUUCGGGAUUUAGUGCAAGUGGGAGACAUAGAAAUUUGCAAGAUACAUACGGAUCUGAAUGUUGCACACCCGCUGACUAAGCCUCUUCCACGAGCAAAACAUGAUCGGCACCAAGGCUCCAUGGGUGUUAGAAUCAUUACUAUGUAACCUGGAUUAUUGACUCUAGUGCAAGUGAGAGACUGAAGGAAAUAUGCCCUAGAGGCAAUAAUAAAUUUAUUAUUUAUUUCCUUGUAUCAUGAUAAAUGUUUAUUAUUCAUGCUAGAAUUGUAUUAACCGGAAACAUAAUACCUGUGUGAAUACAUAGACGAACAGAGUGUCACUAGUAUGCCUCUACUUGACUAGCUCGUUAAUCAAAGAUGGUUAUGUUUCCUAACCAUAGACAUGAGUUGUUAUUUGGUUAACAGGAUCACAUCAUUAGGAGAAUGAUGUAAUUGACUUGAACCAUUCCUAUUGCUUUCUUCAUAACUUAUAUAUGUUCAUAUGACUAUGAGAUUAUGCAACUCCCGUUUACCGGAGGAACACUUUGUGUGCUACCAAACGUCACAACGUAACUGGGUGAUUAUAAAGGUGCUCUACAGGUGUCUCCAAAGGUAUUUUUUGGGUUGGCAUAUUUCGAGAUUAGGAUUUGUCACUCCGAUUGUCGGAGAGGUAUCUCUGGGCCCUCUCGGUAAUGCACAUCACUCAAGCUUUGCAAGCAUUGCAACUAAUAAGUUAGUUGCGGGAUGAUGUAUUACGGGACGAGUAAAGAGACUUGCCGGUAACGAGAUUGAACUAGGUAUUGAGAUACCGACGAUCAAAUCUCGAGCAAGUAACAUACCGAUGACAAAGGGAACAACGUAUAUUGUUAUGCGGUCUGACCGAUAAAGAUCUUCGUAGAAUAUGUAGGAGCCAAUACAAACAUCCAGGUUCCGCUAUUAGUUAUUGGCCGGAGACGUGUCUCGGUCAUGUCUACAUAGUUCUCGAACCCGUAGGGUCCGCACGCUUAAAGUUCGGUGACGAUCGUAAUUAGGGUUUUUGUGUUCUGAUGAACCGAAGUUUGUUCGGUGUCCCAGAUGUGAUCACAGACAUGACGAGGAGUCUCGAAAUGGUCGAGACAUAAAGAUUGAUAUAUUGGAAGCCUAUAUUUGGAUAUCGGAAACGUUCCGGGUGAAAUCGGGAUUUUACCGGAGUACCGGGGGGUUACCGGAAGCCCCCCGGGGGUUAUUGGGCCUACAUGGGCCCUAAGGGUGAAGAUGAGGGCCGACCAGGGCAGGCCGCGCGCCCCCUCCCUCCUAGUCCGAAUAGGACAAGGAAGCGGGGCGGCGCCCCCCUUUCCUCUUUCUCCCUUCCCCCUUCCUUUUCCAACAAGGCAAGAGGGGGGAGUCCUACUCCCGGUGGGAGUAGGACUCCUCCAGGCGCACCCCUUGGGCCGGCCGCACCUCCCCCUCUCCCUCCUUUAUAUACGAGGGCAAGGGGGCACCCCAUGACAGACAAGUUGAUCUGCAUGAUCGUUCCUUAGCCGUGUGCGGUGCCCCCUUCCACCUAUUCCACCUUGGUCAUAUCAUAGCGGUGCUUAGGCGAAGCCCUACAUCGGUAUAACAUCAUCACCGUCAUCACGCUGUCGUGCUGACGAAACUCUCCCUCAACACUUUGCUGGAUCGGAGCUCGAGGGACGUCACCGAGUUCAAUGUGUGCCGUACGUUCGGUACUUGGAUCGGUCGGAUCGGGAAGACGUACGACUACUUCCUCUAUGUUGUGUCAACGCUUCCGUUGCUAGUCUACGAGGGUACGUAGACAAACACUCUCCUCUCUCGUUACUAUGCAUCACCAUGAUAUUGCGUGUGCGUAGGAUUUUUUUUGAAAUUAUUACGUUCCCCAACAGUGGCAUCCGAGCGUAGGUUUUAUGCGUUGAUGUUGUGCAUGAGUAGAACACAAGUGAGUUAUGGGUGAUAUAAGUCAUACUGCUUACCAGCAUGUCAUACUUUGGUUCGGCGGUAUUGUUGGAUGAAGCGGCCCAGACCGACAUUACGCGUACGCUUACGCGAGACUGGUUCUACCGACGUGCUUUGCACACAGGUGGCUGGCGGGUGUCAGUUUCUCCAAGUUUAGUUGAACCAAGUGUGGCUACGCCCGGUCCUUGCGAAGGUUAAAACAUCACCAACUUGACAAACUAUCAUUGUGGUUUUGAUGCAUAGGUAAGAACCGUUCUUGCUAAGCCCGUAGCAGCCACGUAAAACUUGCAACAACAAAGUAGAGGACAUCUAACUUGUUUUUGCAGGGCAUGUUGUGAUGUGAUAUGGUCAAGACAUGAUGCUAAAUUUUAUUGUAUGAGAUGAUCAUGUUUUGUAACCGAGUUAUCGGCAACUGGCAGGAGCCAUAUGGUUGUCGCUUUAUUGUAUGCAAUACGAUCGCACAGUAAUGCUUUACUUUAUCACUAAGAGGUAGCGAUAGUCGUGGAAGCAUAAGAUUGGCGAGACGAAAACAAUGCUACGAUGGAGAUCAAGGUGUCGCGCCGGUGACGAUGGUGAUCAUGACAGUACUUCGGAGAUGGAGAGCACAAGUACAAGAUGAUGAUGGCCAUAUCAUAUCACUUAUAUUGAUUGCAUGUGAUGUUUCUCUUUUAUGCAUCUUAUCUUGCUUUGAUUGACGGUAGCAUUAUAAGAUGAUCCCUCAUUAAAUUAUCAAAGUAUAAGUGUUCUCCCCGAGUAUGCACCAUUGCGAAAGUUCUUCGUGCUGAGACACCACGUGAUGAUCGGGUGUGAUAGGCUCUACGUUCAUAUACAACGGGUGCAAAACAGUUGCACAUGCGGAAUACUCAGGUUAAACUUGACGAGCCUAGCAUAUAACAGAUAUGGCCUUGGAACAUGUAGACCGAAAGGUCGAGCGUGAAUCAUAUAGUAGAUAUGAUCAACAUAUUGAUGUUCACCAUUAAUACUACUCCGUCUCAUGUGAUGAUCGGACAUGGUUUAGUUGAUUUGGAUCACAUGAUCACUUAGAGGAUUGGAGGGAUGUCUUUCUAAGUGGGAGUUCUUAAGUAAUAUGAUUAAUUGAACUUAAAAUUAUCAUGAACUUAGUACCUGAUAGUAUCUUUCUUGUCUAUGUUUGAUUGUAGAUAUAUGGCUCGUGCUGUUGUUCCGUUGAAUUUUAAUGCGUUCCUUGAGAAAGCAAAGUUGAAAGAUGAUGGUAGAAAUUACAGGGACUAGGUCCGUAACUUGAGGAUUAUCCUCAUUGCUGCAUAGAAGAAUUACGUCCUGGAAGCACCGCUAAGUGCCAAGCCUGCUGCAGGAGCAACACCAGAUGUUAUGAACGUCUGGCAGAGCAAAGCUGAUGACUACAUGAUAGUUCAGUGUGCCAUGCUUUACGGCUUAGAACCGGGUCUUCAACGACGUUUUGAACGUCAUGGAGCAUAUGAGAUGUUCCAGGAGUUGAAGUUAAUAUUUCAAGCAAAUGCCCGGAUUGAGAGAUAUGAAGUCUCCAAUAAGUUCUAUAGCUGCAAGAUGGAGGAGAAUAGUUCUCUCAGUGAACAUAUACUCAAAAUGUUUGGGUAUCAUAAUCACUUGACUCAACUGGGGGUUAAUCUUCCUAUUGAUAGUGUCAUUGACAGAGUUCUUCAAUCACUGCUACCAAGCUACAAAAUCUUCGUGAUGAACUAUAAUAUGCAAGGGAUGAAUAAGACUAUUCCUGAGCUCUUCGCGAUGCUAAAAGCCGCGGAGGUAGAAAUCAAGAAGGAGCAUCAAGUGUUGAUGGUCAAUAAGACCACCAGUUUCAAGAAAAAGGACAAAGGGAAGAAGAAAGGGAACUUCAAGAAGAACAACAAACAAGUUGCUGCUCAGGAGAAGAAACCCAAGUCUGGACCUAAGCCUGAGACUGAGUGCUUCUACUGCAAGCAGACUGGUCACUAGAAGGGGAACUGCCCCAAGUAUUUGGCAGAUAAGAAGGAUGGCAAAGUGAACAAAGGUAUAUGUGAUAUACAUGUUAUUGAUGUGUACCUUACUAAUGCUUGUAGUAGCACCUGGGUAUUUGAUACUGGUUCUGUUGCUAACAUUUGCAACUCGAAAUAGGGGCUACGAAUUAAGCGAAGAUUGGCUAAGGACGAGGUGACGAUGCGCGUGGGAAAUGGUUCCAAUGUUGAUGUGAUCGUGGUCGGCAUGCUACCUCUACAUCUACCUUCGGGAUUAGUAUUAGACCUAAAUAAUUGUUAUUUGGUGCCAGCAUUGAGCAUGAACAUUACAUCUGGAUCUUGUUUGAUGCAAGACGGUUAUUCAUUUAAAUCAGAGAAUAAUGGUUGUUCUAUUUAUAUGAGUAAUAUCUUUUAUGGUCAUGCACCCUUGAAGAGUGGUCUAUUUUUGAUGAAUCUUGAUAGUAGUGAUACACAUAUUCAUAAUGUUGAAAUCAAAAGAUGCAGAGUUGAUAAUGAUAGUGCAACUUAUUUGUGGCACUGACGUUUAGGUCAUAUCGGUGUAAAGCGCAUGAAGAAACUCCAUACUGAUGGACUUUUGGAACCACUUUAUUAUGAAUCACUUGGUACUUUCGAAUCGUGCCUCAUGGGUAAGAUGACUAAAACGCCAUUCUCCAGUACUAUGGAGAGAGCAACGGAUUUGUUGGAAAUCAUACAUACAGAUGUAUGUGGUCCAAUGAAUGUUGAGGCUCGUGGUGGAUAUCGUUAUUUUCUCACCUUCACACAUGAUUUAAGUAGAUAUGGGUAUAUCUACUUAAUGAAACAUAAGUAUGAAACAUUUGAAAAUUUCAAAGAAUUUCAGAGUGAAGUUGAAAAUCAUCGUAACAAGAAAAUAAAGUUUCUACGAUCUGAUCGUGGAGGAGAAUAUUUGAGUUACGAGUUUGGUCUACAUUUGAAACAAUGCGGAAUAGUUUCACAACUCACGCCACCCGGAACACCACAGCGUAAUGGUGUGUCCGAACGUCGUAAUCGUACUUUAUUAGAUAUGGUGCGAUCUAUGAUGUCUCUUACUGAUUUACCGCUAUCGUUUUGGGGUUAUGCUUUAGAGACGGCUGCAUUCAUGUUAAAUAGGACACCAUCGAAAUCCAUUGAGACGACGCCUUAUGAACUGUGGUUUGGCAAGAAACCAAAGUUGUCGUUUCUAAAAGUUUGGGGCUGCGAUGCUUAUGUGAAAAAGCUUCAACCUGAUAAGCUCGAACCCAAAUCGGAGAAAUGUGUCUUCAUAGGAUACCCAAAGGAGAUUGUUGGGUACACCUUCUAUCACAGAUCCGAAGGCAAGACUUUUGUUGCUAAAUUCAUAGUUUUUCUAGAGAAGGAGUUUCUCUCGAAAGAAGUGAUGGGAGAAAAGUAGAACUUGAUGAGGUAACUGUACCUUCUCCCUUAUUGGAAAGUAGUACAUCACAGAAACCGGUUUCUGUGACACCUAUACCAAUUAGUUUGGAAGCUAAUGAUAAUGAUCAUGAAACUUCAGAUCAAGUUACUACCGAACCUCGUAGAUCAACCAGAGUAAGAUCCGCACCAGAGUGGUAUGGUAAUCCUGUUCUGGAAGUCAUGCUACUAGAUCAUGAUGAACCUACGAACUAUGAAGAAGCGAUGGUGAGCCCCGAUUCCACAAAAUGGCUAGAAGCCAUGAAAUCUGAGAUGGGAUCCAUGUAUGAGAACAAAGUGUGGACUUUGGUUGACUUGCCCGUUGAUCGGCAAGCAAUUGAGAAUAAAUGGAUCUUCAAGAAGAAGACUGACACUGACGGUAAUGUUACUGUCUACAAAGCUCGACUUGUUGCGAAAGGUUUUCAACAAGUUCAAGGGAUUGACUAUGAUGAGACCUUCUCACCCGUAGCGAUGCUUAAGUCUGUCCGAAUCAUGUUAGCAAUUGCCACAUUUUAUGAUUAUGAAAUUUGGCAAAUGUAUGUAAAAACUGCAUUCCUGAAUGGAUUUCUGGAAAAAGAGUUGUAUAGGAUGCAACCAGAAGGUUUUGUCGAUCCAAAGGGAGCUAACAAAGUGUGCAAGCUCUAGCGAUCCAUUUAUGGACUGGUGCAAGCCUCUCGGAGUUGGAAUAAACGCUUUGAUAGUGUGAUCAAAGCAUUUGGUUUUAUACAGAUUUUUGGAGAAGCCUAUAUUUACAAGAAAGUGAGUGGGAGCUCUGUAGCAUUUCUGAUAUUAUAUGUGGAUGACAUAUUAUUGAUUGGAAAUAAUAUAGAAUUUCUGGAUAGCAUAAAGGGAUACUUGAAUAAGAGUUUUUCAAUGAAAGACCUCAGUGAAGUUGCUUACAUAUUGGGCAUUAAGAUCUAUAGAGAUAGAUCAAGACGCUUAAUUGGACUUUCACAAAGCACGUACCUUGACAAAGUUUUGAAGAAGUUCAAAAUGGAUGAAGCAAAGAAAGGGUUCUUGCCUGUGUUACAAGGUGUGAAGUUGAGUAAAACUCAAUGUCCGACCACUGCAGAAGAUAGAGAGAAAAUGAAAGAUGUUCCCUAUGCUUUAGCCAUAGGCUCUAUCAUGUAUGCAAUGUUGUGUACCAGACCUGAUGUGUGCCUUGCUAUAAGUCUAGCAUGGAGGUACCAAAGUAAUCCAGGAGUGGAUCACUGGACAACGGUCAAGAACAUCCUGAAGUACCUGAAAAGAACUAAGGAUAUGUUUCUCGUAUAUGGAGGUGACAAAGAGCUUUGACACUGAUCCGGAUGAUUCUAAAUCGCAAACCAGAUACGUGUUUACAUUAAACAGUGGAGCUGUCAGUUGGUGUAGUUCUAAACAAAGCGUUGUGGCGGGAUCUACAUGUGAAGUGGAGUACAUAGCUGCUUUGGAAGCAGCAAAUGAAGGAGUCUGGAUGAAGGAGUUCAUAUCCGAUCUAGGUGUCAUACCUAGUGCAUCGGGUCUAAUGAAAAUCUUUUGUGACAAUACUUGUGCAAUUGCCUUGGCAAAGGAAUCCAGAUUUCACAAGAGAACCAAGCACAUCAAGAGACGCUUCAAUUCCAUUCGGUAUUUAGUCCAAGUGGGAGACAUAGAAAUUUGCAAGAUACAUACGGAUCUGAAUGUUGCAGACCCACUGACUAAGCCUCUUCCACGAGCAAAACAUGAUCAGCACCAAGGCUCCAUGGGUGUUAGAAUCAUUACUGUGUAAUCUAGAUUAUUGACUCUUGUGCAAGUGGGAGACCGAAGGAAAUAUGCCCUAGAGGCAAUAAUAAAGUUAUUAUUUAUUUUCCUUGUAUCAUGAUAAAUGUUUAUUAUUCAUGCUAGAAUUGUAUUAACCGGAAACAUAAUACAUGUGUGAAUACAUAGACAAACAGAGUGUCACUAGUAUGCCUCUACUUGACUAGCUCGUUGAUCAAAGAUGGUUAUGUUUCCUAACCAUAGACAUGAGUUGUUAUUUGGUUAAUGGGAUCACAUCAUUAGGAGAAUGAUGUGAUCGACUUGACCCAUUCCAUUUAGCUUAGCACUUGAUUGUUUCGUUUGUUGCUAUUCCUUUCUUCAUAAAUUAUAUAUGUUCCUAUGAAAUGAGAUUAUGCAACUCCCGUUUACUGGAGGAACACUUUGUGUGCUACCAAACGUCACAACGUAACUGGGUGAUUAUAAAGGUGUUCUAUAGGUGUCUCCGAAGGUAUUUGUUGGGUUGGCGUAUUUCGAGAAUAGGACUUGUCACUCCGAUUGUCGAAGAGGUAUCUCUGGGCCCUCUUGGUAAUGCACAUCACUCAAGCCUCGCAAGCAUUGCAACUAAUAAGUUAGUUGCGGGAUGAUGUAUUACGGAACGAGUAAAGAGACUUGCCGAUAAGGAGAUUGAACUAGGUAUUGAGAUACCGACGAUCAAAUCUCGGGCAAGUAACAUACCGAUGACAAAGGGAACAACAUAUAUUGUUAUGCGGUCUGACCGAUAAAGAUCUUCAUAGAAUAUGUAGGAGACAAUAUGAGCAUCAAGGUUCUGCUAUUGGUUAUUGACCGGAGACGUGUCUCGGUCAUGUCUACAUAGUUCUCGAACCCAUAGGGUCCGCACGCUUAAAGUUCGGUGAUGAUCGUAAUUAGGGUUUUUAUGUUUUGAUGAACCGAAGGUUGUUCGGUGUCCCGGAUGUGAUCACGGACAUGAUGAGGAGUCUCAAAAUGGUUGAGACAUAAAGAUUGAUAUAUUGGAAGCCUAUAUUUGGAUAUGGGAAACAUUUCGGGUGAAAUCGGGAUUUUACCGGAGUACUGGGGGGUUACCGGAACCCCCUGGGGGUUAUUGGGCCUACAUGGGCCCUAAGGGAGAAGAGGAGGGCCGGCCAGGGCAGGCCACGCGCCCUCCCCCCUAGUCCGAAUAGGACAAGGAAGGGGGGCGCCCCCCUUUCCUCUUUCUCCCUUCCUCCUUCCUUUUCCAACAAGGCAAGAGGGGGGACUCCUACUCCCGGUGGGAGUAGGACUCCUCCAGGCGCACCCCUUGGGCUGGCCGCACCUCCCCCUCUCCCUCCUUUAUAUACGGGGGCAAGGGGGCACCCCAUGAAACACAAGUUGGUCUUCGUGAUCGUUCCUUAGCCGUGUGCGGUGCCCCCUUCCACCAUAUUCCACCUCGGUCAUAUUGUAGCGGUGCUUAGGCGAAGCCCUGCGUCGGUAGAACAUCAUCACUGUCAUCACGCCAUCGUGCUGGCGAAAAUCUCUCUCAACACUUUGUUGGAUCGGAGCUCGAGGGACAUCACCGAGUUGAAUGUGUGCAGAACUCGGAAGUGCCAUACGUUCGAUACUUGGAUCGGUCGGAUCGGGAAGACGUACGACUACUUCCUCUACGUUGUGUCAACGCUUCCGUUGCCGAUCUACGAGGGUACAUAGACAAACACUCUCCUCUCGUUUCUAUGCAUCACCAUGAUCUUGCGUGUGCGUAGGAAUUUUUUUGAAAUUACUACGUUCCCCAACAAGUUUCCCCGGCAGAACAGCUCCGCCAGAGCCCUAGAUUGGUUCCGCCAAGGUUCCACCUCGUGGCGGUGGAGUCUCAUCCGGAAAGAUGGCUUAUCAUUUUUUUCUCAUCGAAAGACUUCAUAUAGCAGAAGAUGGCCAUCGGAGGGCCACCGAGGGGCCCACGAGGUAGGGGGCGUGCCCAGGGGGUAGGGCGCGCCCCCACCCUUGUGGGCAGGGUGUGCCCCCUGGUGAACUUCUUGCGCUCAGUAUUUUUUGUAUAUUCUGAAAAUGACUUCCGUGAAGUUUCAGGACUCUUGGAGCUGUGCAGAAUAGGUCUCUAAUAUUUGCUCCUUUUCCAGCCCAGAAUCCCAGCUGCCGACAUUCUCCCUCUUUAUGUAAACCUUGUAAAAUAAGAGAGAAUAGGCAUAAGUAUUGUGACAUAAUGUGUAAUAACAGCCCCUAAUGCAAUAAAUAUCGAUAUAAAAGCAUGAUGCAAAAUGGACGUAUCAACUCCCCAAAGCUUAGACCACGCUUGUCCUCAAGCGAAAGCCGAAAUCAAAAAAAAUGUCCACAUGUUUAGAGAUAGAGGUGUCAAUAAAAAUAAAAUACGGACAUGAGGGCAUCAUGAUCAUUCGUAGAACAACAACUUAUAUAAUUCUUGUCAUAUCAUCUCUUAUGCUGGAUUAACAAUUAAAUCACAAUUUCAAGUAUGAAUCAUAAACUUCAUUGGUAACUAACAAACUAUAAUCUCAGUCAUUGGAGCAAUUGCAAUUUAUCAUAACAUAGGAAAGAGUCAAUAUAAGAGCUUUUCAGCAAGUCCAUAUACUCAACUAUCAUAUAGUCUUUCACAAUUUCUGACACUCACGCAAUACUUAUGGGUAUGGAGUUUUAAUCGGACACAGAGAAAGAUAGGGGCUUAUAGUUUUGCCUCCCAAUGUUUUACCUCAAGGGUAAUGUCAACAAUAAUAGUUCAUGAAAACUCACAUCCAAUUAGCCAUAUAUACCAGGAUCUUUCCAACAUGUUGUGCUUGCCAAAAGAUAAAAUGUAAAAAGGAAAGGUGAAGAUCACCAUGACUCUUAUGCAAGGUAGGAGAUAAAAGUAAAAGAUAGGCCCUUCGCAGAGGGAAGCAGAGGUUGUCAUGCGCUUUUAUGGUUGGAUGCACAAAAUCUUAAUGCGAAAGAAGGUCACUUUAUAUUGCCACUUAUGAUAUGGACCUUUAUUAUGCAGUCUGUCGCUUUUAUUUUUUCCAUAACACACGAUCGUAUAAAGCUUAUUUUCUCCCACACUAAUAAGUCAUACAUAUUUAGAGGGCAAUUUUUAUUGCUUGCACCGAUGACAACUUACUUGGAGGAUCUUACUCAAUCCAUUGGUAGGUAUGGUGGACUCUCAUGACAAAACUAUUUUAAGAGUGUUUCGAAGCACAAGUAGUAUCUAUACUUAGUGCAAAGAAUUUGGCUAGCAUGAGGGGGAAAGGCAAGCUCAGCAUGUUGGAUGAUCCAUGACAAUAUAAUUUCUCUCAGAUGUAAGAAAACAUAACCCAUUACGUUGUCUUCCCUGUCCAACGUCAACCCUUUAGCAUGUCCUAUUUUAAUGAGUGCUCACAAUCAUAAAAGAUGUCCAAGAUAGUAUAUUUAUAUGUGAAGACCUCUCUUUAUUUAUUACUUCCUAUUAAUUGCAACGAUGACCAAAACUAUGUUUGCCAACUCCCAACAACUUUUAUUCAUCAUACUUUUAUAUGUGAGCUCAUUACUCUCCAGAAGAUCCAUAUGAUAUCUUUUAUUCUUUUUAUUCUUUCUAUUUUCUUUUAUUCACUCAAGAUCAUGGCAAAAUAAUCAAGCCCUUGACUCAACACUAAUCUUUAUUAUAUAUAGCUCACGGACUCGAUCACAUAGAAGGAUCAUAAGGCAAAACUCACAACUAGAUCAUACUAAGAACUUUUAUUCUACUAGAUCAAAAUAUUAUCAUAAGGAUCGAACUAAGAAAAGCAGUAAAGAUAAAAGUGAUGGUGAUACGAUACCAGGGCACUCCCCCAAGCUUGGCAGUUGCCAAGGGGAGUGCCCAUACCCAUGUGAUUAUGUCCCUUUUGUUGGUGAAGAAGUUGAUGGUUUUGUUGAUGGCGUAGGCUUGUCGUCCUUCUUCCAAGGCAUAGGCUCACCAUCAUAGAAGGAUGAUCGAGUCUCCUGAAACCUCAAAUCUGCAGCCAAACUCAUCCUCUUGAAUCUAUAUUCAUACUCACAGUUUUGAUUUUGCAGGUCAUAGAUCUAGGCUUGGAGGUGCUCGAUUUUCUCAUGAAGCUUGAAGAUGGCCUCCCCAAUGUCCUUGACGUCCAGCUUGUGGUUGUUGGUGAACUCCGUGAUCAUAAUGUGAUUGGAAUCGAGUCCACGCUCCACCAUCUCCGGAUACUUGAAAACUUCUUGCUCCAAUGCCUCGAGCCUUGCCUCCGUGCUUCCAGUCUUCCUUGGUCCCUGAACAUCGCGGAUGUGCAACAACCCCUCCCGCAUCUCAAUGGUUUGAGGGUGUUGCAGCACCUCCGCGAGGUAGGGGAUGAUGACCUUCUCAAAGAAAUGGUCCUUGGGGGCACUUGAAGACGACAUGACGACCUGGAUCUGUCAGAAAAACAGCUCGAACAAAGACAGGAGAUUUUUGCGUGAUACGGGAGUCAAAACCUCCGGGAGAUUAUAUAGUGAUUUUUUACCGACAAAAAUAUGUGUCGUGUAUGAAAACGGAGUCCGGAAAGCACACGAGGUGCCCAUGAGGUAGGGGGGCACGCCCUCCACCCUCGUGUCCUUCCUGUACUGCUUCUUAUUUUUCUAUUUUUCUAAAUAUUCCAAAACAGAAGAAAAUUGCCAUUAGAACUGUUUUGGAGUCGGUUUACUUACCGUACCACAUACCUAUUCCUUUUCGGAGUCUGAAACAUUCCGGAAAGUGUCCCUUAUGUAUUCCUCCGGGGUUACAGUUUCAAUAACAUUGGUUUCAACAUUUAUAGGAUUACCUGAGAUAUAAUGUUCAAUUCUUUGACCAUUCACCACCUUCGGAUUUGUGCCUUCGAAGUUGUUGAUUUUUAUGGCACCGGAAUGAUAGACCUCCUCGAUAACGUAAGGACCUUCCCAUUUAGAGAGAAGUUUUCCUGCAAAAAAUCUUAAACCAGAGUUGUAUACCAAUACAUAAUUACCUACAUUAAACUCACGCUUUUGUAUUAUUUUGUCAUGCCAUCUUCUAACUUUUUCUUUAAAUAAUUUGGCAUUCUCAUAGGCUUGGGUUCUCCAUUCAUCAAGUGAGCUAAUGUCAAAUAACCUCUUCUCACUGGCAAGUUUGAAAUCAUAAUUGAGCUCUUUAAUAGCCCAAUAAGCCUUAUGUUCUAGUUCGAGAGGUAAGUGACAUGCUUUUCGAUAAACCAUUUUAUACAAAGACAUACCCAUAGGAUUUUUAUAGGCAGUUCUAUAGGCUCAUAAUGCAUCAUCAAGUUUCUUGGACCAAUUUUUUCUAGAUCUAUUAAUAGUGUUUUGCAAAAUUAAUUUGAGUUCUCUAUUGCUCAAUUCUACUUGACCACUAGACUAUGGGUGAUAAGGAUAUGCAAUUCUAUGAUUAACAUCAUAUUUAGCAAGCAUUUUACGGAAAGCACCAUGAAUAAAAUGUGAACCACCAUCAGUCAUUAAAUAUCUAGGGACUCCAAACCUUGGAAAAAUAACUUCUUUAAGCAUCUUAAUAGAAGUGUCAUGAUCAGCACUACUAGUUGGAAUAGCUUCUACCCACUUAGUAACGUAAUCAACAUCAACUAAAAUAUCUGUGUAUCCAUUGGAGGCAGGAAAAUGUCCCAUAUAAUCAAAACCCCAAACAUCAAAUGGUUCAAUAACAAGUGAAUAAUUCAUAGGCAUUUCUUGACGUCUACUAAUAUUACCAAUUCUUUGACAUUCAUCACAAGACAAUACAAACUUACGGGCAUCCUUGAAGAGAGUAGGCCAAUAAAACCGGAUUGCAAUACCUUGUGCGCAGCACUAUCUCCAGCAUGGUGUCCUCCAUAAGCCUCGGAGUGACACUUGCAUAGGAUCUGUUCCUGUUCAUGCUCAGGUACACAACGUGUAAUGACACCAUCUACUCCUUCUUUAUAAAGAUGUGGGUCAUCCCAAAAGUAAUGUCUCAAAUCAUAGAAGAACGUUUUCUUUUGCUGGUAUGUGAAACUAGGUGGUAUAAAUUUAGCAACAAUGUAGUUAGCAUAAUCAGCAUACCAUAGAGCAGUAUGAGAAGCAUUUAUGACAUUUAAUUGUUCAUCAGGAAAGCUAUCAUCAAUAGGUAGUGGGUCAUCAAGAACAUUUUCUAACCUAGACAAGUUGUCUGCAAUAGGGUUCUCAGCUCCUUUUCUAUCAACAAUAUGCAAAUCAAAUUCUUGUAGCAAGAGAACCCAUCUAAUAAGUCUAGGUUUAGCAUCUUUCUUUUCCAUAAGAUAUUUAAUAGCAGCAUGAUCAGUGUGAAUAGUUACUCUAGAAUCAACAAUAUAAGGUCUGAACUUAUCACAAGCAAAUACAACUGCUAAGAAUUCUUUUUCAGUAGUAGCAUAAUUUCUCUGAGCAUUGUCUAGUUUUACUAGCAUAUUGAAUAACAUUUAAUUUCUUAUCAACUCUCUACCCUAGAACAACACCUACAGUAUAAUCACUAGCAUCACACAUAAUUUCAAAAGGUAAAUACCAAUCAGGUGGUUGAACAAUAGGUGCAGAGAUCAAUGCUUUCUUAAGUAUUUCAAAUGCUUCUACACAAUCAUCAUCGAAAACAAAUGGUAUAUCUUUUUGCAAUAAAUUAGUCAGAGGCCGAGAAGUUUUUGAGAAGUCCUUAAUGAACCUCCUAUAAGAACCGGAAUGACCAAGGAAACUUCUUAUACCUUUGAUGUCCUUGGGGCAUGGCACAACAUCAACUUUGGCUUUAUCAACCUCAAUACCUCUUUCAGAAACUUUAUGCCCCAAGACAAUACCUUCGUUAACCAUAAAGUGACACUUUUCCCAAAUCUAGACAAGAUUAGUUUCUUCACAUCUCUGCAAAACUCGUUCAAGGUUGCUUAAGCGAUCAUCAAAAGAGGAUCCAUAGACGGAAAAAUCGUCCAUGAAAACCUCACAUAUCUUUUCACAAAAGUCAGAGAAUAUAGCCAUCAUGCAUCUUUGAAAGGUAGCAGGUGCAUUACAUAAACCAAAAGGCAUACGUCUAUAAGCAAAAGUACCAAAAGGGCAAGUAAAAGUAGUCUUUGAUUGAUCAUUGGCUGACACAGGUAUUUGAGAGAAACCAGAAUAACCAUCUAGAAAGCAAAAAUGUGUAUAUUUGGAUAAUCUUUCUAGCAUUUGAUCGAUAAAAGUUAAGGGGGUAAUGAUCUUUUUUAGUAGCUUUAUUUAAUUUGCGGAAAUAAAUUACCAUCCUAUAACCUGUAAUAAUUCUUUGCGGGAUCAACUCAUCUUUAUCAUUAGGAACGACAGUAAUACCUCCCUUCUUAGGGACACAAUGGACAAGACUUACCCAUUGACUAUCAGCAACGAGAUAAAUUAUACCUGCCUCAAGAAGCUUUAAUAUUUCCUUUCUUACCACUUCCUUCAUUUUAGGGUUUAGCCGUCGUUGAUGAUCACGAACUGGUUUGGCAUCUUCCACCAAAUUUAUUUUGUGUUGACACAGUGUGGGACUAAUGCCCUUAAGAUCAUCAAGAGUAUAUCCAAUAGCAGCACGGUGCUUCUUCAGAGUUUUCAAUAAUCUCUCUUCUUCAUGCUCUAAAAGGUUAGCACUAAUAAUAACAUGAUAUAUCUUUUUCUCAUCAAGAUAGGCAUAUUUAAGAGUAUCAGGUAACGGUUUGAGCUGAAACACGGGAUCACCCUUGGGUGGAGGAGGAUCCCCUAGGAUUUCAACAGGCAAAUUGUGUUUCAGGAUGGGUUCCUGUUUAAAGAAUACUUCCUCUAUUUCCCUUCUUUCAUUCAUAAACAUAUCAUUUUCUUGGUCUAGCAAAUAUUGUUCUAAAGGAUCACUAGGAGGCACGGUAAUAGAAGCAAGACCAAUAAUUUCAUCCUUACUAGGCAAUUCCUCUUCACGGUGUUGUCUACAAAAUUUAGAGAAAUUAAAUUCAUGAGACAUAUCACCUAAACCAAUAGUAACAACAUCCAUUUUGCAAUCUAUCUUAGCGUUAACUGUGUUCAAGAAGGGUCUACCAAAUAUAAUGGGACAAAAGCUAUCUUGUGGGGAACCAAGAACAAGAAAAUUAGCGGGAUAUUUAGUUUUCCCACACAAGACUUCAACAUCUCUAACAAUUCCAAUUUGUGAAAUCAAUAUCUUCUAUCUCAGCAGGUGCAGUAUCAUGCAUAAUUUCUUUGUAUAAGUCAUGAGGUAUAGCACUAGCACUAGCACCCAUAUCACAUAAGCCAUGAUAACAAUGAUAUCCUAUUUUAACAGAAAUAAUAGGCAUGCCUACCAAAUAUCUAGGUUUAUCUUUAGCACAAGGUUUAGCAAUUCUAGCAGUCUCAUCACGGAAAUGAAUAACAUGCCCAUCAAUAUUAUCAGACAAGGGAUCUUUAACAAUAGCAAUAUUAGGUUCAACUUUAAUUUACUCAGGAGGUGUAUAGGUCCUUAUAUUGCUUUUACGAACCACAGUUGAAGCUCUAGCAUGAUCUUUUAUCCUAACAGGGAAAGGUGGUUUCUCGACAUAAGCAGUAGGAACAAUAGGAUCAUUAUAGGUGACAUUCUUUUCUUCAACUUUAAUAGGUGCAACUACUUUUACUUCUAUGGGAGGCUGAUAUUUAAACCACUUCUCCCUAGGGAGAUCAACAUGAGUAGCAAAAGAUUCACAGAAAGAAGCUACUAUCUUAGAGUCAAGUCCAUAUUUAGUGCUAAAUUUACGGAAAACAUCGGUAUCCAUAAAAGAUUUAACACAAUCAUACUUAGGUGUCAUACCCGACUCCUUACCUUUGUCGAGGUCCCUAUCUUCAGAGUUGCGUUUAAUUCUUUCCAAUAAAUCCCAUUUGAAUUCAAUAGUCUUCAUCAUAAAAGAGCCAACACAAGAAGUAUCGAGCAUGGUGCGAUUGCUAUCAGAAAUCCGAGCAUAUAAAUUUUGAAUAAUCAUUUCUCUUGAGAGCUCAUGAUUGGGGCAUGAAUACAACAUUGAUUUAAGCCUCCCCCAAGCUUGAGCAAUGAUUUCUCCUUCGCGAGGCCAAAAAUUAUAUAUAUAUAUAAUCGCGAUCACGAUGAACAAGAUGCAUAGGAUAAAACUUCUGAUGAAAUUCCAAUUUCAAUCGUUUGUAGUUCCAUGACCCCGUAUCAUCACAUAGCCUAUACCAUGUCAAUGCAUCUCCCUUCAAAGAUAAAGGGAAGACCUUAUUUUUAAUAACAUCUCUGGGCACACAUGCAAGCUUAAAUUAUCCACAAACUUCAUCCACAUAUAUUAGGUGCUCAUCAGGAUGCAUUGUUCCGUCUCCUGCAAAAGGAUUAGCUAACAGUUUUUCUAUCAUACCCGAAGGAAUUUCAAAGCCGACAUUUUCAUUUUAAGUAGGUUCAGUAGGUUGAGGAGCAACUCUUUGCUCUACUGGUCGGGGUGAAGAUACCCCGAACAAGCCCCUCAGAGGAUUACUUUCCAUAGUAACAAGUGACAGUAAAUUUCAGCACACUAUAUAAAUAUUUCCUUACCAAAUUCCACCUACCAAAGGCUCUUCACUCCCCGGCAACGGCGCCAGAAAAGAGUCUUGAUGACCCACAAGUAUAGGGGAUCUAUCGUAGUCCUUUCGAUAAGUAAGAGUGUCGAACCCAAUGAGGAGCAGAAGGAAAUGAUAAGCGGUUUUCAGCAAGGUAUUCUCUGCAAGCACUGAAAUAAUAGGUAACAGAUAGUUUUGUGAUAGGAUAAUUUGUAACGAGUAACAAGUAACAAAAGUAAAUAAAGUGCAUCAAGGUGUCCCAAUCCUUUUUGUAGCAAAGGACAAGCAUGGACAAACUCUUAUAUAGAGAAAAGCGCUCCCGAGGACACAUGGGAAUAUCGUCAAGCUAGUUUUCAUCAUGUUCAUAUGAUUCGCGUUCGGUACUUUGAUAAUUUGGUAUGUGGGUGGACCGGUGCUUGGGUACUGUCCUCACUUGGACAAGCAUCCCACUUAUGAUUAACCUCUAUUGCAAGCAUCCGCAACUACAACAAAAGUAUUAAGGUAAACCUAACCAUAGCAUGAAACAUAUGGAUCCAAAUCAGCCCCUUACGAAGCAACGCAUAGACUAGGGUUUAAGCUUCUGUCACUCUAGCAACCCAUCAUCUACUUAUUACUUCCCAAUGCCUUCCUCUAGGCCCAAACAAUGGUGAAGUGUCAUGUAGUUGGCGUUCACAUAACACCACUAGAGGAGAGACAACAUACAUCUCAUCAAAAUAUCGAACGAAUACCAAAUUCACAUGACUACUAAUAGCAAGACUUCUCCCAUGUCCUCAGGAACAAACGUAACUACUCACAAAGCAUAUUCAUGUUCAUAACCAGAGGGGUAUUAAUAUGCAUAUAGGAUCUGAACAUAUGAUCUUCCACCAAAUAAACCAACUAGCAUCAACUACAAGGAGUAAUUAACACUACUAGCAACCCACAGGUACCAAUCUCAGACUUGGAGACAAGAAUUGGAUACAAGAGAUGAACUGGGGUUUUGAUAGGAGAAGGUGUUGGUGAAGAUGCUGAUGGAGACUGCCCUCUCGCGGGGAGAGGAGCGUUGGUAAUGACGAUGGCGAUGAUUUCCCCUCCCGGAGGGAAGUUUCCCCGGCAGAACAGCUCCACCAGAGCCCUAGAUUGGUUCCACCAAGGUUCCACCUUGUGGCGGUGGAGUCUCGUUCGGAAAGAUGGCUUAUCAUUUUUUUUCUCAUCGAAAGACUUCAUAUAGCAUAAGAUGGCCAUCGGAGGGCCACCAGGGGGCCCACAAGGUAGGGGGCGCUCCCAGGGGGUAGGGCGUGCCCCCACCCUUGUGGGCAGGGUGUGCCCCCCUGGUGAACUUCUUGCACUCAGUAUUUUUAUAUAUUUUGAAAACGACUUCCGUGAAGUUUCAGGACUUUUGGAGUUGUGCAGAAUAGGUCUAUAAUAUUUGCUCCUUUUCCAGCCCGGAAUCCCAGCUGCCGACAUUCUCCCUCUUUAUGUAAACCUUGUAAAAUAAGAAAGAAUAGGCAUAAGUAUUGGGACAUAAUGUGUAAUAACAGCCCAUAAGGCAAUAAAUAUCGAUAUAAAAGCAUGAUGCAAAAUGGACGUAUCAAAUAACACCUUAAGACAUAUAUCAACCAAAACCCUAAUGUCACCUAGAUACUCCAAUGUCACAUCAAGUAUCCAUGGGUAUGAUUAUACGAUAUGCAUCACACAAUCUCAGAUUCAUCUAUUCAACAAACACAUAGAACUUCAAAGAGUGCCCCAAAGUUUCUACCAGAGAGUCAAGACGAAAACGUGUGCCAACCCCUAUGCAUAAGUUCAUGAGGUCACGGAACUCACAAGUUGAUCACCAAAACAUACAUCAUGUGGAUCACGUGAUAUCCCAUUGUCACCACAGAUAAGCACAUGCAAGAUAUACAUCAAGUGUUCCCAAAUCCUUAAAGACUCAAUCUGAUAAGAUAACUUCAAAGGGAAAACUCAAUUCAUCACAAGAGAGUAGAGGGGGAGAAACAUCAUAAGAUCCUACUAUAAUAGCAAAGCUCGCGAUACAUCAAGAUCGUGCCGACUCAAGAACACGAGAGAGAGAGAGAGAGAUCAAACAUAUAGCUACUGGUACAUACCCUCAACCCAAGGGUGAACUACUCCCUCCUCGUCAUGGAGAGCGUCGAGAUGAUGAAGAUGGCCACCGGAGAGGGAUUCCCCCCUCCGGCAGGGUGCCGGAAAAGGUCUAGAUUGGUUUUCGGUGGCUACGGAGGCUUCUGGCGGUGGGACUCCCUUCUAUUCUGUUCCCUGAUGUUUUUAGGGUAUAUGGACAUAUAUCAGGGGAGCCACGAGGGGCCCACAAGGGUGGGGGCGCGCCCAGGGGCAGGCGCGCUCCCUGCUUCGUGGCCACCUCGAAGCUUCCUUGACUUCAACUCCAAGCCUCCUAGAUCACGUUCGUUCCAAAAAUCACGCUCCCGAAGGUUUCAUUCCGUUUGGACCAAGUUUGAUAUUCCUUUUCUGCGAAACACUGAAACAAGGGAAAAACAGAAACUGGUACUGGGCUCUGGGUUAAUAGGUUAGUCCCCAAAAUAAUAUAAAAGUGUUUAAUAAAGCCCAUAAACAUCCAAAACAGAUAGUAUAAUAGCAUGGAACAAUCAAAACUUAUAGAUACAUUGGAGACAUAUCAGCAUCCCCAAGCUUAAUUCUUGCUCGUCCUCGAGUAGGUAAAUGAUAAAAACAGAAGUUUUGAUGUGGAAUGCUACCUAACAUAUUUAUCAAUGUAAUCUUCUUUAUUGUGGAAAGAAUAUUCAGAUCCAUAAAAUUCAAGACAAAAGUUUAAUAUUGACAUAAAAAUAAUAAUACUUCAAGCAUACUAACUAAGCAAUCAUGUCUCCUCAAAAUAACAUGGCCAAAGAAAGUUCAUCCCUUCAAAAUCAUAUAGUUUGGUCAUGCUCAAUUUUCGUCACACAAGAAUGCUCUCAUCAUGCACAACCCCGAUGACAAGCCAAGCAAUUGUUUCAUACUUUAGUAAUCUCAAACCUUUUUCAACUUUCACGCAAUACAUGUGCGUGAUCCAUGGAUAUAGCACUAUGGGUGGAAUAGAAUAUAAUGAGGGGGUUAUGCGGAGAAGACAAAAAGGAGAAAGUCUCACAUCGACGCGACUAAUCAAUGGGCUAGGGAGAUGCCCAUCAAUUGGUGUCAAUUCAAGGAGUAGGGAUUGCCAUGCAACGGAUGCACUAGAGCUAUAAAUGUAUGAAAUCUCAACAAAAUAAACUAAGUGGGUGUGCAUCCAACUUGCUUGCUCACGAAGACCUAGGGCACUUGAGGAGGUCCAUUGUUGGAAUAUACAAGCCAAGUUCUAUACUGAAAAAUUCCCACUAGUAAAUGAAAGUGACAAAACAAUAGACUCCCUACUCAUAAUACCUAGGGCACUCUCUAUCAUGAAGAUCAUGGUGCUACUUUGAAGCACAAGUGUGGAAAAAGGAUAGUAGCAUUGCCCUUUUUUCUUUUUUCUUUUUUUGGGCCUUCCUUUUUUUAUUUGGCCUUUAUCCCUUUUUAUUUUUUAUUAUUUGAGACAAUGCUCUAUUAAUGAUGAUCAUCACACUUCUAUUUAUUUACAACUCAAUGAUUACAACUCGAUACCAGAACAAGAUAUGACUCUAUAUGAAUGCCUCCGGCGGUGUACCUGGAUGGGCAAUGAAUCAAGAGUGACAUGUAUGAUAAAUUAUGCAUGGUGGCUUUGCCACAAAUACGAUGUCAAGUACAUGAUCAUGCAAGGCAAUAUGACAAUGAUGAAGUCUGUCAUAAUAAACGGAACGGUGGAAUGUUGCAUGCCUAUAUACCUUGGAAUGGCUAUGGAAAUGCCAUAAUAGGUAGGUAUGGUGGCUGUUUUGAGGAAGAUAUAAGGAGGUUUAUGUGUGAUAGAGCGUAUCAUAUCACGGGGUUUAGAUGCACCAGCGAAGUUUGCACCAACUCUCAAGGUGAGAAAGGGCAAUGCACGGUACCGAAGAGGCUAGCAAUGAUGGAAGGGUAAGAGUGCGUAUAAUCCAUGGACUCAACAUUAGUCAUAAAGAACUCACAUAAUUAUUGCAAAAAUCUAUUAUUCAUCGAAACAAAGUACUACGCGCAUGCUCCUAGGGGGAUAGAUUAGUAGGAAAAGAUCAUCGCUCGUCCCCGACCGCCACUCAUAAGAAAGACAAUCAAAUAACACCUCAUGUUUCAAAUUUGUUACACAAUGUUUACCAUACGUGCAUGCUAUGGCACUUGCAAACUUGAACACAAGUAUUUCUCAAAUUCACAACUACUCAACUAGCACAACUUUAAUAUCACUAUCUCCAUAUCUCAAAACAAUCAUCAAGUAUCAAACUUCUCAUAUUUUUCAAUGCACUUAUAUGAAAGUUUUUUUUAUUAUAUCAAAAGCAAAUUACCAUGCUGUUCUAAAGGACUCUCAAAAUAAUAUAAGUGAAGCAUGAGAGAUCAAUUAUUUCUAUAAUAUAAAACCACCACCGUUCUCUAAAAGGAUAUAAGUGAAGCACUAGAGCAACGACAAACUACUCCGAAAGAUAUAAGUGAAGAUCAAUGAGUAGUUGAAUAAUUAUGCAACUAUGUGAAGACUCUCUAACAUUUAAGAAUUUCAGAUCUUUGUAUUUUAUUUAAACAGCAAGAAAAACAAAAUAAAAUAAAAUGACGCUCCAAGCAAAACACAUAUCAUGUGGUGAAUAAAAUAUAUCUCCAAGUAAAGUUACCGAUGGAUGAAGACGAAAGAGGGGAUGCCAUCCGGGGCAUACCCAAGCUUAGGCUCUUGUUUGUCCUUGAAUGUUACCUUGGGGUGGCCUGGGCAUCCCCAAGCUUAGGCUCUUUCCACUCCUUGUUCCAUAGUCCAUUGAAUCUUUACCCAAAACUUGAAAACUUCACAACACAAAACUUAACAGAAAACUCGUAAGCUCCGUUAAUAUAAGAAAAUAAAUCACGACUUAGGUAUUGUUGUGAACUCAUUAUAAAUCCAUAUUGGUGUAAUAUCUACUGUAUUCCAACUUCUUUAUGGUUCAUACCCUCCGAUACUACUCAUAGAUUCAUCAAAAUAAGCAAUCAACACAUAGAAAACAGAAUCUAUCAAAAACAGAACAGUCUGUAGUAAUCUGUAGGUUUCGAAUACUUCUGGAACCCCAAAAAUUCUAAAAUAAAUUUCUGGACGUGAGGAAUUUAUCUAUUAUCAUAUUCAAAAAGAAUUAACUAGAUAGCACUCUCCAGUAAAAAGUUGUAGCUAAUCUCGUGAGCGCUAAAGUUUCUGUUUUUUACAGCAAGAUCAAAAAGACUUCACCCAAGUCUUCCCAAAGGUUCUACUUGGCACAAACACUAACUAAAACAUAAAACCACAUAUAAACAGAGGAUAUAUGAAUUAUUUAUUACUAAACAGGAACAAAAAGCAAGAAACGAAAAUAAAAUUGGGUUGACUCACAACAAGCGCUAACGUUUAACGCCCGAUUUCAAUGAUGCUCACAUAAAAGAUAUGAAUUGUAACAUAAAGAGAGCAUCACGAAGAAUAUGACUAGCACAUUUAAGUCUAACCCACUUCCUAUGCAUAAGGAUUUUGUGGGAAAACAAUUUAUUGGAACAAUAAUCAUCUAGCAUAGGAAGGAAAAACAAGCAUAACUUUAAAACUUUCAGCACAUAGAGAGGAAACUUGAUAUUAUUGCAACUCCUACAAGCAUAUGUUCCUCCCUCAUAAUAAAUUUCAGUAGCAUAAUGAAUGAAUUCAACAAUUCAACCAUCACAUAAAGCAUUAUUUUCAUGAUCUACAAGCAUAGAAAAUUUACUACUCUGCACAUAAGCAAGAUUCUUCUCAAUCGGAAUAGUGGGAGUAUCAUAAGAAACUCGAAUACUAUAAAUUGUUUCCACAUUAAAAGAGUAACAUUCAGAAAAAGGGUAAUCAUAAUCAUGAUAAGUUUUAUAAAUAUAAUCAUCACUACUUUUAAGCAUGAGUGUCAUCACAAUAAUCAUCAUAAGUAGGAACUUUGUUCUCAUCAUAAUCAAUUGAAACCUCUUCCAAGAUAGUGGAAUCAUUACUAAAUAAAGUCAUGACCUCUCCAAAUCCACUUUCAUAAUUAUCACAAUAAGAUUCAACAUCCUCCAAAAUAGUGGGAUCAUUACUCCCUAAAGUUGACAAUCUUCCAAACCCACUUUCAUCAAUAUAAUCAUCAUAAAUAGGAGGCAUGCUAUCAUCAAAAUAAAUUUGCUCAUCAAAACUUGGGGGACAAGAAAUAUCAUCUUCAUCAAACAUAGCAUCCCCAAGCUUGUGGCUUUGCAUAUCAUUAGAAUCAUAGAUAUUCAAGGAAUUCAUACUAACACCAUUGCAAUCAUGCUCAUCAUACAAAGAUUUAGUGCCAAACAUUCUAAUGCAUUCUUCUUAUGACAAUUUGGCACAAUUAUCGGAAUCCUUAUUUUCACGAAAGACAUUAAAAAGAUGAAGCAUAUGAGGUACCCUUAAUUCCAUUUUUUGUAGUUUUAUUUUAUAAACUAAACUAGUGAUAAAACAAGAAACAAAAAGAUUCGAUUGCAAGAUCUAAAGAUAUAACAUCAAGUGCUAACCUCCCCGGCAACGGCGCCAGAAAAGAGCUUGAUGUCUACUACACAACCUUCUUCUUGUAGACGUUGUUGGGCCUCCAAGUGCAGAGGUUUGUAGGACAGUAGAAAAUUUCCGUCAAGUGGAUGACCUAAGGUUUAUCAAUCCGUGGGAGGCGUAGGAUGAAGAUGGUCUCUCUCAAACAACCUUGCAACCAAAUAACAAAGAGUCUCUUGUGUCCCCAACACACCCAAUACAAUGGUAAAUUGUAUAGGUGCACUAGUUCGGCGAAGAGAUGGUGAUACAAGUGCAAUAUGGAUGAUAGAUAUGGGUAUUUGUAAUCUGAAAAUAUAAAAACAGCAACGUAGCAAGUGGUAAAAGUGAGCGUAAACGGUAUUGCAAUGCGUUCAAACAAGGCCUAGGGUUCAUACUUUCACUAGUGUAAGUUCUCUCAACAAUAAUAACAUAAUUGGAUCAUAUAACUAUCCCUCAACAUGCAACAAAGAGUCACUCCAAAGUCACUAAUAGCGGAGAACAAACGAAGAGAUUAUUGUAGGGUACGAAACCACCUCAAAGUUAUUCUUUCUGAUUGAUCUAUUCAAGAGUGCAUAGUAAAAUAACAAGAAGCUAUUCUUUCCGUUCGAUCUAUCAUAGAGUUCGUACUAGAAUAACACCUGAAGACGCAUAUCAACCAAAACCCUAAUGUCAAGUAGAUACUCCAAUAUCACCUCAGGUAUCCGUGGGUAUGAUUAUACGAUAUGCAUCACACAAUCUCAGAUUCAUCUAUUCAACCAACACAUAGAACUUCAAAGAGUGCCCCAAAGUUUCUACCGGAGAGUCAAGACGAAAACAUGUGCCAACCCCUAUGCAUAAGUUCACGAGGUCACGGAACUCGCAAGUUGAUCACCAAAACAUACAUCAAGUCGAUCACGUGAUAUCCCAUUGUCACCACAGAUAAGCACAUGCAAGACAUACAUCAAGUGUUCUCAAAUCCUUAAAGACUCAAUCCGAUAACAUAAUUUCAAAUGGAAAACUCAAUUCAUCACAAGAGAGUAGAGGGGGAGAAACAUCAUAAGAUCCAACUAUAAUAGCAAAGCUCGCGAUACAUCAAGAUUGUGCCGACUCAAGAACACGAGAGAGAAAGAGAGAGAGAGAGAGAGUGAGAGAGAGAUCAAACACAUAGCUACUGGUACAUACCCUCAGCCCCGAGGUUGAACUACUCCCUCCUCGUCAUGGAGAGCGCCGGGAUGAUGAAGAUGGCGACCGGAGAGGGAUUCCCCCCUCCGGUAGGGUGCCGGAAAGGGUCUAGAUUGGUUUUCGGUGGCUACGGAGGCUUCUGGCGGCGGGACUCCCGAUCUAUUCUGUUCCCUGAUGUUUUUAGGGUAUAUGGACAUAUAUAGGCGAAAGAAGUCGGUCAGGGGAGCCAUGAGGGGCCCACGAGGGUGGGGGCGUGCCUAGGGGGCAGGUGCGCCUCCCUGCCUCGUGGCCACCUUGAAGCUUCCUUGACUUCAACUCCAAGUCUCCUGGAUCACGUUCAUUCCAAAAAUCACGCUCUCGAAGGUUUCAUUCCAUUUGGACUCCGUUUGAUAUUCCUUUUCUGCGAAACACUGAAACAAGGGAAAAAACAGAAACUGGCACUGGGCUCUGGGUUAAUAGGUUAGUCCCAAAAAUAAUGUAAAAGUGUUUAAUAAAGCCCAUAAACAUCCAAAACUGAUAAUAUAAUAGCAUGGAACAAUCAAAAAUUAUAGAUACGUUGGAGACGUAUCAGUACACCGUCAUGUCUUUUGUCUUGAUGAUACGUCUCCAACAUAUCUAUAAUUUUUGAUUGUUCCAUGCUAUUAUAUUAUCAACCUUGGAUGUUUUAUAUGCAUUUAUAUGCUAUUUUAUAUGAUUUUUCGGACAAACCUAUUAACCUAGAGCCCAGUGCCAGUUUCUGUUUUUUCCUUGUUUUAGAGUAUCACACAAAAGGAAAAUCAAACGGAGUCCAAUUGACCUGAAACUGCAUGGAACUUAUUUUUGGACCAGAAGAAGCCCACGGAGCAUCGGAGAUGGACCAGAAGAGUCCCGGGCUGCCGACGAGGGUGGGGGCGUGCCCAGGGCGCGCCCCUGCCUCGUGGACAGCCCGGAGACCCCCCUGACUUGUUCUCGACGCCAAAACCUCAUAUAUAUAUAUAGAAACUUCCAGAAAGAAACCUAGAUCGGGAAUUCCACCGCCAGAAUCCUCCGUAGCCACCAAAAACCAAUCUAGACCCGUUCUGGCACCCUGCUUGAGGGGGGAUCCCUCUCCGGUGGCCAUCUUCAUCAUCCCGGCGCUCUCCAUGACGAUGAGGGAGUAGUCCACCCUCGGGGCUGAGGGUAUGUACCAGUAGCUAUGUGUUUGAUCUCUCUCUCUCUCUCCUAUUCUUGACUCGGCACGAUCUUGAUGUAUCGCGAGCUUUGCUAUUAUAGUUGGAUCUUAUGAUGUUUCUCCCCCUCUACUCUCUUGUAAUGGAUUGAGUUUUCACUUUGAAGUUAUCUUAUCAGAUUGAGUCUUUAAGGAUUUGAGAACACUUGAUGUAUGUCUUGCAUGUGCUUAUCUGUGGUGACAAUGGGAUAUCACACGAUCCACAUGAUGUAUGUUUUGGUGAUCAACUUGCGAGUUCCGUGACCUCGUGAACUUAUGCAUAGGGGUUGGCACAUGUUUUCGUCUUGACUCUCUGGUAGAAACUUUGGGGCACUCUUUCAAGUUCUUUGUGUUGGUUGAAUAGAUGAAUCUGAGAUUGUGUGAUGCAUAUCGUAUAAUCAUACCCACGGAUACUUGAGGUGACAUUGGAGUAUCUAGGUGACAUUAGGGUUUUGGUUGAUUUGUGUCUUAAGGUGUUAUUCUCGUAAGAACUCUAGGAUAGAUUGAACGGAAAUAAUAGCUUCAUGUUAUUUUACUAUGGACUCUUGAAUAGAUCAAUCAGAAUGGAUAACUUUGAGGUGGUUUCGUACCCUACAAUAACCUCUUAGUUUGUUCUCCGCUAUUAGUGACUUUGGAGUGACUCCUUGUUGCAUGUUGAGGGAUAGUUAUAUGAUCCAGUUAUGUUAUUAUUGUUGAGUGAACUUGCACUAGUGAAAGUAUGAACCCAAGGCCUUGUUUCCCAGCAUUGCAAUACCGUUUUCGCUCACUUUUAUCAUUAGUUACCUUGAUGUUUUUAUAUUUUCAGAUUACGAAAACCUAUAUCUACUAUACAUAUGGCACUUGUAUCACCAUCUCUUCGCCAAACUAGUGCACCUAUACAAUUUACCAUUGUAUUAGGUGUGUUGGGGGACACAAGAGACUCUUUGUUAUUUGGUUGCAGGGUUGCUUGAGAGAUACCAUCUUCACCCUACGCCUCCCACGGAUUGAUAAACCUUAGGUCAUCCACUUGAGGAAAAUUUGCUACUGUCCUACAAACCUCUGCACUUGGAGGCCCAACAACAUCUACAAGAAGAAGGUUGUGUAGUAGACAUCACUUGACAAAUGCUCCAGCCACAUUCUCUCAUCUGAUGAACUACAUAUUCAUGGAUUGCCUCGACAAGUUCAUUGUAGUCUAUCUGGAUGAUAUUCUGGUAUAUUUGAAGAACAAAGAAGAACAUGCCGAACAUCUUCGUCUUGUUCUGGAAAACCUUCAAGCCUCAUUUGGUACAAGGGGAUUUGAGAGGUUUUGGGAGGCGGGGAUUCAGGAGGAUUUGGUGAAUCCCUUCCUUCCACCCAAUCCCCUCAAUUCCCCUCACAUCCCCAAGUUUUCAAUCCCCUUCCAUAAAAACAUGUUUGGUAGACGGGGUUUGAUAUAAUAGACUGAUGGCAAUAGUGCAAUUAAAAAUCCCAUCUUUGCUAGUUUAACAAAUCUAACCAUGUUGGUCCUCACAAUAUUCUGUUACAAGAAUAGGUUACUCCCAGAUUAUAACUUGCUCCCAGAUUAUUUUGUUACAAGAACAACAUGUCCUCAUAAUAUUAUGUUACAACCAAAGUUUAACAUAGGUGGUAGCCAUGUUUGUAUUUCGGUGGCUGCAUUUCAUGUUGCCAUUGGCAAUUGAGCUCUUUCCUUUGUUACCAUCUAACUCCAGCCUAGAAGCAGCAAAUACUCGUAAUAACUCUGCAUGAAAACAUCGAUCUUGAGUCCACAUAAAAGAAGGCCAAAAGCAAAUACUCGUAAUAACUCUGCUUGAAAACAUUGAUCUCUGUCAAAAUAAGAACAAGUUAGCAAGGGCCAUUACAUAAUUCAGUUCAACAGAAAUGGACCAAGUUCUUAUAAAUAGCAUUCGUGCUAUAAAGAACAAGUUAGCAAGGUCUGAGAUCAUUGUUUCUAAAAUUCAUCGAUUGUUUCUAAAAUGAUCCAUACAUAUCUUGCCGCCAAGACUAAUUUGGUACACAGAUUCAGUUUGCUACUGCAAGUAAUCACAAUAAAACUUAUUCUCAAAUGAUUUAUGAUGGCGAGAACAUGAAAAGAAAAAGUUACAUCUUACCGGGGAAAAUACCAGCUCUUCGGUUGGUGUGAAGGAGGCUGAUGGCUGCGAGGCAUGGAGAAGGUUGAUGCUGGCGGAGCGUGGAAGAGGCUGCAAGGUCCAUGGAGGGAAGGGAGAUCAAGUUAGUAAGGUUUAGUACAUAGAUUCAGUUCAACGGAAAUGGACCAAGUUAGCUAGCUAGCUAGAUGAAUAGAUAGUAAUGAACUACAAGUACUAGUAUGCAUGAUGCUCCCAAGAUAACAAGUGUACUAGUAAGCCAAUGCAAUGCAGAACAUGAUUCACGAACAAACAAACAAACAAACAGGUGAUCGGUGCUCCCAAAUAACCAGCAUGAGGUGUACAGUGUACUAGUUCAUCCAUCCUACAGACUAUAUCACCACAACUAGAUAACAAUAUUGGUAAGCAAUGCAAAGUACGAUUUACAAAAAAAUAGUGGAUGGGUGCAAACAUCAUCAUCAUAAAGUUAUUCUAGACUGCUAUCCUAUUUCUAGGAAUGGAGAAAACGGCAUCACACAAGAGAAUUAAGUAUUAAAAGCGUAGCAUUGACCAGAAAUAGUAUGUUGCAAUUCCAGGAGCAAAUGGAUACUAUGCAGAGCAACAUUACCAGUCCCAUCUCAUUGACUAGUAAUGAAACUGUAUGAUACAUACUUCUGGAUGAGUCAUUGUAGUUUACAGAUCCUGUGAUUAAGCUUUUUUUAACCCUCACACCGUAGAACAACCAUUCUGCAGUAAAUUUUAUAAAAUAAUAAGUGUGAUUAAGCCUAUUCAAUAAACAUAUCUUAAAUUUUUGGGAUCAGCGUGCAAUCAAAUGAUGGAAUUCAAUCAUCAAUUGUAGCAUGAAACUAAACUGUAAUUGUACUUAAAUUUCUCUAUGUUUCCUUUUACGAUGAUGCGAUCCAGUUCGGUUCAAAAGCUAAAAAAAUACCAGGCGUUAUGCCAGUACUUAACUCACAGUCUCACACCCAUGCAUGAUGUAAUUCGGUUCGAUUGUCCCACAAAUUGGAUACGCAGAUUAUAUAUAGUAGAAGAUUAGUCUAAUCGGACUGAACUGAAAUCAAGAGUCUACAUAAUCGACUAGCUAGAGAUCAAGAUCCUCAUAGAUGAAGUCAAUUGACCUAUAAAGAGAGCCCGGCUUGGAUCAACAAUGCAAGGGAUUCAAGAUAUAGCCGAAAAUCCAGGGGAAUUAGGCAGCACACGUACAUCCAUAGGAAAUAAAAUACAACUCUUACCUAGGGACAAGCAAGCUUGGGCUCCAUGGUGGAGGGCUGGGGCGGCGAUGCAUGUCGAUGAACGGGAGGGCCUUGGAGGUGGCUGGGGUUGCCGGAGAGGGAGAGCGGAGAAGGGGAGGCGGCGGUGGCCCAGCGGUGUAAACCCUAGUCCCCGCCUUUGCUCGCAAAGUGGAGAAUGGGAGGGAGCGGCGGCGUGGUGGCGUAAACCCUAGUCCCCGUCUCUCCCUGAUGGCAGGGCGGCUCCUCUCGGUGGUGGUGGGGCGGCAUCGUCGCUUUGCCAUCUCGUUCCCUGCCUGUGCCCUCGAGGCUCGGGAGACGCAUGGAUUAAAGGGGAUGGAAGGGGGAUGGAAGGGAUUGCGUUGGGAAAACCAUGUGAAACAAAUGGUUCGUCGGGGUUUUCUGAGGUUUUUGGGCCCCGCGGGGUUGAUUCUCUAGAAACCCUCUCAAUCCCCUUGUACCAAAUGAGGCCUCAAGAGCAUCAACUUUAUGCCAAGUAUGCCAAGUGCGAAUUCUGGCUUCCCGAAUUAACCUACCUUGGGCAUGUCAUCUCCAAGGAUGGUAUUGCCGUCAACCCAGAGCGAGUUCAGGCUAUUCUUGGCCGGACCCCUCCGAAGACUAUCAAGCAAGUGAGAAGCUUUCUCGGACUUGCUAGUUAUUGCCACCGUUUCAUCGAGAACUUCUCCAAGAUUGCCAAGCCCCUGACUAAUCUACUUCACAAGGGCGUUAAGUUUGAUUGGAUUGAAAAAUGUCAGGAAAGUUUCUAGGCACUCAAGGACAAGCUGACGUCUGCCCCAGUGAUUGCUCCCCCUGAUGCGAUCAAGGACUUCGUCAUCUAUUGCGACACUUCACCACAAGGAUUAGGUUGUGUCCUAAUGCAAGAGUGCAGAGUGAUUCCUUAUGCCUCCCGUCAAGUGCUUCCUCUGUUGGAAAUAUGCCCUAGAGGCAAUAAUAAAUUAGUUAUUAUUAUAUUUCUUUGUUCAUGAUAAUCGUUUAUUGUCCAUGCUAUAAUUGUAUUGAUAGGAAAUUCAGAUACAUGUGUGGAUACAUAGACAACACCAUGUCCCUAGUAAGCCUCUAGUUGACUAGCUCGUUGAUUAAUAGAUGGUUACGGUUUCCUGACCAUGGACAUUGGAUGUCGUUAAUAACGGGAUCACAUCAUUAGGAGAAUGAUGUGAUGGAUAAGACCCAAUCCUAAGCCUAGCACAAAGAUCGUGCAGUUCGUAUGCUAAAGCUUUUCUAAUGUCAAGUAUCAUUUCCUUAGACCAUGAGAUUGUGCAACUCCCGAAUACCGUAGGAGUGCUUUGGGUGUGCCAAACGUCACAACGUAACUUGGUGGCUAUAAAGUUACACUAUAGGUAUAUCCGAAAGUGUCUGUUGGGUUGGCACGAAUCGAGACUAGGAUUUGUCACUCCGUGUAAACGGAGAGGUAUCUCUGGGCCCACUCGGUAGGACAUCAUCAUAAUGUGCACAAUGUGAUCAAGGAGUUGAUCACGGGAUGAUGUGUUAUGGAACGAGUAAAGAGACUUGCCGGUAACGAGAUUGAACAAGGUAUCGGGAUACCGACGAUCGAAUCUCGGGCAAGUAUCGUACUGCUAGACAAAGGGAAUUGUAUACGGGAUUGAUUAAGUCCUUGACAUCGUGGUUCAUCCGAUGAUAUCAUCGUGGAGCAUGUGGGAGCCAACAUGGGUAUCCAGAUCCCGCUGUUGGUUAUUGACCGGAGAGUUGUCUCGGCCAUGUCUGCAUGACUCACGAACCCGUAGGGUCUACACACUUAAGGUUCGAUGAUGCUAGGGUUAUAGGGAAAGUAUGUACGCGGUUACCAAAUGUUGUUCGGAGUCCCGGAUGAGAUCCCGUACAUCACGAGGAGUUCCGGAAUGGUCCGGAGGUAAAGAUUAAUAUAUAGGAAGUAUGGUUUUGGCCACCGGAAGUGUUCCGGGCAUCACCGGUAGUGUACCGGGACCACCGGAGGGGUCCGGGGGUCCACCAGGUGGGGCCACCAGCCCCGGAGGCCUACGUGGGCCAAUAGUGGGAAGGGACCAGCCUCUAGGUGGGAUGGGGUGCCUCCCACCAAGGCCCAAGGCGUCCUCAAGAGGAGAGGGGGCAAACCCUAGGGGCAGAUGGGCCCUAAGGCCCACCCUAGGUGCGCCCCCCUCUCUCUCUCCCCCUUGGCCGCCUCCCAGAUGGAAUCUGGGGGCUGCCGCCACCCCUAGGGAGGGAACCCUAGGUGGGGGCGCAGCCCCUCCCCUCCCCCUAUAUAUACUUGAGCAAAGGGGCAUCCCAACACACGAUUGAAUCUCCCUGUUGGCGCAGCCCUACCCCUCUCCCUCCUCAUCUCUCGUAGUGCUUGGCGAAGCCCUGCUGGAGUCCCGCGCUCCUCCACCACCACCACGCCGUCGUGUUGCUGCUGGAUGGAGUCUUCCCCAACCUCUCCUUCUCCCCUUGCUCGAUCAAGGCGUAGGAGACGUCACCGGGCUGUACGUGUGUUGAACACGGAGGUGUCGUCCGUUCGGCACUAGGAUCAUCGGUGAUUUGGAUCACGACGAGUACGACUCCAUCAACCCCGUUCACUUGAACGCUUCCGCUUAGCGAUCUACAAGGGUAUGUAGAUGCACUCUCCUUCCCCUCGUUGCUAGAUUACUCCAUAGAUUGAUCUUGGUGAUGCAUAGAAAAUUUUGAAUUUCUGCUACAUUCCCCAACAGUGGCAUCAUGAGCUAGUUCUAUGCGUAGUUUCUAUGCACGAGUAGAACACAAAGCAGUUGUGGGCGUCGAUAUUGUCAAUUUACUUGCCGUUACUAGUCUUAUCUUGAUUCGGCGGCAUCGUGGGAUGAAGCGGCCCGAACCGACCUUACAUGUACUCUUACGUGAGACUGGUUCCACCGACUGACAUGCACUAGUUGCAUAAGGUGGCUAGCGGGUGUCUGUCUCUCCCACUUUAGUCGGAUCGGAUUCGAUGAAAAGGGUCCUUAUGAAGGGUAAAUAGAAAUUGAAAUAUCAUGUUGUGGUUUUCGCGUAGGUAAGAAACGUUCUUGGUAGAAACCUAUAACAGCCACGUAAAAACUUGCAACAACAAUUAGAGGACGUCUAACUUGUUUUUGCAGCAUAUGCCUUGUGAUGUGAUAUGGCCAAAAGGAUGUGAUGAAUGAUAUAUGUGAUGUAUGAGAUUGAUCAUGGUCUUGUAAUAGUAAUCACGACUUGCAUGUCGAUGAGUAUGACAACCGGCAGGAGCCAUAGGAGUUGUCUUAAUUUAUUUAUGACCUGCGUGUCAACAUAAACAUCAUGUAAUUACUUUACUUUAUUGCUAAAGCGUUAGCCAUAGUAGUAGAAGUAAUAGAUGACGAGACAACUUCAAGAAGACACAAUGAUGGAGAUCAUGAUGAUGGAGAUCAUGGUGUCAUGCUGGUGACAACGAUGAUCAUGGAGCCCCGAAGAUGGAGAUCAAAAGGAGCAAAAUGAUAUUGGCCAUAUCAUGUCACUAUUUGAUUGCAUGUGAUGUUUAUCAUGUUUUACAUCUUAUUUUCUUAGAACGACGGUAGCUUAAAUAAGAUGAUCCCUCACUAAAAUUUCAAGAAAGUGUUCCCCCUAACUGUGCACCAUUGCGAAGGUUCGUCGUUUCGAAGCACCACGUGAUGAUCGGGUGUGAUAGAUUCUAACGUUCGAAUACAACGGGUGUAAGCCAGAUUUACACAGCAAAAACACUUAGGUUGACUUGACGAGCCUAGCAUGUACAGACAUGGCCUCGGAAUACGGAAGACCGAAAGGUUGAGCAUGAGUCGUAUAGAAGAUACGAUCAACAUGAAGAUGUUCACCGAUGUUGACUAGUCAGUCUCACGUGAUGAUCGGACACGGCCUAGUUGACUCGGAUCAUUUUUCACUUAGAUGACUAGAGGGAUGUCUAUCUGAGUGGGAGUUCAUUAGAUGAACUCAAUUAUCAUGAACAUAGUCUAAAUUGUCUUUGCAAAUAUGUUGUAGAUAAAUAGCUCACGUUGUAGCUCCCUGUUUCAAUACGUUCCUAGAGAAAGAUUAAGUUGAAAGAUAUUGUAAGCAAUGAUGCGGACUAGGUCCGUAGUCCGAGGAGUGUCCUCACUGCUACACAGAAGGCUUACAUAUUUGAUGCACUACUCGAUGUGCAAACCCCUACAACGUCGUCUGUGGAUGUUGUGAACACCUGACAGACAUGUCCUGAUGACUACUUGAUAGUUUAGUGCACCAUACUUUACGGCUUAGAAUCGGGAUUCCAAUGACGUAUUGAACGCCAUAAGACAUAUGAGAUGUUCAAAGAGCUGAAAUUGGGAUUUCAGGCUCAUGCCCGUGUUGAGAGGUAUGAGACCUCUAACAAGUUCUUUUGCCAACAAGAUGGAGGAGAAUAGCUCAGCUAGUGAGCAUGUGCUCAGAAUGUCUAGGUGCAACAAUCACUUAAAUCAAGUGGGAGUUAAACUUCCAGAUAAGAUAGUGAUUGAUAGAGUUCUCUAGACACUAUCACUAAGCUACCAGAUCUUCGUGAUGAACUAUGACAUGCAAGGGAUGGAGUUGAUCCUGGAGCUAUUCGUGGUGCUUAAGACCACAAAAGGUAGAAAUCAAAGAAGGAGCAUCAAGUGUUGAUGGUUUAACAAGACCAGUGGUUUCAAGAAGGGCAAGGGCUAGAAGGGAAACUUCAUGGAUGGUAAACCAGUUGCCGCUCCAGUGAAGGAACCCAAGGUUGAACCCAAAACCGAGACUAAGUGCUUCUAUUGUAAGGGGAACGGUCACUGGUAGCGGAAUUACCCCAAAUGCAUGGUAGAUAAGAAGGCUGGCAACUUCAACAAAGUAUAUACGUAUUAUUAAUGUGUACCUCGCUAGUACUCCUAGUAGCACCUGGGUAUUGGAUACCGGUUUAGUUGCUAUUACUGGUGACUUGAAGCAAAAGCUACGGACUAAACAGAGACUGGCUAAGAGUGAGGUGACGAUGUGUGUUGGAAGUGUUUCCAAAGUUGAUGAGAUCACCAUCGCACGCUCCAUCUGCCUUCGGGAUUAAUAUUGAACUUAGAUAAAUGUUAUCAGGUGUCUACGUUGAGCAUGAAUAUGAUUAGAUCAUGUUCAUUGCAAUACGGUCAUUCAUUUAAAUUAGAGAAUAAUGGUUAUUCUGUUUACAUGAAUGACACAUUUCAUGGUCAUGCACCCUAUGUGAAUGGUUCAUUGAAUCUCGGUCGUGGUAAUACACAUCUUCACACCAAAAAGAUGUAGAGUUAAUAAUGAUAGUACCACUUUCUUGUGGCACUGCCGCUUAGGUCAUAUUGGCAUAAAGAAGCAUGAAGAAACUCCAUGUCGAUGGAUGUUUGGAGUCACUUGAUUUUGAAUCGCUUGACACAUGCGAGCCAUGCCUCAUGGGCAGGAUGACUAAGACCCCGUUUUCAGGUACAAUGAAACGGGCAAGUGACUUGUUGGAAAUCAUACAUGCUAAUGCGUGUGAUCCAAUGAGAAUUGAAGCGUGCGGUGGAUAUCGCUAUUUUCUCAUCUUCACUGACGAUUUGAGUAGAUAUAGGUAUAUUUACUUAAUGAAGCACAAGUCUGAAACGUUUGAAAAGUUCAAGCGAUUUCAGAGUGAAGUUAGGAAUCAUCAUAACAAAAAGGAUCAUGUUCCUACGAUCUGAUCAAAAGGGGAUUUUCAAAGUUAUGAGUUUGGCAAUCACUUAAGACAUUGUGGAAUUGUUUCACAGUUGAAGCCACCUGGAACACCACAAGGUAAUGGUGUGUCCGGACGUUGUAAUCGAACCCUAUGAGAUAUGGUGCGAUCUAUGAUGUCUCUUACCAAUCUACCGUUUUCAUUUUGAGGUUAUGCGUUAGAGACAACUGCAUUCACUUUAGAUAGGACACCAUCCAAGUCCGUUGAGACGAUGUCGUAUGAACAUUGGUUUGGCAAGAAACCAAAGUUGUCGUUUCUUAAUGUUUGGGGCUGCGAUGCUUAAGGCUUCAGCCGGAGAAGCUCGAACCCAAAGCGGACAAACACAUAUUCAUAGGAUACCCAAAGGUGACAGUUGGGUAUACCUUCUAUCUCAGAUCCGAGGGCAAAUUGUUUGUUGCUAAGAACGGGUCCUUUCUCGAGAAGGAGUUUCUCUCGAAAGAAUUGAGUGGGAGGAAGAUAGAACUUGAUGAGGUUGUCGGACCUUUAUUUCAACCAGGGAAUGAUGCAACACAGAAAGAUGUUUUCUGUGGUACCUAUGUCUGUUGAAUAGGAAGUUAAUGAUAGUGAUCAUGAAGCUUCGGAUCAAGUUGCUAUCGAACCUCGUAGGUCGACAAGGAUAUGUACUACUCCUAAGUGGUACGGUAAUCCUGUCUUAGACAUCAUGUUGUUAGACAACAAUGAACCUACGAUCUAUGGAGAAGCGAUGGUGGGCCCGUAUUCCGACAAAUGGUUAGAAGCCAUGAAAUCUGAGAUAGGAUUCAUAUAUCAGAACAAAAUAUGGACUUUGGUGGACUUGCCCGAUGAUCGGCAAGCCAUUGAGAUAAAUGGAUCUUUAAGAAGGAGACGGACGUGGGUGGUAAUGUUACCGUCUAUGAAGCUCGACUUGUGGGAAAGAGUUUUUUUUCACAAGUUCAAGGAGUUGACUACGAUGAGAAUUUCUCACCCGUAGUGAUGCUUAAGUCCGUCGGAAUCAUGUUAGCAUUAGCUGUAUUUUUCGAUUAUGAAAUCUUACAGAUGGAUGUCAAAACAAGUUUUCUUACCAAGUUUUCGUAAGAAAAGUUGUAUGUGAUACAACAAAAGGUUUUGUCGAUCCUAAGGAUGCUAAAAGGUAUGCUGGCUCCAGCAAUCCUUCUAUGGACUAGAGCAAGCAUCUCAGAAUCGGAAUAUAUGUUUUGAUGGAGUGAUCAAAGCUUUUAGGUUUAUACAAUGUUUGCUAGAAACUUGUAUUUACAAGAAAGUGAGUGGGAGCACUACAAAAUUUCUGAUAAGUAUAUGUGGAUGACAUAUUGUUGAUCCGAAAUGAUGUAGAAUUUUUGGAAUGCAUAAACAGUUGUUUGAAGAGUGAUUUUCAAAGGAAGACCUGGAUAAAGAUGCUUACAUAUUGGGCAUCAAGAUCUAUAGAGAUAGAUCAAAACGCCUGAUGAUACUUUCAAAGAACGCACACCUUGACAUGUUUUUGAAGGAGUUCAAAAUAGAUCAGUCAAAGAAGGGGUUCUUACCUGAGUUGUAAGGUGUGAAGUUGAGUAAGACUCAAAGCUUGGCCAUGGCAGAAGAAAGAGGAAGGACGAAGGUCGUCCCCUAUGCUCUUGUCAUAGGCUCUAUACGGUAUGCCAUGCUGAGUACCGCACCUGAUGUGUGCCUUGCCACAUGUCUGGCAAGAGGGUACAAAGGUGAUCUAGGAGUAGAUCACUAGAUAGCGGUCAAAAUUAUCCUUAGAGGAAUAAGGAAAUGUUUCUCGGUUAUGGAGGUGAUAAAGAGUUCGACAUAAAGAGUUACGUCGAUGCAAGCUUAACACCUAUCCGGAUAACUCUGAGUAGAGAUACCGGAUAUGUAUAAUGGAGCAAGAAUUUGGAAUAGCUCCAAGUGGAACGUGGUAGCAGCAUCUACGAUAUGACAUAAAGUUUUGCGAAGUACAUAGGGAUCUAAAUAUGGCAAGACCCGUUGACUACAACCUCUCUCAAGCAUAACAUGAUCAAACCCAGAACUCUUUGAAUGUUUAUCACAUUGUGAUGUGAACUAGAUCAUUGAGUCUAGUAGACUCUUGGAUGUUGGUCACAUGGCGAUGUGACCUAUGAGUGUUAAUCACAUGGCGAUGUGAACUAGAUUAUUGACUCUAGUGCAACUGGGAGACUGUUGGAUAUAUGCCCUAGAGGCAAUAAUAAAUUAGUUAUUAUUAUAUUUCAUUGUUCAUGAUAAUCGUUUAUUGUCCAUGCUAUAAUUGUAUUGAUAGGAAACUCAGAUACAUGUGUGGAUACAUAGACAACACCAUGUCCCUAGUAAGCCUCUAGUUGACUAGCUUGUUGAUCAAUAGAUGGUUAUGGUUUCCUGAAAAUGGACAUUGGAUGUCGUUGAUAAUGGGAUCACUUCAUUAGGAGAAUGAUGUGAUGGACAAGACCCAAUCCUAAGCCUAGCACAAAGAUCGUGUAGUUCGUAUGCUAAAGCUUUUCUAAUGUCAAGUAUCAUUUCCUUAGACCAUGAGAUUGUGCAACUCCCGAAUACCGUAGGAGUGCUUUGGGUGUGCCAAACGUCACAACGUAACUGGGUGGCUAUAAAGGUACACUACAGGUAUCUCCGAAAGUGUCUGUUGAGUUGGCACAAAUCGAGACUGGGAUUUGUCACUCCGUGUAAACGGAGAUGUAUCUCUGGGCCCACUCGGUAGGACAUCAUCAUAAUGUGCACAAUGUGAUCAAGGAGUUGAUCACGGGAUGAUGUGUUACAGUACGAGUAAAGAGACUUGCCAGUAACGAGAUUGAACAAGGUAUCAAGAUACCGACGAUCAAAUCUCGGGCAAGUAUCAUACCGCUGGACAAAGGGAAUUGUAUACGGGAUUGAUUAAGUCCUUGACAUCGUGGUUCAUCUGAUGAGAUAAUCGUGGAGCAUGUGGGAGCCAACAUGGGUAUCCAGAUCCCGUUGUUGGUUAUUGACUGGAGAGUUGUCUCGGCCAUGUCUGCAUGACUCACGAACCCAUAGGGUCUACACACUUAAGGUUCGAUGACGCUAGGGUUAUAGGGAAAGUAUGUACGCGGUUACCGAAUGUUGUUUGGAGUCCCGGAUGAGAUCCCGGUCGUCACAAGGAGUUCCAGAAUGGUCCGGAGGUAAAGAUUAAUAUAUAGGAAGUAUGGUUUUGGCCACCGGAAGUGUUCCGGGCAUCACCGGUAGUGUACCGGGACCACCGGAGGGGUCCGGGGGUCCACCAAGUGGGGCCACCAGCCCCGGAGGCCUACAUGGGCCAAUAGUGGGAAGGGACCAGCCCCUAGGUGGGCUGGGGCGCCUCCCACCAAGGCCCAAGGCGUCCUCAAGAGGAGAGGGGGCAAACCCUAGGGGCAGAUGGGCCCUAAGGCCCAUCCUAGGUGCGCCCCCUCUCUCUCCCCCUUGGCCGCCUCCCAGAUGGGAUCUGGGGGCUGCCGCCACCCCUAGGGAGGGAACCCUAGGUGGGGGCGCAGCCCCUCCCCUCCCCCUAUAUAUACUUGAGCAAAGGGGCAACCCAACACACGAUUGAAUUCCCUGUUAGCUCAGCCCUACCCCUCUCCCUCCUCGUCUCUCGUAGUGCUUGGCGAAGCCCUGCUGGAGUCCCGCGCUCCUCCACCACCACCAUGCUAUCGUGCUGCUGCUAGAUGGAGUCUUCCCCAAACUCUCCUUCUCCCCUUGCUGGACCAAGGUGUAGGAGACGUCACCGGGCUGUACGUGUGUUGAACAUGGAGGUGCCAUCCGUUCGGCACUAGGAUCAUCGGUGAUUUGGAUCACGACGAGUACGACUCCAUCAACCCUGUUCACUUGAACGCUUCCGCUUAGCGAUCUACAAGGGUAUGUAGAUGCACUCUCCUUCCCCUCAUUGCUAGAUUACUCCAUAGAUUGAUCUUGGUGAUGCGUAGAAAAUUUUGAAUUUCUGCUACGUUCCCCAACAUCCUCAUGAAGAGAACUACCCGGUUCAUGACCAUGAGCUUGCCACGAUUAUCUUUGCACUGAAGCUAUGGCGAUAGUACCUUCUCGGCAAUCAUUGCGAGAUCUUCAUUGAUCAUCAGAGUCUGAAGUAUUUGUUUACUCAGCCAGAUCUGAACCUCCGUCAGCAGCGAUGGCUAGAAGCAAUUGCUGACUACAACUGCGGUAUAUCCUAUACCCCUGGUAAGGCUAAUGUAAUGACCGAUGCCCUGAGCCGUAAGUCUUACUGCAAUAAUCACAUGGUCUACAAAGCUCAACCCUGCCUUUAUGAAGAGCUAUGCAAGCUAAACCAUCAACUAGUUCCACAGGGUUCUCUGAAUAACCUUGUCUUGGAACCAACUCUUCUGAAAUCAAUCAAGCCUGCUCAAGCCAAAGAUGCUCAUGUUGAUCUGAUGAAAAAGGAUCUCGCCUUAGAGAAAUCCACUUGGUGAAGAUGGAACCUUAUACUUCAGAGAUCGUAUUGUAGUACCCCUGUUCGAGCUUAUGACAGAGAAGGUGAUGAAAGAAGCGCAUGACACCCCUCUCUCUAUUCAUCCGGGAAGUACCAAAAUGUACUUAUACAUUCAUCAGAAGUAUUGGUGGUCCAAUAUGAAGCAGGAUAUUGCUCGAUAUAUUGAAGAAUGUGAUGUUUGUCGUUGCGUCAAAGCAGAACAUCAGAAACCGGCUGGACUUCUACAACCUCUCCCUAUUCUUGAAUGGAAGUGGGAUAAGAUCCAAAUGGACUUCGUCACUGGCCUUCCCAAGUCUCAGAAGGGUAACGAUGCUAUCUUUGUCUUCAUCAAUCAAUUCUCGAAAGUUGCUCACUUUCUGCUAGUCAAGGAGACAAUAACUGCUAGUCAAUUAGCAAACCUGUAUAUCUUCAGAAUUGCGUCACUCCACGGCAUUCCAAAGGAGAUCAGUUCAGACCGCGACAAUAUAUUCGCUUCAAAGUUCUAUUAUAGUUUACAAGAGGCAAUGGGAACUCAUAUAACCUGGAGCACUGCUUAUCACCCCCAAUCCCAAGGCCAAGUCGAGCGAGUCAAACAAAUCCUUGAAGAUAUGUUGUGUGCUUGUGUUAUUUCUUUCGGCAAGAAGUGGGAAGAAUCUCUCCCUUAUGUGGAGUUCUCUUAUAACAACAGUUAUCAAGCCAGCUUGAAGAUGGCACCCUUCGAAGUGAUUUAUGGACGUAAGUGUCGAACCCCUCUGAAUUGGUCAGAAACCGGGGAAUGAAGGCUCAUUGGUCCAGACAUUAUUUAACAAGCUGAAGAGCAGGUUCACAUUGUCCGGGAUAAUCUCAAGGCGGCCAAGUCCCGCCAGAAGAGAAACUAUGACCGGAAACACUGGGGAUCAACUUAUCAACCUGGUGAACAAGCUUAACUGCGUGUCACUCCUUUGAGAGGCACUCAUCGGUUCGGAGUCAAGGGCAAGCUAGCUCCGCACUACAUUGGUCCCUUCCGCAUUCUCGCCCGUCAUGGACUGGUGGCUUAUCCACUGGAGUUUCCACCUCAGUUCGCUCACGUCCAUGACGUCUUCCACGUGUUGCAACUUCGUCGUUACUUCAAGGAUCCGGAACGUGAAGUGGAUCCAGAACUGAUUGAAGUACAAGAUGAUCUCACUUAUAAAGAGCAUCAGAUCUGCAUUCUUGAAGAAGCUAAACGUCGAACCCGCCAGAAGGUUACCAAGUUCCUCAAGGUGCAAUUGUUGAAUCAUACUAAAGAUGAAGCCACUUGGGAACGCGACGAUAACCUCCGGGCCGAAUACCCCGACCUGUUCCCUUCUACCUCUUAAUUCUCACGAUGAGAAUUUCUUUUAGAGGAGUAGAGUUGUAACUCCCCGGUGUAAUGAUGCUACAGUAACCCCUGGGGUUAAGUUAAUCAUUUUUGCUAAACAAGUGUUUCAUCAUCCUGGGUUCUCUCUCUUUUCAAAUUUCAGUUGAAUUCAAUUUCAAAUUAUGAGUGAAAUUCCAAAUUACUCAAACAUGAAAACUAAAAUGUUCAUCAUGUGCCAAAUAAUCCAUAACUAAUAUUGUUGGUGAACCAACAUUUUUGCAAAGUGUUUAAGUGGCCUAAACUAUUUAAAAUAGUGGUUUAAACAAUUAAUUAAAUGAUUUUUUAAUUAUAAAAAUUCGAACUAUUUUAUUUAAGUGCUAAAACCUAAUGUGGUAGUGGCCUAAAUUUAUUAAGCUAAAUUAAUUACAAGUCUUAUAUUUUAUUAAACUAUUUUGUUUUAAAAAUAAAUAAGAAAACAGAAAAAGUCUUAAAAGAAGAAGAAAGAAAAGAAAACCUCCCCUGUUCCCCCCACUCGGCCUUGGCCUAACAGGCCGGCCCAACCAGCCCACUCCCCCUCCCCGGUCGCUUCCUGUUCCUCCGAUCGGGCGGGGCAGCGCGCGCCUGUUGAUACGUCUCCGUCGUAUCUACUUUUCCAAACACUUUUGCCCUUGUCUUGGAUUCUAACUUGCAUGAUUUGAAUGGAACUAACCCGGACUGACGCUGUUUUCAGCAGAAUUGCCAUGGUGUUAUUUAUGUGCAGAAACAAAAGUUCUCGGAAUGACCUGAAACUCCACGAAGAUUAUUUUUGGAAAUAAUAAAAAAUACUGGCAAAGAAUCAAGGCCAGGGGGCCACACCCUAUCCACGAGGGUAGGGGCGCGCCUGCCCCCUGGGCACGCCCCCUGCCUCGUGGGCCCCCUGGAGCUCCUCCGACCUCAACUCCAACUCUAUAUAUUCACUUUCGAGGAGAAAAAAAAAUCAAAAAAAAAGAUUCAUCAUGUUUUACUAUACGGAGCCGCCGCCAAGCCCUAAACUCUCUCGGGAGGGCUGAUCUGGAGUCCGUUCGGGGCUCCAGAGAGGGGAAUCCGUCGCCAUCGUCAUCAUCAACCAUCCUCCAUCACCAAUUUCAUGAUGCUCACCGUUAUGCGUGAGUAAUUCCAUCGUAGGCUUGCUGGACGGUGAUGGGUUGGAUGAGAUUUGUCAUGUAAUCGAGUUAGUUUUGUUAGGGUUUGAUCCCUAGUAUCCACUAUGUUCUGAGAUUGAUGUUGCUAUGACUUUGCUAUGCUUAAUGCUUAUCACUAGGGCCCGAGUGCCAUGAUUACAGAUCUGAACCUAUUAUGUUUUCAUCAAUAUAUGAGAGUUCUUGAUCCUAUCUUGCAAGUCUAUAGUAACCUAUCAUGUGUUAUGAUCCGUUAACCCCGAAGUGACAAUAAUCAGGAUACUUACCGGUGAUGACCGUAGUUUGAGGAGUUCAUGUAUUCACUAUGUGUUAAUGCUUUGGUCCGGUACUCUAUUAAAAGGAGGCCUUAAUAUCCCUUAGUUUCCGCUAGGACCCCGCUGCCAUGGGAGGGUUGGACAAAAGAUGUCAUGCAAGUUCUUUUCCAUAAGCACGUAUGACUAUAUUUGGAAUACAUGCCUACAUUACAUUGAUGAAUUGGAGCUAGUUCUGUGUCACUCUAGGUUAUGACUAUUACAUGAUGAACCACAUCCGGCAUAAUUCUCUAUCACUGAUCCAUUGCCUACGAGAUUUCCAUAUAUUGUUCUUCGCUUAUUCACCUUUCCAUUGCUAUUGCUAUCAUCACUACAAAAUACCAAAAAAAUUACUUUUGCUAUCAUUACCUUUUGCUACCGUUACCACUACUAUCAUAUUACUUUGCUACUAAAUACUUUGCUGCAGAUAUUAAGUUUGCAGGUGUGGUUGAAUUGACAACUCAGCUGCUAAUACUUGAGAAUAUUCUUUGGCUCCCCUUGUGUCGAAUCAAUAAAUUUGGGUUGAAUACUCUACCCUCGAAAACUAUUGCAAUCCCCUAUACUUGUGGGUUAUCAAGACUAUUUUCUGGCGCCGUUGCAAGUCUAUAGUCACCUACUAUGUGUUAUGAUCCGGCAACCCCGAAGUGACAAUAAUCGGGACCACUCCCGGUGAUGACCGUAGUUUGAGGAGUUCAUGUAUUCACUAUGUGUUAAUGCUUUGGUCUGGUACUCUAUUAAAAGGAGGCCUUAAUAUCCCUUAGUUUCCGCUAGGACCCCGCUGCCACGGGUGGGUAGGACAAAAGAUGUCAUGCAAGUUCUUUUCCAUAAGCACGUAUGACUACAUGCCUACAUUACAUUGAUGAAUUCGAGCUAGUUCUGUGUCACCCUAGGUUAUGACUGUUACAUGAUGAACCACAUCCGGCAUAAUUCUCUAUCAUCGAUCCAUUGCCUACGAGCUUUCCAUAUAUUGUUCUCCGCUUAUUUACUUUCCCGUUGCUAUUGUUACAAUCACUAUAAAACACCAAAAAUAUUACUUUUGCUAUCGUUACCUUUUGCUACCGUUACCACUACUAUCAUAUUACUUUGCUACUAAAUACUUUGAUGCAAAUAUUAAGUUUCCGGGUGUGGUUGAAUUGACAACUCAUCUGCUAAUAGUUGAGAAUAUUCUUUGGCUACCCUUGUGUCGAAUCAAUAAAUUUGGGUUGAAUACUCUACCCUUGAAAACUGUUGCGAUCCCCUAUGCUUGUGGGUUAUCAAGACUAUUUUCUGGCGCCGUUGCCGAGGAGCAUAGCUCUAUUCUUUGAGUCACUUGGGAUUUAUAUCUGCAUAUCAUUAUGAAGAACUUGAAAGAUCCAAAAACCAAGAUUUAUCCCUCAACUACGAGGGGAGGUAAGGAACUACCAUCUAGCUCUGCACUUGAUUCACCUUCUGUUUUGAGUAAGCUUGCACUACAAAAAAAGACACAUCCGUGACAUUUUGGGCCAAACGAAAUUUUUUUCUGUCAUACAUAUGACACUUAUAUGAUGAUAAUUGUGACAAAACCCGGUAUCAUCAUAGAUGUGGUGGGCUCCUACUUCUAUGACAAAAAAUCAUGACAAAAAAUGGGCUUUUCGUCCUGGGCGGGCCGGAGACGCAGCUGCAUGACAUUCUUUGGGCCGUCCAUGACGGAAAAAACCGUGGUAGAAGCGAGGGCGAGGAAAAUUUCGGGGAGUUCCCGGUUACGGUGGGAGGUCGGGGGCCGAGCGAUGCGUGUUUCUCUCGUACACGUACGCGCGUGUGUGCGAGGCGUUGGCUCUAACUGAACCCGAGCGAGGCGUUGGGCUCUAACUGAACCCGAGCCAGGCGUUGGGCUCUAACUGAACCCGAGCGAUUGCACUGCAGGCUACGCGUUACUGAACCAGAGCGAUCGAUCGAUGGCUGUUAACUGAACUCGAUCGAGCGAUUCCUUCGCUACUGCUACUAACUGAAGCCGAUCGAUGCUGCCUCUGGAUGAAUAGUGAGUGUUGNNNNNNNNNNNNNNNNNNNNNNNNNNNNNNNNNNNNNNNNNNNNNNNNNNNNNNNNNNNNNNNNNNNNNNNNNNNNNNNNNNNNNNNNNNNNNNNNNNNNNNNNNNNNNNNNNNNNNNNNNNNNNNNNNNNNNNNNNNNNNNNNNNNNNNNNNNNNNNNNNNNNNNNNNNNNNNNNNNNNNNNNNNNNNNNNNNNNNNNNNNNNNNNNNNNNNNNNNNNNNNNNNNNNNNNNNNNNNNNNNNNNNNNNNNNNNNNNNNNNNNNNNNNNNNNNNNNNNNNNNNNNNNNNNNNNNNNNNNNNNNNNNNNNNNNNNNNNNNNNNNNNNNNNNNNNNNNNNNNNNNNNNNNNNNNNNNNNNNNNNNNNNNNNNNNNNNNNNNNNNNNNNNNNNNGAGGGCUGGAUGAACAGGACCACCCCAUGGAGGGCAGGAUGAACAGUAGAUGGUGGAGGGCAGGAUGAACAGUAGCCCGUGGAGGGGUGGUUGAACAGGAGCCCGUGGAGAGGGAUGGUUGAACAGUAGCCGGUGGAGUAGCACGCGGUGGAGGCUGGAUGAACAGGAGCCCGUGGAUGAACAGUCACAGGUGGAGGCUGGAGGAGGUCGACAUUGGAUGAACAGUAGCUCGUGGAGGCUGGAGGGGUUCGAUGGUGGAGAUGAACAGUAUCCCAUGGAGUUCCGUUUUGCGGUACGCCAUGCCCCUCCCGAUGAACAGGGCCCCCGUUUCGACCGUAGCGCUCCAACACAAGUCCGUUUCCUCCGUUUUGCGGUACGCCACACCCCUCCCGAUGAACAGGACCUCCGUUUUGACCGUAGGAGGUCCGUUUCGCCCGUUUUGUGGUACGCCACACCCCUCCUGAUGAACAGGACCCCCAUUUCGACCGUAGGAGGUCCGUUUCCUCCAUUUUGCGGUACGCCAGACCCCUCCCGAUCAACAGGACCCCGUUCCAAACGUAGGAGGUCCGUUUGCUCCAUUGUGCGGUAUGCCAGGCCUCGUUUCCAUUACCUGUUCCGUCCAAGCCCUCCCGAUGAACACGACCACACAUUCUGUUCCGACCCAGCCAGUUGACUCCCAUGCGUUCCGUUGCCUCCCCAUUAACACGACGCAUUCCGUUGCCUCCCCAUGAACAUGACACAUUCCGUUGCCUCCCCAUGAACACGGUGACGACGUUGUUUCUCCAUUCCGACCUAGCCAUGUACACGAGCCCUGGCCGUACGUAUGCACGAGUAGGCGUUCGAGACCCCGCCCGUAUGUACACAUAUGUGGCCGUAUUUUCUUUCUUACACCCUGGCCGUUGUACGUACGUGUACAUGCUACGUGCGCGCCUCUACUAUGACACGUCCGCGCCUCUACAUCGACCAGUAUGUACGUACACGUUCGCGACCAGAAUGACAACGCUACGUACUCUUCAACCAAGUGGGUCCCGAUUGUCAGGCACUUCCUUGCUGGCGAAGAUGUAACUGGUGGGUCCCAGCAGUCAGGGGGCGAAUCGUUUUUUUUUGCCCGGACGCACUUCCUUGCGUGUGAAGAUGUAGCUGGUGGGUCCCAGCAGUCAGGGGGAAAUGUUUUUUUGCAAAAUACAGUGGCCCAUCCGGUGGGUCCCAGCUGUCAGGUGGAGGAAUCAUUAUUUUCCGCGUAAUAAGGAGGCACUUCCUUGCUGUGGCCGUGGACCCAGCUGUCAGCCUCUCCACGUACAGUCCACGUCCGAUGGAAGUCGUUCCUUGACCACGUUGACCAUGCCGCACCGGGAGCACCAGUGCGGUGGACGACGACGAGGCCUAGGAAGGGGACGACACGGAGGCAGGGAAGACUCGACAGUUGUUUCCCACGCGGAGGGGAGUACGACUGUAUGAGGGUUUACUGGUUCGUCUGCCGUCGCCGGAGAAUAAUAGCAGGUGUGGGUGUGUAGAGGGAUGGCUAGGCCAGCGAUGGGAGUACGGUCGGGCGGUGAGGCCUGCGCGGCAGCACAGCGGCGCUUGUUUGAGCGGCUGGAGCAGGAAGAGCAGAGAUUGAAGAAGAACGACGGCCGUUGGAUGGACAUCCAACAGUCAGUGCUUGUGCGUCAACCUUUUUUAGGAAAGCCUCAAAUCUGUGGAAAACAGCAUACAACCCGUCUGCCAUUAUUUCUAAUAAUUUAUAGCCCAUUUGCUAAUUCUUAAGGUUUUUUUGGAGCCCAUAUUAUUUUUGUUAGCAUUACAGCCCAUAUUGUGGCAACGGUUAAAAAUUAUACGAAAUUUUGCAUAUUUCGGUGCGGUCCGAACUGUUUUUAAUCCCAAAAUUUCGACUCACAUUCAAACUGAUUUUAAAAAUAAAUGUAUAUCAAUAUAAAAUCCAACAAAUUCUCAACGCAUAAAAAUUAAUGUAAUUUAAAAUCAUGAAAUGAAAAAAAAGAUAUUUGAAACUAAUUGCCGGUUUGAUGUGUUUUAAAAAUGUACAACCCAUUUCUCAUUACUGAUGGGCCAUUUUCUCGGCCAACCGAAUGAAAGCUCUCCUCGUCUUGAAAGAUUUGCAGCCCAACAGGCGUGACAAAGAGACUUACUUGGCAAAUCACAAAAAAACUGGGCUGUGGCCGUGGACCCAGCUAUCAGCCUCUCCACGUACAGUACUCUUCCGAUGGAAGUCGUUCCUUGACCACGUUGACCACGCCGCGCGGAGAGCACCACGGCGGUGGACGAUGGCGAGGCCUAGGAAGGGGACGACGCGACAGUGGAAGCCCGCGCGGAGAGGAUUACGAGGGUUCACUGGUUCAACUACGGUGUCAGGCUGCCGUCGCCGCAGGGCCUGGCCAGCGGUGGGAAUAGUAGGGGGCAGUGAGGCCUCUGCGGCAGCACAGCCGGCCACGGGAGGCAGGAGCAUGCGGCACGACCGGCGCUGCUUUGGGCGGCUGGAGCAAGAAGACUAGAGGUAGAAGAAGCACUACGGCCGUUGGAUGGACAUCGUACAGUCACUUGAGUUAGAAUCGUUCAUAUUGACUAAGUUGACAAAGCCCUUCGUCCCCGUCAACUUACUAGGCCCACAAAUCAUCCUCCCAGCAAGGUGGGUCGCAGCUAGCCGGGGGAGUAUUCAUUUUUUGUGCGUAAUAAGGAGGCACAUCCGGUGGGUCUGAGCUGACAGCGGGGGGAACAUUUUUUUCGCGAAAUAUGGUGGCCCGUCCGGUGGGUCCCAGCAGUCAAGGGGAAACGAUUUUUUUUGCAAAAUACUGGUGGCCCGUCCGGUGGGUCCCUGCUGUCAGGUCGAGGAAUAAUUAUUUUCCGCGUAAUAAGGAGGCACUUCCUUGCGGCUGCCGUGGACCCAGCUGUCAGCCUCUCCACAUACAGUACUCUUCCGAUGGAAGUCGGUCGUUGACCACAUUGACCACGCCACACCGAGAGCACCACGGCGGUGGACGACGGCGAGGCCUAGGAAGGGGACGACGCGGAGCCGUGCAAGACGCGGCAGUGGAUGCCACGUGAAGAGGAGUACGAGCGUUCACUGGUUCGGCUGUGGUGUGAGGCUGCCAUCGCCGCAGAAUAACAGGGGGUGUGGGUGAGUGGAGGGAUGGCCUGGCCAGUGGUGGGAGUAGUAUGGGGGCGGUGAGGCCUCCGCGGUAGCACAGCCAGCCACGGGAGGCAGGAGCAGGCAACACGAUCGGCGCUGCUUUGGGCGGCUGGAGCAAGAAGACCAGAGGUUGAAGAAGCACUAUGGUCGUCGGAUGGACAUCAUACGUUCACUGGAGUAUUGACUAAGUUAACAAAGCUCUCCGUCCCUGUGAACUUAGUAGGCCCACAAGUCAACCAAACAAUAUGGUGGGUCCCAACUAGCAGGGGGGUAUUCAUUUUUUUGGGCGUAAUAAGGAGCCACUUCCUUGCGUGCGAAGAUAUAGCUGGUGGGUCCGACCUGUCAGCGGGGGGAAUGUUUUUUUCGUGAAAUACAGAGGCCCUUCCUAUGGGUCCUAGCUGCCAGGUGGAGGAAUCAUUAUUUUGUGCGUAAUAAGGAGGCAUUUCCUUGUGUGCGGCCGUGGACCCAGCUGUCAGCCUCUCCACGUACAGUCCACUUCCGAUGGAUGUCGUUCAUUGACCACGUUGACCAGGCCACGCCAAGAGCACUAGGGCGGUGGACGAUGGCGAGGCCUAGGAAGGGAAUGACACGGAGCCAGGGAAUACUCGGUAGUUGUUUCCCACGCGGAGGAGCACGAGGGUUUACUGGUUCAUCUGCCGUCGCCGGAGAAUAACAACAUGUGUGGGUGAGUAGAGGGAUGGCUAGGCCAGCGAUGGGAGUACGGUGGGGCUGUAAGGCCUGCGCGGCAGUAUAGCCGGCCGCGGGAGGAGGGAGCAGGCACUCCCGUCGGCGCUUGUUUGAGCGGCUUAAGCAUGAAGGGUAGAGAUUUAAGAAGCACGACAGCCGUUGGAUGGACAUCCAACAGUCACUGCUCUCGUGUGUUGACUAAUUUGACAGGGCGUUGCGUGUGCGUCAACCUUUUUUUUAUGAAAGCAUACGCGUCAGCCUGUAGUAGGCGCACAAGUCAGCCUCAAAUGUGUGGAAAACAGCAUACAGCCCAUCUGCCACUAUUUCUAAUAAUGUACAGCCCAUUUGCUAAUUCUUAAGAAUUUUUUUGGAGCCCAUCUUCUUUUUGUUAACAUCACACCCCAUAUUGUGGCCACGGUUAAAAAGUAUAUGAAAUUUUGCAUAUUUCGGUGCGGUCAACUGUUUUUAAUCCAGAAAUAUCGAUACACAUUCAAACUAUUUUGAAAAAUAAUUUAUAUAAAUAUAAAAUCCAAAUAAUUGUCCAUGCAUAAAAAUCAAUGGAAUUUAAGAUCUUGUAAUGAAAAAAAAAUUGAAACUAAUUCCCGGUUUGAUGUUUUUUAAAAAUGUACAGCCCAUUUCUGGGCAAACUGAAUGAAACUCUCCUCGUCUUGAAAGAUUUGCAGCCCAGCAGGGCCGAUAAAGCAAGUAGGCCUUGUUUGGGUAUUUCUUUUAAAAAAUAGAACUGGGCUAGCCAUUUUCAGCAAGAAAAAACACAACUGGGCUCAUUAUGUGGUAAAUAUAAAUAAAACUUGUCACACCCUAGCUAGUUCACGCAUUAGAGUGUUGCAUCAUGUCUACUCUUCUAGAAAACUGAAAUGGGGAUGGCAGAACCCCCAGCACCCCUGGAAACAACUAGGGUUUACUAAAAUCUUUUUCAAUAAACCUGAAAUGCCCUUCUAAAAAGUCCACCCUUUUCGCUUUGGGGUUAUAACCUCUGACAAAAUGGGUUCACAUUUUUCCAGGACACAUAAGGUCAUUGGAUUAAAUCAUUACUAUUUGCAUUUGGGCAAUUUAAAUCCUAUAAAUAUUAUAAAAUGUCCAAAUAAUCCUAAAAUGUCCAAAUGUGCCUCUGAAUAUUUCCAGGUUUUUCCUAAAUGGAAUAGUAUUUUUACUAUUUCAAAACACAAAUCAGGAAUAAAUAAAAAACAAAAACAAAAGCAGAGAGCAGAGGCUUACCUGGCGCCCACCUAGCAGGCCCACCUAGCCGGCCGAGCCCAGCAACCGCUCCAGUGAGCUGCUUUACUCGGCCAUGCAGGCAGGCAGGUGCUCGACGCCGGCACCAGCGCGCGCCACGCAGCUGCCCGCCGCCCUGCUCCCUCUCCUCGCUGUUCUGCUGCCCUGAGUUGGUCACCCACUCCUCCCCCGAGCUCGCAGACACGCCCCUUCCUCCCCAGCUCCCCUCCCUCGCUCCCCUAUACCAUGGCCGACUCUAUCGCGCACGCGCCACUGUGAUAACCGCGUCCGCCGUCGUCGCUGUGUCGUGUCACCGUGUCCGUUCGCUCCGCCAUCGUCGUCCACGUCGAGUAGGCCGAGCCCCGAGCGCUGGCCCGCUCUGGAGUCGCCCCUGACCCCGUCUCCCCCAACUCCGGCCGCUGAGAUCGCCAUCGUCGCCCCGCUCAGCUCCGGCCUUCCCCGAGCCCGCUUCGACGCUUGCUGCAAUCGCCGUGAGCUCAGCUCCGUCCUCCCCCUCUCUGUUAACUCUCUACUGCACCGUAUGCACCGCGCCACGCUCACCUGCACCCGCCGCCACCGAGCUCGUUGCCGACGUGACUCCAGCCACCCACCGGCCACACCAUUGUGACCAACACACUCACCGCACCCGCAGGAACCCGUAGCACUACUACACGCACCUCGUCGUGCCCCGUAGCCUCGUGUUCAACCUCACCCGAGCUCCGGCAGCUGCACAGCUCGUCGCCGGCGACGUUUCCGGCCACCCCGAGCUCCACCACUGCCACCAAAUGACGCGGCUUGCUCCCAGCUACGCGUAGAUGCUCUCCGCCUCCCAUUUGGUCGCUGGAGCAUGAAACCCGCACUGCCCCACCGUGUCUGGCCUCGCCGGCGGCUAAAUGCCGGCGAGUUUGACCUCGUUUGACCCUGGUUGACCCCGUGUGGGCCUAGGUUGACUUCCCCUGAGUCUAUGACACGUGGGACCGCUUUGCAAAUUAACUUAGAGUAGCACUAACUAAAUUUAGUUAGUUAAUUAACUACUGACACGCGGGUCCCACUAGUCAGGUUUGACCUGGACCGGCUCCGUUGACCAUUGACGUCACCCUGACGUAAUGCUGACGUAAUAAUUCUAUUACUGGAAUUAUUCUUAUAUAGGAAAUUCCAGAAAAUACUACAAACUUCAAAAAUUCAUAACUUUUAAUCUGUAACUGCAAAUGCAAAGAGUUAUAUAUGAAAUUUGAUCAGAAAAAUUCAAUCUUUCCAUCUGUAGUGGUUUCAUGCAUGACAAAACACUUUAACCUUGCUGUUUAGGUGAAACAAGCUAAUCCACUUAUAUGGCUUAAGAACAUAAGCUUUCAUUUGAAUCCUUGAUUCAAAUAGACUCAAACCAACUUGUUUCACAAUGCAUUAGCCAGGACACCCCAUAUUGCCAUGUCAUAGCAUGCAUCAUAUUUUUGCAUAUUGCCAUGUGAUGAUUGUGUUUUGUGGUGUCUUUCAUGGUAGGUUCUGCCUCCGAGGAUAUUUCCGAGUAUGCAAUUGAAGGGCAGUACCCUACUACUACUCCAUCAGGCAAGCAGCCCCAUUGAUCAUAUCGAUACAAUCCCAUGUUCUCGCUCCUGCUCUCAUUUACUGCAUUAAGACAAUAACGUUUCAAACUGCUGUGUGCAGCGGUAGUUGAACCCUUAUCCUCUGCAUGACCUGUCAUUGCCACAAUAACUAGAUGAAAGCCACUUGCAUGUGUAGGAGUUGAUUGAGCCAUGUAUGUGUUUCCUACCUUGCUAUGCCUGCUAUGCUUAGAGUUGGGUCAGGUCUGGUUCAUCUGGGUGAUGGACGAGAGUGAAAUGAUUACGUCGGUAAUGUGAGGGAUGUGUUGAACAUGAUUUGGUAAAGGUAUCAAUGAGAGGCCAUGUAGGAGUACAUGGUGGGUUGUUUCAUUGAGGCCGUCCCUAAGAACCGAGAUCUGUAUGCAUGAUUUAUGAUUCAGCUACUACCACACAUUGGGCCCUGAAAUAUGACCCCGCUCGACUUACUGACCUCUCUCGUCAUCUUUCUAGGAGUUGCACCUAGUUUCUGGUGUUUAUAGGUUAUGUGUUGGCGGCCAUGCGUAGCGCUGACCCUAAGGGUGGGCUAUGAUGUAGUAGAUACACCAUGGCCGGGAAUGCCGGGCACCCGUUUGGCGUCUCGGGACCCUGUACACAUCGUUUGGGACUGUUGAGGACACCCCGGCCGGAUUUCCUUGUUGUUGGAACCUGAAUAGGCGAUAAACCUGAACUAGAGACUUGUGCGGUUAGUCAGGUCGUGGUCUACACCCACGUCAGCUUUCGCUUGAAGUCUGCCGAGCACAUGUCGUGUGUAGACGCUAAGUCGUGGAAACAUGUGUGACGAAGUACAACCCUGCAGGGUAUAAAACUAUUCGAAUAGCUGCGUCCGCGGUAAAGGACUACUUGGUUGCCUAUGCAGUUCAUAGAAAAGUUAAUGGUUACUACUAAAAGACUCAAGAUAAGUGUGAGUACCGAGGAUGGCCCUCUCAUAGGAUGACGAGGGAGGAUCCUCGGUGGAGUAUUGUGUUGGUGAUUAGUGGACUCGUGUGCGAAAACUAUUUUACAAGUGGUGUCUCGUAGGAUAGCUUAGCCAAGAGUCAUAGCUGGCUUGCUGCAAUAACUCCACCACCUUCUUGAGAAUGAGCAUGUAUAGUAGGAUCUGUUGUAAGGCUUACUGAGUACCUUUGUACUCAUGUUGCUUUAAUUACUGUUUUCAGACGACAACACUGCCCCCUCCGACGGGUUUUACGUAGACCUCGACGUCGAUGAGUGACUUGCCACCCAGGUGGUGAUUCUGGCCAUGGAGGGCCCUAUGUAGAUAGACAGGCUUCGUCAAGCCUUCUUUCUUUCUAGUGUCUAUACUCAGACUAAUUUGCUUCCGCAUGUGCUUGUAUGCAUGUAUGACUUGAGUGUCGGGUCAUGUGACCCCUACCUGUAUGAACAUGUUAUGUAUGGCUCUCCGGAGCCUUUAAAUAAAGUACUUUGAGUUGUAGAGUUUUGUUGUGAUGCCAUGUUGUAUUUACACAUAUCGAGCAUAUUGUGUGUAUGAUUGAAAUGUUUGGUAUGUGUGGGAUCCGACAAUCUAGUUGUUUAUCCUUGGCAGCCUCUCUUAUGGGGAAAUGUAGUAUAGUGCUUCCAUGAGCCAUAGUAGUCCGCUACAGCCCGGUUCACCGGAGUCCUGCUAGCCCAGCACUACUGCUCAGGACACUUGACUGGCCGGCAUGUGUUUCACUUCGUUCCUGUGUCUCUCCCUUCGAGGAAAUGUCACGCGGUGACAUUCGGAGUCCAGCCUAGCCUGCUAGAGCCCAGGUUCCCGGAUUCCUGUUAGCCCAGUGCUACAGCCUGGAUUCACACGCUGCUGACCGACAUGCUCGAUGUGAUUCAUGUAUGCCUGUCCCCAUAGGUUAGUGCCUCUUUGGGUUCACGACUAGCCAUGUCGGCCUGGGUUCUCUGUCAUAUGGAUGCUAGAGACACUAUCAUAUACGUGAGCCAAAAGGCGCAAACGGUCCCGGGCCAUGGUAAGGCGACACCCAUGGGGAUACCGUGCGUGAGGACGCAAAGUGAUAUGAGGUGUUACCGGCUAGAUCAAUGUGACUUGGGAAUCGGGGUCCUGAUAGCGUUGGCAUUAGAGUCGGACUGCCUGUAGGUUCGUUGAGCCAAACUGGUUGAUGUCGAGUCUAGAAAUGCUUUAGCUAUAUGUAGGGAGAUUGAUUGUGGGAGGGAACGUAAGGCUCUUUUACUCCUUUACCUUAUGCCCUCUGAUCUGAGUCAUUCUCUUCUCAUUCUAUAUGGGUUAAGGAGUAGGCUUUCUUCUCUCUAUCAGGUUCACAUGUUACUAAUCCAUAGUAGCUUAUAGGAUUGUUGUCACAAGCCUCAGUAUAGUUUCUACUACUUUUAGUAUGUUGUCAGUUGAACCAGAACCUUGUUAUGAUGUUGUUGAGUGGUUUUGCAAACUGUUGUGAAUGUCUCAAAUCUUUUUCUGAGCAUUUACAGCCGUUAUGCUGUCCGAUUUCUCCUAGAAAAUUCUAAUGCCUUUGCAUUAUUCUGUGCUUUCAGAUGGCCACCCGUUCCCAGAACCAAGUGGUUCGUCUGACUCAGUGCCUCGAUGUACCCGGUCACACGGCCAUGCUGGUCCGGGUGAUGGUGGAGACAGGCUAUCGAUGGUAUCCUGAGUAUACCGUCGAGGAGCAGUUCCAAGAUUUCAAUCAGAGCCAAUACCUUUGUAUUGUCAGGAUAUAUCCCUCUUAUCCUAGAGCCACUGAACCCCUCCACUGCACUUAUGGACUUGGGGUUACUAUUGAGAUGUCUGUGCAGGACGCAGCUUACUCAAUGAUGGCUAUCAUUUGAGCCAGAACUACCUUGCUCCAGAACACCGAUUUUCGCUACAUGCCAGCCUCACUCGCUGGAGCACAGGGGUACCAUCAGGCUUUAUACUAUGACUCUACACAUGAGGAGUCACUACUCCGCACCACUGCCGAGAUACUUGAGGACAAGGACCACGAAAAUCGUGCCUUGCGAAUGGAGCUUUUAAACUCUCGUUCUGACCACUGGGCAACUUUGACUCUGUUUGCACUUGCCGUGCAGGCGGGAUACAUGGACAUGAGGGACCUGUACCCCGUACGGUUUGAAUUGCCAGAUUGUAUGGACUGGCGUGAUGUAGGAGGCAUCACCCCUCCUCGUGGUCCCUGGCUGCAACCGUUUGUGGGACCAAGGCCACAUCCAAGUCCCUAUGGCCCGCAAGCUCCACAGGACUCCUAGAUGAUCAUGUGCCGCUUCCAGGUUUUGGUGGUGACUUUUAUGAGGAUUACAACGGAGCUGUCUAAGCUAGUAGUAGUUUCACUAGUACUGUAAUAGUUGUAUUCUCCACAGUCCUGCGUGACCAGUGGGAUACGACUUGGUGUGUAUCACGUUCCGGAGGUGUAGAAAAAUAAUGUAUAGGAGCUUGGAAUGCCUCCGAUGAGAUGUAACUUCUUCCACCGUAGUUGUACUCUAGCCUAGGCUUGUACUAAACUAUGUACAGUGUGUAUGACCGAUGGUAUAUAUAUGGCAGUUUCUAUAUUACCAUGUCGUGCAAUGAACAUCUCAGCAUUCCAUGUUAUCCAUUACAUUUCGCACUUCUUUGCCAAGAUUGUGCCAUCCUUGUCUAAACCAUUGUCUUGUUUUUCCUAGGAUGGUUAACACCCGCAGCGACCCUGCUGCCUCGGAGCAGGGGGAAGCCAAUGCGGCUAGGGAUGAGAAUCUGCCUCACCCGCCUUCUCUGGCCGAAGUUAUGCUGGAGGCAGAAAGAAACAAGCGUGAGACUAACCGCUUGCUGGAGCGGAUUGAGCAGAACACUGCACGUCAUCAGUGAAACGACUUGGUGUCAAUCACCGACUUUAUCAAGUUGUACCCACCAAAGUUUAAUCAUUCCAUUGAGCCCCUCGACGCAGAUGAUUGGACUCGUAGCAUCACCCAUAAGCUAUGUUCUGCCAACGUAGCCGAAGCUGAUAAGGUUACCUAUGCUGCCUAUCACCUCGAAGGCCUUGCUAGCCUUUGGUGGGAAAACUUUGAGGCUAUGCGCCCGGUCGGCCAAAUCACUACUUGGGCUGAAUUCAGUGAGGCUUUCCGUGAGCAUCACAUCCCGGAAGGUCUCAUGGAUCGUAAGAGGUAAGAGUUCUGCAAUUUCACCCAAGGCAGACUGACUGUGGAUGCAUACAACCGUGAGUUUGGAAAUUUAGCACGUUAUGCUCCUAAAGAGGUAUCCACCGAUGCUAAGAAGCAGGCAAGGUUCCGCAAGGGACUUAGCCCCGAGCUUCACCGUGAUCUUCGUCUGCACGAGUGCACCUCCUUCCAGAAGCUGGUCAAUAAGGCCAUCAGUGCUGAGACAUGUCAGACUGACUAUGACGCUUCAUGCAAGCACUCCCGUGAUUUUGGUUCUUCAUCGGGCUCUGAAUCUCAGAAGCGCCGGGUGUGGAUUCCAAGCACAGCGCUGCCACCCAGGUUCACUCCGAGGCCAUCCUUUGAGGCGCCUCGCCCCAACCAGCAGUUUGCACCGCCUAAGACCUAUGGUGGCCCCGUUGCUAAUGCUGCUCCACAUCCCAAUGUUGUGACAUGUUUCAAGUGUGGAGAGCCGGGUCACUACAAUCGAGAGUGUCCCCAGAACAACAACCCCAACCAGUCUGGAAAGUCCGUUGGCCGUGGUAAGCCAGCGGGAAAGACAUUCUACGCCAAGCCAGCCACCACUACACGUGGCCAUGUCAAAUAUGUCUUAGCUGAGGAGGCUCAUGAUGAUCCUAAUGUCGUCCUUGGUAUGCUCCUUGUUAAUUGUCAUCCGACAUAUGUCCUUUCCGAUACUGGAGCAUCUCAUUCAUUCAUAUCCAAGAUCUAUGCUCAAUUGGAUAACACGACAUUCCGUGACAUGCCCAGUUCCAUGGAAAUUCAUACCCCUAGCUCUAGAUGGCAAACUUCUAGAGUAAGCCAUGGGAAUGAAAUUCUUGUCGAUAGACUUGUCUUACUUGCAUCUUUAAUAGCUCUCAAGUCCUCGGACAUAAACAUCAUCUUGGGUAUGGACUGGAUGUCAGCUCAUUAUGCUAAGAUUGAUUGUGCCACUAGAACCAUUCAACUUACUCACCCAUCAGGCAAGACAGUCAAUGUCUUAACUCGAGUGGCCAAGCGCCAGCUUUACUCCCUAAAUGCCAACCCCCUUCCAGACCUUGAAGAUAUUCCGGUAGUCUGAGACUUCCCAGAUGUCUUUCCAGAAGAACUGCCAGGUGUUCCGCCUGACAAGGAUGUCGAGUUCGUGAUAGACCUUGUUCUAGGAACCGUCCCAAUUUCUGGAAGACCCUAUAAGAUGGCACUCUUAGAACUAGCCGAACUUAAGAAACAACUCGAUGAGUCCUUGAAAAAAGGUUUCAUCCAUCCUAGUUCUUCUCCUUGGGCUUGCCCCGUCCUCUUCGUCAAGAAUAAGGAUGGAACGGAUCAGAUGGUUGUAGAUUACCGACCUGUCAACUUGGUCACUAUCAAGAACAAGUAUCCGCUUCCCAGGAUCAACGAUCUGUAUGAUCAGCUCACUAGAUCCUCAGUCUUUUCCAAAAUGGAUUUGAGGUUGGGCUACCAUCAAAUCAAAAUAAAAAACAGGGACAUUCGCAAAAUGGCCUUUGUUACUCGUUAUGGCCAAUACGAGUACACCAUCAUGUCCUUCGGUUUAACCAAUGCCCCAGCCACCUUCUCUCGGUUAAUGAACUCAAUCUUCAUGGAGUAUUUGGAUAAGUUCAUCGUGGUAUACCUCGAUGAUAUACUCAUCUACUCCAAGAACGAGAAAGAACAUGCCGAACAUCUAAGGCUGGUAUUGAUGAAACUUCGAGAGCAUAGCCUUUAUGCCAAAUUCUCCAAGUGUGAAUUUUGAUUGCCAGAAGUGACCUAUCUAGGCCAUGUAAUCUCUGGUAAGGGUAUUGUUGUCAAUCCCGAGUGAGUGCAAGCCGUCCUUGAUUGGACUCCACCUGAAACGGUCAAGCAAGUUCGGAGCUUCAUUGGCUUAGCGAGCUAUUGUCGCCGCUUCAUCGGGAAUUUCUCCAAGGUUGCUAAACCUCUAACUGAACUCCUCAAGAAAGAUAAAAAGUUCGAGUGGACCCUACAGUGCGAGUUCAGCUUUCCGGAACUGAAAAGACGCCUGACAUCUGCUCCUGUAUUGGUACCACCAGAUUUCUCCAACGACUUUAUUAUCUAUUGCGACGCCUCGCGACAAGGACUAGGUUGCAUACUCAUGCAAUAUCGUCAGGUAAUUGCCGAUGCUUCAUGAAAAUUACACCCACAUGAGGAAAACUAUUCCACACAUGAUCUAGAGCUUGUAGAUGUAGUCCAUGCACUUAAAACUUGGCGACAUUACCUUCUCGGUGAUUGUUGCGAGAUCUUCACCGAUCACCAAAGUUUGAAAUAUAUCUUCACCCAACUGGAUUUGAAUCUCAGGCAAAGACGUUGGGUCGAGUUGAUCUCAGAUUAUGUCUUAGGAAUAACUUACACCCCGGGAAAAUCCAAUGCCAUGGCUGAUGCACUAAGUCGUAAAUCCUAUUGUAACAAUCUGAUGUUACAACAAGGCCAACCACUUCUCCAUGAGGAAUUUUGGAAGCUUAACCUUCACAUUGUUCCUCAAGGAUUCUUAUCCACCCUGGUGGCGAAACCUACCCUUACGGAUCAGAUCAUCAAAGCACAGAAGGUAGAUCUGGGAAUCUCCCGUAUUAAGAGAAACAUUAAGAAAUGAGUCACAAAUUGUUUCUCUGUUGAUGAUCAAGGUGUCGUAUUCUUUGGAAACCGCUUAGUGGUUCCCAAGGCACGAAACCAGAGGCGGUUGAUUCUUAAGGAAGCUCAUCAAUCCCCUCUCACCAUUCAUCCCAGUAGUACUAAAAUGUAUCAAGACCUACGCCAGAGGUUUUGGUGGACUAGGAUGAAGAGAGAAAUUACUCAAUACAUUGCUAGUUGCGACGUCUGUCGUCGUGUUAAAGCAGAGCAUCAACGGCCUGCUGGCACCCUUCAACCUUUGGCUAUUCCUGAAUGGAAAUGGGAUAAGAUCGGUAUGGAUUUCAUUUCCGGGUUUCCCAGGACCAAGAAAGGGAAUAAUGCUAUCUUCGUCAUGAUCGAUCGUCUCCCCAAAGUAGCCCACUUCCUACCUGUUCGUGAGAGUAUAAUCGCUAGCCAGCUAGCUAGCUUAUACAUCUCCAGAAUAGUGUCUCUUCAUGGUGUCCCAUUGGAAAUUAACUCAGACCGUGGAAGUCUCUUCACCUCACGAUUUUGGGAAAGUUUCCAAAAUGCUAUGGGAACUCGUCUCUCUUUUAGCACCGCCUUCCACCCCCAAUCAAGUGGUCAAGUAGAGCGAGUAAAUAAAAUUCUGGAGGAUAUGCUCCGAGUUUCUGUCAUCUCAUUCGGAAUGGACUGGGAGAAAUGCUUUCCAUUCGCGGAGUUCGCUUAUAACAAUAGUUAUCAAGCUAGCUUGGGCAAAGCUCCUUUCAAAGUUCUCUAUGGACGAAAAUGUCGAACGCCUCUUAACUGGUCAGAAACUGGGGAAAGACAACUCUUUGGCCCGGAUAUGAUUCAGGAAGAAGAAGAGUAGGUUCGCGUUAUUCGUGAGAAAUUGAACACAGCCCAAUCUCGUCAAUAGAGCCAAUAUGACCGCAAACAUAAGCUCAUGACUUAUGAAGUCGGCGAGAAGGCUUAACUUCGGGUUACUCCUUUAUAGUGAACCCAUCGUUUUGGUAUCAAAGGCAAAUUGGCUCCUCGUUACAUUGGACCCUUUCGCAUUCUUGCCAAAUGAGGAGAAGUUGCCUACCAAUUGGAACUACCUCCGCAUCUCUCCAGAGUUCCUGAUGUCUUCCACGUUUCACAACUCAGGCGUUGCUUUGCGGAUCCUAUCUGUGGAGUGGACCACAAAACGCUUGAUCUCCAAGAUAAUCCCACAUAUCGGGAAUAUCCCGUUCGUAUCCUUGAUCAAGCCGAGCGUACCACUCGAUGCCACAACAUCAAGUUUCUCAAGGUUCAAUGGUCACACCAUUCUGAGAAAGAAGCCACUUGGGAAAGGUAGGAUCGUCUUCGACUUGAGUACCCCACCUUCUUCCCAACGGAUCCUAAAUCUCGGGACGAGAUUCUUUUGAGUGGGGGUGAGUUGUCACACCCUAGCUAGUUCAUGCAUUAGAGUGUUGCAUCAUGUGUACUCUUCCAGAAAACUGAAAUGGGGAUGGCAGAACCCCCAGCACCCCCCUGGAAACAACUAUGGUUUACUAAAAUCUUUUUCAAUGAACCUGAAAUGGCCUUCUAAAAAGUCCACCCUUUUUGCUUUGGGGUUAGAACCUCUGACAAAAUGGGUUCACAUUUUUCCAGGACACAUAAGGUCAUUGGAUUAAAUCAUUACUAUUUGCAUUUGGAUAAUUUAAAUCCUAUAAAUAUUUUAGAAUGCCCAAAUAAUCCUGAAAGUAUUUUUAGGCUGUUGAGAAUAUUCCCAAAUGUGCCUAUGAAUAUUUCCAGGUUUUUCCUAAAUGGAAUAGUAUUUUUAAUAUUUCAAAACACAGAACAGGAAUAAAUAAAAAAGAAAAACAAAAGCACAGAGCAGAGGCUUAUCUGGCGCCCACCUAGCAGGCCCACCUAGCUGGCCCAGCCCAGCAACCCCUCUAGAGAGCUGCUUGCCUCGGCCAGGCAGGCAGGCAGGUGCUCGACGCCGGCACCAGCGCGCGCCAUGCAGCCGCCCGCCGCCCUGCUUCCUCCCCUCGCUGUUCUGCUGCCCUGAGCCGGUCACCCACUCCUCCCCCGAGCUCGCAGACACACCCUAUUGGUGUCAAAACCGGCGGAUCUCGGGUAGGGAGUCCCGAACUGUGCGUCUAAGGCGGAUGGUAACAUGAGGCAAGGAACACGAUGUUUUACCCAGGUUCGGGCCCUCUCGAUGGAGGUAAAACCCUACGUCAUGCUUGAUUAAUAUUGUUGAUAUGGGUAGUACAAGAGUAGAUCUACCACGAGAUCAGAGAGGCUAAACCCUAGAAGCUAGCCUAUGGUAUGAUUGUAUGUUAUUGUUCUGUCCUACGGACUAAAACCCUCCAGUUUAUAUAGGCACCGAAGAGGGUUAGGGUUACACAAGGUCGGUUACAAAGGAGGAGAUAUCCAAAUCCGUACUGCCUAGCUUGCCUUCCACGCCAAGUAGAGUCCCAUCCGGACACGAGACGAAGUCUUAAAUCUUGUAUCUUCAUAGUCCAACAGUCCGGCCAAAGGAUAUAAUCCGGCUGUCCGGAGACCCCCUAAUCCAGGACUCCCUCAGUAGCCCCUGAACCAGGCUUUCAAUGACGUUGAGUCCGGCGUGCAGUGUUGUCUCCGGCAUUGCAAGGCGGGUUCCUCCUCCAAACAUAUCACAGAAGAGUUUGAAUACAAGGAUAGUGUCCGACCCUGCAAAAUAAGUUCCACAUACCACCGUACAGAGAAUAAUAUUUGCACAAAUCUUAAUCUGCUGACACGUUUUGGCAACAUGACAUCAUGCCAUGGCUCGGUGAUUAUUCGAACCAUUUUUCUUUAACCAGCUCCACACAUAACGCGAGGCAGUUUCUUGACACGUCUUUUCAAAGCAGAGAUCGUGUUCCCCUAAUUACGGGAUUCUCAUCAAUAUGGUCGUGGGUAACCCAACCGUGUCUAGGACUCCUAGAUUAUAGGCAAGUCCCAAACGGCUAUGGAGAGGACGCUUGAUAUUCACCCUCUUUAUAAAGGGACAAGGCUUUUACUUUUUCCCUCCCGUGCUCAAUCGAAUCCUUCCCCCGCCUCGAGUUCUAACACCCAAAGCCCAGGUAAGGUGCUUCGGACCUUCAACUAUGUCCGGAUCUAGCCUUCAAGGCCGGUGGAUGCCCUCCUCCGUUACGGAAGAGGAUAUCAAGAAGUUGAGGGAGGCCAGAUACCUGACCGUCGAGGUUUCGCAUCGGCUGCCUGCCCGAGGGCAGGUCAUCCCUACUCCUGAACCCAACAAGAACGUUGUGUUCAUCUCCCACUUCCUCCGAGGUCUAGGACUCACUCUGGAUCCCUUCGUUAGGGGUUUGAUGUUCUAUUACGGGCUAGAUUUCCACGAUCUAGCCCCGGACUCCUUUCUCCACAUCUCGGCAUUUAUUGUGGUAUGUGAGGCCUUCCUCCACAUUACCCCUCACUUCGGCCUGUGGCUCAAGACCUUCGACGUGAAGCCGAAGGUGGUCGAGGGGCAGCACGCAGCGUGCAGAGGCGCAUUAAUAAGCAAGAUCGCUGGAGCUUCAUGGCCAAAGGGUUCCUUUCCAGAGGUGUCCGGAUUAUGGCAACGGGAGUGGUUUUACAUCACAGCUCCUAGAAGUGCCAAGUGGGUGGCUGCCCUUGCUUUCCGCUCGGGCCCUCCACCACAACUAAUGUCAUGGAUUAGCAGAGGGCUAAGCUGGGAUCCAGCCAAGGACGUGCCUAUACUGCAGAGCCGCAUUCAGGAUCUCUUCGAAGGAGAUUUCAGUCUAGUUACGGUGGUGCAAGUCAUGCUGGUUCGUCGAGUCCAGCCUUGCAAACGCCGACCCCUCCACAUGUGGGAGUUCAACCCAGAAGGGCCGCGCACUAUUCAGAAUUCCUUGGUCUGACGCAUGAGGAGAUGUACAAAUCAUUCUUCGGACCCCAAAUAGAGUGUCCGGAUACUAUCGAGGACGUGGUCCUGAGCAGCAACCGUACCGUCGACCAAGUAAGUAAUCCUUUAGCCGAACACACCGUAUUUCAUUUACCAUGACAUCAUUCUGAGAAAUCACUCUUUGACUAGGACUGGCUAACAAGGGCGAAGAUGAUUCGGUGUUCGGCCCCCCUUCCUGAGGGUUUGGAGAAUCCGGUACUAGAAAAGAUGCUUGAGCUAGCACCUUGCCCAGAGCCCUCAAAGGAAGAUAAAGGGGGAAUAAUGAGGUCGAAAGCGGGCCCCCAUCGCUACCAAUUCCAACCGAGGGAGUGAGCGCCUCCGUGAAGGAGGAUAACCAAGGGGAAGAGCCUGACCUUUUCUCGCUUCAUGGAAGGAAGAGGACUGCCUCUGAAGAUCCGGAAACCAAGGCUUCCAAACGGGAGAAGAAGUCUCCACCAGAUGGUCCUGCCUUGGAGGGUGCUCUUGCCGCACAAAGUCCGCACGAGGAUCAACCCUCCAACGUGCUGUAAGUAAUCAAAAAGUACUUUAAUAGUGGAGAUAUACUACCUUACCUCUAAGGAAAAUAACCGAAGCGUUUAUCUUGCAGUUCGGAUCUUAGCCCUUCUCAGCAGAGCUCGUCUUCGGCGGAUCUUCUUCCGGAGAUGAUGGAGAGUGAAACGCCUCCCCCGGACUCCCCCGCUCAAGAAGCGGGCGACCUUGAAGUGCCGUCACGGAGGGCCUCUCCGGAUCCAGUGAGGCCAGAAGAUAAUCCUAUAGUCACCCGAAGUCCCCAGCGUCCGGCUCUUGAAGAGAGCAAACAAAAGAGUCCGGCACUGUCUGGUAUGCGGUCGGACGUACUAAGGGAGCUGUUGGAGCGAGCGGCCAUCUCAGAAGAACACCGUACGUUGAUGGGUACAGUGAUGGAAAGAAUUUCGUCCGCCAAAAGUGGAUUGCAUGAAGCCUUUAUGAGUCUACUGACGGGCUUUGAGGUACGUGAAAUGAUAUACUUUUUGAUAGUACUGCACAUUUUUAGGUGUGCCCUGUGUAGAUAGUGGCCCCUAAGACUCUAGUUGUCGUCGAGAACGGCAGCAAACAAAGGAUCGUAGUCCCACGUAAUAACCAAACCGCCUUUAUGUGCAGGUGGUGGAAGCUCCGGUGCCUAGCCGGACUAAUGAGUUUGCCGAGCUAAAGCGGCAACUAGAUGCGACAGAUGCCGACAUCGAUCUUGUUAACAAGCGGCUUGACGAGGCACGGGGUAAGUAAUGUUUUCUGGUGAAUUUUACAUAGUAAGAGCAGCGUAACGCUAGUAUCUUUAAUAUGUUGUGACUGCAGAUGGAGCUGCCACCGUGGAGAUCCUUCGGGCGGAACUUGCCCGAGCCAAGGAACAAGCAAGAAUUAGUAUGCGGCCGCUUUAAAGGCGGUCGAAGAGUUAAGAGCUGAAAGGGCUACACAUUGCGAGAGCAAAGAUAAAAUGGCCAAGAUGGAUGUAAAGUUAAAAGACACUGCCGACCGCUGCCAGCUCCUUGAAGAAGAAAACCGAGCGAAGGCGACGGACCUUGAAAAGGCCGCGGUGGUGACCAAACACACCUUCUCUGCUAUGAGGGCAAAGAAGGAAGAGCUGCGAGAAGCUAGGGAUAUUGCGGCUGGGAAGCCCUUUUUGCUGCGGAGGAAGUUCGGAGAUCCGUGGUAUGCCCCUCUGGAUCGGCUGUGGAGUUCGGCAGAUGCAUAUAUGGACUUGGCGGCGAGCGCUGUCGAUGCGGCCGAAUACUUCUGAGAUCAAACAGAUCGUGAAGUGGACAACCUGUUCUGGUCGCAGUUUAACAUUCCAGAGCGUCCACUUCCAUUGACUGAUCAGCUAGCCGAACGGACCGAACUCAACAGGUUGUCCGGACUCGCCAUGAGGUCCGUCGUAGAUCAUCUAUGGCCAGAAAAAUUGAAGCCGAACAGCUAUUUCAGCUUAGUGCAGCAGUUCCUUGGAGAGGUGCCGCGCAUCAAUGCGAUGAAGAGGUCGGCGUGUAUAGAGGGCUCGCGGAUGGCCCUUGCCCGUGUCAAAGCAUACUGGGCGGAGAUGGAUGCUACCACUGUUGCGGCGCAGGGUUCGGCCAUAGGCCGAGUGGCUGCCGAGCACUAUUUCGAAGAAGUUCUCGAGGGCGCUUGUUUGAUAGAGGCCCAGUGCUCGAAGAAUAUUAUGUUUGAGUGACAUGUAUUCCCAUUGUAAACACAAUGUUUUUAUGAAAUUUAUUAAGGUUGUACUUAUACUUUUGCCCGAAAGUAAUAUGAUGCCUCCUGUGCGGCCGUUUAUGUGUACAUGUGUAUAACCUGAAAGAUUGCAGUCGUUGGCUUCAGCCCCCACGCAUAUAAUGCGGGGGUGUUUGCAGAAGACGCGUAUUCACACUUAAUCCAACGUCUUGGUCCUAAUAAGGAGGUGAUGGCACAGCGAACUAGGCAACCGGAUAUAAUGUUUUAACACUUUCACUUAGCCAUAUGAGUUUGACAGUGGGGCUACUAUAUAGCCCCUAAUGGCUCCACACUCUCCCAAAUUCGGGGUGUGUACAUGCCUGGCCAGGAAACGACCCUUCAUUAAGGCGGAGGAAUUCUAACAUUCCGAUAGGUCAUCGAGUGGUUGACCAGUCUCACGCUAUAUCAGGACAGUUAGUUUUCGGCUUUCUCUACUGAGGUGCUCGUCCAGAUGAACCGUGGCACAAUUGCAAUAGUUCUCCUGGUGCCGCCUUAGCCGAUAGAGCGGAACAUAAGGCAGAAAAACAUAGGAGCCGGGCAAACCCAACAUUUGACCAAAGACAUGAUUCGGAGUUGAUGCAUAUAAGGCCAAACUCGCGACGCCGAACACUCCCUAAGGUAUUCGGUCUUUAUGGUAUAAACCGGGCCUAAAUAGUGCCCUUUGUAAGAAGCCCCUGGUGUCCAGGUACGUGCAUUAUUCUGACGUGGCCACAUGCCAAGACGUCAGCAUCCUUCUCAACUGUACUGAGAAUCCGAGGGAUGUGUAUCAACAAGAGACAGUAAAAAAGGUUUACGUAGGGUCUUAAUCUAAAAAGAAUCCUUGGAACGGGUCCCUGCUGCACGUCUGCGCCUGUGUCUCCGUUGUGACGUAUCCUGUACGGGUGUAGCACGAUGGUCAUCUGUAAAAGAGAGAAACUUAGAUGAACAGUUGUCGUGCAAAAAGGUAGGUUUAAAGAAACCAUGUACAGUUCAAGAUGAGUAAAAAUUGCCACUUGUCUGCGCGCAUUGAGCCCCUUGUAUUUGUAAUAGGGGUGUGGCCAUCAAACCUGUAUGAAUUGCAUGUAGCUACACCGGACUCGUCUAACCGUGUCCGUCGUCUUGACGACCUAUCAAAUGCUUUAGUUGGUGAAGCCGUUUUUAGUGUGCGGCUGCCAAGGCAGUCGCACUCUCUUCGGCGCUCAAGGAUCGCUCAAUAUUUCCAUUCACUAUAAUGAUGCCACGUGGACCGGGCAUCUUAAGCGUGAGGGAAGCGUAAUGCGGUAUCGCAUUAAAGCGAGCGAAAGCUUCGCGUCCAAGUAGUGCUUGAUAGCCACUUUGGAACGGAGCAAUGUGGAAGGUUAUAUUUUCGCUACGGAGGUUAUCGGGGACGCCGAAUAUAACCUCUAGUAGCAGGGAGCCCGUGCAAUGAGCCCCUGGGCCUGGCGUUACUCCUUUAAAGGUAGUAUUGCUGUGGCAAAUUUUUGUUGGGUCUAUCCCCAUUUUGCGGAUUGUGUCCUGAUAUAUCAGGUUUAGACUGCUGCCACCGUCCAUCAGGACUCGUGUGAAAUGGUAUCCGUCAAUUAUUGGGUCUAAUACCAAGGCAGCCCAUCCUGCACGCCGGAUACUUGUUGAAUAAUCCCGAUGGUCGAAAGUGAUCGGUUGAGACGACCAGUGGCAGGACUCCACGGUGAUAGGCCCUUGGGCAUAUUUCUUUGGGAGUGCCGCUUUAUUUCUCCCCUUGAUCACAUGUAACACGUUCACUGUUUUGACUUUUGGUGGAAAUUUCUUUUGUUCCCCAGUGUCUUGCUUGAGAGGCUCAUCCUCGUCUUCGCUUGGUGUAUCCUCCCCCUUGUGUACGGCAUUGAGCUUGCCGGACUGCUUGAAGACCCAACAUUCUCUGUGGGUAUGAUUAGCGGGUUUACCAGGGGUGCUAUGGAUCUGACAUAUUUGGUCCAGAAUUUUGUUUAAGCUAGACAGUUCGGUGUUUACUGCCAUGCUCUUCGGGCUAUCUUCUUUCUUCCGGCGCGGAUUAUUUUUGCUGCAUCGUGAUUUCCCAUUUCCAUCUCUAACUUCGGAUGUACUUGGGUCGCUGGUGCUGCAUCUGGCUAGCCAGCUGUCCUCACCUGCGCAAAAGCGGGUCAUGAGGCUUGUUAAUGCUGUCAUUGUUCUCGGCUUUCUUGGCCGAGGUGUCUGGAAAGCCAUUCGUUGUGGACGCUAUGCUUAAAAGCUGCCAAGGCUUCGGCGUCCGGACAGGCGACUAUUUGGUUCUUUUUAGUAAGAAACCUAUUCCAAAGCUUUUGGGCUGACUCUCCGGGUUGUUGAGUUAUAUGACUCAAAUCAUCCGUGUCUAGAGGUUGGACAGAAGUCCCUUGAAAAUUUGCCCGAAAAGCGUCUUCGAGCUCUUCCCAGAUUCCAAUGGAGCUUUCGGGGAGGCUUUUGAUCCAGUGCCGAGCUGGCCCUUUGAGUUUGAGGGGUAAAUACUUAAUGGCGUGGAGAUCAUAACCUCGAGCCAUAUGGAUAUGGAGGAUAUAGUCCUCAACCCAGACCCCAGGGUCUGUUGUUCCGUUGUAUGCCUCUAUGUUUACGGGUUUGAAUCCCUCUGGAAAUUCAUGGUCCAGCACCUCGUCGGUGAAACAUAGGGGGUGUGCGGCACCCCUGUAUCUGGGCGUACCAUGGUGUUCGGAUGUUUGUUGUGUUGCAUCAUAUGCUGGAGCGCGCUUGCGUGGCCCAUAUAUGGAUCUGGUUGCGCCGUCCUUUUGAUGCGAGCCCUCGCGUGGAUCGCGAAUUGUCUUAUGUGCGGCGUUGUUUGCCGCUGUAUGUUGGCCGUGAGAUUGUCUAUCCGGCCAGAUGGCCGUUUUAAUUUUUGGUUGUGGGGGAUCUAAGGCAUCCUCAUCGAAUUCAGGUAGCAACUUCCGCUUCAGGUAGCUCUUGGUGGGGUGAUUACCGCCGUACUUCGCUGCUGUAUUGAGCACUUUACUCCAUCUGAUUCGGAGUGUGUCUUGCGCAGCCUUGAGCCUUUGCUUCUGCUUUUUUAGACUCCUCGUGGUGGCAAAAAGCCUUUGACGGGCAUUAUGUUGCUCCGGGUGUCUCUCUGGUAUGAUGUCAUCCGGACUAUUAUCUUUGAAAGAGUCGGGUUGUUCGGUUUGAUUCUCCGUGUUGCCGUGGUCCGGCGAUGGUUCACCCUGCUCUAACGCUGGGUCUGUAUGAUCGUUGUUUCUGCCGAGGCAGGAUUUGGAGCGGCGCUUACGCCGCCGCUUUGACUGCUUCUCGAGGGGACAACCCUUCGUUGCGUCCUUCCGUUCCUCGUCGUCGUCUUCUUUUGGUGUGUCCACCAUGUAUACGUCAUGUGAUGAAGUGGGCAUCCAGUGCCCUGUGGGUAGUGGUUCCUGUUCAUCUCCUGCAUCAUCGUCCAUACCGUCGAUGCCUUCGGAGUCGGAGUCGAGCAUGUCGGUUAAGUCAUCGACAGUGGCUACUAAGUGGGUGGUGGGUGGGCGGCGAAUUUCUUCGUCAUCUACAUCCCAAUCCCGCCGGACAUAGUUCGGCCAGGACUCUCCUGACAAGGAGAGAGACUUUAAUGAGUUCAGUAUGUCGCCAAAGGGUGAGUGCUGAAAGAUAUCCGCGGAGGUAAACUCCAUGAUCGGCGCCCAACUGGAUUCGACAGGAACUGGCACAGGCGGUUCGGAGUCCGUGGCCGGAGAAGUAUCCGGCAGUUUAACAACACGGCUCUCGUGAAGGGUAAGAUCGAUAUUCGGCUCGAUCGCCGUUGGGGAUGCGGCCUCUAUGGCGGGGUCUAUCCACCCGUCCAUGGGAGGCGCAACUGGCUCCAAAUUAAUGGUCGGAGCGGCUGCCAAUGUGAUUUCUUGAACACUGUCCGAUGGCAGAGCUACAUCGUAUUCAUCGUUACCGCGCGACGCACAAGGCAGGGGCUCGAACCGUCGAAGAUCAAGUCUUUGUGGAUAUCGGUCGUGUAAUGUAAGCUUCCAUACCUGACUUGAUGGCCAGGGGCGUAGCUUUCGAUCUGCUCUAGAUGGCCAAGUGAGUUGGCCCGCAGUGCGAAGCCGCUGCACACGAAGAUCUGUCCAGGGAGAAAAGUCUCACCCUGGACUGCAUCGCUAUCGAUGAUCGUAGGAGCCAUCAAGCCUAACAGCGACGACACAGAGGAACUCUCAAUGAAAGCACCAAUGUCGGUGUUAAAACCGGUGGAUCUCGGGUAGGGGGUCCCGAACUGUGCGUCUAAGGCGGAUGGUAACAGGAGGCAAGGAACACGAUGUUUGACCCAGGUUCGGGCCCUCUCGAUGGAGGUAAAACCCUACAUCCUGCUUGAUUAAUAUUGUUGAUAUGGGUAGUACAAGAGUAGAUCUACCACGAGAUCAGAGAGGCUAAACCCUAGAAGCUAGCUUAUCGUAUGAUUGUAUGUUAUUUUUCUGUCCUACGGACUAAAACCCUCCGGUUUAUAUAGACAUCAGAGAGGGUUAGGGUUGCACAAGGUCGGUUACAAAGGAGGAGAUAUCCAUAUCCGUACUGCCUAGCAUGCCUUCCACGAUAAGUAGAGUCCCAUCCAGACACGAGACGAAGUCUUCAAUCUUGUAUCUUCAUAGUCCAACAGUCCGGCCAAAGGAUAUAAUCCGGCUGUCCGGUGACCCCCUAAUCCAGGACUCCCUCACGCCCCUUCCUCCCCAGCUCCCCUCCCUCGCUCUCCCGCACCAUGGCCGACGCUACCGCGCCCGCGCCACCGUGAUAACCGCGUCCGCGGUCGUCCCUGUGCCGCGUCACCGUGUCCGUUCGCUCCGCCAUCGUCGUCCACGUCGAGCAGGCCGAGCCCCGAGCGCUCACCCGCUCUGGAGUCGCCCCCGACCCCGUCUCCCCCAACUCCGGCCGCCGAGAUCGCCAUUGUCACCCCGCUUAGCUCCGGCCUUCCCCGAGCCCGCUUCGACGCUUGCUACAAUCGCCGUGAGCUCAGCUCCGUUAACUCUCUCCUGCACCAUAUGCACCGUGCCAUGAUCACCCGCACCCGCUGCCGCCGAGCUCGUUGCCGACGUGACUCCGGCCACCCACCGGCCACACCACUAUGACCAACACACUCACCGCACCCACAGGAACUCGUAGCACUACUCCACAUGCCUCGUCAUGCCCCGUAGCCUCGGGUUCGACCUCACCCGAGCUCCGGCAGCCGCACAGCUCGUCGCCGGUGACGUUUCCAGCCACCGCGAGCUCCACCACUGCCACCAAACGACGCGGCUUGCUCCCAGCUAUGCGUAGAUGCUCUUCGCCGCCCAUUUGGUCGCCGGAGCACGAAACCCGCACUGCCCCGCCCUGUCUGGCCUCGCCGGCGGCUAAACGCCGGCGAGUUUGACCCUGGUUGACCCCGUGUGGGCCCAGGUUGACUUCCCCUGAGUCUAUGACACAUGGGACCGAUCUGCAAAUUAACUUAGAUUAGUACUAACUAAAUUUAGUUAGUUAAUUAACUACUGACACGCGGGUCCCACUGGUCAGGUUUGACCUGGACCGGCUCUGUUGACCACUGACGACCCUGACGUAAUGCUGACGCAAUAAUUCAAUUACUGGAAUUAUUCUUAUACAGGAAAUUCUAGAAAAUACAACAAACUUCAAAUUUUCAUAACUUUUAAUCUGUAACUCCAAAUGCAAAGAGUUAUAUAUGAAAUUUGAUCAGAAAAAUUCAAUCUUUCCAUCUGUAAUGGUCUCAUGCCUGAAAAAACACUUCAACCUUUCUGUUUAGGUGAAACAAGCUAAUCCACUUAUAUGGAUUAAGAACGUAAGCUUUCAUUUGAAUCCUUGAUUCAAAUAGACUCAAACCAACUUGUUUCACAAUGCAUUAGCCAGGACACCCCAUAUUGCCAUGUCAUAGCAUGCAUCAUAUUGUUGCAUAUUGCCAUGUGAUGAUUUUGUUCUGUGGUGUCUUUCGUGGUAGGUUCUGCCUCCGAGGAUAUUUCCGAGUAUCCAACUAAAGGGCAGUACCCUACUACUACUCCAUCAGGCAAGCAACCCCAUUGAUCAUAUCGAUACAAUCCCAUGUUCUCGCUCCUGCUCUCAUUUACUGCAUUAAGACAACAAUGUUUCAAACUGCUAUGUGUUGCGGUAGUUGAACCCUUAUCCUCUGCAUGACCUGUCAUUGCCAUAGUAACUAGAUGAAACCCACUAGCAUGUGUAGGGGUUGAUUGAGCCAUGUAUGUGUUUCCUACCUUGCUAUGCCUGCUAUGCUUAGAGUUGUGUCAGGUCUGGUUCAUCUGGGUGAUGGACUAGAGUGAAAUGAUUACGUCGGUAAUGUGAGGGAUGUGUUGAACAUGAUUUGGUAAAGGUAUCGAUGAGAGGCCAUGUAGGAGUACAUGGUGGGUUGUUUCAUUGAGGCCAUCCCUAAGAACUGAGAUCUGUAUGCGUGAUUUAAGAUUCAGCUACUACCACAUAUUAGGCCCUGAAAUAUGACCCCGCUCGACUUACUAACCCCUCUUGUCCUCUGUCUAGGAGUUGCAACUAGUUUCUGGUGUUUAUAGGUUAUGUGUUAGCGGACGUGCGUAGCGCUGACCCUAGGGGUGGGCUAUGAUGUGGUAGAUACACCGUGGCCGGGAAUGCCGGUCGCCCGUUUGGCGUCUCAGGACCUUGUACACAUCGUUUGGGGCCGUUGAGGACACCCCGGACGGAUUUCCUUGCGGAUGGAACCCGAAUAGGCGAAAACCUGGACUAGAGACUUGUGCGGUUAGUCAGGUCGUGGUGUACACCCACGUCAGCUUUCGCUUGAAGUCUGUCGAGCACAGGUCGUGUGCAGACGCUAAGUGGUGGAAACAUGUUUGACGUAGUACACCCCUGCAGGGUAUAAAACUAUUCGAAUAGCCGCGUCCACGGUAAAGGACUACUUGGUUGCCUAUGCAGUUCAUAGACAAGUUAAUGGUUACUACUAAAAGACUCAAGAUAAGUGUGAGUACCGAGGAUGGCCCUCUCGUAGGAUGACGAGGGAGGAUCCUCGGUGGAGUAUUGUGUUGGUGAUUAGUGGACUCGUGUGUGAAAAUUAUUUUAGAGUGGUGUCUCGUAGGAUAGCUUAGCCAAGAGUCAUAGCUGGCUUGUUGCAAUAACUCCACCACCUUCUUGAGAAUGAGCAUGUAUAGUAGGAUCUGUUGUAAGACUUGCUGAGUACCUUCGUACUCAUGUUGCUUUAAUUACUGUUUUCAGACGACAACACCACCCCCUCCGACGGGUUUUACGUAGACCUCGACGUCGAUGAGUGACUUGCCACCCAGGAGGUGAUUCUAGCCAUGGAGGGCCCUGUGUAGAUAGACAGGCUUCAUCAAGCCUUCUUUCUUUCUAGUGUCUAUACUCAGACUAAUUUGCUUCCGCAUGUGCUUGUAUGCUUGUAUGACUUGAGUGUCGGGUCAUGUGACCCCUACCUGUAUGAACAUGUUAUGUAUGGCCCUCCGGAGCCUUUAAAUAAAGUACUUUGAGUUGUAGAGUUUUGUUGUGAUGCCAUGUUGUAUUUACACAUAUUGAGCAUAUUGUGUGUAUGAUUGAAAUGCUUGGUAUGUGUGGGAUCCGACAAUCUAGUUGUUUAUCCUUGGCAUCCUCUCUUAUGGGGAAAUGUAGUCUAGUGCUUCCAUGAGCCAUAGUAGUCCGCUACAGCCCGGUUCACCGGAGUCCUGCUAGCCCAGCACUACUGCUCAGGACACUUGACUGGCCGGCAUGUGUUUCACUUCGUUCCUAUGUCUGUCCCUUCGGGGAAAUGUCACGCGGUGACAUCCGGAGUCCUGCCUAGCCUGCUAUAGCCCGGGUUCCCGUAGUCCUGUUAGCCCAGUGCUACAGCCCGGAUUCACAAGCUGCUGACCGACAUGCUUGAUGUGAUUCAUGUAUGCCUGUCCCCUUAGGUUAGUGCCGCUUUGGGUUCACGACUUGCCAUGUCGGCCCGGGUUCUCUGUCAUAUGGAUGCUAGUGACACUAUCGUAUACAUGAGCCAAAAGGCGCAAACGGUCCCGGUCCAUGGUAAGGCGACACCCGUGGGGAUACCGUGCGUGAGGCCGCAAAGUGAUAUGAGGUGUUACCGGCUAGAUCGAUGUGACUUGGAAUCGGGGUCCUGACAAAACCCUAGCUAGACGGGCCACAGCCCCCGCACAGCCCCGUUGUUACCCUGAUCCAUCGCUAAAACUAGUAUAAAUAACAACUGCUUGUUCCUCAAAAACAACUGCGCGACUUGCUGGGUCCCUAGUGUUAGCCGCUCGUAGUGUAAUUCUCUCGUUUAUUGACUACAUUGACAAUGGAGUGAGCCCCAGAUGUCCAACCAUUAGGAGGAACCAUAUUUUUGGGCUUGUACUAUAGAGGCACUUGCUUGCGUACUGCCAUGACGCUGGUGGGUCCCUACUGUCAUCCUCUCCACGUACAGUCAUCUCCUUGUUCCUCUCGGUUGUUGACGACGUUGACAAUGCAAGAGGGCGGCGCACCGCGCACGGCGAGCGAACCAAGGCCGCAAGGCGGAGGACGACAGCGAGGCCACAUACAGAACGAACAGGAGCCGUUGAAGAUGCAUCGGUCCAGUCGCAGGCGGAGUGGAGUACGGGGGUUGACUGGUUUGGGCGUGGGUGCGUGUUGGGCCUGACGUCGCUGGAGAAUAACAGGACAUGUGGGGGAAUAGAGGGAGGGACUUGCCAAUGUUGGAGGGUACGUACGGUAGGGCGGCGGAGGCGCAGCCAGCCAUAGGAGGCGGGAGCAGGCGGAGCCGACGAGGUGGUUUGGUUUGGGCGAUUGGAGGAAGAAGAAGACAAGAGAUAGAAGAUACAUGACAGAUGUUGGAUGUCAAUCCAACGGCUGGUAGGCAGAAUCGUUUGUUGACUGGCUAGUGAGUCGACACCACCUUGGAUAGGCUAUUUCCUCGUGGGUCCCAAAUGUCAGAAUCCAAAUCUGUCACGAUGAUGCAGCCUUUCCUAUGAAAAUUUAUAGCCCAUUUGAUGUGCUAGUUCGAAAUAAGUUUGUGGGUGCUGGUGGGGGCUAAUCACUUGGCUUCUGGAAUGCACAGUGAGCUCAAGUAGCCGGCAAGAGUGAUGUUAUUUCCCUUGGUUUGGAUUUGUUACAAUAUUUCACUCUAAAUUAAACGAAUGGCAAGCCAUUUGCCUUGUUUCAAAGAAAAUAUGACAGUCACAACCGAGUUGAAAAGGGCAGGAACAUCUAACUCCAGCUUACAAACUGUACAAAAGCACGAGGGUUAAUUGUUCAUCAGGUUAAAAAAACAGAUUGAAAAGGGCAAUGACAUCUAACUCUAGCACUGUUUUUGGCAGUCACAGUCAAAUGGAUCGGUCAGGUCCAUAGAAUGAACAUCUUGGGUCGUAAAAUUUACUGGAUUAUGACCACAAUAUGUUGUAAAUAGAAGCCCGACACGUACAGAAGCUCUUUUGCCCACCUGAAACUCCUUUUUUUGCUCUUCGACAUACCCAUCCAUCAAAACCAUGCUGCUGAUAAACUUAAGCCUGAUGGACAAUAGUAACCUCGCAUUCAGCAGGAAGAAUGUGACAAAUCUUGUGUUUGCACGGUUGGCUACAUAUCGUUCUAGCGUUAUUGUCUUCAAUCGAAUCUCAUGAGAAGUGAGAAAAUCCCGAUGCUUACGAAUCCACCGAUUGGUUAUAACUUUCUUACCCCGUCCUGUUGCCUAAAUAGACAUGAAGGUUGAAAACAGUUAAGGUCUAAAGAAGAGUGUCGAAAGAGCAAUAGCUGAACGGUUAAUUCUAGUACACUAUAUGCGGGCUUCCAAUGUGCAUGAAAUUAUCACCUUUAUAUACAACUUCUCCAGACAUGGAAAGCAUUGCAGCAAGCCAAUAAUCUUGUUCGGAUCAAAACUAUUCAUUUGGAUAUAUAAGAUCUUGACAGAAACUAGCACCAUUGAUAGGCCAUCCAAGGAGAAACUCUUCAUUGAGCAUAGAACACAAUAUUAGUACAAAAUAUGUACUCCAAGAUGACAUAUAAAUUAUGCGCAGAAAUUUAAAAUGCAGCUUAUGGUUACAAGUGUAGAUGAUAAUAUAAAGUACCUGAAGAACUGUGGAGCCAAACACCAUAUUGAAAUGAGCACAGAGAUCAUGUAUUACAGCCAAGGUCUCCAGUUUAGGCGCAGAGAGGAUGGUUAUUUGCAACGGUGAAUAACUAGAAUCAAGGAUCAACCUUUGAAGUGAAGGGGCAUAUCGGAUGAUGAGCUGCCUUCCGUCAAAAGAAAUUCCACUUCUUACAAAGUUAGGCGACUUUAUUUGGAGACAACCGAUUCUAACUGUGAAAACAAGCACCAAGCACUCCAGCGCAAGGCAAAUGGAGUGGAUGAUGAUGUGCAAUGAGGCCUCCAAUAUACGAACCCGCACAAGUGAAAGUUUCUUGAGAAAUGGGAGUCGAAGGUUUAGUACCAGAUUGUCUGGUAGGUAGCACUACGCAAAGGUGGCGGUGUGGAGAGAGGACGAAAACCCCGAGAUGGACAUCGGUGCUGAGGACACAAGUUCAUGGCAUUCGGUAUGUGGUAUGUGAUUUCUAGUGGAAUAGUAGAACUCAAGCAGCUGUAGUUCUAUAAAUUCAGGGGAUUCCAGCCAGGCAUCCACCGUGCAGGGCAUGGUAUGCUUGCUCAGGUAGCCUGAUGGGAUGCAUAGGCUUUGAACGGAGCCCUGGUGGGAGGAGAUGAUGGCUCUGGGGAUUUCAAAAUCAUUGACGAGAGAUAGCCGACGAUAGUCGAGAUUAAGGGGAACGGCACGCCAUCGAGGGCGCCACCGAAUUGAGAGGACUUGGGUGCGGCAGCAAUCCUUGGUGGGGAGAAGCGAGUUGAUCUCCCCAAGGAUGGCAUCCGGGAGAUCGCUGAUACGGUCCACCCGAGAUUCUACGGGUUCCUGGGAUCCGGUGGGGGCGGGGUCGCCGCUUCUCCCCGCGUUGCCGGGUGCGGGAUCUACAACAGGCGUCGCCGCUGGCGGGAGCCUCAUCUUCUUGGUGCUGGGGUUAGCCGACUCCAUUUUCCUCAAGGGCGUCGCGUCGUGCUCACGGAUUUGAGCAGAGUAACGAAUGACGAGCCUAGUUGUAGUGCGAGCGAAGAACAAGGGGAGCUGGGGGUUUUCUGUAGGAGUGAGGAAGACGGGGAGCUGGGGUUUUCUGUAGGAGUGAGGUGAGAAAUUUGGGGGUAUGAGUGGAGCGAGCUGACGUGAGGUGGGUGGGAGCGAGGAGGAAGAAGAGCACCCAGGUUUUUUUGGGGGGGGUGUGCUGGGUGUGGGUAGCGCCUCUCAUUCAGUAAAUAUAUGGGCUUUUGAAUUGAUUUUACUAUUUACUAGUGUGGAUGGGCUGUUUUGUCUUGGGACCCGAGAAACAAUUACUACUAGUAUAGUGGAGACACUCUACAGCUACCCAGAAAAACAAUUACUACUAGUACAAUGGAGACACUCUACCGCUUCUGGCUCCUCCUAGGUCAUUGAAACGUCUCCCUCUACUGAAUGCCAUUAUACUUUUGUUCACCGUCAUGCGGGCCAUGUAGCGCGCGGGCCCAAAUGCCAUCCACCGAAUUGGAAGGCAGUAUGCAGGUGGAGAGUCACCCCGGUCGUAGCGCGGCAGUAAUGAGCCGUCGUAUCACAAAACCCCACCUCCCCACAGUCUAAGUUUGACGGACGAAGCAACCAUCAUUUCACUCUUCGCUGAAUCCCCUUCUCCCUCGCCGUCUUCAAGAAAGGAAACACUUGCAUCUGCCACUGUUCUUCUCUCCGAACGAAGGGAAGGUAAGCAGAUCCAUGAUGUUGGUAUAUUUUCGUUCAGAGGAAAAUAAAAGAACUUUUGCAAAGCAGUAACCGAUCCUCACUCUCUUUUUUGUUUCAUUGUCAUUGCGAUUUUGUUUUACUUUUAGUGGACUCCUAGUAUUCGUCAGUUUCAUGAUGGACCAAGGAGAACUAGGCAAAGAUCUGCCGAUAUUGGAGCAGACGCGGGAGGCUAAUCCCCACGAGACACAGAGCUCCAAGAAGAUGGAGGCAACCACCGAGGCGACCCCAGAUACUGAGAUGGUCAACACCUCGUUUGAGGUUACAACCCCCGUGGCACUGCAGGAGCAGUUUUNNNNNNNNNNNNNNNNNNNNNNNNNNNNNNNNNNNNNNNNNNNNNNNNNNNNNNNNNNNNNNNNNNNNNNNNNNNNNNNNNNNNNNNNNNNNNNNNNNNNNNNNNNNNNNNNNNNNNNNNNNNNNNNNNNNNNNNNNNNNNNNNNNNNNNNNNNNNNNNNNNNUCCCCAAGGUGAUUUCCUUCUUUGCCGAUCUCGAUUGUGGUUUUUCAUCUAAGUAUGUGGUGAUUUUUUAGAAAAGGAAGUAUGUGGUGAUUAAUAAUGCAAAAUUUUAUUAGCUUCGAUGCCAUGGUAUACGUAGUGGUUUAAAUAACUUGUGUUUCUUAUACUGAAAAGUAAUUCAGAAUUUGUUUUUGUUUCAAUUAGAGCCCUGAUGCAGACAAGGAUUGUGUGGUUGUACAUGUCACUCGCUAUGAGGCGGACGACCUGAAUAUACGCACUGGGAAAGCAGAGUUCUUAGGCUGUUGGAUCCUGGAAGCCAUUUGCGGUUAUACCAAUGAGGAGUUGUAUUCCAGCCUCACUGUUGUCAGGCGUGUUGUCCAGGGUGUACUGAAGCACAAGAAGUUCAAAGCUACUCCUUCGUUUGUGAGGAAUACUGUUCUUGUCAAGCUGAUGCAGGAAGAUGACGUGGCAUGCCUCCACAAACAAGUUUAUCAGUGGCAAGGCCACAAGGUUGUCUUCAUGAAGGUUCACAGGAUUGAGCUGCCGCGGGACAUCCUCGAUGAUGUUCAUGGCAAGGUCUGUCUUGUGUCCUGCCCAAAUUAGAUCGAGGCAUGAAAUAGUUUCCCCAGCUAGUAUUUAAUAGUAGUUUGGAUUGUGUCUAAUUAUCCGAACCUUGCCUGUUAUCGACCCCUCUUGGGCUAGUACUCUGUUUGAAUCCGUCUAUGGGAACUGCUGCUACUUUCGUGUGCCCGUGAAUCAUGUGAGAACCAUCGUAAUUGUUGCCGAAAUAGAUUCGUCCUCACUAGUUUUUUCAUGAAUAUGGCAUGGUUUAUCAUACGAGCAGUGUGUGUUUUGAUGAAAUAGAGCACUCGUUCGAGAACCCUGCGCCGACAUAUACAUAAGUACUUGUAAACACUGUUGGUGCUACCCCACUUGUAAGCAGUUGUGCAAAACAUGGCACAUUGCCUCAGCUCGCUUCAACACUAGGCUAUCGACUAGCUAACAAUCAACAAUCUGCUGUCUGACAUUUAAGAAACUAUGUAUCUUGUUACAGUGGUUCAUGCAGUUAAUUGAGGCCACAAUGUAAUAAAUUCCAAACAUUCACACACUAGUCCAAAGCUCAUGUGGAACACUCACAUUAAACUCGUCUUCAUAAAAAACUCGAAAAGCAUAAGUUAAGCAAUUUUAUACAUCUUAAUGAUUCAUAGAACAUAACAAACAUAUACUAGUUCACAGCAAAAGACAAAGUUGUGAGAAGGUUUAAAAAUCAGGAAAAAACAAGCAAGGCUUCUCUCUGAGCAAAGGGCCUCCCGGCAGGCUUAAAUUUCCUGGAGUUCACUCUGGUUUUUUCUUGUUGCCUCCAUUCAGGGUUAGGUUCUCUCAUUCUAGAAUAACCAAUUAUAAUUGUGGUCUCAGCUGGAAUGCUGAACUGAACCAUGCAGUGUACUGACCAGCUGAAAUGCUUGUGCCUUCCACUAAAUUUAAGCACCGCUAUUUGCAGAAAUAAGCAGACCACAAUGCCUCUUGUCCGCGCACCUGUCGAAAAAACCGCCGUGCAGCCGUGCCAUCUAGUCCUUGGUCCAAGGAUGAACUGGUAGAAAGUGCAUUCCGGACUAGGAUGCAGUUGUUUUCACUCGUCCCUGCACUGCAAUCAGGAAGUAAAAUGUAUGAAUCAGCUUCUUUUAGAUUGCGUUGGUCACUCUACCUUAGUUACUACCAAUGUAGGGAUACCUUGAAGACGGGAGGUUAGACGACGGCAGCGAGGGAUAGCCAUCUCAUUUUGCACAGUUGUACUAAAACUGAGGUGUGUGCUUUUGAUUGCGCGGAUAGAAACGAUACGGAGACAGACAUCCCAAAACGAUAUGGAGACAGACAUCCCUGUUUGCGCAAAUAAGAAAUACGGUUAUUUAAACAGUGACAAAUAUUACUACUUUCCCCCAUUUCCUCUUAGAACCAAGUCCUAGAUUCAUGCUACAGCUUUCCCACUUUCUUCCCUGUUUGAACCUACGCUUUGAGUCGACUGUAUGAAAUAGCUUUACUUCUAAUAAUAGUAGAAGUCUACGUGGCUUUGGAACAGCGGACGGAAGUAGAAAAGGAUCCACGCGAAGGGAGCUGGGGCAGUAGAGCAAGGCAGGUUUCGAAGGAAUAUAUACCUGAGGGUCAUCGGCAUGUCACAAAGAUGGCGUCGGGAGGCCGCAUCUUGGCCACAAUAGCGCAGGGGGGGAGAAGGGGUCGGAGGCCCUCCCGAGCCGGCGCUCUCUCGGAGAGAACAGCGCGGCGGCCGAUCGGGACGCGCGGGCAGCCGUUGGUCUCCUCCCUCGCCGCUGACGACAGCGUGAAUGAUGCACCUAUACACCUGCCCCGGUCGAGGUUGUCCGGCCGGAUUUGUGACCAGCCGUGAGCUGAGAGAGAGUGUGGCCACCUAUGUGUUGCUUAGAUCUAGAGAGCAUGAGAGAGUGAAUGAGAGGAACCCUAGUAAAGGAAGCGCUAAGGCUACUGCUUUUAUAUAUAGUGGAGUGAUUUUGUUGUACCAGCUUCAAAAAAAAUGCGCUCCUACGUGUACCCGCGAGUGGGUGUGAGAGAACUAGUGCGUGCGUGCACCGCUUCUCUUCGUGAGAGUACAAUAUACUAUGCCCAAAGAACGUUCGCCGCAAGAGUAAUAGUACAAGUGUGUGGCGUGUGAGCUAAAAUAAAAUGUGUGCGCCGUCUUUUGUUUUUUAGAAGUUCUGAGGGUAGGGUGUGAAGAGCACAUAUGUGCGUGACGUCUACCUGCAGAUAGACGGUGGGUGCGACGUGCGAGUCUGCAAGAGGACUUAGGAGAGUCGUGACUCGUGAGGGUGCGUGUGCGUGAGAGAGAGGGGGGCACGUUUCAAUGCAAUGCAUGUGUCCGUAAAUCAUUAUCCGACAAACAUUUGCCACAAGCCUUUUCCUGACGAACACCGUAAGGACCGUUAGAUCGGCAUCCGACAGUAUCAGUUUUGCCAUGUCAUUUAACAGAACAGCCACUCCUCCUACACAUAAAUCUUCCACGUGAGUGUUAGCAACUGCCGUAUGCUCCCUCCGUUCCGAAAUGAAGUGCAUAUAGCUUUAUUGAAAAUUCGAACCUCGCAAACUUUUACCGAGUUUUCGUGUACCAAAUUGCACAUGUAGAAUACCAUGUAUAUAUCAUUUCAUUCAUCUUUGAGAGGUAACUAUAUAGUUGGGUGAGGAGUCUACAAAGAAAGACCAUCGUAUCACCUGCAACAAUUUCAAGCAUCCUUUAGUGUCGAGGGAUAUCAUAGGAACUCUAUAUGAUAUGAUUUUUAUAGGAUUUUUUCCUUUAGAGCCAAUUGGUUCAUAGGAAUAGAUUCAUAUACUCCACACUUCAAAGGAAAUAAACAUGAUAUCAUUUCUAUAGCUUUAGAGCCACUUGGUUCAUAUGAAUGGAUUCCUAUACUCCCUUAAUUUCAAAGGAAAAUAGACAUUAGCGUAUAUUCAAUAGAAAAGUUCCUAUGAUAUGAACCAAAUUACAUCUCUUUUCUAAUCCCUCCUCGUAGGAAUUGAGAAACAUGUCAUCUCUAGAUUCAAUAGAAAAGUUCCUAUGAUGUGAACCAAAUGACAUCUCUUUUCCAAUCCCUACUCAUAGGAAUUGAGAUGCUCCAUGUCACCUCCUUCCCUACAACUUCCAUGUAUACAUCUUCUAUUCCUAAAUAGAUAGUACAACCCACUAGUAGCUUUUUUCCAAAACAUGCAACUAUGGCACAAGAACUAUAUAGUGUGCCAAUAACUUUGAAAGAUGGUCACUGGAUGAAGCUAACCCGACAGUGCAGAGAUAGGCAAAUCCGAGCACUACUGGCCGUUGGAUAUCAUCAACAUUCCAUCAGAUCUGCCACAUGUACAAUUUAGAAGACUCCAUGGUUGAACUUAAGCAUAAUGCACAAACCUCAAAACACAAGAACUUCUCCUUUGUUCUAGAAUCUUCUGUAUCAUAAUUGAUUAUUAUUUUCUAAAUGAAUUGCCAUUAUUUGUCUUUUACUUUAUGAUUUACUCCCUCCCUUCCAAAAUAGAUGACCCAACUUUGCACUAACUUUGUAAAAAGUUAGUGCAAAGUUGGGUCAUCUAUUUUGGAACGGAGGGAGUACAAUGCACAACCCCAUGAAUCUUAACAUUUUUAUAAAACUUAUAGAUUUUGAAAGAGAUGAACUAUAAGAACUAAACGAACAUCUACAUCAUGCAUAUAUGACUCAAAGCUUUACAUGCUAUAGUGUGUAUUUAUUCAUAAUUUGGUUUCGAAAUCUCAUGCGUUCAAUACAUGUGUACCUUACUAGUUUUGAGUAGAGUAGCAAAUUUCACGCGGCCCCGUGUAUAUCAAAAUGAAGGGCCCAUGCAUCAUUGCCUUUCGGUCGAACCUACGUCCACAAUUUUUUGUACGUACUAUAUCUCCACUGGUCCCCGGACCCAAAAUGCUGCCUCGUUCCCGUAAAACCAAGCGGCCCACACAUAUUUAAGGCGUCAGCUCGAACACGUUUACUACGACGUGGCCCCACACGCCGUAGUACUCCUACAAACCCUACCGCCGCACUCAUUAUUGGUUUUCUUCAAGAGGACGAGGGAGAAGCCGAUUUGUAGUGGAGGCACUUUCAAAAAAAGGAUCUGUAGUGGAGACCCCUACCCAAGGGUGCCCUGGUGCCCUAGGUAGCUCUCGCACGCAUCAUUGUUUUCUCUUUUCUUUAUGCUCUUGCGCCCUAGAGUGAAAUGAUGGUUGCUUCAUGCGUCCAGCUUAAUGCGGGAAAGGUGGGGCUUUGUGAUUUGACCCCUCAUCGCUCAUUUUCUACUACUGCGGCGCUAUGACCGGGGUGCCUCCAAUUCCAACCGUUGCUCCGAACUAUAAUUUGGUGCAUCACACGUGGAACAAGACGGUGGAUGAGCCACAUGGCGGCCAAAGGGGUCAUGUUAAGUGUGUCGCCAUUUCGUGUGCGGACUGACCCUGCUUGAGUUGCUACGCCAACACGACAGGAGCAGCCUACCACUUGGUUUUGCUCCUUGGUGAAUCCCGACUAUAUUUAUCUAAAAAGAUACAUGCUGAACUACCCUCUCCGUCUCGGUUUUUUUAUUUUUAGGCGUCUCGGUUUAUAGGGCCUGCACUUAGUUUUAGGUCAUCCAUUUGACUAACUAAAUAUGAGUUACUAUGUCACAAAAAGUAUAUCAUUGGAUUCUUAAGCGGAUGUACUUGUAUUUAAAAGUCGAGGGUGGGGCUUUUCCUGCGCAGUACGCGGCGGGGCAGUUCCGCCUAGUCAGUUCGAUAGAGACGCGAGAAGACGAGGGAGUAGAUUGCUGCAAAUGUAGGGCUGUGUGAUUUGACAGCGAGUUACUGCUGGAUAGGUGGGGCCCCGUGAUUUGACUUGCCAUUAUCAUUUUAACUGCAGCGCUACGACUGGCAUGAGUCUCCUAGAUUCCUGACCACCACCAUACAGGUGCCUCUCCCAAUUCUCCACCAUGUAGUAGAGGUUGGCUCUUGCAUGAGAGCCCACUUCUCCACUUUUUCCUUGCCUCUCUUUCCUCCACAUAUGCAAAAAUGCCAUGUAAAGCGCACUAUUGUACUUACUUUUGCUUGCUCCUACAGGUGGUUAAGCUUGCCACAUAGGCAUAAAGUCUGAUGUGGCAAGUUAAUCAAGAAGAGAGAGACUAGUUUGGUGACCCAAGGAAGAAACAGUGCUAAGCGCGUGUACCUAGGUAAAAAGACAAUUUUGAGUCUAUAGCUAAUUAAAUGAAGCAAACUUAGCAACACCAUUUCAUUGGAAGAGGUCACUCCUUGGCAAAUGCAAUAAAUACACGUGCUUAGCAUCAUUUCUUCCUUGAGUAUGAAGAAAGAGAUAGAGAGGAGUAAAAAAAUACACGUAUAGCCAACCUUGUUGUAGUAUGAGUGACUAAGUGAUGACUAUGUAUGACAUGCCAACAUCAGAUAGCCUAAUGCACCGUGUUAAAUCUCCAAGGGCGCGACCGCGCGAGUGACACGACGGUCGUGGUAGGCGCGACCAUGAUACGGGCUACUGGCAGCCCUUGGAUCUGAGAUCAAACGGUCGCAUGCUAAGUUGCUGAAUAACCCUCCAGGAUAGGAUAUUCACCCAUAGGUCUAGAAUCACGCCAUGCAACCGUUCGAUCUCAGAUCCAAGGGCUCUCAGAAGCCUGUAUCAUGGGAGAAUGGAAAUCCACUACCCUGCCGUUCGCACGCUGGCAGUUCGCUCCUACUCGUCCCCGCACGUCCUUCAAUACUACGACGGUUCACUCCUAGUCAUCCCGUCCAUUCAAAUUAUGACAGUUCCACUAAUCCUAACCCUCCUCCCAAAUCCAUGGCAUCCCAAAUCUCCACGAUCGGCAGUGAGUACAAGGUUAGAACCAUCACCGGCAAUGAGCUCGACGUCAUCUACACCUGUUCUUCCACGACAGUGAAAGGAUGCCUUUCUCGCUUCAGACGCAUGUUCGAAAACUCAGAUGAUGACUGGGUCGCUGGGCUAGAUGUUGAGUACACCACAGUCCUAGGACGAGAGAAUGAUCUAAAGGACGAAGAGAGGAAGAAGCCCUCCAUGAUCCAGGUUUGCGUACAUAACGUUUGCUUGCUCUACCACAUAUGCCAUGCCGGUGUUGAGUGCCAGGAUUUUAAGAACUUCCUCAAGGACAAAAUAGUGAAAUUUGUUACUAUAGACUUUACGAACGACGAAGAAGUCCUGGGUCGGAUAGGCCUCGUUGUAGGCAACCCCUUCGACCUCCAGAAGAAUCAGCUGGUGCCCUCUUGUCAGCCUUCAAUGCUGACCCUGGUAGGAGCCAUGGUUCAUCCUUCGUACGGUAAACUGGAGAAACCUCCAUACACGUUUCAUCGUCAUGCAUGGCAGCGAAAUGUACUAGAUAUAGACCACAUCCACUAUGCUGCAAUGGAUGGCUACCUUUGUUUCAAUAUCUACAAGGGUUGGAUGAAGAGCAACAGCCAAGUGUGCGGUUCAAGCAAAGAAGUAUCGGCCAAGAGGAAUAGGGACAAGGACGAAGUCGAGGACGUGGACGAGGACUUCGAGUAAGGUGGAAGUGUUGUUGCUCAUGGUGGUUCUAAACUUCUAAUGCAGUGUCUACCGGAUUAGUUGCAUAGUUUAAUUUCAGGUGUGCUUAGUUUAAUUUGAGGGGUGUGUUGUGCUGAGCCACCAGCAGAACUAUGUUAUGUUUCUUCUUGUUACUUUAUCUCUUCAGUAUGUACAUACUACUAGUAUUACUUUAAUAGAAUUUAGCACCCUAAUUAAGCACGUACUAGCUUUUUAAAUAGUACUAUAUGCAUAAUUUGGCGACGAGCACUCUCUAUAUGUACCACCUUUUUUUAAUUUCAAUUUUUGCUCCAUGGCCCAAUCCAUCGAUAGUACUAUUGUACAAAAGUAUACAUUUUUAAAAGGCUAGAGUACUGUUCAUCACAUAUAUAGCCAGUUAAAUUCUUAACCUAGAACGACGUGCAUGCCAUGUAGUAAACCGAUACGGAGGAAGUAUAGUAAAAAUGAGGUGAUUUUACCGAGCGAUCAGCGGGGGAGCAUGGCCUAUCAUGCGGUCCCACGUGUCAUGAUGUACCAAGGCAAUGUGUGUGUCCCUCUUGAGGCAGAAGCAAUACUAGUACGUGGAUUGAGAUGAUGGCGAACCGAAGUGUGAAAUAAUGGUUGCUUCGUCCGUCUGGGAAAGUGCGGCAUUGUGAUUUGACGUCUCAUUGCUCAUUACUACUACUGGGCCGGUACGAGUGGGCUGCAUCCCCCCUGCUAUUCUGCACUGUUAUUUGGUGCUUGACACGUCGACCCGGUUGCUAUAUGUCACACAUGUCGGCGACAGGAAGUACAGAAUUCAUGACAGGGAGCGUCGACGGAGGAGUAUACUAUAGAAUUCAUGAAAGGGAGCGACUUAGUUUUGGAAAAAUCUGUUUUUACGGAGUACGUACCCACUAGGUGUCACGACCGGUUUUCCAAUAAAAUGUUUAUUGAGAAGCCAAUCUUUUGAGUCCAGUAUGAGAAAAAAUCCUCCUUACUGGUAGACAAAAUUCUUGAUACAGUAAGCCAGUAGCAUAAAAUAUAUUACAAGGUCGAGCUAAGGCUGCUCAACAAAUUAUUACAAGCACGCCAAUAAUUAUACAUAAUGGCGGAUAUGACACAAUGGUGUGGUGGCAUACUACUGACUCGAGAUAAAAGUGGUGGUGGAAUAUCACAGUGGAGAGUGGAUAAUAUGACUCCUAAACUGGCAGCUCAUCGAGCAUCGAGGUGAGGCUCGAUGAAUUUAUUUGGGUAGCGGAAGCGGAUAUAAUACAGUAACCAAAUCCAGGAUCACUCGAGACUGACUGGGACUCCUCUAGGCGUCGGACUCGCUAUCGAACUCUUCAUCCAUGAGAUCACCUUCGUCAACAUCUGGCCAAAUCAACAAGCCAGGUGAGUACUUACUCGCAAGAUAGUUCGGACAUAAGAUAUAACAAAUGCAUGCAUGAAUGCGUCAUUAGUAAUUGGUGUUGCACAUUCAAAUUAAUAAUUAUUGGAACAACAUGGUAAGUAAAAAAAGGAGUCGGGUGGUAGUCUUCCCGAAAUCCCAACAAAUUCAUUGAAAAGCCGAUCGGGUGUCUGGAGCGACGCCUCGAAGGGUGAACAAAUAAAUAAUCAUGCCGCAGUCGGGCGUCUAAGCGACACCACGAAAAGGGCUUAUAUUGAGAAGAAAAUGACAUGCGUGCCACAGUCGGAUGUCGGAGCGACAUCGCAGAAAGGGCUUACAUCGCAGGUAAAUAACAAGCGUGCCACAGUCGGAUGUCUGAGCGACAUCACAGAAAGGGCUUAUAAUGAAAAGUAAAUAACAAGCGUGCCACAGUCGGACGUCUGAGCGACAUCACAAAAAGGGCUUAUACUGAAAAGUAAAUAACAAGCGUGCCACAGUCGGACGUCUGAGCGACAUCACAGAAAGGGCUUAUACNNNNNNNNNNNNNNNNNNNNNNNNNNNNNNNNNNNNNNNNNNNNNNNNNNNNNNNNNNNNNNNNNNNNNNNNNNNNNNNNNNNNNNNNNNNNNNNNNNNNNNNNNNNNNNNNNNNNNNNNNNNNNNNNNNNNNNNNNNNNNNNNNNNNNNNNNNNNNNNNNNNNNNNNNNNNNNNNNNNNNNNNNNGAGCGACAUCACAGAAAGAGCUUAUAAUGAAAGGUACAUAACAGGUGUGCCACAGUCGGACGUCUGAGCGACAUCACAAAAAGGGCUUAUACUGAAAAGUAAAUAACAAGCGUGCCACAGUCGGACGUCUGAGCGACAUCACAGAAAGGGCUUAUACUGAAAAGUAAAUAACAAGCGUGCCACAGUCGGACGUCUGAGCGACAUCACAGAAAGGGCUUAUACUGAAAAGUAAAUAACAAGCGUGCCAUAGUCGGACGUCUAAGCGACAUCACAGAAAGGGCUUAUAUCAAAAGUAAAGGACAAUUGUGCCACAGUCGGACGUCUAUGCGACAUCGNNNNNNNNNNNAAAUAACAAGCGUGCCACAGUCGGACGUCUGAGCGACAUCACAGAAAGGGCUUAUACUGAAAAGUAAAUAACAAGCAUGCCACAGUCGGACGUCUGAGCGACAUCACAAAAAGGGCUUAUACUGAAAAGUAAAUAACAAGCAUGCCACAGUCGGAUGUCUGAGCGACAUCACAGAAAGGGAUUAUAUCAAAAGUAAAGGACAAUUGUGCCACAGUCGGACGUCUAUGCGACAUCGCAGAAAGGGCUUAAAUUUCAUUAUUCAUAACUGUUAAGCUCACAACGAUAUAAUACUCAUAGGAAAUAUUCAACACAUAAUAAUAAACGGGUUAGUCCAUCCACAGGAAUAAGCAUUUAACCGGACUUAACACUCAUGUGGUUCACCGGAGUUUCUGUCACUGAGACUGACACUGGACAAGAUAAGUUGAACAUAGUACUUGGACAUGGAUAAGAUGAUUCAAGGAUUUUUGACUCUACAGAGUUUGUACUAAAUUUCCCACAGCCAACGGAUUUCCGUAGUCACGAAGGACUAGUUCCGUUUACGGUAUUUCAGCAGAAACACAUCUAACCAGUACACACCCAUCCCACCUCACGAUGCCAGGAAUCACCCUAGACCGCAUUCAAGAAAAACUUUGAGACAGGGAGAUCACAAUCUCGAAUAGCACGGGAUCAAAUUUAUAUACGCGCGCUCUAAGGGGUGCCCCCCUCUCGGUCCCAACCGGAAACACCCAUGCCCCCUGACCGGAUGACUGGCUUUAAUCCAGGGCCAUGGAACCAUCAUCACGGCCUCUCGAUUUGGUGUGUACCAGGAAAGCGGUUUGCAACUUACUAAUCCAUAUCCCUUGCGGAAAACAUGUGGUAGUACAGGAAGGGAAAACGGAUGGGAACUGGACUGAUUCAUGUUGACACUGGAGUCAAAUAGUCUGGCAUAAGACUGGCAUGCUACAACACUGCCAUCUUACCCAUCCCCAUGCCAUCACAUGGCCAUGCAAACUCAUAUCCAACAACUUAUGGAUUUCCGAAACUCACUUGCCUCAACUUUGCAUGUAAUAUGAUAUUCAUUUAUAUACUCAUAAACAUGCCAUGAAACUACUUAAUGCAAUCAUGCCAAAGACACUCAUCAUAUUAAAAGUUCAAACAUGCUUGCCUGGUUCAGAGUAGUCGGAGCCUAGCUCAGUGAAGUUCGCGGUUCCGUCACCUCCUUUGGUAUCUACGGUAUAAAGAAACAUAUGUGCUAACGUAAAUACCGUGAGGUGCACAAAAAAAUAUUCCAAAUAUUUUUCAAAUAAAUCUGAUAAAAAACUAGACAAAAAUUUAAAGAGGGCAGAAAAAGAAUUAAUCAAAGAUCAUUUUCUGCUUAAAAGUUAUAAGAGUUUUUGUCCAGGGACCUUUUUGUAAAGAAACAGAAAGUUUACAGGGUUUUCUUUAUAAAAACAGAAAAUGCUUCGUUUGAGAAUACGCCGGCCCAGAGGGGAGACGUACUUUGGCAGAAGGCGCCUUCAGAAAACGUUUCGUUUAAAAGAAAAGAGAGACUGACGAGGGGGUCCCACCCAUCAGGUUUGAAAUUUCAAACGGGGGGGGGAGGAACAGAGCGCGUCGGCGCCCGAGAGCUGCGGUGGUCGCCGGCGGCGAUCCACGGCGAGUUAGGAGGAUCGGAGGGUACCUACGUGCUCAGUGUGUUCUUCCGCGUCGGUGGGUGAUGGUGGUGGUCGUCGGCGAGCACCACGUCGACGGCGGUCCUUGCUCUGGCGGACGGCGGCUCGGGUGGAGUUGGAUCUCGUCGGGGAGGGCUGCGGAGGUCAAAUUGAAGCUUGGGUUAGAUCACUAGGUGCUCGAGGAGGCUACUGACGAGGUUUGGGCGUCGGGGAUGGCCUCACCGGAGUGGAUGGAGUUGGGGGCCGAGGCGGAUCGGGGCGGCCGGAGUUGGGGAAGAAGGGCCCCUCGAGGCUCUUCCAGUGGCUGAGCGGGGUCUGGUGAGGUAGUGGAGAUGUGCGGGGUCGAGAGCGAGCUCGGGGGCGCUAUUUAUAGCUGGCCCGAGGCGGUUGCCGUGAACAGGAUAAGUCCGGCGAGUGAUUAUGGCGGCGCAGUGGCGGGACGGUUGGUUUAUGGCUUGAGCAACAUCUAGACCGAGCACUUACUCCAUCCUGGUGCCUAAAUCCGCAAGGCAGGGGCGGUUACGGCCUGUCCCCAACAGAACGGCUGUGCGGCACGUUGGCGGCAGAGAGCGCGCCCUGUGCGUGCCAGGCCGCGGCGACGGUGCAGCGGGGUGUGCUGGCGUGCAUGAGGCCACGCGGAGGGCAGGGGUGCGUUGGGCGGCGCCGAACAGCGUUGCGAGCUGGCGUUGUAUUCUGUUGGCCGCCACGGGUGGUGCUGCCACCGCAGAAGCCGCCAACUCCGGCGAUGCUCGCCGCCACCGACGCCUAGAACCAGCCAAGUGCGCGUGCGGGGCUCUGGACAGGGAGGAGGGGCCGUGCACAACGCGCCAGGCGCACAGUUGACAGGUGACCGAACACUGACGAAGAAACGACACUGAAAUCUUCUGAAACUCUGAAUUUUUCUGAAAGUGCAUAGUAACAGUGCUGGCCAGGUGUUCGACAGAAUGAUUUUGGUAUGUGGGAGGCUCUCCUUGAGCUGAAUUUUGGUGGGGUGGCCUCUCAAUGCAUCUGGGGGCUGCCUGAAUUUUGGUGGAAUUUUUGGAGAAGAGAAGAUAUGAAUUUCAUCAAAUUUGACAAAUCUGGUCCAAACUUGCAGAGGCUGAAAUUUGAAAAAUUCGAAAAGAAGAAGAGUGGAUCUUGAUGGUUCUAGGUUGUGGGUGCUAAGGACUAUCCAGAGGAGUUGGUUCGAGAUCAAAACUCAAAGGCAAUAUGGUACUUGCUUUGAAAAUCACCUAGGUUCAAAAUAAAUGACAGAAUUGAUUUGGGAGAUAAAAUAAUUGAAAUAAAAUCCAAAAAUGGUUUGGACUUGUUGGAACAGAAAGUUUUUGAUUGCCCAAAAUGGAGGGAGGGGUUUUGGGAAGGUUUUACCACCUGAGGCAUGGUAAAACCAUGUGUGGUCUCAAAAUGAAAGAGGUCCCAAAACUCAUAGGAUUACUUUUUAAAGAAAUAAAUAAAUUCCAAGGAUUUAUUUGAGAAGGAAGUUUUCAUAAUUGAAACACCAGAGUUGAAGAAGAUACAAAAAUAAAAUCCUUGCCAGGGGAAAAGUUUUGAGAGAGAGGUUUUUGAAAGGAUUUAAAUGACUUUCAUCAAAACCAACAAAGUUUUUGUUGAAAAUUAAAUAAAAAAUUUUGGAGUGUCACACUAGGGUUUAUAGGGCUCAUCCAAAAAACAUUCGUUUUUCCGUUUGAUAAGUCUCAAUUCUACUAUACUAGUAGUAGUACCAUUACAUGUUGGAUUUCGAGGUGCGUUAGAUCACCCGACGCAAGCAGUGUCAAGAGGAAACUAACCAAUGCAUGUACAAGUUCAUGGAAAUUUAGUGGUCAUUCAUGCAUUCGUUCUAAUUAAUUCCUCGGUAAACAUAACUUCUUGAGAAAAACGAGCAUACUAAUUACUUGUGCAAACUAUGAAAUUAAUUCUACCACUCACCGUCUACCUUGGUUGGAGAGAUUUUGAAAUUGAGCCAUAAACUGGAAAGGAGGGAGUAGUAACUUUUGUCAUGAUUACUAUUUGUGGCCUUGUAUAUAUGCAAAAUGUAUUUGUUUAUAGUGGCCUUGUAUAAGUAAAUGGAGGGAGUACUAACCAAAGUACAUAGUAGGGACGAGGAGUAAACUGAGGGAGUAGUAAAAUUUUCUCCUCAUGCUGCGAGCCACCGCGUGCGUGGGCGAGGGAGCGGGCGUAAGGCAUAGUAAGCAACCUUCACCUCAUCCUGCGAGCCACCGCGCCCGUGGGCGGGGGAGACGGCGUGCUAGGCAAGCUUCUCCUCGUUUUGCAAGUUGACGGGACAUAUCAAAAGUACUCUAGUGUAUAGAGCCUUGCCUCUAAGGUAGGCCCCACAUGGUUUGCCUCUUUUUUUAAUUUAACAUAACGCGUCAAGUCGCAAUUUGUUUGUUCACCCAUGGUAGAUGAUCCUCCCUCCACCAAGUGGACAACUAGUACACGUGCCAAAUUACCACGUGGGCUGCCUUUUUCAUACAGAAAUGAGCUCCACCGUGUACCCGCGCGGGUGUGGUUGGGAAAGAGAUGGGAGUACAUGCACCGUGCGUGCACCUCUUCUCUUGGUGCACAUCCCCCACCUACGUGAGAGAGAUAAGGUGAGAAAGAUGAGACAUAAUGCGCCAUCCAUCCCCAUGCCUCCGCCCAGUCCGACCACCAGUCACCACCACGCCCCACUCCUCCUCACCUUAUCUCUCAUCUUUCUCCCUCCAUUUUUAUAUACAAGGGGCCACUAUCCAAAUUACAAUUUGCAGAUAUACAAGGCCACUAACACUAAUCGAUGCAAUAUUAACGGUGUUUGCCUCGUGGUACUAGCAAAGGAGGACAUUAAUUAUCCCUUGCAUGCAUGCGGGAGUUUGUAAAAAAAUGCAUCUUGAUGUUCCGUGCAAUGCACGGGCAUCUUGCUAGUCCAUGAAAACAACACAUGGCAAAAUUCCACGGCGAAUGAGGGAUUUGAAUCUAUUGGGAGGGGCUGUUUGGAUCUUUCCCAUGGUAGCCAAAAUAUUGGCGACCCUUUUGUCCACCGGUGCCUUUGCCACCGAUGAACGAGGAAUGGCUCGGGUGCUCAUGCUAUCAUGCAUCCUCCAGCGCGCACGUUGGAGACGAGCUCACAUGAGCUGUGUUUUUUUGUCCCACAACACCGCCCGAGCCGCCCGCAGACCGACCGGCAACCCGCAAAUUACGCCAUCCAACCAUAGCCGCACACAUUAUGAUAGCAACUCAACCAACCGGACGAAAUUCACGCAAACACAUAGACAAACUGAUAUUUCAUAUAAACAACGACGGAAAUCAUAUAAAAUACCGGAUUUUCAUACAAACAUGAUGGAUUUCAUUACAUUCAAAUGAACUACACGGUGCUAGUUCUGGACAGCACAGGUAUAUAAUAUCUGGCCUAAAUGGUCACCCGCCGAUCGAUUUGUGUUCCUCAUGUCCGGUGGCACGAUCACCGGACUAUCGGGAGCCCCGGAGGUAUAUGCUUCAGCGCAAAGGAUGGCUCGUUUCCCCACUGCCCAACUGAUAUCAUUGGCUGGUGCCGAAGAUGAUGGUGGCCGGCACCGGUUCGAGUUCAUCACCGUCCACUACUUCGCCAUUGCCAGCAUCGGCUCGAGUUCAUCCUAACAUUCCCCUCUUCCGUGGAGCCCAUGCAGGGUCGACGAAGGUCCUUGCAAAAAAACAAUCCGGCAAGACACCUGCUGUGUACGCUGGCGUCGCCUCCACGGUGGCCUUCAUGGGACCCAAGCGGCGGCGGCCUCCCGUGUUCUACUUCUCCUUGAUGAUGGCGGCGGACGCGGAGGCGCUGGCCACCGACUCGUCGCUCUCCGCGCACCCGGCUUCUGUCACUGCUUGCAUGGCGCGGCCGCCGGCAUGGGAGUCUCGGCCACAGAAACGGGAGACGCGAUACGAGGCGGCGGCGUGGACAGCAGCAACGGCGCCCGUGCGCCGCUCCUCGUCGAGCUGGCCUGGAGUGGCGAUUUGCUGAACCGCGCGCCGGCUUGGGGCGGCAACUGGCUCCGUCGGGCGAGGGGAGGGAGGUGGAUCAGCGAGCUGCAUAGCUCGUAUCCGGCGGGCUACCCAGCCGGCUUGGAUGAGGAAUAACUACUCUUCGUAAGCCAUUGUAAGAGUGGACAAAAUGGUGGAGGAGAUAGGGGAGUGGCGGAGGUGUGCGAUUCUUGGCCGAUGUUUGGCCUCAUUUAAAUAGGAGAUUAAAUUAAUGCCGGACGGGAGGAGCUCGGCCGGCGUUGCAUUUAACGCCGGCCCGGUCAUGAACGGACGUGUGUCCAGAGUGGGUUUCUCGGCUUCCACACGGGCGGGUUUCAUGGAGGCGUUUGAAUGCGGCACGGAGGCGUGUUCGGCCAGGCGUGCCGCGAGUGGCGCCCUCGACUCUGACCUAGGACACCGCGCUAUUCUUCCACUGACAUGUGGGCUCUUUGGGUGCAUGGCAGCGCACAGCAGAGGAACCUUUGGUGGGCCAGGGCGGUCAGAAGCGGGCAUUUCAUAAACCGAUGAUUGUUCACUGAGUGUGACGUCAUCUUUUUCAUGUAGAUAAGCCUACUAUGUUGAUAGCCCAUUCGAUACGUUGUGAUUCAUAAAGACCGCUGCAAACAUCAAUGUUCUGCUUAUCACAGAUAAGAUUGAUUAAUACCCGUAACAAUCCAUGUCCUUAACAAAGGGUGCAUGCACGUGUAUGUUGAACGUGUGUCUUGCGUCAUGUGCUUUGUGCAUGUAGGCGUGCGAGUGUUGCGUGCGUGCAAGGGUACGUUUCAGUGUUGCAUGCAUGGGUGUGUACGUGCGUGUGUUCGUGAGUGCAUGUGUAUGUGUCAGUGUUGCAUGCCAGCAUGCGUGCAUGUGUACGUGUUAGUGUUGCACGCCUACAUGUGUGCGUGUCUUGCGUGCGUGCAUGUGUACGUGCGGGGUGAGGCUACACGUCAGUCGACUGACCUUUUCAUCUCUGGUCAUUAGAUUUUCCAGCCGUUGGAUACGAAAUCAAGGGCCUCCAGUUUAUCAUCAAACUCCACCCCCCUGAGCCGCCAGCCACCACCGGCCGAACNNNNNNNNNNNNNNNNNNNNNNNNNNNNNNNNNNNNNNNNNNNNNNNNNNNNNNNNNNNNNNNNNNNNNNNNNNNNNNNNNNNNNNNNNNNNNNNNNNNNNNNNNNNNNNNNNNNNNNNNNNNNNNNNNNNNNNNNNNNNNNNNNNNNNNNNNNNNNNNNNNNNNNNNNNNNNNNNNNNNNNNNNNNNNNNNNNNNNNNNNNNNNNNNNNNNNNNNNNNNNNNNNNNNNNNNNNNNNNNNNNNNNNNNNNNNNNNNNNNNNNNNNNNNNNNNNCGGGGAUCCCCACCCCACCGCCCAAUGAACACCCCCCAACCGCCGGUGACUACCAACCAGAGGUCUCACGACUUCGAAUACCCACCGACCACUAAUUAAUUACCAUUUAUGUCCUUCAUAUACGCGCUGACGGGUGGGCCCUAUGGUAAUGUGGGCUGCUGAAUGUGGACCGUUUGACUAGUCAAUUGAUCGUGUUAUCAACAAAUUACGGAGCUGUAUGGUGAGCCAGUGACCGUAUGAUCACCCUAAAAUGUACUCCUAUUUAUUAACACAGUACAGACUCAAACUACCAUUUCUUUCAUAUACGGGCUGACAGGUGGGCCCCACGGUUAUGUGCCCCAAUGGCGCAACACUAGUUGCGCCGCGUGGAACGUUUGACUGGUCAAUUGAUUGUGUCAUCAACAAAAUACGGAGUUGUACGGGUGAGCCAGUGACCGUAUAAUCAUGAUAUGUAUUUGUUUAACAUGGUACAGACGCAAGGGUUCAUAUAUACGCGCAAGCACUCACCACUAUAAGCGCACACACGCGAACCCUACCCCUAUGAGCACCUUCGAGAGAGUGGGCCAGCAUAUAUGAUCUUGAGAUUUUACGAAGUCACCAUAGGUGCCUCAUAGUCGAGUGGAACGUCUCCUCCCACUGAACGUACGUCGCCAGAAAAUACUGAAAUUAACACAAGAUAAAUGCGAGCACCGGGACUUUAACCUUGGUGGGCUCGAGAAACCAUUGUCCUCUAACCAUCCAACCACAUGUUGGUUAGCACGACAAAAUGUAUGUGCUGACCGUGAUGAGCUUAUUCUGAAGUCCAGUGACCAUAUCGUGCUUUCGCUUCAAAUACAAUGACCGUAAGUGUCGUCAACAAAAUACGGAGCACGCAUCAAAUGCAAAGUCCGUCAGUGUCAUCAACAAAAUAUGGAGACGUAUCGUGAGCUAGAUACCGUUGUACUAUUGUAUAUGCUUAUUUUCUUAGUGGGCGAUUGCGUGUGUGGUGUGGUGGGCACAUCAUUUCUAGUUGUGGUGGGUCAACACGACGACUCAUGGGUCGGUUCCAUCCUGCACCACAUAUAGGUUGGACCGAGACGUGUUAUACGAAGACCCAUGUGGAGGACUCGGCGUACAACACGAAGCUACCAGAGUCGCGGAGGACUCUAUCCCCACUGGUGAUAAGCCGACUAUAUAUGAUUUGUAACCCUAGGCCCUUAGUAUGUUAUACAAGCUUGGGGGCUAGUUCGUCAAUAGUAUAUACACACGCACAAUGCCUGGUAUUCAUGUGUACUUUGUACACACCCCUAUCACUAAUAUACAGUACCAGGAGUAGGCUCUUUCUUCAACUGCAAUUGAAUUCUAGCAUGUGCAUGUGUUUAUUUCAUAUUAUCAAUCCAUUGAGUGAGAGCGGUUUGAAAUACAGGCAAUGGAUGCUUUUGCAACUCAUAUAUAAACAUUAAUUAGUGCACUCCAUGUUGUUAGUGUGAAGCACUUUAUACAUUUGUCACUUGCAUGGAUACAUUCCAAAUUGCUAGCUACAAAAUAGAAUACAUGUCGAAUUCAACAUAAAGGGGGUUUCGAAGAUUCGAAUUCAUAGGAAGUGCAUUCAUCUAUUUGAACCUGAGAUAAUGGCAUUUGUAAAUCAGAUGUAAAAGGGGGCAUCAAUCUUUGUUGUGAGUUUGAACAUGCUAUAUAUAUUCAUACGCAUAUCUAACUUUUUUUUGAAACCAAGGAGAUUAUAUCUGGAACCAUGCAUGAACUGAGGUAAGUUGCAUAUUUUUUAAUAUAUACUCGUGUACAAUGUAUAUUCAAAUGUACCCCCUCCAUUCCAAAAUAAUCAUAGCUUUAGGAUUUUCAAGAGUAAAGAUUUGUCAAGUUUGACAAAUCCUGAAAGUUCAAUUCAAGAGAACCGAAAACGUUAAUGCUUCUGCUCCCAAAUAUUGAACGAAGCGCCAAAUAGGCCUCUGGUCACCCGAAACCACGCGAGACUAAUGUUUUAGUGGUAGGAAAUUACUGUCCUGACUCUGGCCCAUGUGGCCUAUCGGCCCGAUGUCCAAAGGUCUAAACCGGGGUAGGUUUGUAACUUCACCAAGACGCCAGAGAAGCAUUCAUACGUCGUGGGCACCUACCCAUGCGCUCGGCCGAAAUCUAUCCCGCCCACAUUUGGGACACCUGACAUGACUGUCCUACCCCCAACCCGCAAUAUGUCUGAAAUUCUAGAUGGGGGGAAAGUUUGUAACUUUCCCCAAAUUUCAAACAAGCGCGUCUCAAACCGAAACAUUGUUCCCCCUUAGUUCCCCGCCUCCCUCCGUUUCCCCAUUCACAUUCCAUGAGCGCAAAAACGCCCUCUCCACCAGCCGCGAAACCCCAGCCUCCUUUGUCAUCCACCCCAUAGCGGCCAAUCCACCGCCUCCCUCCUCCAUCACGCCGGAGCCGGUACCACGACGUCGUCGUCCAACGCAACCGCAGCCGCAACGCCCUCAAGGACUUAGCAGCUGAAGCCGAGGCAGAGCUACCUCCACGACGCCGACGCCGACGUGCGCCAUACCAGAACCACUCCGACCACGCCGUCCUGCGCCUCACUACUGCGGCUCCACUGUCGCAACCGUCCACUGCACCGGAGCUGUUCCCGCUACGCCGUCAUUCGCCGCCUCGGAUCUGCUUCCCCGCCGCCGACAGACGGCCACCGCACCACACUCAACAACUUGGUCAUGGGUUCGUCCAAGGCUGCACCGUCCUCCACAACUUCUGGUUUCCGGCAAACAACAAGAAGAUCGUCGGAAAAACAAAAGGAGGACACAGCACUGCCAGCAGAAAGAGGUACACCUCUUCCCUUAUUCGUGCAAAUCUUACGUCUCCACUCACACCGUAUUCAUCCCACGAAAGAAACAAGUUGAGCGCUUCUUACUGCAUCUUCUUCGUGAUACUAAAUGCACAAGGUUUCCUCCCUUUUACUAUUUCACCUUUGCUAGAGGUCAGUAGCCCGCCUGGAUUUCAAUUCAGGGUCAGUCGAACCGCAAUUAAAAGAAGCAGCACCCGCUUAGGCGCGCGGAGCACCUAGUCCGCCUGUUCCCCGGGGAAGCUGUGACACUCCAAAAAUUUUAUUUGGUUUUUAUCAAAAACUUUGUGGUUUUGAGGAGAGACCUUUUUUAAAAAUUUUCUUUUUCAGAAAAACCUUCCUCUUAAAAACCUCCUUUUGCCUUGGCAAGGAUUUUAUUUCUUUCAAACUUUGGUGGUUGAUCUUUUGCAAACUUCUUCUCUGUUAGUUCCCUCUAAAAAUUUAUUUAUUUUUUUGGGAGUUUUAAUUUGUUUUAUUUUUAAGUGAAGCUCUAUGAAAAUUUGGGAUUUUCUUAUCUUUGAAGCCACCCUUGGCUUUGUAUUUUUGCCCAUGAGAUAAAACCCCUCCAAAACCUCCCCUCCCCCUUGUGAUCAACCUAAGUUUUCUGUCCCAACUAAUCCAAACUGGUUUUGGAUUUUAUUCUAAUUUUUUUCCCCUCAAAUCAAUUCUGAAAAUUAUUUGGAGCCUGAGGGAUUUUCAAAGCAAGUACACUUUUUCAUUUGAGUUUUGACCUCAAACCAAUUCUCCUGGAUUGUCCUUUGAACCCACAACCCAGAACCAUCUUGAUCCACUCCUCCUCUUUUCAAAUUUUUCAAAAUACAGUCUCUGCAAGUUUGGACCAGAUUUGCCAAAUUUGGUGAAAUUCAUAUCCACACUGCUCCAAAAAUUCCACCAAAAAUCAUGCAGCCUACUUGAGCAAGGAGAAGCCACUCCACCAAAAAUCAGCUCAAGGAAAAAUCGCCAGAGGCCAAUUUCAUUCGGUCGAACACCUUGUGGGCACUGUUACGGUUCAAAGUUCAGAAAAUUCAGUUUCAGUGUCAUCUUCCGUCCGUCAGUUUCAGUCACGCGGCCACAGUGCCCUUGGCACGUUCCUCGCCGCCUCUUCCUCUUGUCCGAAGCUUCACACGCGUGCGUGGAGCCUUCCUGGCGUCGGUAGCGCGCUGGCCCGCCCUCGCCGGCGUCUUCUGCGGCGUUGGGACCUCCCGUGGCGGCCGACAGGAGGCACACCACGGCAGAACGCCGUUCCGCGCCGCCCAUCACUCCCUGGCUCUCCGCGUGGCCUCAUGCACGCCAGCGCACGCCCGUAGCACAGCCACCGUGGCCGGCAAGCACGGAACGCGCUCUCUGCCGCCGACGGGCCCGCGCCAUCCCCGUUCCGUCGAGCUCGCCCUUAACACCCAAACCCCGGCCAGUUUAACACCAAAACGGACCCAUUGAACCUCCGUGAUGACGCUCGACCCCCUAACCACCCCGACCAAGCACUGCGCCACCGUAAUCACUCGCCGGUGAUCCUCGUUCACGGCAACCGCCUCGGACCGCCUAUAUAAAGGGGUCCCGAGCUCACUCUCGUGCACGCAGCACCUCCACUACUCACCAACACCCCGCCAGGCCACUAGGGGGACCUCGAGGAGGUCUCCUCCCCCAGCUCCGGCCGCCUCGCCCCGCCUCGGCCUCCAGCCCGAUUCGUUCUGGUGAGGCCAUCUCCGGCGCUCAAACCCCGUUCAUUACCCUCUCUAGCUGCCAGGAGCAUAACCCCCUCUUCAAUUUAACCUUUGCAGCCCUCUCCGACGAGCCCCUCGACCACCCGAGCCGCCGUCCGCCGGAGCAGAGCUCGCCGUCGACGUGGUGCUCGCCGACCGACUCCACCACCAUCAACUGACGCGGAAGGGUGCCCUGAGCACGGAGGUACUCUCCGAUCUCUCUGCCUCGCCGUGGAUCGCCGCCGGCGACCACCACGGCUCUCGGGCGCCGGCGAACUCUGCCGCCCCGUUUGAACAUUUGAACCUGACGGGUGGGACCCCACCGUCAGCCUCUCUGCUCUCUCUUUCGAAUCGUUUUCUGGAAGCGCCUUCGGGCAGAAUGCGUUUUCUCUUUGGGCUGGCGUAGUCGCUACCGAAGCGUUUUCUGUUUUUAUAAACUAGCCCCUGGAAAUCUUCUGUUUCAUUACAGAUAAGUCCCUGGACAAAAACCCUUAUAACUUUUAAUCAGAAAAGUAUUUUUGAUUGAUUCUUUUUCUGUUCUCUUUAAAAUUUUGUCUAGUUUUUUAUCAGAUUUAUUUGAAAAAUAUUUGGUUUACCUUCUGUGCACUCCUUGGUAUUUACGUUAGCGCAUAUAUUUUCUUUAAACCGUAGAUACCGAAGGAGGUGACGGAGCCGCGAACUUCACCGAGCUAGGCUCCGACUACUCUGAACCAGGCAAGCAUGUUUGAACUUUUGAUAUGAUGAGUGUCUUGGCAUGUUUUGCAUUUAGUUAGUUUCAUGGCAUGUUGGUGAGCAUAGCGAUGAACGUUGUUUUAUGUGAUAAUGAGGUAAGUGAGUUCGAUGAUCCAUACGUGGAUGAAUGUGAAUAUGAAUGGCCAUGUGUUGGCAUGAGGAUGGGUAUGAUGGCAGUGUUGUAGCAUGCCAGUCUUACGCCAGACUAAGUGACUUCAGUGUCAAACCAUAUCGGUCCAGUACCUAUCAUUUCCUUCCUUGUACUACCACAUGUUUUCCGCAAGGAAUAUGGUUUAGUAAGUUGCAAACCGCUUUCAUGGUACACACCAAAGAAGAGAGGUCGUGAUGAUGGUUCCAUGGCCCUGGAUUAAAGCCAGUCAUCCGGUCAGGGGGCAUGGGUGUUUCCGGUUGGGACCGAGAGGGGGGCACCCCUUAGAGCGCGAGUAUAUAAAUUUGAUCCCAUGCUAUUCGAGAUUGUGAUCUCCCCGUCUCAAAAGUUUUUCUUGGACGAUGACUAGGGUGAUUCCUAGCAUCGAGAGGUAGGAUGGGUGUGUACCGGUUAGCUGUGUUUUCUUCCAAAAUACCGUAAACGGAACUAGUCCUUCGUGACUACGGAAAUCCGUUGGCUGUGGGAAAAUUUUUGUACAAACUCUGCAGAGUCAUAUAUUCCUCCAAAUCAUCUAUUCCAUGUCAAGUUUCGUUCCAUCCUAUCCUAAUCAAUUGUCAGCUUUGAUGACAGAGACUCCGGUGAAUCGCAUGAGUGCUAAAGUCCGGUUGAAUGAUUAUCCCUGUGGAUGGACUAACCCGUUUAUUCUCAUGGAUUGAAUGUUUAUUAUGAGUAUUAUUUGCUGGUGAAUUUAAAGCCCUUUCUGCGAUGUCGCUCAGACGUCCGACUGUGGCAUUUCUUUUAAAGCCCUUUCUGCGAUGUCGCUCAGACGUCCGACCGUGGCAUUUCUUUUAAAGCCCUUUAUGUGGCGUCGCUUAGACACCCGACUGUGGUAUUUCUUUUAAAGCCCUUUUUGUGGCGUCGCUUAGACACCCGACUGUGGCAUCAUUUCCUUAUUUUAUUUGUUCACCUUUCGAGGCGUCGCUUCAGACACCCGAUCGGUCUUUAUUUAUGCUCUGUGGGAUUUCAGGCGGACUACCGCCGUUUCCCUUUUUACUUACCCUGUUAUGCCAAUUUUUUUAUUUAUUGUGCAUUAAGGAAUUAAUCAUGUUGCAUCCAUGCACGCAUUUGUUAUAUCUUACGUCCGAACUGUCUUGCGAGUACUUUCAAAGUACUCACUGGCUUGUUGAUUUGGCCAGAUGCUGACGAAGGCGAUCUCAUGGAUGAAGAGUUCGAUAGCGAGUCCGACACUUAGAGGAGUCCUAGUCAGUCUCGUGCGACCCUGGAUUUGGUCACUGUUUUAUAUCCGCUUCCGCUACCAAAUAAAUUUAUCGAGCCUCACCUCGACGUUCGAUGAAAUGAUAUUCUUAGAGUCUUGUAUUCCCUUCCCGCUAUGUUUUUCCACCACCAACCUAUCCAUGAGUCAGUAGUAUGUCUCCACACCACUGUGUCCUGUCCGCCAUUAUGUAUGAUUAUUGGUGUGCUUGUAAUAAUUUGGUUGAGCGACCGCAGUUCAACCCUGUAAUAUAUUUUAUGCUACUGGCUUAUUGUAUCAAGAAAUUGUCUACCAGUGAGGAGGAUUUCUCUCAUACUGGACUCAAAAGACUGGUUUAUCAAUAAAUAUUUUUAUUGGAAAACCGGUCGUGACAGAAGCGGCGCAUCGAUGUCUAUCAUAGGGGUGUGGGGUGCAGGAGCUGCUUGUGCCCGAUCUGGAGGUCAGCGGGGCUUGAAUGGAUGGCUAGGGACGGUGCCAAGCAUGGCGAUGCGGUAAGGUCAAGGGGAGGGCGCAGGCAGGGGAGGAAUACUAGGCCGAUGGUCGCUGGCAUUUCGAGGAAGAUCGUCAACACUGACUCGCUGGAGGUAGAUGAAGGCGAUCUACCCGUUCUUUGUACAUCGGACGGUGCAGAAAAAAUGGACUGACCUAUUUGCUUUCAGUCGACUGUUAUUUUCAUAGAAUCAUGUAGUAAUUUAAUGUGCCAUGCAUGUUGUAGAGCUAUCAUAUGUCUCCCAUUAUUUAUUUCUCACCGACCUGCUAUCUGCUACCUUUACACUGUACUAAUUGUGCACACACUUCACCCAUACUCACACUAUUGUUUUUUAUGCAUGGGUAUUUCAGACUCUGACGCAGUGUUGAUGAAUGCAGAAAAGAAAAGACAGAAGUCGCUCCAGUGUAAUUCAAAGAUAAGCACUAAGCGUUCCAGCGCUCUAACGGGUGCAGUGUCAGCAGUUGGAGACAGUAAACGUAGCUCUGCAGUUGAUGAUCUCAAUUGCCACACACAACCAUCCCAGGUGCUUGCUUUAACUUCGCGCUGUCAAAUGUGGUUGCAUGUUGCAUAUGGCGUCUAGCUUGUAUUGCUUCCAAUUUGGUUAAAUUGCAUCUACUUACUUUACACAUUAUACCUUUGAUAAUGACAUGCCUUCCUAUUUUUGAUACAUACUACAUAUGUCUAUUAACCAUGUUCGUACAUCAAACUAAUGCUCUUUUGUAUCCCUCGUCAAUCACUUAUGAUGAGACAGUCACCCGGGUGGGUUUCUGUGAGACGCCAUACUCGUUUAAAGAGUGCAGUGUCAUCCUCCCCACAUGAUUCUCAAGAAACAGCAAGGCUAAAUGAAGAUAGUCAACGUAGCUCUCUAGUUGAUCACCGCAAUUCCCCCACACCACCAUCGCAGGUGCUUGCUCUUACUUGGCAGUGUGAUAUGUAGUGUUCGUCUUACAUGAAAGUAGUGUUUGUCAGUAUCAUGCAUCAAUGAGUUCUGAAGAGCAAAUUUUAUUACUUUUUCUUGUGGGUUUGACUUGACAAGGCAAAAUCAAGAAAGAGGAAGGAACAGAGUAAGGAAGGCGAUGAUGGUGGUGCUCUGCAGCAACGUAAAUGGAGCAUCUGUACUGAUUCUCCUUGUACUGAUAGUGCAUUACAAGGUCCAAGUCUCCGCUCCCCUACUCCACCAUCCAAGGUGCUUGCUCUAACUUGGCAGUGUGAUAUCUGGUUGCAUGUUGCAUAUGGUGUCUAGCUCGUAUUGCUCCUAAUUAGUGUAAACUGCAUCUGUUUAGCUUACACAUGAUACAUGUGAAUAUGAAACACUUUCCUGUUUUUGGUACAUACUAUAUCUUAUGAUAAGGCACCUUUAAGUCGCCACUGUGAUAUUGGUUGUGUCUUGCAUAUGAUUUCUAGCAUGUACUGCUUCUAAUUUGUUGAAACACCAUACAGUUUGAACUUGGCAGAGUGAUAUUGGUUGCAUCUUUCAUAUGGUGUCUAGCUUGCAGUGCUUCUAAUUUAUUGAAAUGCCUUCUGCUUAGUUACCACAUCAUAGGUGUGAAUAUGUCACACCAUCCUUUUUUCAUAUGUAUUCCAUCCUUGCAUCAUGUGUAUGCCUUUCAUCCAAGUAGUGUUCGUUAGUAUCAUGCAUGAAUGAGUUCUGAAGAGCAAAUUUUAUUCCUUUUUCUUAUCGGUUUGACUUCACAAUGCAAAGUCAUUAUAGCUGAAGGAAAUUAGUCCGGCAAUGGAUGAUGGUGGUCCUUCAGAGCAACUCAAACAGGGGGUCUCUACAUAUUCUACUCCGCCAUCCUCCCAACAAUAUUCGCAAGACAACACAAGGCUGGACAGUCAACGUAGCUGUGUAGAUGAUGAGCACAUCUCCCCUACUCCACCAUCACAGGUGCUUGCUCUAACUUGACACUAUUAUAUGUGGUUGCAUGUUGCGUAUGAUGUCUAGCUUGCAUUGCUUCUAACUUGAAUUGCAUAUGCUUACUUUACACAUAAUGCCUGUGAAUAUGACACGUGUUCCUGUUUCUAGAACAUACGUGUACAUGAUGAGCACAUCUCCCCUACUCCACCAUCACAGGUGCUUGCUCUUACUUGGAACUGUUAUACGUGGUUGCGUUUUCUGUAUGAUGUCUAGUUUGUAUUGCUUCUGAUUAUGUUGAAUUGCAUCUGCGUAGCUUACAACUUAUACCUGCAACGAUCACUUACCCAUAAGACACAUUUAACUUGGGACUGUGAUGUAGGUUGCAUCUUGCAUUGUCUUCUAGCUUAUACUGCUUCUAAUUUCUUGAAAUGGCACUUACGACGAGACACUUUUUACCUGAUAGAGUGAUAUUGGUUGCAUGUUCAUAUGGUGCCUAGCUUUCAUUUCUUCUAAUUUUGUUGAAAUGCCUUCCGCUUACUGUUUUUUCAUACAUAGUCCAUCCUCCUAUCGUAUGUGUGAAUAUGAAACGCUGUCUUUUUUGUAUAUAUUCCAUCCUCCUAUCCUGCGCUUGCCUUACAUCAAAGUAGUGUUCGUCUGUAUCAUGCAUCAACCAGUUAUGCAGAGCUAAUUUUAUGCAUCUUCUUGUGGUUUUGACUUCAUAAGGCAAUAUAAAAAAAUAGGAAGGAAAAGAGUAAGUUAGGGGAUGUUGGUGGUCCUCCGCACCGACGCAAACAAAGACUCUCUAGAUUUGCCACUGCUACUGCUAAUGAAGUUGAAGUCUCGAGUCUACAUGAUGAGUUCAUCUCCCGUACUCCACCAUCGCAAGUGCUUGCUCUAAGUUGACAGUGUGAUAAUUGGUUUCAUGUUGCAUAUGUUGUCUAGCCUGUAUUUCUUCUAUUUUGAUUAAAUUGCACUUGCUGAGUUCAUACGUUAUACAUGUGCAUAUGACAUGGCUUUCUUUGUCUAGAAUACACUGCAUCUAUCUAUCAUACCAUGUUCUUACAUCAAAGUACUGUUGUUGUGUAUCCCGCAUCAGUCACUCAUGAUUGGACGCUUUUAACAUGGCAGUUUGAUAGUAGUUGCAUCUUGCAUUGAUUUCUAGGUUGUACUGCUCCUAAUUUUUCGAAUUUCCACUUAUGAUAAGACACUUUUAACUUGGCAGAGUAAUAUUGGUUGCAUCUUUCAUAUGGUGUCUAGCUUGCAUUACUUCUAUUUUCUUGAAAAUCCUUCUGCUUAGUUUGCACAUCAUAGCUGUGAAUAUGUCAUGCCGUCCCAUUUUUCUUACAUAUUCCAUCCUCAUAUGGUUGUCUUACAUCAAAGUAUUGCUUGUCUGUAUCAUGCAUCAAUGAGUUCUGAAGAGUGAUUUUAUUCUUUUGUGUUGUGGGUACAGCUUGACAUGGCAAAGUCAAAAAAGAGCAAGGAAAAUAAUAUAGUAGGGAGUGCUGUUACUCAUUAGGUGAAACGGAAAAGGUUCUGCCGUCGAGAUUCUGCUGGUACUUAUAGUGCAGUAGGAGGUCCAAGUCCACCGGCUAAAUCUACAAACACAGUAUCACCUGCUCCACCAGCUACAGCAUCCGCUUCAACUAUACCAGCAUCUCAACCAGUUACUCAUUCGUUUGCUCCAGAACUGGCCAGUUCCCAAGCUGCCUUCACACCUAACACUACUUCCGAAGCACUGCUGACACAACAGGACUUGGCAAGAUCAGAUGAACAUCAUGAGCAUCAACACCAAGACGACAUGACCGAGUCAAGUUGCAGUUGCAUGCUUCUUUAUAUGUACUCUCACAGUUUGAUGUACACUAACACUUUCCAUAUUCGUUGUUGAACUAGCACCACAGCACAAGCGGAAACAGACACCAGGGAUAGUGCUUGACAGAUUAACAAAAUCUAAAGGAGGGAGAAUGGAGAUCCAUUUUGAGGCAGGUUUAAAAAGGCCACGUGAUGCUACAGAGUCAGCCAAGUUAGUAUCAGAGGCAGGCGUUGUUGUUAGGUGUCAUACACGUAUCCUCCCAACGUGGAUCCGGUACAGGAAUGAGAAAGACAAUACCCAGUUUAACACCUUCCUUGACCAUUUAUCCAUAAGUAAUGUUAUUCAUUGCAAUUAGUAAUAUUGUCUUGCUCUGUCCCAUACUUUCUAGCAUCCUCCUAAUAAGACUCACAUUCUUUCUUCAACAGAUGUGGUUCAAGUUGGAUCUGAAAGAUGAUGCAACUAGACAAGCAUGCAUUCAUGUUUUUUAGUCUGCUCUACAACAGUAUCGAUACCACCUUAGAAAAUCUCACUUUGAAGGCAAGGCUAACAAUGAAAUUGCCCAAACAUCUCCAGUGGAAUAUAUUACAGAUGAAGACUAGACAGCCCGGCCUCGUUAAACACUGGUCUGAUCCAAAGUAUCAGGUAGGCUAUAUGUAUUUGAUCAGACCACAUAUUGAACUUGUAUUUAUGUAUGUGCCUUACAAGUGUAUCUUCUUCUAGGCUAACUAUUUAAAGAACAAAACCAACCGUUCUAAAGUGAAAUUCCAACAGACCACAGGAUCUCGUAGCUAUAUUGCACACUGUGAGGCUCUUGUAAAUAGCUGCUACUUCCUUCUUUUUUGUGCCAUGUUAUCAUAUCUAUAUUGACUUGUUCCAAAUACAGAGGAAAUCUCGUGCGGACCAAAAAGAACCUGAACCGAAUGCAAUGCAAAUCUUCAAGGAUUACCACACCAGCAAGAUGAAGGGCAUGAGCACACCAGUUCAAGCCGCUGUUGUAAGUCCUUACUCCUCCUGCCUUGAACUGAUUGGUAUUGUGAUGUGUUCAUUUAACUACUUGGUUUGCAGCCAAUGUCAGUUACUCUGUUCACUUUUAUUCACAGUUUUCUUAACGUAUCAUUUCACCUUACAUGGUUUAAAAGAGAUGAAGGAUAUUCUUUUGGUCUUGAUCUGUAAUCUAGUUGUUAUGUUCACGUGCGCACACAAUGAUAAAAUAGCCCGUUUGUUUUAUAUCUGUUUGCCCAUGAUAUGAAUGAUGUCAUACUAUGUUCAUCCUACUUUAAACCAUGUCUCUUUAUCCUUAUAUGUCAACGAAUGUGAGAAAAUAGACAAUACAGUAGGCAUGCUACAUGGACAUAUGUUCUGAAAGUGAUUUUAUUAUGUAGUUGGCACUACAAUACAUGAUAAUGUAUUACAGUAGUUCACCUAAAUAAGUUAUGUAUAAAUGUUUAACCUACUUUGUUUGUUUUUGUCUCAUUAGUAACUUAUCUGGUACACUAAUCUACAAGUUCAAACUUUCAGGAAGCUAUGGAACAAAUGUCGGAGUAAACGACCACGGGUAGCCUAGCAGGCUCCCCCUGGCCCUUCUGAAAAAAUUACGAGCCGAUCCGGCCCUCAAGAAUCCAAGAUGUGAGGCCGCCUUCCCCCUGCAGGCUGUCUCCCAGGCCGACUAUCGGAAGGCGGCCCGGCUUUAGCCCUCAUGAAGAAAGCCGCAGGAGGGCCGGCUCCAAGAAGCCGGCUGCGAGAAGCCGACUCCCACAAAGCGGUCAAGACCGUACCCUCGAAGUCUGCAUCCACAUAACGGCGAUGUGGCGGGGCGUGGCUACAGUAAAGCCGGCCACCCCCGAAUCUCGGAGCACGCCUGGCACAGCGCACCGUACGGGGUGGCCAUGACCCGUCCGGCGCAGCACUGUUGCCAUGUUGACCCUGAUGCCACCCACGACGGGCUGUCAGCGCGGCCCACGGGCGGUGGGCCCCUUUAGGCAGAGAGACACCCAAAGGCGGUCAGGCCUCCCCCAGUCGGCCGAAGACAGGGCCGGCUCCCCAUAGUCGGCUUGCUUCCUCCCUCGAAGGAGACGCCCCAUUAAGGAGACAAGACGAGGUGAGGCUACAGCGAUCGCCCGUCUGGCGGCGGCACAGUAGCCACGCUUACCUCGGUGAAGCCCUCGUCACCAGGUUUGGGGCAACAGUAACCAGCCACCGACAAGGCCCUUGACAAUGGGGCCUGCCUGUCGACCAAGGAGCAGCACGCCCGACGGUGCUUGCCACGACGCGCUGCAAGGCGUCACCAACGUCUGCGUAGCGAGCGGCCUCGCCGAUCUCCUUGACGAGACCCUCAUCUCCGACGAGCCCGCCUCUGACGCGGGCACCGACCACCUCAUCAACCUCCUCGGCCAGCUCCACGUCUCUGGCGAGCCUGUUGUGGACUUGGAGUCUGUUGGCUCCACCGAUCCGAUGCCUGUCGACUCCGACACGGCCUCGCUCGACGCUUUCCCCACCGACGUCGUGAUCUACAACGACCCGCUUCCCCGGGCCGAUGGCUGCGACGGUGCCACAACCGAGGUGAUGGUCAUCGGCCACGGCGUCGCUUCUGGUGAGAGCGCCCUCGACGCCCCACAUGCGGCGGUCCACGACUUGUCCAUCCCCCUCCCGGCCGAUGCCGACGCCGAAGCACUGGAGGCUCGCCGCCUCGCCCUCCUCGCAGAGGGACGGAAGUUGGCUUCCAUGAGACGCCUCACUGAGGCCCACCAGCGCGAAGCCAACCGCGCCGCCUUUGGCACGCCGCCCCCAGGCGGACCAAGCCGAGCCAGUGUUGUCAGACAGCACGGCGCUGCCCUCGCCGACACGCUAGGAGUCGACCCCCCAGUCUACGCCACUCCACUCGAGAACCUGCACGCCGCCCAGGCGGCCGUAGACGAGCUAGACGGACUGGGGGCCGAAGAACUCCCCCACAUGACUAGACGCAUCCAGCAACUAAUUGAUGCAGCCGCACAGCAGCAGGAAGCCGACGCCCGCGCGGAAAGCCCUCCCCCGCGCCGAGAGCAUGACGCGACGUCCCGGACGCCAACUGCGGGUAAAACCCACGCGCGACACGAGAAAGAGCCGGCUGCCAGCCGAAGCCGAACCCGGAUCUCCAUCGAGCGAGACGCAGAAGGCCGUCCCCGGGCCGUGGAGCGGCGGGGCAACCCGCCUCCGCCUCCACCUCGUGGGGAGAGAUGUCCCACCCCACCGCCUGUCACGCAUCCGACUCUCAGCAGCCGACUAGGUCGCCGCGAAGGAGUCGGCGAGAACGACGCCCGCCAUCGGAUCGACCGCCUAGCGCGAUCCCUGGCGCUAGAAGAAGAAGAUGAUGUCGGCCCGCCUUGCUUCGGCCCCCGCAUCCGCGAUGAGCCUUUCCCCAAAGGGUUCUCGCUCCCAAGAGACACGCCCAAGUACAACGGCUCCGUGAAGCCGGAAGAUUGGUUGAUCGACUACUCCACAGCGGUUCGCAUAGCAAACGGCAACAGGCGCGUUGCCGUGAAGUACGUGCCCCUCAUGCUGCAAGGCACGGCGCGGACUUGGCUCAACAGCCUCAGGCCAUACAGCAUCAACAGCUGGCUAGACUUCACAGAAGCCUUCGUCCGCAACUUCACCAGCACCUACAAGUGGGCUCCCAAGCCCAGACAACUCUCCUUGUGCGUACAAGGCCCCGCCGAAUCCACUCGCGACUACCUCACGCGUUGGGCCGAGCUCCGCAACUCUUGCAAAGGGGUGCGCGAGGUGCAAGCCAUAGAAUACUUCACUGCCGGGUGCCGAGAAGGCACCCUCCUCAAGCACAAGCUCCUCUGCGACGAGCCGACUACCCUCGACGAGCUUCUGGUCAUAGCGGACAAGUACGCCACCGCCGACUCCUCAAUGAAGACUGAACUCCGGGUAGACGCGUCCGGGAAGGUACUCGACCCGGCGCCCAAGAUGCCGGCUGGGGACUCCAGCUGACGCCCGUACCAGAACGACCACAAGCGCAAGGGCCCCGUGCCGCUCUCCACCAGUCGGCAGGUGGCCACAGUCGAAGACGAGCAGCCCGAAGGGCGGCCUGCACCCAAGAAGCAGAGGGGCGGCAGGCCGGCUUGGCAGCCGGCCUUAUCCUACGAGCAAACUCUCUACGCCCCAUGCAAGUUCCACAGUGGCACGAAGCCGUCCAACCACACAACCCGGAAGUGCCACUGGCUCACCCGAAUCUCCAAAGGCGAAGGGCUCACGCCACCUCCGCCUGCUGGUCCGCCGCCUCCGGCUCCGCAGCUGCCGACCGCUCGGCCAGCAGUCGGAGCUAUGCACGAUGAGUUCCCUGACGAGCAUGCCGCCUAUGUCGUCUUUACAAGCCAGCCCGAAGGCCGGCGCAGCAGACGCCGAGAGCACCAGGAAGUCAACGUGGUCGCUACUAACCCCGACGAGCACAUGCACUGGUCAGAAAAGCCUAUCAGCUGGAGCCAGGCCGACCACCCAGAGGUGAUGCCAUCUCCCGGCUCUUAUGUGUUGGUUUUGGAUGCCACCCUUGCAACGGACAGACGCGCCACCCGUUUCUCCCGUGUGCUGAUAGACAGCGGGAGUAGCAUCAACAUCCUGUACCGUGACACCCUGGAGAAGCUGAACGUCAAGACGAAGCAACUCAUGCCUACUCGGACUGUGUUCCACGGCAUUGUACCUGGCCUGUCCUGCGCCCCCAUUGGCAAGAUCAAGAUUGAUGUUCUCUUUGGGGACAAGGAUCAUUUCCGCCGGGAAGCGAUCUGGUUUGAAGUGGUGGACCUGGAGAGCCCCUACCAUGCAUUGCUUGGCCAUCCUGCCUUGGCCAGGUUCAUGGCCAUUCCCCACUAUGCUUACCUUAAUAUGAAGAUGCCGAGCGCCAAGGGCAUCAUCACCAUAGCCGGCGAUUACAAGAAAUCUUCCGAGUGCGCAGCAGCCAGCAGCCGGCUGGCCGAGUCCCUUGUGGUUGCCGAAUAAAAGAAGAUGUUGGACCGAGUCGUGGCCAUGGCCGGCAAACAGCCGGCCCUGUCCCCCAAUCCCAAGGAGUGUGAUGCCCAAGGAUCUUUCCAGUCGGCCAAGGAGACGAAGAAGAUACCUCUUGACCCCGAGCACCCAGAAAGGUUUGCCGUCAUCGGGGCAAACCUAAACAGCAAAUAGGAAGGCAAGCUCGCCGAUUUCCUCCAUGAGAAUCGGGACAUCUUUGCAUGGUCCCCUAAGGACAUGCCGGUUGUUCCGAAGGAAUUCGCCGAGCACAAGCUACACGUCCGAGAAGGCGCAAAACCAGUCAAACAACCCCUGCAUCGACUGUCGGAGGAGAAAAGAAGGAUUGUAGGAGAAGAGAUAGCCCGGCUUCUGGCAGCCGGCUUCAUUAUGGAGGUUUUCUUUCCAGAGUGGCUCGCCAACCCGGUCCUCGUGCUAAAGAAGAACAACAAGUGGCGCAUGUGGAUAGACUACACGAGCCUCAACAAGGCAUGCCCCAAAGAUCCCUUUGCCCUGCCAAGGAUUGAUCAAGUGAUAGACUCCACGGCCGGAUGCGAGCUGUUGAGUUUCUUGGAUGCUUACUCAGGAUACCACCAGAUAAAGCUAGAUCCGGCUGACCGCCUGAAGACCGCCUUCAUCACGCCAUUUGAAGCUUUCUGCUACCUGACUAUGACAUUCGGCUUAAGAAAUGCCGGUGCCACUUUUCAGCGUUGCAUGCAGAAGUUCCUCCUCAAGCAGCUCGGCAGAAAUGCCCACAUCUACGUAGACGACAUUGUGAUGAAGACGGAGAAGCACGACACCUUGCUGGAAGACCUCAAGGAAACAUUUGAGAACCUGCACCGGUUCCAGAUCAAGCUCAACCCCGAGAAAUGCGUGUUCAGAGUGCCAGCCGGCCAGCUCCUAGGCUUCCUGGUCUCCGAACGCGGCAUCGAAUGCAACCCAGUAAAGAUCAAGGCCAUUGAGAGAAUGGCGAUUCCCACCAAACUUCGAGACGUCCAGAAGUUCACCGGGUGCUUGGCCUCCCUGAACCGCUUCAUCAGCCGGCUCGGAGAGAAAGCUCUCCCCCUCUACCGCCUCAUGAAGAAGACCACUCACUUCGAGUGGAACGUCCAAGCCGACCAAGCUUUUCACGAGCUGAAGAAGAUGCUGGCCACACCACCUAUCCUGGCGGCGCCGACUGAGAAAGAGCCCAUGCUCCUCUACAUUGAUGCAACCAGCCGGGUGGUCAGCACCGUUAUCGUAGUCCAGCGCCCAGAAGAGGGCCGAGCCCAGCCGGUCCAAAGGCCGGUGUACUAUUUGAGUGAGGUGCUGUCUACCUCGAAGCAGAACUACCCGCACUACCAGAAGAUGUGCUAUGGCAUGUACUUCGCCGCCAAGAAGCUGAAGCCCUACUUCUAGGAGCACCCCAUCACGGUCGUAUGCACUGCCCCGCUUGCCGAGAUCAUAGGCAGCCGAGAUGCAUCUGGCUGGGUGGCGAAAUGGGCCAUCGAGCUGGCCCCCUACACGAUCUUCUACCAGCCUCGCACCGCCAUCAAGUCCCAAGCAUUGGCCGACUUCCUCGUCGACUGGGCCGAGACCCAGUACCUGCCACCAGCUCCCGACGCCACUCAUUGCCGCAUGCACUUCGACGGGUCCAAGAUGCGCACCGGCUUGGGAGUCGGCGUCAUCCUCACCUCUCCCAAAGGCGACAAGCUUAGAUACACACUGCAAAUUCACUUUGCCACCUCCAACAACGUGGCCGAGUACGAGGCGCUCAUACACGGGCUCCGGCUUGCCAAAGAGCUCGGCAUACGCCGGAUCCUAUGUUACCGAGACUCGGACUUGGUAGUCCAGCAAUCAUCCGGCGACUGGGACGCCAAGGACGCAAAUAUGGCAAGCUACCGCUUCCUCGUUCAGCAGAUCCGCGGGUACUUUGAAGGAUGCGAGUUCCUCCAUGUACCGCGAGCCGACAACGAGCCAGCUGAUACCCUGGCUCGAAUAGGCUCCACUCGGCAGGUAAUACCAACCGGUGUCUCUCUACAAUGCCUCCUCAAGCCGUCUAUCAAGCCGUCUCCGGAGUCCGAUUCCAUCUUCGUGCCGCCUGACCCCGACGCAGCCGGGUCCGGCUCGAAGAACCAAGCAGGUGACCCGGGGACUUCGAUAGUCAGCCCGGGGAUGUUAGUAGGCGGCUCGGGGACUUCCGUAGUUACGCCCGACCCGGGGACUGCCACACCCGGCUCGGGGACUGCGGUAGUCGGCCCGGGGACUGCACCAACACAACAGGCGGCGGCCAACUCCAGCAUUUCACCACCCAGCCCGCCUUCCCUGGUCGCAGUAGCCGUGUUGGCAAUAGAAGAAGUCGCAACUCCAUCAUGGGCCCAGUCCAUCCUCAACUUCCUAAUAAACCAAGAUCUGCCGGCUGACGAAACAGAGGAAAGACAAGUCCAACGCCGAGCCGGAGCAUACACAAUCAUCAACAAAGAGCUCAUCAGGCGCAGUGUCACUAGAGUCUUCCAGCGAUGCGUUGAGCAAGAGAAGGGCAUUCCAAUCCUCAGAGACAUCCACCAAGGAGAAUGCGGCCACCAUGCGGCCUCAAGAUCACUCGUCGCCAAAGCUUUCCGCCUGGGUUCUUUUGGCCGAGUGCUUUGGAUGACGCCAAGGAGUUAGUUAAACAUUGCAAAGGGUGCCAAGUCUUCAGCUCCAAGCAACACAUGCCGGCUUCGGCACUCAAGACCAUUCCCCUCACUUGGCCCUUCGCCGUUUGGGGACUGGACAUGGUGGGCCCAUUCAAGACAGCGCGCGGCGGCAUGACACAUCUGCUUGUCGUCAUGGACAAAUUCACCAAAUGGAUUGAGGCAAAGCCGAUCAAGAAGCUGAAUGGGCCGACUGCCGUGACAUUCAUCGCAGAUAAAACAACUCGGUACAGCGUGCCACACAGCAUCAUCACCGACAACGGCACGAAUUUCGCCAAGGGAGCACUGGCACGUUUCUGCGCGACGCAGGGCAUCCAGUUGGACUUAGCGUCCGUUGCCCACCCGCAGUCAAACGGCCAAGUCGAGCGAGCCAACGGCCUCAUCCUUUCUGGCAUCAAGCCCCGACUGGUCGUACCACUGGAACGUUCGGCCGGCUGUUGGCUCGAUGAGCUGCCGGCCGUCCUUUGGAGUCUGCGCACUACCCCAAACAAGUCAACCGGCUUCACUCCUUUCUUCCUCGUGUAUGGUGCCGAGGCGGUCAUCCCAACUGACAUCGAGUUUGACUCGCCUCGGGUAACCAUGUACACGGAGGUGGAGGCCAAGGAAGCACGAGAAGACAGCGUCGACCUGCUGGAAGAAGGCCGGCUGUUAGCCCUCAGCCGGUCCGCCAUCUACCAGCAGGGCUUGCGCCGCUACCACAGCCGGAAGGUCAGACCAAGAUCUUUCCAAGAGGGCGGCCUCGUGCUCCGGCUGAUCCAGCGAACAGCCGGCCAGCACAAGCUCUCGGCCCCUUGGGAAGGCCCCUUUGUCAUCAGCAGAGCGCUGGGAAAUGACUCCUACUACCUGAUCGACGCACAGAAGCCGAAGGUACGAAAGAGAGACGACUCCGGCAAGGAGUCGGAACGACCAUGGAACACCAACCUCCUCCGAAGAUUUUACAGUUGAAAUGCAGUAUGUAUCAUGCUAACUUUUGUACUAAGUACGAGACAAUAGGCCCCCCGAGGAGAGCUCGGGGACUGCCAUCUUUUAUCUAUGAAUGAAGAGUAUCAUGCUUAUGAUCAUGUCAUUACAUUCACUUUUUUCGUCCGGCAUCGGGUUCGACUAGUCGGCCCGGGGACUGGCCGCCUUGAGUUAUAUUAGAAGUCCUACCCGCGGUCAGACAAGUAGUGUGCCGGCACCCAAGCCUUCUCUUGCCAAAAGUCACAGUUCGAAGAACCGGCUGUCCGGUUGGCAAGAGUUAAAGGCAGGAAAGGACGCCCACAGGAAAAACGGCUAGGGACUAACGGACUAAUAUAACAAAAGUCGAUUUUUCUCCCACCACCGAUCGACUACCAGAGUAGCUGGCCGGCCGGCUUCCAUUCACCUCGCUUCAAUCGAAGAAAGCUCGAGUACUUGCCUUCCCCCCAAAAAAAUAUAGCCAAGUUCUUCCCUAGCCAUAGGCUGCAGAGCAGCUGCCGGUUGGGAAGGCAGCAGCUAGGGGAAGGCGGCAAAGGAAACAGCCUAAGGAUAAAAAGCAUACGCGAAUGGAAGCCAAACACACACAUGAUCAUAUUUACACAAAAGACCUUUGAAAGGCCAGCAUUCAACAUAGUUUGAAUACACCCCCAGUGGGUGGAACUACGCAAGUUUAAUAAAAAUUGUUCAAAGAGUAACAAGCAGGAAAAGCAAGGACGGCAGAUUAAGCCAAGGGAACGACUGGCGAGUCGGGCAGGUUGGUAGAGACGGGAGUGCUGGCUGGAGGAGUGGCCGGCUGGCGAGCCUCGGCAUGAUCACCACCUCCUGCAGAGGGCGCACUAGCACACGCCUCGUUGCUGGAGGCACGGUCAAGCUAAGGCUGGCUGGCUGCUUCAUCGGCCGGCUCGACAUCUUCGCCUUCCUCUCCUUCGUCGUCUUCACCUUCAUCGCUGGAAGCGAUCUCCUCCGCCGAGUCCUCACCCUCUGCCGGGUCCAGCCCGAACCAUUCCUCCGGCUGGGCAACGCCAUCGUCAUUUAUCUCAGGAGCAAAGGCGCUGAUGUCAGUGCACUCGGUGAUCGUCAAGGCACGCUGAGCGAUAGCCGGUCACACCUCCUCCAUCUCCUCGUCGGCUUCCAGCCGCCAGGUGCGCAGCUGGUCCAGGUUCAGCCCGGGAUACCAGGCUCGGACGAACUCCAGUGCCCGCCCAGCUCCAAGCCGGGCUGCCGAUGCCUUCCAGGCCUCGAAGCGGCCAACCGCAACCUCCAGCCAGUCGGCAGUCCGACUCGAGGUGAGGGGAAUCGCUUCGCCUGGCCAGAGGGCGGCCAACAUCUACGCCCCGGCGCGCUGGAGGCGGCGGAGCAUGCGGUGAGCCGGCUGCAGCCGGGCUUGGACCGCCAAGAGUUGCUCCUCAAGCGUCUGGCUCGCGUCCGACGCAAUUUCAGCCCCCGCCUGCCGGCGCGCCUCGCGGUGGGCCUCGAUGGUCUGGGUGGCAAUGACGGAGUAGCCGGGGAAGUAGUCUGCACAAAGAACAAAAAGUAGCACAAGUCAGAAGACAAAUCAGGGGGCAAGGGGCAAGCAAGGAGUGAGGAAGUCGGCUUACCAUCAAUCAGAUCCUCAACCCGGCCGUAGCCCUCGCUCAGCGCUUGUUUUGCCUCAGCCCAGCCCGCCGCUUCGAUCUCGAACUCAGCUUUGAGGGCGUCCUCGCUGUCCUGCGCCUUCUUCAGGGCCGCCUUGUGGCUCUCCUCCUAGUCGGCCAACUUCUUGGCCAGGCGGUCACGCUCCAGGACUAAGGCGUUGCACUCGGCUUCCUUGGCGCGAAGGGCGGUCUGGGCCCCGCUGAGUUGCUCCCUCAAGUCGGCAUUGGCUCCUGCAAGCAUGAAGACAAAGGAAAAAUCAAUAAGGAAGAAGUCGUCGGGGAAUAUUCGACCCGACUGCUCAGCAGUCGGCCCGAAUCUCGGGGACUACACCCAGUGGGUGCGCUGACGCGCCCCCACAGGAGAUGAACGAGACAAAGCACGCACUCCGGCUGUUGGCCAGGUCCUUGGUUUAUUGGCCCAGCUCCUAAGCCUAGGAGUUGAAGGCAGCAGCGCGGAGGUUAUGGUAUUCCUGGAAGAUCAGACAGGAUGCAAGAAUAAGAUAGCUGUCAGGACCUAGUAAGUUCCAAGCCGCCUGCUCAGCAGCCGACUCGGAACUCGGGGACUACACCCAGUGGGUGCGCUGACGCGCCCCCACGGAAGAAAUCAAAAAGCAAAACAACCAAGGCCAGAAGGCUCACCCGGAUGACGGCCCGCAUCAUGAGGAACUCUUGGGUAUAUCGCUGCAGCGAAGCGGGCUGGGCUUGAAGCCGGUUCCUGACCUCCUGGACCGCCGUGUUCACCUCGGCCGUCCCCCCGCUGGGCGUCCACUCGGACGAGCUGGCACUGGCCGCCUCCAGGGCCUUCACCGUCCGGCUGGCCCCCACAGCGCUGUGCGGCUCCGGCACGGAGGUAGGUCCCCCUGCGCGCCGGCGAAAUGCCGGCUGCACCUCGAGGCCGGCCCCUGCCUCCGGCUCGCCCCCGGUCGGCUGCUCUGGCGCCGCGGCUGGUUGGCCUUUUUGGCCCACUCUAGUCGGCGCCGUCUGCGCCUCCUCCUCCAUGAAGACCACGUGGUCCUCCCUCCUCUCCAUCACCGGUGGGUCUCGGUUGACCUCCUCCGACUGGGGCACGGGGAUGUCGGGGGCCACGGCACGGAGGGGAACGACGAGCUGCAGAGGCUGGUUGCGCGAGGCCUUCGCCUCCUUCUCCGCGGCCGCCGCCUUCGCCCGGACCUUGGCCGCCGCGUCGGCCUGCUCCUUUGCCGCCUGGGUGGUCCUUCGCUCCGCCGCCUCCCGCUCCUCCCGCGCCUCCCGUGUGUUCCGCUACGUGGCCUCCAUGAGGUCGGCGCGGGGAUCCACGCGGCGGGAGCCUGAGGACCCUCCAGUCAGCCCGACUACGAAGCCGCCAGGACCUCGCUCGAGGGAAAGCGGUGCCCUGCCUGGCAAGCAAAGAAAAGUUUAGAAGAGCCUCAAUCGAAGAGGACAACAAAAAAUACAAGACGUUUGACGCUUACGCGAGAUCGCCUGCGGCUGUUUCACCGCCUUGCGGAAGCGGGCCGCCUUCACGGCCGCCUAAUCCCGCUUGGUCGCCGCCGUGGAACCCUUGGAUUUCUUCGGCCGGCUGCCGAAGUAGGUCGACGCGGCUCGGCAUUUCUGCGCGCCGCCACGGGCAGCCGUCACGGUAGACGGGCCCGCGCCUUGAUGAUCAAGCACCGGCUGGAGGUGCGGAACGACUUUGACCUCGUCAUCAUCCGCCCAGUCCUCGAGGCCGGCCCCGAGCCCCGUGUCGCCUGCCUCGUCGCCUUCCCCCAUGAUGGCAUCUUCCAUGGCUGCCGCUCCCAGGUCCGGAUCAUCGACAUCGUCCACCGUGCGAUCAGGGAGGAGCUGGCGCUCUACCCCUGCGGCCCUGGCCGUCGGCGGAAGAAGAGGGUUCUGCUGAGGACAAACCAAUUGAUCAGAAGUCAGCCAUCAUGAGGCCGGCUACAAAAAGGAAGAAAAGAAGAAAAACUUACAGCAGGCGGAGGGUUGGCGCGAGAAUACGGCCCCUUGCCGUAUCGCCAAUCCUCGGCGAGCUUGUAGUUGGAGAUGUAGUUCACCAUGUAAGACACCCCGACAUGAGGCAUCUCCCUGGUGCUCAGCCGGCCCGGGUCGAAGCAGCCGCUCAUCUGACAAAUCAUGUGAGGCCGGCCUUGGAGUGGAAGUACUCGGCGCUCCACGAAGGCGGCCACCAGGUCGGCUCCGGUCAGGCCCUCCGACUGGAUCAUCACCCGGAGCCGGGCGACGGCUGCGUUCCCGGCCUGAGAUAACGACCUGGCCCGGUAGCUCCACGAGGGGUGCCUCCCAGCCGGCGGGCCGGCUACGUAAGCAGGCAGGUUGACGAAGUCGCCUUGCUGGGCGACGUUCUUUAUGUAAAAAUAGGACUUCUGCCAGAGCUUCACCGACUGGAUCAGCAGGAUGGGCAGGAACGGAUUGUUCUCGCCUGUCCGCCUCAUGGCAAUGAAGGCUCCGCACGGGGCGGGCACACCCGCGACAACAGUGCCGAGCUUGCACUGGAAGAAUUCUCCCCAGAGCUCGAGAGUGGGGAGAACCCCAAGAAAGCCCUCGCACAGGGUGACAAAAGCUGACAGCAGCAUCACCGCGUUGGGCGUGAGGUGAUGUGGCUGGAGGUGGUAAAACUCAAGAAAAGCGCGAAGGAAUCCGCUCGUCGGGAGGCCAAAGCCGCGCAGGCAGUGCGAGCGGAAUAUUACCCACUCAACCUCCUCCGGUGCCGGCAAAAUCUCCCUCGCCGGCGCACAACGAACCCGCACGUAGUUCUCGCCCGGCAGACACCGCGUCUGGCGGAGGAACUCAACAUGGUCCUCGUGGACGUUGGAGCCGUCCCACGAGCUCGACAACGCCAUGGGAGCGACGGGGCGAGGAACAAGGUGAUGCGACGGCGGAGACACGCACGACCCCGCUACGGCGGGACCGAAGGAACGGAGAGGUCCGACGGCAGAGCGGCGCGGCAAUGGGUCACUGCGGCGGCGGAAGGAAGGAGAAGGAAGGUGAGAAAGGGUGGAGCAAGGGAGAGCGUGCGAGCCUCUGCCGCUCCCUCUCCUCCCCCUACUUAUAGACCCGCGCGGCGGAGCAGAGGAGGCAUGGUGUGGGGGAACGUGGGAUCAACCGUGCCCACUCCCCCACGUCCCGCGAUUAUUGUGCCCUGAUGACGAAAUGAAACCGCCGCGGGAAGGCGAGCGGUCCGUUGUGGGCCGCAGAAGAUCCACGCUUGGGCCGAGGCCUAGAAGUGGCGGGCCCGGGCCUACGGCGGCGUCCCAUCGCGCGCGUGCAUUGGCAGGCUUUCCUUGCCACGUGGCCCGUGGGGUGGUGCGCGGUCAGCUCGCAGGCCGACCCACGUUCCUGCCUACAAGAUACGGAGCUUUCCGAAGACGGCGCGCAUAAGCAAAGCCGGCUCCUCAGGAUAGGAAGCUGACCAAGAUUCUCGUCCCUUUGUCAGCCUCGAAGCUCGAUCAGCUUCGGGGACUACUAUCGGAGUAAACGACCACGGGUAGCCUAGUCGGCUCCCCCUGGCCCUUCUGAAAAAAUUAUGAGCCGAUCCGGCCCUCAAGAGUCCAAGACCUGGGGCCGCCUUCCCCUUGCCAGCUGUCUCCCAGGCCAACUAUCGGAAGGCGGCCCGGCUUUAGCCCUCAUGAAGAGAGCCACGGGAGAGCCGGCUCCAAGAAGCCGGCCGCGAGAAGCCGACUCCCACAAAGCAGUCAAGAUCGUACCCUCGAAGUCUGCAUCCACAUAACGGCAAUGUGGUGGGGCGUGGCUACAGUAAAGCCUGCCACCUCCGAAUCUCGGAGCAUGCCUAGCAUAGCACGCCGUACGGGGUGGCCAUGACCCGUCCGGCGCGGCACUGUUGCCAUGUUGACCCUGAUGCCACCCACGACGGGCUGUCAGCGCAGCCCACGGGCGGUGGGCCCCUUCAGGCAGAGAGACACCCGAAGGCGGCCAGGCCUCCCCCAGUCGUCCCAAGACAGGGCCGGCUCCCCACAGCCGGCUUGCUUCCUCCCUCGAAGGAGACGCCCCAUUAAGGAGACAAGACGAGGUGAGGCUACAGCGAUCGCCCGCCAGGCAGCAGCACUGUGGCCACGCUUACCUUGGCGAAGCCCUCGUCACCAGGUUUGAGGCAACAGUAACGAGCCACCGACAAGGCCCUUGACAGUGGGGCCUGCCUGUCAACCAAGGAGCCGGCAGCUGGCGGGACCCACCAGCUGGCGGGCCCCAGCAGCCGGCGCAGAAGCCGGCGAGCGUAGACACAGAUGGCUAGGGCCCAUGCCCAGCCGGAUUACCAUUGUACCCCCGGGGGUGGGCCUAUAUAAACCCCCCGGGGCACCCAUGCAAAGGGUGGAUCGGAGCUAGUUUUACACACCACAUAGAGAGGAGAGGAGAGCUAGCCGUGCCCUUCUUCUUCUUAUCGCCAAACAGCUCAAGGAGCAUCUUGUAGCCACUUGUUCAUCUAGUGAUCAUGCGGAGACCCUGCAGAGCAGCAGUAGGGGUGUUAUCUCCAUGGAGAGCCCUGAAGCUGGGUAAGAUUCGCCGGCAUGCAUGUCUUUGCCUCAUCCCGCUUCCAGGCACCGGCGACGUCUUACUGGCUCCCACAAUGAUAAGCCACCCGUUGGCAUAUGUCGCACCUACCACCCGACAACAAAUGAUUGAACAGCCGCAACCACCUGAAGGUGACGGGGCUACUACAGGCACAAUGUCCCCUCUUGCUGCAGUGCAUCAGUAUCUCUCCACUAUCAGUGCAAAAAGCACCUUCCUGCGUAAUUCUGGGUUGGUUGUCAAGGUAACCUCGUCCAAAUCGCCUACUGAACAAAAUCUUCCUGCUAGACAGAGUGAUAUAUCUGUGCUCCAGACACAAGUCCAAUCCCUAAUGGACGUUGUUUCGGAAGCAAGAAUAGUAGUUGAGAAAUGUCGUCAGGAUAUGAAUGGUUUUUAAACCAGACUAUCAGACAUUCGCUUCGUUGUUCAAGAGCAAUGGCGGAAAAAAGGUGGAGAUCGUGCUGCUCCAUGAGAUUCUAUAGCCUAAAACAUUAGCACUCAAGUCAAAUGAUCUGUGCUUCUAUACAUCUGAUGGUGCUUUUAUCUGGAAGGACUGUAAAAUUUAUGCCAACAGGCCUUUUGUUGUAUGGUUGGAAUUUAUUUUGUUGUGAUACAACAUUUAUGAUGCUGCCUCAGGAUGCAGUAAUUACGACGCUAUUUUUUUAUAGUGUAGGUUUAUCUUACUAAUGUAUUCGGCCGAAAGCUUCGUAGGAGCCCAACAUGCCAACAUUCGUUGGGCCCAUUCCAAUUGGGCUAAAAACGAUUAUGGGCCGAAAUUGGCAUGUAGCCCACUAAAAAUAUCUAGGCCUAAAUCAGCAUAAGCUUUCAUAUUUUUCUGGUAGGCAUGUGCCCAUAGUGGGCCUUUAACAGGCCUAAACAUAAUUUGGGCCCUCGGUAAAAAUAGGCUGUUUACAGGUGUAAAUAUCUCGAGCCCAUAAAAUACAUGGGCUUUUAAUAGACCGAAAGUGAGAUUGGGCCCUGAUUGUGCCAAAUAACCCACUGGAUUUUAACAGGCCGAAAUUCCGAUGGGCCGUAAAUGCGCCGACCUAAUACACGGGCCUUUAACAGGCCGGAACUUCUGUCGGGCUAGAUUAUCGUCAUUUUUAUAUGGGCCUUUAAUGGGCCCGAUAUGACGUUGGGCCACAUAUGGCCCAUGGUUUACAUCCGGUGUUAACGGGCCGAGAAUGGCAACAGGCCGAAAGUGGCCCAAAGCUAUAGUGGGCCUCUAACAGGCCGAAUGUCAGACAUGGCCGAAUAUGACCCAAAUCCUUCACGGUCGUUUAUGGGCUGAAAGUUUUGAUGGCGUGUAAAUGGGCCCAAAUGAAGCCGGACCUUUAACAGGCCGGAAAUACACCGGGCCGUAAUUCGGCCCAAUUACUUAGCGGACUUUUAACGGGCCAGAAGUGACCAUGGGCCGCGUUGAUGACAAGUUUAGGACAGGCCGUUGACGGGCCGAUUUGAUAGAGAAUGUUGGGCCUUUAGCUGGGCCGGCCCAUUAUGGUCAGCAGAAUCUUGUGGGCCUUCAGCUGGGCCGGCCCAUUGUGGUCCACAAAAUCUUGUGGGCCUUUAGCUGGGUCGGCCCAUUAUGGUCUGCAAAAUCGUGUGGGCCUUUAGCUGGGCCGGCCAUUAUGGUCCGCUAAAUUUUGUGGGCCUUUAGCUGGGCCGGCCCAUUAUGGUCCAUUAAAUCUUAUGGGCCUUCGGUUGGGCCGGCCCAUUUAAUCUUUGUGGGCCACUUUUGGGCCGGUCCAUGUGUCAACAUAUCAUAGGCCCAUCUCGACCGUUGGAUGAGUGACACAUGUGCCAACACGGAGCUGACGCAUGGAUCCGUCAGCCAAUGAGAAUUUUACACAUGGAAAAUCGGCAUUGGUCGUGGCUGUUAACGGGUUAUCGGAUCCAAAAUCCGACCCGAUAGCUUAACGGUGUUCCAUUACAGUGGAUGCCACGUGUCGGUCACCCUUGACGAAAGAACUUCUGUGACGCGCGAUUUAUCAUCAUGGAAGUGGACUCUUCCGUGAUGAUAAUUUUGGCAAUGUCAUGGAACACUUCUUCGAUAGCACAGGUAUGACUAUCUUGAUUCUUUCAUAAAUUUGUCAUGGAUGUACAUGCAUGACAGAAAACGCGACCUACUAUGACAAACACAUAUCAUCCCAGAAGUGUAUUUUUUUUGUAGUGUUGCGACACCUAAACCUGCUUCUGCUAUUAAUUCUGAUAUGUCGCAUGUUAUUGAUGAUGCCACUUAUGCUAUGCAUGAUACUUAUGAUGAAACUACUUCUAUGCUUGAUACUAUUGUGCCACUCGGUGAAUUCCUUGAUGAACAACUUGCUAUGGCUAGAGAGAAUGAAAUUAUUCAAACUGAUAAUACUGAUGAAAGUGAUGAUGAAGGCUCUCCUAAUAAAUAUGAAAUACAUGUUGUGCCUGAGGGCUAUGUUAUGGAUGAAGAAACUAAAAGAGACUUUCUUGCUUGCAAUGAUAGAAGUGAUCUUAAGAAAUUAUUAGCUAAGCUUAAACAAAAAACUCUGAAUGCUAGAAUGAAAUAUGAUCCUGCUUAUGCUACUUCACCUAUCUUUGUUACUGAUCAGGAUUAUGAAUUCUCUGUCGACCCUGAUAUAAUUACUUUGGUUGAAUCUGAUCCUUUUUAUGGCUAUGAAUCAGAAACUGUUGUGGCACAUCUUACUAAAUUAAAAGAUAUAGCCACCCUGUUCACUAAUGAUGAGAGAACUCGCUACUUUUAUAUCCUUAAAAUAUUUAUGUUCUCGUUAAAGGGUGAUGCUAAGAUAUGGUUUAAUUCUCUUGAUCCGGGUUGUGUGUGUAGUCCCCGGGAUAUGAUUUAUUACUUCUCUGCUAAAUAUUUCCCUGCUCAUAAGAAACAAGCUGCCUUAAGGGAUAUAUAUAAUUUUGUGCAAAUUGAAGAAGAGAGUCUCCCACAAGCUUGGGGGAGGCUUCUCCAAUUACUUAAUGCUUUGCCUGAUCAUCCUCUUAAGAAAAAUGAAAUACUUGAUAUCUUUUAUAAUGGACUAACCUAUGCUUCCAGAGAUUACCUGGAUAGUUGUGAUGGUUCUGUUUUUAGGGAAAGAACACCGGAUGAAGCUGAAAUUCUAUUGAAUAAUGUGUUGACAAAUGAAAAUAAUUGGACACUUCCUGAGCCAACUCCUGAGCCUAUUCCUAAACCAACACUGAAGAAAAGAGGUGUUCUAUUUCUCAGUCCUGAAGAUAUGCAAGAGUCAAAGAAUCCAUGAAGAAAAGGGUGUUAAAGCUGAAGAUGUUAAGAAUUUACCUCCUAUUGAAGAAAUACAUGGUAUUAAUAACCCGACACAAGUAGUAAAGGUAAAUUCUCUCUAUAGAUAUGAUAAGGCUGAAAUCCCUCCUACUAAGUUUGCUAGCCAAUGUUUGGAUGAUUUUGAUAACUUUAUGGUUAAGCAAGAAGACUUCGAUGCUUAUUUUGGUAGACAAUUAAAACAAAAUGCUUAUAUGAUUGAACACUUGGGUGAUUAUAUGUCUAGAGUUAAAGGUGAACUUAAAAUCAUUAGUAAACAUUCUUCUAUGGUCACCACUCAAGUAGAACAAGUACUUAAAGCCCAAAAUGAUUUGCUCAAUGAAUUGAAUAGUAAGAAUAAUGACUAUGCUGUUAGAGUGGCUACUAGAACAGGUAAAAUGACUCAAGAACCUUUCUAUCCUGAAGGCCACCCUAAGAGAAUUGAGCAAGAUUCUUAGAGAAAUAAUAUAGAUGCACCUAGCCCUUCUAAAAGGAAGAAAAAGAAAAAUGAUAGGACUUUGCAUGCUUCUAGUGAACCUAUUGCUGAAACACCUGAGAAUCCAAAGGAUAUUUCUAUUUUUGAUGCCAAAACACAAUCUGGUAAUGAACAUGAACCUAGUGAUAAUGUUAAUGAUAAUGUUCAUGAUGAUGCUCAACCUAGCAAUGAUAACGAUGUAGAAGUUGAACCUGUUGUUGAUCUUGAUAACCCACAAUCAAAGAAUCAACGUUAUGAUAAGAAAGACUGUGUUGCUAGGAAGCACGGUAAAGAAAGAGAACCAUAGGUUCAGAAACCCAUGCCUUUUCCUCCCAAACCAUCCAAGAAAAAGGAUGAUGAGGAUUUUGAGCGCUUUGCUGAAAUGAUUAGACCUAUCUUUUUGCGUAUGCGAUUAACUGAUAUGCUCAAAAUGAAUCCUUAUGCUAAGUAUAUGAAAGAAAUUUUUACUAAAAAAAGAAAGAUACGGGAAGCUGAAAUUUCCACCAUGCUUGCUAAUUACACUUUUAAGGGUGGAAUACCUAAGAAGUUUGGAGAUCCAAGAGUACCCACUAUAUGAUGCUCCAUUAAAAGAAACUAUGUUAAAACUGCUUUAUGUGAUCUUGGAGCCGGUGUUAGUGUUAUGCCUCUCUCUUUAUACCGUAGACUUGAUUUGAAUAAGUUGACACCUACUGAAAUAUCUUUGCAAAUGGCUGAUAAAUCAACUGCCAUACGUGUCGGUAUUUGUGAGGGUGUGCCUGUUGUGGUUGCAAAUGUUACUAUUUUAACGGACUUUGUUAUUCUUGAUACUCCCGAGGACGAUAGUAUGUCUAUUAUUCUUGGAAGACCUUUUUUGAAUACUGCAGGGGCUGUUAUUGAUUGCAACAAAGGCAAUGUCACUUUUCAUGUUAAUGGUAAUGAGCAUACGGUACACUUUCCGAGGAAACAAUCUCAAGUUUAUAGUAUCAAUUCUAUUGGAAAAAUUCCAUCAAUUAUUUUGGAGAUUUUGAAUUUCCUCUUCCUAUCGUCAAGAAGAAAUAUGAUAUUCUAAUUAUUGGGGAUGUGCAUAUCCCCGUUGAGGUAACAUAGUGUUAUUCGAAAUUUCUCCGGUUCCAUGUUAUUUGGAAUGAGUUUGUUAACAAGACUUGAUCAACCUUGUUAGUGGAUUCCUUUUGAUGAGCAUGAGAUGGAUGAAUUUAGAAAGCACAACUCUAUGUACCCUCCUUUUACUUUCUGUUAUUUAGUUGAAAUAAAGUAAAAAUAGUAUUUUCUGUCAGUUUCUGAAUUAUCCGUGCAAUAUAAAAAUACCCCGAAAAUAAAAGUUCUCCAAAUGCGCUGCCAAUUUAAUAUGUUUUUUCUGGAAUAUUUGAGAAUAUUUGGCACUAAGAACACAGCAGGGGGAGCUAGCACCUGGCCACGAGGGUCCAGGUCGCGCCCACCCCCCCUGCCUCGUGGGCCCAUGGUGGCCCUCCUCCACUUAUUCCUGCACCCACACACUUCUUCCUCCCAAAAAAAUCACCAUCCAGCUCAAGCAUGAGUUCUAGCUCAUUUUGCUGCGAUUUUCGAUCUCCUUGCUCAAAGCACCUCUCACAAAACUUCUUUAGGGCAUUGUUCCUUGGUAUGUGACUCCUCCAAUGGUCCAAUUAGUUUUUGUUCUAGUCCUUUAUUCAUUGCAUAUUUUUGCUGCUUAGGUGACCCUGUUCUUGAGCUUGCAUGUCAAAUUUAUGUGGUCAAAAGUAGUUUUGAUGCAUGAUAUAGGCUAUAGGAACUUGUAGGAGUAGUUGCUAUCAAUUUUGUUGAACUUGGUUCACUUUUAUUUGAAGUUACUAAAAAUUUCAGAAUUUUUCAGAAAAUAAUGAAGAGAUUUUUUAGGGGCUCAUCGAGCCGAAGCUCGAAGGAAAGCAAAGUGAAGAAGCAGAGAGGCCCAAAUAUAAUCUGCCUCGCACCACGAAGGUUCGGCCGUGUGAAUGGCCUUCCAAUGAUUUCUUGAGAGCAGUCGGGAUUUAUGAUGAUUUUUAUGGAUUUGCUGAGAAUGCAGGCCUCACCGACUUCCUCCACGGCCAAUGCGAACAAUAUCUCUUACUCACCAAUACUUUUGUGCAAAACUUCUACUAUUAUCCUAAGGAAUCACCUCCUUCAGUAGAGUUUCAUUUAUAUCAUGUGGUUAAGAAGAUGUCACUAUAUGAAUUUUGUAGGGUUUGCAAAAUACCUUUCGAGGGUAGCUUAGAGGAACCACAUCGUAAAGAUGUGGAUGGGUUUAUUGACACUAUUACUGUAGGGGAAACUAGGAAGGUUUCUGAUGCAAGAAUUACUAGCAUACAUUUUCCUGUUUUACGCUACUUUGCAAUAUUUGCUAGUCGUUGCUUAAUUGGUCGCUGAAACUAUGGAAACCUUAGUGUUCCUGAUAUUAUUAUUUUGUUCCAUGGUUUAUUCCGUGACGACUCUGUUAGUAUGGGCGGUAUUAUUGCUAAACGGUUAAGUCUGAACCAUACAAAGGGCCCCAUCUUUGGAGGUGUCCAUGCUUCACGCCUUGCUGCAUACUAUAACAAACUGAUAUGUCUCCGUCGUAUCUAUAAUUUUUGAUUGUUCGAUGCCAAUAUUAUUCAACUUUCAUAUACUUUUUGGCAACUUUUUAUAUUAUUUUUGGGACUAACAUAUUGAUCCAGUGCCCAGUGCCAGUUCCUGUCUGUUGCAUGUUUUGGGUUUCGUAGAAUAUCCAUAUCAAACGGAGUCCAAACGGGAUAGAAACGGACGGAGCUUAUUUUUGGAAAGUAUGGAAAAUUCGGAAGGAAAAUCAACGCGAACCAGUGCCCGAGGUGGUCACGAGGCAGGGGGCGCCCCCCCUUAGGGCGCGCCCCCUACCCUCGUGAGCCCACCGUAAGGCGGUUGAAGCUCUUCUUUUGCCGCAAGAAAGCUAAUACUCGGAAAAAAUCACGGCGAAGGUUUCAGGCCAAUCGGAGUUAUGGAUCUCCAUAUAUAUACGAAACAGUGAAACAGAGCCAGGAGGGAACAUAGAACCAGAGAGAAACAGAGAGAUAGAUCCAAUCUCGGAGGGGCUCUCGCCCCUCCCAUGCCAUGGAGGCUAGUGACCAGAGGGGAAACCCUUCUCCCAUCUAGGGAGGACGUCAAGGAAGAAGAGGAAGAAGGGGCCCCCUAUCUCCCUCUCCUCCGGUGGCGCCGGAAUGCCGCCGUGGCCAUCAUCAUCACCGCGAUCUUCACCAACACCUCUGCCAUCUUCACCAACAUCUCCAUCACCUUCCCCCCUCUAUCUACAGGGGUCCACUCUCCCGCAACCCGUUGUACCCUCUACUUGAACAUGGUGCUUUAUGCUUCAUAUUAUUAUCCAAUGAUGUUUGCCAUCCUAUGAUGUCUGAGUAGAUUUUCGUUGUCCUAUCGGUGGUUGAUGAAUUGCUAUGAUUGAUUUAAUUUGCUUAUGGUUAUGUUGUUGUCCUUUGGUGCCCAUCAUAUGAUUGCGCGCGUGGAUCACACCCUAGGGUUAGUUGUAUGUUGAUAGGACUAUGUAUUGGAGGGCAAGAGUGACAGAAGCUUCAACCUAGCAUAGAAAUUGAUGCAUACGGGAUUGAAGGGGGGCCAAUAUAUCUUAAUGCUAUGGUUGGGUUUUACCUUAAUGAACAUUAGUAGUUGAGGAUGUUUGCUAAUAGUUCCAACCAUAAGUGCAUAGAAUUCCAAGUCAGGGAUGGCAUGCUAGCAGUGGCCUCUCCCACAUAAUACUUGCUAUCGGUCUAGUAAAGUAGUCAAUUUCUUAAGGGACAAUUUCGCAACUCCUACCACCACUUUUCCACACUCGCUAUAUUACUUUAGUUGCUUCUUUACCUUAACAGCCCCUAGUUUUAUUUUUGUGCUCUUUACUUUCUUGCAAGCCUUUCCGAAAACACCUACAAAGUACUUCUAGUUUCAUACUUGUUCUAGGUAAAGCGAGCGUCGAGCGUGCGUAGAGUUGUAUCGGUGGUCAAUAGAACUUGAGGGAAUAUUUUUUUCUACCUUUAGCUCCUCGUUGGGUUCGACACUCUUACUUAUCAAAAACUAUUGUGAUCCCCUAUACUUGUGGGUUAUCAAGACCUUUUUCUGGCGCCGUUGCCGGGGAGCAAUAGCGUGGGGUGAAUAUUCUCGUGUGUGCUUGUUUGCUUUAUCACUAAGUAAUUUUUAUUUGGUGUUCUUAGUUGUUCUCUAUCUUUAGUUAUGGAUAAGGAACACGAAAUACAAAAAAAAUGGGUGUACUUUCUGCUCAUGGAGAUGGGGAACCUCCUAAAACCCUCGAUGCUCAAUAUGUGAAAAAUAUUAUGUACCACUUUGAUAAUCCUGAGAAAACCUCAUUCAAUUUGGUAAUGGGAGUAACGUUGGAUCAACGUGAAUACUUUAGGGAUUAUCACUUGGCACAAAAAGGGAAACUAUUAUGGGAUCAAAUUUAUAUAUUGAAGUGGUAUGCUAGACAACUAUGCUCGGGAUAUGAUUAUACUUGUUGCUCUAGGAUGAAUUCUCCACACCUCCCCUUUUCAUGCAAAUUUAAUGAUAAUGUAACCUUGGCUUCUUAUGCUAGAGGUAUAUAUGAUUACUAUGAUGUGGAACAAAUAGAAGAAUUUGUUGCUUUUUGGGGUGCUUAUGAAAUUGAAUCUAUGUUUAAAGAGUUUGAUGAUAUUGAUGAUGCUUGUUAUACAUCUGAAAAUUUAGCUAUCCUCAAAUAUCGCUAUGAGAAUUAUGAAUACAAUUAUGAAAUUAAUGCACUUAUUAAGAAAGUCUCCGCUGUCCAAGAAGAGACUAAUAUUUUGCAGGAAUCUAUGGAAGAAGAAGUUGAUGACACUGUGAGCUCAUUGGACGAAAAAGAUGAGGAUGAGAGCGAAGAACAAAAGGAGGAAGAGCGGAUUUAUCACCCGUGCCCACCUUCUAAUGAGAGUAACUCUUCAACUCAUACAUUGUUUAAUUCCCCUUCGUGCUUACCGAAGGAUGAUUGCUGUGAUGACUGUUAUGAUCCCUAUGAUUCUUUUGAAAUAUCCCUUUUUGAUGAUGCUUGCUAUGCUUAUGGCCAAGAUGCCAAUAUGAAUUAUGCUUAUGGAGAUGAACUUGCUAUAGUUCCUUAUGUUAAACAUGAAAUUUUUGCUAUUGCACCCAUGCAUGAUAGUCCUAUUAUCUUUUUGAAUUCUCCCGAUUAUACUAUAUCGGAGAAGUUUGCACUUAUUAAGGAUUAUAUAGAUGGGUUGCCUUUUACCGUUGCACAUGAUGAUUUCAAUAAAUAUAAUAUGCAUGUGCUUGCUGCUCCUACUUGCAAUUAUUAUGAGGGAGGAACUAUAUCUCCACCUCUCUAUGUUUCCAACAUGAUAAAAUUGCAAGAAACUGUUUAUACUAUGCAUUAGCCUUUACUAGGUGUGCAUGAAUUGUUCUUUUAUGACAUGCCGAUGCAUAGGAAGAGAGCUAGACUUCAUCAUUUCUUGAUAUAUGUUGCUUUGUUAUCACUACUAAAUUACAAAUCAUUGUUAAUUAAAAUUGGCUUUGAUAUACCUUGGGAUCCGGGUGGAUUCACUACUUGAGCACUGUAUGCCUAGCUUAAUGGCUUUAAAUAAAGUGCUACCAGGGUGACAACCCGGAAGUUUUAGAGAGUCAUUUAUUUCUAUUGAGUGCUUUCAUAUAGUUUAAAAACAACAAAAAUAAAGAGGGGAACCCAAAACUUUUCAAAAAGGAAAGUGAAAGUGAGAAAGACAAGCACUGUUGAAGUGGGAGAGCUCCUUGAACUUUGUUCAUGCUCACGGCAACUUUGUGAAUCUUGAUUACAGAAACUUUUCAACAAAAAUAAUUAUCCCCUUGUACAAUUCCAUUGUAUUAUAAAAAUAAUGUGCCAAGGUUUGCCUUUAGGAUGUUUACGAUGCUUGUUGGUUUGUGCGGUGCAGGACAGAAACUUUGGCUGUAGUGGAUGAAUUUUAGUUUUUUACUGGAACGUCAAAUGGUUCUGAUUCUUUUUGCAUUGUCUUUAUGUACAAAUUUUUUAUUUUUCCUAAUUUUUGCAGAAUUUUUCAAGUAUCAUAAGUAUGGUUAAUGUUCAGAUUGCUACAGACUAUUCUGUUUUAGACAGAUUCUGUUUUUGAUGCAUAGUUUGCUUGUUUUGAUGAAACUAUCAAUUCACAUCAGUGGAUUAAGCCAUGAAAAAGUUACACUACAGUAUACACAAUGCAAAAACAAAAUAUGAAUUGGUUUGCAAUAGUACUUAUAGUGGUGAUUUGCUUUAUUAUACUAAUGGAUCUUACCGAGUUUUCUGUUGAAGUUUUGUGUGGAUGAAGUGUUCGAUGAUCGAGAAGGUCUCGAUGUGAGAAGAAGGAAGAGAGGCAAGAGCUCAAGCUUGGGGAUGCCCGAGGCACCCAAGUAAAUAUUCAAGGAGACUCAAGCGUCUAAGCUUGGGGAUGCUGGGGAGGCAUCCCCUCUUUCUUCAACAAGUAUCGAUAUGUUUUCGGAUUCGUUUUGUUCAUGCGAUAUGUGCAAUCUUGGAGCGUCUUUGCUUUAGUUUUCAUGUUUCUUUUUUGCACCAUGCUGGUAUGAGAUCGUCCUUGGUUGAUUUAUAGAAUUCUCUUUGCACUUCCCUUAUAUUCUUUGAGUAUGGCAUUAUAGAAUGCUUCAUGUGCUUCACUUAUAUCAUUUGAAGUUUGGAUUGCCUGUUUCUCUUCACUUAGACAACCGCCAUUUGUAGAAUGCUCUUUUGCUUCACUUAUAUUUGUUAGAGCAUGGGCAUAUCUUUUGUAGAAAGAAUUAAACUCUCUUGCUUCACUUAUAUCUAUUUAGAGAGAUGACAGGAACUUGUCAUUCACAUGGUUAGUCAUAAAAUCCUACAUAAACUUGUAGAUCGCUGAAUAUGAUAUGUUUGAUUCCUUGCAAUAGUUUUGCGAUAUAAAGGUGGUGAUAUUAGAGUCGUGCUAGUUGAGUAAUUGUGAAAUUGAGAAAUACUUGUGUUGAGGUUUGCAAGUCCCGUAGCAUGCACGCAUGGUGAACCGUUAUGUAACGAAGUCGGAGCAUGAGGUGUUUAUUGAUUGUCUUCCUUAUGAGUGGCGGUCGGGGACGAGCGAUGGUCUUUUCCUACCAAUCUAUCCCCCUAGGAGCAUGCACGUAGUACUUUGUUUCGAUGACUAAUAGAUUUUUGCAAUAAGUAUGUGAGUUCUUUAUGACUAAUGUUGAGUCCAUGGAUUAUACACACUCUCACCCUUCCAUCAUUGCUAGCCUCUUCGGUACCGCGCAUUGCCCUUUCUCACCUCGAGAGUUGGUGCAAACUUCGCCGGUGCAUCCAAACCCCGUGAUACGAUACGCUCUGUCACACAUAAGCCUCAUUAUAUCUUCCUCAAAACAGCCACCAUACCUACCUAUUAUGGCAUUUCCAUAGCCAUUCCGAGAUAUAUUGCCAUGCAACUUCCAUCAUCAUCAUAUACAUGACUUGAGCAUUCAUUGUCAUAUUGCUUUGCAUGAUCGUAAGAUAGCUAGCAUGAUGUUUUCAUGGCUUUUCCGUUUUUUUAUGUCAUUACUAUGCUAGAUCAUUGCACAUCCCGGUACACCGCCGGAGGCAUUCAUAUAGAGUCAUAUCUUUGUUCUAGAUAUCGAGUUGUAAUAUUGAGUUGUAAGUAAAUAAAAGUGUGAUGAUCAUCAUUAUUAGGACAUUGCCCCAGUGAGGAAGGGAUGAUGGAGACUAUGAUUCCCCCACAAGUCGGGAUUAGACUCCGGACGAAAAAAAAUAAAAAAGAGAAAGGCCAAAAAAAGAGAAGGCCCAAAAAAAUGAGAGAAAAAGAGAGAAGGGGCAAUGUUACUAUCCUUUUACCACACGUGUGCUUCAAAGUAGCGCCAUGUUCUUCAUAUAGAGAGUCUCUUGAGUUAUCACUUUCAUAUACUAGUGGGAAUUUUCGUUAUAGAACUUGGCUUGUAUAUUCCAACGAUGGGCUUCCUCAAAUGCCCUAGGUCUUCAUGAGCAAGCAAGUUGGAUACACACCCACUUAGUUUCAGUUUGAGCUUUCAUAUACUUAUAGCUCUAGUGAAUCUGUUGCAUGGCAAUCCCUACUCCUCACAUUGAUAUCUAUUAAUGGGCAUCUCCAUAGCCCGUUAAUAUGCCUAGUUGAUGUGAGACUUUCUCCUUUUUUGUCUUCUCCACAUAACCCCCACCAUCAUAUUCUAUUCCACCUAUAGUGCUAUGUCCAUGGCUCAUGCUCAUGUAUUGCGUGAAAGUUGAAAAGGUUUGAGAAACGUCAAAGUAUGAAACAAUUGCUUGGCUUGUCAUCGGGGUUGUGCAUGAUGUGAAUGCUUUGUGUGGUGAAGAUGGAGCAUAGCCAGACUAUAUGAUUUUGUAGGGAUGAGCUUUCUUUGGCUAUGUUAUUUCAAUAAGACAUAAUUGCUUGGUUGGUAUGCUUGAAAUAUUGUUGUCUUUAUGUCAAAGGAUAGAUUAUUGCUUUGAAUCGCUCGUAUCUUAAUAUUCAUGCCAUAAUUAGACAUAUGAUCAAGAUUAUGCUAGGUAGCAUUUCACAUCAAAAAUUAUCUUUUUUUAUCAUUUACCUACUCGAGGACGAGCAGGAAUUAAGCUUGGGGAUGCUGAUACGUCUCUGUCGUAUCUAUAAUUUUUUUAUUGUUCCAUGCCAAUAUUAUUCAACUUUCAUAUACUUUUUGGCAACUUUUUAUAUUAUUUUUGGGACUAACAUAUUGAUCCAGUGCCUAGUGCAAGUUCCUGUCUGUUGCAUGUUCUUGGUUUCGUAGAAUAUCCAUAUCAAACGGAGUCCAAACGGGAUAGAAACGGAUGGAGCUUAUUUUUGGAAAAUAUGGAAAAUUCGGAAGGAAAAUCAACACGAACCAGUGCCCGAGGUGGUCACGAGNNNNNNNNNNNNNNNNNNNNNNNNNNNNNNNNNNNNNNNNNNNNNNNNNNNNNNNNNNNNNNNNNNNNNNNNNNNNNNNNNNNNNNNNNNNNNNNNNNNNNNNNNNNNNNNNNNNNNNNNNNNNNNNNNNNNNNNNNNNNNNNNNNNNNNNNNNNNNNNNNNNNNNNNNNNNNNNNNNNNNNNNNNNNNNNNNNNNNNNNNNNNNNNNNNNNNNNNNNNNNNNNNNNNNNNNNNNNNNNNNNNNNNNNNNNNNNNNNNNNNNNNNNNNNNNNNNNNNNNNNNNNNNNNNNNNNNNNNNNNNNNNNNNNNNNNNNNNNNNNNNNNNNNNNNNCCCACCGUAAGGCGGUUGACGCUCUUCUUUUGCCGCAAGAAAGCUAAUAUUCGGAAAAAAAAUCACAGCGAAGGUUUCAGGCCAAUCGGAGUUAUGGAUCUCCAUAUAUAUACGAAACGGUGAAACAGAGCUAGGAGAGAACGCAGAAUCAGAGAGAAACAGAGAGAUAGAUCCAAUCUUGGAGGGGCUCUCGUCCCUCCCAUGCCAUGGAGGCCAACGACCAGAGGGGAAACCCUUCUCCCAUCUAGGGAGGAGGUCAAGGAAGAAGAGGAAGAAGGGGGCCCCUCUCUCCCUCUCCUCCGGUGGCGCCGUAACACCAUCAUCACCGCGAUCUUCACCAACACCUCCGCCAUCUUCACCAACAUCUCCAUCACCUUCCCCCUCUAUCUACAGCAGUCCACUCUCCCGCAACCCGCUGUACCCUCUACUUGAACAUGGUGCUUUAUGCUUCAUAUUAUUAUCCAAUGAUGUGUUGCCAUCCUAUGAUGUCUGAGUAGAUUUUCGUUGUCCUAUCGGUGGUUGAUGAAUUGCUAUGAUUGAUUUAAUUUUCUUGUGGUUAUGUUGUUGUCCUUUGGUGCCCAUCAUAUGAUUGCGCGUGUGGAUCACACCCUAGGGUUAGUUGUAUGUUGAUAGGACUAUGUAUUGGAGGGCAAGAGUGACAGAAGCUUCAACCUAGCAUAGAGAUUGAUGCAUACGGGAUUGAAGGGGGGCCAAUAUAUCUUAAUGAUAUGGUUGGGUUUUACCUUAAUGAACAUUAGUAGUUGCGGAUGCUUGCUAAUAGUUCCAAUCAUAAGUGCAUAGAAUUCCAAGUCAGGGAUGACAUGCUAGCAGUGGCCUCUCCCACAUAAUACUUGCUAUCGGUCUAGUAAAGUAGUCAAUUUCUUAAGGGACAAUUUCGCAACUCCUACCACCACUUUUCCACACUCGCUAUAUUACUUUAGUUGCUUCUUUACCUUAACAGCCCCUAGUUUUAUUUUCGUGAUGUUUACUUUCUUGCAAGCCUUUCCGAAAACACCUACAAAGUACUUCUAGUUUCAUACUUGUUCUAGGUAAAGCAAACGUCAAGCAUGCAUAGAGUUGUAUCGGUGGUCGAUAGAACUUGAGGGAAUAUUUGUUCUACCUUUAUCUCCUUGUUGGUUUCGACACUCUUACUUAUCAAAAACGAUUGCGAUCCCCUAUACUUGUGGUAUCACAUACCUAUUAGGCACUAUGAAAAAGAAGAAAAAUUGCUGCCUACUAUUUAUUUAGAUUAUAAGAGUAUGGUAGCGCAUGAUUUUAUUGUAAAGAAUAGGGAAAGGGAGCUUAAAUACAAAUUGUUCUUUGAUAAACAUCAUCCUGAGACUAUCGCCUUGCCUGCUUCUUCCUUGUUGGAUUUAUCUACAGGCCAGUAUCUCGUCUCGCUUGAGGCUAUUCACGGAAACCGGAACCCUACAUCAGCCACAGAGCCAGAGUCGGAACCACAAUUUGAUCCUCCACGAUAGUCUAAUUACCAGUGGGAUCCGGAGAUGAUUGCCAACCGGUGGCAAUAAGAGUCUUCUUCUUCGCAGUACGACCCCAACUACAACUUUGGAUAUCCGCCAGACCAUCUGUGGCAAUAGACCAACUUAGGCUAAAAGCCUAAGCUUCGUGGAGUAUGUAUUUCCCACCGACAUUAAAUUUAUGUUCACACACUCAUUGCUAGAUGCCGGUGCUCAUACUUUUUCACUAUAUCAUCCAUGCUAGUUUAUUUUCCUUUUUAUGCCUUCUUCUUAUGUGUUUAAUAAACCUUAAGAAAAACAAAAAAUUUAGUUGUAGCUUUUAGCUAGUUUACUUUCCUUGUAGUAGUAAUUAAAAAGAAAACCCAAAAAGAUUUCCUGAUCUUCUUUUGCUUGUUGGGAGCUGAUGACCCACAAGUAUAGGGGAUCGCAACAACUUUCGAGGGUAGAGUAUUCAACCCAAAUUUAUUGAUUCGACACAAGGGGAGCCAAAGAAUAUUCUCAAGUAUUAGCAGCUGAGUUGUCAAUUCAACCACACCUAGAAACUUAGUAUUUGUAGCCGAGUGUUUAGUAGCAAAGUAAUAUGAUAGUGGUGGUAACGGUAACAAAAGAGUAAUGAAAGCAAAGUAAUAUUUUUCGUAUUAUGUAGUGAUUGUAACAAUAGCAACGAGAAAGUAAAUAAGCGUAAACCAGUAUAUAGAAAGCUCGUAGGCAUUGGAUCAGUGAUGGAUAAUUAUGCCAGAUGUGGUUCAUCAUGUAAUAGUCAUAACAUAGGGUGACAUAGAACUAGAUCCAAUUCGUCAAUGUAAUGUAGGUAUGUAUUCCGAAUAUAGUCAUACGUGCUUAUGGAAGAGAACUUGCAUGACAUCUUUUGUCCUACCCUCCCGUGGCAGCGGGGUCCUAAUGGAAACUAAGGGAUAUUAAGGCCUCCUUUUAAUAGAGAACCGGAACAAAGCAUUACCACGUAGUGAAUACAUGAACUCCUCAAACUACAGCAAUCACCGGUAAGUAUCCCGAAUAUUGUCACUUUGGUUUAAUGGAUCAUAACACAUGAUAGGUGACUAUAGACUUGCAAGAUAGGAUCAAGAACUCUCAUAUAUUGAUGAAAACAUAAUAGGUUCAGAUCUGAAAUCAUGGCACUCGGGCCCUAGUGACAAGCAUUAAGCAUAGCAAAGUCAUAACAACAUCAAUCUCAGAACAUAGUGGAUACUAGGGAUCAAACUCUAACAAAACUAACUCGAUUACAUGAUAAAUCUCAUCCAACCCAUCACCGUCCAGCAAGCCUAUGAUGGAAUUACUCACGCACGGUGGUGAGCAUCAUGAAAUUGGUGAUGGAGGAUGGUUGAUGAUGACGAUGACGAAUCCCCCUCUCUGGAGCCCCGAACGGACUCCAGAUCAGCCCUCCCGAGAGGUUUUAGGGCUUGGCGGUGGCUCUGUAUCGUAAAACGUGAUGAAAUCUUCUCUCCUAUUUUUUUCUCCCUGAAAGCAGUUAUAUAGAGUUGGAGUUGGAGUCGGGAGGUCUCCAGGGGGCCCACGAGGUAGGGGGCGCGCCCUAGGGGGGCGCCCCCUAGGGGGGCGCCCCCCACACUUGUGGCAAGGGUGUGGGCUCCCUGGUCUUCAUCUUUGGCGAGGAUUUUUUAUUAUUUAUUGUAAGAUAUUCCGUGGAGUUUCGGGUCAUUUCCGAGAACUUUUGUUUUCUGCACAUAAAACAACAUCAUGGCAAUUCUGCUGAAAACAGCGUCAGUCCGGGUUAAUUUUAUUCAAAUCAUACAAGUUAGAGUCCAAAACAAGGGCAAAAGUGUUUGGAAAAGUAGAUACAACAGAGACGUAUCAACUCCCCCAAGCUUAAACCCUUGCUUGUCCUCAAGCAAUUCAGUUGACAAACUGAAAGAAAUAAAGAAAAACUUUUACAAACUCUGUUUGCUCUUGUUGUUGUAAAUGUGUCAAGCUAGCAUUAAAGUUUUCAGCAAAGAUUAUAACUAACCAUAUUUGCAAUAAUUCUCAGGUCUCAUGAUUACCCAUAUCAAUAGCAUAAUCAACUAGCAAGCCAUAAUAAUAAAUCUCGGAUGACAACACUUUCUCAAAACAAUCAUAAUAUGAUAUAACAAGAUGGUAUCUCGCUAGCCCUUUCUGAGACCGCAAAACAUAAAUGCAGAGCACCUUUAAAGAUCAAGGACUGACUAGACAUUGUAAUUCAUGGUAAAAGAGAUCCAAUCAUAGUCACACCCAAUGUAAACUAACAAUAAUGAAUGCAAAUGACAGUGGUGCUCUCCAAAUGGUGCUUUUAAUAAGAGGAUGAUGACUCAACAAAAAGUAAAUAGAUAGGCCCUUCGCAGAGGGAAGCGGGGAUUUGUAGAGGUGCCAGAGCUCGGUUUUGAAAUAGAGGUGAAUAAUAUUUUGAGCGGUAUACUUUCAUUGUCAACAUAACAACCAAGAGACGGCGAUAUCUUCCAUGCUACACACAUUAUAGGCGGUUCCCAAACAGAAUGGUAAAGUUUAUACUCCCCCUCCACCAACAAACAUCAAUCCAUGGCUUGCUCGAAACAACGAGUGCCUCCAACAUACAUUAGGUCCCAGGGGGAGUUUUGUUUUGCAAUUAUUUUUGAUUUAGUUUGCAAAAAGCAUGGGACUGGGCAUCCCGGUGACCAGCCAUUUUCUCGUGAGUGAGGAGCGGAGUCCACUCCUCUUGAGAAUAACCCGCCUAGCAUGGAAGAUACAGACAGCCCUAGUUGCUACAUGAGAUAUUCGAGCAUACAAAACAGGAUGAUUAUUUGAAGGUUUAGAGUUUGGCACAUACAAAUCUACUUGGAACGGCAGGUAGAUACCGCAUAUAGGAAGGUAUAGUGGACUCAUCUGGAAUAACUUUGUUGUUUAAGGGAUUGGAUGCACAAGCAGUAUUCCCACUUAGUACAGGUGAAGGCUAGCAAAAGACUAGGAAGCGACCAACUAGAGAGCGACAACAGCCAUGUACAUGCAUUAAAAUUAAUAAACAUUGGAUGCAAGCAUGAGUAGGAUAUAAUCCACCAUGAACAUAAAUAUCGUGAAGGCUAUGUUGAUCUGUUUCAACUACAUGCGUGAACAUGUGCCAAGUCAAGUCACCUAAAUCAUUCAGAGGAGGAUACCACCCUAUCAUACCACAUCAUAACCAUUUUAAUAGCAUGUUGGCACGCAAGGUAAACCAUUAUAACUCAUAGCUAAUCAAGCAUGGCACAAGCAACUAUGAUCUCUAAUUGUCAUUGCGAACAUGUUUAUUCAUAACAAGCUGAAUCAAGAACGAUGAACUCAUCAUAUUUACAAAAACAAAAGAGGUCGAGUUCAUACCAGCUUUUCUCAUCUCAGUCAGUCCAUCAUAUAUCAUCAUAAUUGCCUUUCACUUGCACGACCGAACGAUGUGAAUAAUAAUAAGAGUGCACGUGCAUUGGACUAAGCUAGAAUCUGUGAGCAUUCAAUAAACAGGAGAAGACAAAGCAAUAUGGGCUCUUGGUUAAAUCAACAAUAAAGCAUAUAAGAGCCACUUCAACAAUUUAAUCAUGGUCUUCUCCUACUGACCCCCAAAGAAAAGAAAAGAAAUAAAACUAUUUACACAGGAAAGCUCCCAACAAGCAAAAGAAGAACGGGAAAUAUUUUUGGGUUUUCUUUUUAAUUACUACUACAAGCAUGGAAAGUAAAUUAAUUAAAAGCUACAACUAAUGUUUUUGGUUUUUUUCUUAAGGUUUAUUAAACACACAAGAAGAAAGCAUAGAAGGAAAUAAACUAGCAUGGAUGAUACAAUGAAAAUGUAUGAACACCGACAUCUAGCAAUGAGUGUGUGUGAACAUAAAUGUAAUGUUGGUGAGAAAUGUGUACUCCCCCAAGCUUAGGCUUUUGGCCUAAGUUGGUCUAUGGCCACGGCUGGCCUGGCUGAUAUCCAUAAUAAUAGUUGUUGGGGUCAUACUAUGAUGCAGCAGCUAUCUCCUGCUGAGCUGCAGCAUGGGGACGAGCAGCCUCUUCUCUCCUCUCAUACUCAUCUGCCUUCUCUCUGGUAAUUGUAUAUCCUCCUCUUGCCUGAUAAUCAAAGAAAGCAGGAGCAAGGAGAGUAAUACAGACAGCACAGUGUCUGUCAAAGAUUAGUCGGUACUGGAGAGGUGAUUCGUUCCUCUCAACAAAAUGGUGAGAAACCACAGAAUCAAAAUCUAAAUAAGUAGGAGGCAACUCCAUGUCUCCUUCACGAACGUCUAUCUCAAGAAAUUUAGCUAAGCGGGUUGCAUAAAUUCCUCCAAAGAAAUCUCCAUUAUAUCUAUUAUGGUGCAACCUACGAGCUACAAUGGCUCCCAUAUGAUAAGAUUGGUCUCCUGACACAGCACUCCUGAGAAUGCUAAGGUCAAGGACACACAUGUGACAUGCUUCAUCCUUAGCAUUUAUGCACCAACCUAUGAAGAGAGCAAAAUAAUGUAUAGCAAUAAAGUGAAUGCUCCCUAUGGUAGCUUGCGUUAUAUCUCUAGAUUCCCCUACAGUUAUACUAGCAAGAAAGUUUCUAAAUUCAGAUUUACGGGGAUCCCUAACACUACCCAAUUGUGGAAGUUUGCAAUCAAAAGUGAAAUCCUCUAAGUCCAUGGUAUAAGAUUUGUCAUAAAGAUCAAACAGGACUGAAGGAGAAUUGCGCGAAGAUGAAUACUCAAACCUCCUCACAAAAGAGCUUGUGAGAUCAUGAUACUGGGGGCAUUUGUCUGCCUCAAAGUCCUCAAGACCGGCAUUACGCAAAUAUGCGUUAAAUUCUUCUUUAAUUGCCGCUCGAUCCAUAAAAUUUUCAGAAGGCCAGUCACAAGGACGCACUAGAGCGUCUCUUGGUGGCUCUUCGUCAGCAUCACGCAUUGCAAGCCUAGGUCCUUGCUUCUUUGAAGAACCACCUUGGAACAUUUUCCUAAGCAUAUUUCUUCCUCUGAAAAAUUCUGAAUUUUUUAGUAACUUCAAACUAAAAGUAAACCAAACUCAAUAACAUUGAUAGCAACCACUCCUACAAGUGCCUAGGGCCUAUAUAAUGCAUCAAAACUAAUUUUGACCAUAUAAAUUUGACAUGCAAGCACAAGAAUAGGGUCACCUAAGAAGCAAAAAAUUGCAAUGAAUAAAGCACUAGAACAAAAACUAAUUGGACCAAUGGAGGAGUCACAUACCAAGGAACAAUCUCCCCAUGCAGUUUUGUGAGAAGUGCUUUGAGCAAGGAGAUCGAAAAUGGCAGCAAAGAGGGCUGGAACUCAUGCUUGAGUUGGCUUUUCGUGUUUGUGGGAGGAAGAAGAAGAGGAUGGGUGCAGGAAUAAGUGGAGGAGGGCCACCGUGGGCCCACGAGGCAGGGGGCGCACCCUCCACCCUCAUGGAAAGGUGGUUGGCCCCCCUGGUGUGUUCUUUGUUCCAUAAAUCCUCAAAUAUUCUAGAAAAAAUCAUAUUUAAUUUUCAGGGCAUUUGGAGAACUUUUAUUUUCGAGGUAUUUUUAUAUUGCACGGAUAAUCAGAUAACAGACAGAAAAUUAUUUAUUUUUAAUUUAUUUCAACUAAAUAACAGAAAGUAUAGAGAGGGUACAGAAGGUUGUGCUUCUAGUUUCAUCCAUCUCAUGCUCGUCAAAAGGAAUCCACUAACAAGGUUGAUCAAGUCUUGUUAACAAACUCAUUCCGAUUAACAUGAAACUGGAGAAAUUUCUAAUAGCACUAGGUUACCUCAACGGGGAUAUGCACAUCCCCAGUAAUAACUAUAUCAUAUUUCUUCUUGACAGUAGGAAGAGGAAAUUCAAAACCUCCAAAUAUAAUCAAUGGAAUUUUUCCGAUAGAAUUGGUACUAUGAACUUGAGGUUGUUUCCUCGGAAAGUGUACCAUAUGCUCAUUACCAUUAACAUGAAAAGUGACAUUACCUUUUUUGCAAUCAAUAACAGCCCCUGCAGUAUUAAGAAAAGGUCUUCCAAGAAUAAUAGACAUACUAUCGUCCUCGGGAAUAUCAAGAAUAACAAAGUCCGUUAAAAUAGUAACGUUUGCAACCACAACAGGCACAUCCUCACAAAUACCGACAGGUAUAGUAGUUGAUUUAUCAGCCAUUUGCAAAGAUAUUUCAGUAGGUGUCAACUUAUUCAAAUCAAGUCUACGAUAUAAAGAGAGAGGCAUAACACUAACACCGGCUCUAAGAUCACAUAAAGCAGUUUUAACAUCAUUUCUUUUAAUGGAGCAUGGUAUAGUAGGUACUCCUGGAUCUCCAAGUUUCUUUGGUAUUCCACCCUUAAAAGUAUAAUUAGCAAGCAUGGUGGAAUUUUCAGCUUCUGGUAUCUUUCUUUCUUUGGAAUAAUAUCUUUCAUGUACUUAGCAUAAGGAUGCAUUUUGAGCAUAUCAAUCAAUCACAUACGCAAAAAGAUAGGUCUAAUCAUUUUAGCAAAGCACUCAAAAUCCUCAUCAUAUUUUUUCUUCGAUGGUUUGGGAGGAAAAGGCAUUGGUUUCUGAACCCAAGGCUCUCUUUCUUUACCAUGUUUCCUAGCAACAAAAUCUUUCUUAUCAUAAUGUUGAUUCUUUGAUUGUGGGUUAUCAAGAUCAACAGCAGGUUCAAUUUCUACAUCAUUAUCAUGACUAGGUUGAGCAUUAUUAUGAACAUCAUCAUCAACAUUUUCAUUAGGUUCAUGUUCAUUGCCAGAUUGUGUUUCAGCAUCAGACAUAGAGAUAUCAUUUGGAUUAUCAGGUGGUUCAGCAAUAGGUUCACUAGAAGUUUUCAAGGUUCUAUCAUUUUUCUUUUCCUUCUUUUUAGAAGAACUAGGUGCAUCAAUUUUAUUUCUCUGAGAAUCUUGCUCAAUUCUCUUAGGGUGGCCUUCGGGAUAAAAAGGUUCCUGAGUCAUUCUACCAGUUCUAGUAGCCACUUUAACAGCAUAAUUAUUUUUCUUACUAUUCAUCUCAUUGAGCAAUUCCUUUUGAGCUUUAAGUACUUGUUCUACUUGAGUGGUAACCAUAGAAGCAUGUUUGCUAACAAGUUUAAGUUCACCUCUAAUAUUAGCCAUAUAAUCACCCAAGUAUUUAAUCAUAUCAGCAUCUUGUUUUAAUUGUCUACCAAAAUAAGCAUUGAAGUCUUCUUGCUUAAACAUAAAAUUAUCAAACUCAUCCAAGCAUUGACUAGCAAUUUUACUAGGAGGGAUUUCAGCUUUAUCAUAUCUAUAGAGAGAAUUUACCUUUACUACCUGUGUUGGGUUAUCGGGGUCUGGAGGUUCUUCAAUAAAUAAAGGAUCAAGAUCAUAUGUUUCUUCGACAGGCGGUAAAUUAAGACCAUGUAUUUCUUCAAUAGGAGGUAAAUUCUUAACAUCUUCAGCUUUAAUACCUUUUUCUUUCAUAGAUUUCUUUGCCUCUUGCAUAUCUUCGGGACUUAGAAAUAGGACACCUCUCUUCUUCGGAGUUGGUUUAGGAAUAGGAUCAUUAAUUGGAGCAGGAGCUGGCUCAGGAGGUGCCCAAUUAUUUUCAUUUGUCAACAUAAUAUUCAAUAAGAUUUCAGCUUCAUCCGGUGUUCUUUCCCUGAAAAGAGAACCAGCACAACUAUCCAGGUAAUCUCUGGAAGCAUCGGUUAGUCCAUUAUAAAAGAUAUCAAGUAUUUCAUUUUUCUUAAGAGGAUGAUCAGGCAAAGCAUUAAGUAACUUGAGAAGCCUCCCCCAAGCUUGUGGGAGACUCUCUUCUUUAAUUUGCACAAAGUUGUAUAUUUCCUUUAAAGUAGCUUGUUUCUUAUGAGCAAGGAAAUAUUUAGCAGAGAAGUAGUAAAUCAUAUCCUCGGGACUACGCACACAACCAGGAUCAAGAGAAUUAAACCAUAUCUUAGCAUCACCCUUUAAUGAGAACGGAAAUAUUUUAAGGAUAUAAAAGUAGUGAGAUCUCUCAUCAUUAGUGAACAGGGUGGCUAUAUCAUUUAAUUUAGUAAGAUGUGCCACAACAGUUUCAGAUUCAUAGGCAUGAAAAGGAUCAGAUUCAACCAAAGUAACUAUAUCAGGAUCAACAGAGAAUUCAUAAUCCUUAUCAGUAACACGGAUAGGUGAAGUAGCAAAAGCAGUGUCAUGUCUCAUCCUACCAUUUAGAGAUUGCUUAUUCCAUUUAGCUAAUAAGCUUUUGAGUUCAUAUCUAUCUUUGCAAGCUAAAAUAGCUAAAGAAGCUUCUUGAUCAAAUAAAUAACCCUCAAGAAUAACAAGUGAUUCUUCAUCAUCACUUUCAUCAUCAUAAUCAGAUUCAAUAUUUUCAAUCUCUCUAGCCCUAGCAAGUCGUUCCUCGAGAAAAUCACCAAGUGGCACAGUAGUAUUAAGCAUAGAAGUAGUUUCAUCAUAAGUAUCAUGUAUAGCAGAAGUAGCAUCAUCAAUAACAUGCGACAUAUCAGAACGAAUAGCAGAAGCAGGUUUAGGUGUCGCAAGCUUACUCAUAACAGAAGGUGAAUCAAGUGCAGAGCUAGAUGGCAGUUCCUUACCUCCCCUCGUAGUUGAGGGAUAAAUUGUUGUCCUAGUGUCUUUUAAGUUCUUCAUAAUGAUAAGUAGAUAUAAAUCCCAAGUAACCAAAAGAAUAGAGCUAUGCUCCCCGGCAACGGCGCCAGAAAUUAGUCUUGAUGACCCACAAGUAUAGGGGAUCGCAACAGCUUUCGAGGGUAGAGUAUUCAACCCAAAUUUAUUGAUUCGACACAAGGGGAGCCAAAGAAUAUUCGCAAGUAUUAGCAGCUGAGUUGUCAAUUCAACCACACCUGGAAAGUUAGUAUCUGCAGCAGAGUGUUUAGUAGCAAAGUAAUACGAUAGUAGUGGUAACGGUAACAAAAGAGUAAUGAAAGCAAAGUAAUAUAUUUGGUAUUAUGUAGUGAUUGUAGCAAUAGCAACGAGAAAGUAAAUAAGCGUAAACCAGAAUAUGGAAAGCUCGUAGGCAUUGGUUCAGUGAUGGAUAAUUAUGCCAGAUGUGGUUCAUCAUGUAACAGUCAUAACAUAGGGUGACACAGAACUAGCUCCAAUUCGUCAAUGUAAUGUAGGCAUGUAUUCCGAAUAUAGUCAUACGUGCUUAUGGAAAAGAACUUGCAUGACAUCUUUUGUCCUACCCUCCCAUGGCACCAGGGUCCUAAUGCAAACUAAGGGAUAUUAAGGCCUCCUUUUAAUAGAGAACCGGAACAAAGCAUUAGCACAUAGUGAAUACAUGAACUCCUCAAACUACGGUCAUCACCGGUAAGUAUCCCGAUUAUUGUCACUUUGGGGUUAACGGAUCAUAACACAUAAUAGGUGACUAUAGACUUGCAAGAUAGGAUCAAGAACUCUCAUAUAUUAAUGAAAACAUAAUAGGUUCAGAUCUGAAAUCAUGGCACUCGGGCCCUAGUGACAAGCAUUAAGCAUAGCAAAGUCAUGGCAACAUCAGUCUCAGAACAUAGUGGAUACUAGGGAUCAAACCCUAACAAAGCUAACUCGAUUACAUGAUAAAUCUCAUCCAACCCAUCACCGUCUAGCAAGCCUACGAUGGAAUUACUCACGCACGGCGGUGAGCAUCAUGAAAUUGGUGAUGGAGGAUGGUUUAUGAUGACGACGAUGACGAAUCCCCCUCUCCGGAGCCCCGAACGGACUCCAGAUCAUCCCUCCCGAGAGGUUUUAGGGCAUGGCAGCGGCUCCGUAUCGUAAAACGCGAUGAAAUCUUCUCUCCUAUUUUUUUCUCCCCGAAAGCAGUUAUAUAGAGUUGGAGUUGGAGUCAAGAGGUCUCUAGGGGGCCCACGAGGUAGGGGGCGCCCCCCACCCUCGUGGCAAGGGUGUGGGCCCCCUGGUCUUCAUCUUUGGCGAGGAUUUUUUAUUAUUUAUUGUAAGAUAUUCCGUGGAGUUUCAGGUCAUUCCGAGAACUUUUGUUUUCUGCACAUAAAACAACAUCAUGGCAAUUCUACUGAAAACAGCGUCAGUCCGGGUUAGUUCCAUUCAAAUCAUACAAGUUAGAGUCCAAAACAAGGGCAGAAGUAUUUGGAAAAGUAGAUACGACGGAGACGUAUCAGGAGCUUUCCCGUGUAAAUAGUUUUAUUUCUUUUCUUUUCUUUGGGGGUCGAUAGGACAAGACCAUAAUUAAAUUAUUAAAGUGGCUCUUAUAUGCAUUAUUGUUGAUCUGACAAAAGAGCCCAUAUUGCCUUGUCUUCUCCUGUUUAUUGAAUGCUUGCAGAUUCCAGCUUAGUCCAAUGCACGUGCACUAUUAUCAUUAUUCACAUCGUUCAGUCAUGCAAGUGAAAGGAAAUUAUGACGAUAUAUGAUGGACUGAUUGAGAUGAGAGAAGCUGGUAUGAACUCGGCCUCUCUUAUUUUCGUAAAUAUGAUUAGUUCAUCGUUCCUGAUUCAGCCUAUUAUGAAUAAAAAUGUUUGCAAUGCUUAAUUAGCUAGGAGCUUAUAAUGGUUUACCUUGCGUGCCAACAUGCUAUUAAGAUGGUUGUGAUGUGGUAUGAUGGGGUGGUAUCCUCCUCUGAAUGAUUUAAGUGACUUGAUUUGGCACAUGUUCACGCAUGUAGUUGAAACAAAAUCAACAUAGCCUUCACGAUAUUUAUGUUCAUGGUGGAUUAUAUCCUACUCUUGCUUGCACUCAAUGUUCAUCGACUUUAAUGCAUGUUCAUGACUGUUGUCGCUCUCUAGUUCAUCGCUUACCAGUCUUUUGCUAGCCUUCACCUGUAAUAAGCGGGAAUACUACUUGUGCAUCCAAUCCCAUAAACCCUAAAGUUGUGCCAUAAGAGUCCACUAUACCUUCCUAUAUACGGUAUCUACCUGCCGUUCCAAGUAAAUUUGUAUGUGCCAAACUCUAAACCUUCAAAUAAACAUUCUAUUUUGUAUGCUCGAAUAGCUCACUGGUCAACUAGGGCUGUCCGUAUCUUCCAUGUUAAGCGGGUUAUUCUCAAGAGGAGUGGACUCCGCUCCUCACUCACGAGAAAAUGGCUGGUCACCGGGAUGCCCAGUCCCAUGCUUUAUGCAAAUCAAAUCAAAAUAAUUGCAAACAAAACUCCCCUUGGGACUGUUGUUAGUUGGAGGCACUCGUUGUUUUGAGCAAGCCAUGGAUUGAUGCUUGUUGGUGGAGGGGGAGUAUAAACUUUACCAUUCUAUUUGGGAACCGCCUAUAAUGUGUGUAGCAUGGAAGAUAUCGCCAUCUCUUGGUUGUUAUGUUGACAAUGAAAGUAUACCGCUUAAAAUAUUAUUCAUCUCUAUUUUAAAAUUGAGCUCUGGCACCUCUACAAAUCCCUUCUUCCCUCUGCGAAGGGCCUAUCUAUUUACUUUAAUGUUGAGUCAUCAUCCUCUUAUUAAAAAGCACCCGCUGGAGAGCACCUCUAUCAUUUGCAUUCAUUACUGAUUAGUUUACAUUGAGUAUGACUUGACUGGAUCUCUUUUACCAUGAAUUACAAUGUCUAGUCAGUCCUUGAUCUUUAAAGGUGUUAUGCAUUUAUGUUUCGCGGUCUCAGAAAGGGCUAGUGAGGUACCAUCAUGUUAUAUCAUAUUAUGAUUGUUUUGAGAAAGUGUUGUCAUCUGAGAUUUAUUAUUAUUGCUCGCUAGUUGAUUAUGCCAUUGAUAUGAGUAAACAUGAGACCUAAGCGUUGUUGUGGAUAUGGUUAGUUCAUAAUCUUUGCUGAAAACUUGAAUGCUGGCUUUACAUAUUUACAACAACAAGAGCAAACAGAGUUUGUAAAAGUUUUUCUUUAUCACUUUCAGUUUAUCAACUGAAUUGCUUGAGGACAAGCAAAGGUUUAAGCUUGGGGGAGUUGAUACGUCUCCGUCGUAUCAACUUUACCAAACACUUUUGCCCUUGUUUUGGACUCUAAUUUGCAUGAUUUGAAUGGAACUAACCCGGACUGACGCUAUUUUCAGCAGAAUUGCCAUGGUGUUAUUUAUGUGUAGAAACAAAAGUUCUCGGAAUGACUUGAAACUCCAUGGAGAUUAUUUUUGGAAAUAAUAAAAAUACUGGCAAAGAAUCAAGGCCAGGAGCCCCACACCCUAGCCAGGAGGGUGGGGGCGCCUGCCCCACUGGGCGUGCCCCCUGCCUCAUGGGCCCCUGGAGCUCCUCCGACCUCAACUCCAACUCUAUAUAUUCACUUCCGGGGAGAAAAAAUCAGAAAAAAAAAGAUUCAUCGUGUUUUACAAUACGGAGCCACCGCCAAGCCCUAAACUCUCUCGGGAGGGCUGAUCUGGAGUCCGUUCGGGGCUCCGAAGAGGGUAAUCCAUCGCCAUCGUCAUCAUCAACCAUCCUCCAUCACCAAUUUCAUGAUGCUCACCGCCGUGCAUGAGUAAUUCCAUCGUAGGCUUGCUGGAUGGUGAUGGGUUGGAUGAGAUUUAUCAUGUAAUCGAGUUAGUUUUGUUAGGGUUUGAUCCCUAGUAUCCACUAUGUUCUGAGAUUGAUGUUGCUAUGACUUUGCUAUGCUUAAUGCUUGUCACUAGGGCCCGAGUUCCAUGAUUUCAGAUCUGAACCUAUUAUGUUUUCAUGAAUAUAUGUGAGUUCUUGAUCCUAUCUUGCAAGUCUAUAGUCACCUACUAUGUGUUAUGAUCCGGCAACCCCAAACUGACAAUAAUAGGGACCACUCCCGGUGAUGACCGUAGUUUGAGGAGUUCAUGUAUUCACUAUGUGUUAAUGCUUUGGUCCGGUACUCUAUUAAAAGGAGGCCUUAAUAUCCUGUAGUUUCCGCUAGGACCCCGCUGCCACGGGAGGGUAGGACAAAAGAUGUCAUGCAAGUUCUUUUCCAUAAGCACGUAUGACUAUAUUCGGAAUACAUGCCUACAUUACAUUGAUGAAUUGGAGCUAGUUUUGUGUCACCCUAGGUUAUGACUGUUACAUGAUGAACCACAUCCGGCAUAAUUCUCUAUCACUGAUCCAUUGCCUACGAGCUUUCCAUAUAUUGUUCUCCGCUUAUUUACUUUUCCGUUGCUAUUGUUACAAUCACUAUAAAACACCAAAAAUAUUACUUUUGCUAUCGUUACCUUUUUCUACCGUUACCACUACUAUCAUAUUACUUUGCUACUAAAUACUUUGCUGCAGAUAUUAAGUUUCCAUGUGUGGUUGAAUUGACAACUCAGCUGCUAAUACUUGGGAAUAUUCUUUGGCUCCCCUUGUGUCGAAUCAAUAAAGUUGGGUUGAAUACUCUACCCUCGAAAACUGUUGCGAUCCCCUAUACUUGUGGGUUAUCACCCAUCGCCGUCCAGCCACCUCACCGGCGAUGCCCGACGAGGGUAAGGCCCAGACGCCUCAGGCUCCGCCUCGCCUCCCUCCACUCACCUCACAGCUUCCCCUCGCCCUCCCCGCUCGCUCCGUCACCUCACCUCCUUCUCAGAUCCACCGCUCGAACGCAUCUGCCGCCGCCCGCCGUCGUCUCCGAGCCGAGCCAUCAUGCCAUAGCGCUCCGCCGCGAAGAGCCACGUCGUAUGGUGCUCCUCGUUGGAGCUGGAGAGCUCCACAACGAGCGGAGCCAGCCGUCCCCUUCCGCCACUGUCACCGGCGAACUUCGUCAUGUCCGGCGACUGCUGCUGCUACUAAGCUGACACCGGGCCACCUUGUGCCUCCCCGGUGAGCUCCUUUUCCUUACCCACUCCCUGCUGGCCCUAGAGCGUAUCCUAACUACCUUUUCCACAUGCGCCCGAACGCUGCGUCGCGGGGCUCAUCGUCGGCGAGUCUCCGGUGACCUUAUGGUCAUGGGCGAGUACCAAUUAGAUUCGUCGCACUGCGUAGCACCCGCCUAGCCCUUUCGCCCGAGCUGUAGCACGAUGUAGCACCUUUUCCUCCAUUGACCGUAGCCACUCCGCCGUGGACCUCGUCGCCAGUGACGUUUCCGGCCAGGUCCGGCGAUGCCACCACCACCACUCGACGCACGGUCGAGUGACCAUUCGAAUGUGCCUAGCCGCACCCCUUUCCGUGCCCCGUACGCAUUUUCUGGCCAACUCCGGCGACACACCACCACGGGUAGGCCCGCCGGUGUCACUCUGUCACCUGUGCUGACCUGGCACCGAUGUGUGGCACCGCCUGGGCCACUAGCCAGUGGGCCCAAUGGGUCCUGCUGGCCCGGUUGACCCAGUCCACCCGAUGACUGGAUUUUGACCAGUCACUAACAUGCGGGCCCCACUCCCUUAAUCAACAUUUUAUUUAUUUCAAAUUAUUUAGUUAACUUGAUGAGACACUGACAUGUGGGGCCCAGUUGCUAAUUAACCUCAUAGUAGUUUUAAAUAAACUCUGUUAAGGUCUCUAUCUAUGUCAAGUGGGCCCCACUGGUCAGUUUGACCUGGUCAGCCGUCCUGUUGACUGUUGACGUCACAAUGAUGUAAUGCUGACAUCAUAAUUCCAUUUCUGUUAAUUUAGAUAAUUCCAGGAAAUGAUUAAAUCUUUAGAAAAUCAUAGAAAUUAAUCCGUAACUCGGAUGAAAAUGUUUUCUACAUGAAAGUUGCUCAGAAAAACGAGACAAGCCCGAAUACACGACCCACAUACCUGUCAGAUGCCUCUAACUAUAUGAACAUGGAAUAUUCCCCCUCCGGUCAUCUGCCGGACACAGGUCCGGAAUCGGGAACACAUUCCCAGUUGAAUUCCCCCUUUACCUAUAUUGUGUAGCCAUACAUUAGGUCACACCCGGCACAACAUAUUGCCAUGUUAUGCUUUGUGAUGCUUUUUUUUGCUUUAUAUUUAUUGUUUAUUCCCCCUCUUCUCUCCGGUAGACCCCGAGACUGAUGCCACCCCUGUGAUCGACUACGUCGAUGACACUUCUUCCUUUUCAGUAGAGCUUCUAGGCAAGCAAACCCCCCCUUGAGCAUUCCGAUAUCGCCCAUUUCUUUCCCUCUAAUGCUUGCAUUAGAGCUGCUACUGCUUUCUGUAUGAUCCUACUCUGAUGCAUAGCCUGUUUUUGUUACCUCCUUAUUGUUACCUUACCUGCUUAUCCUAAACUGCUUAGUAUAGGUUGGUUAGUGAUCCAUCAGUGACCCCCACCUUUUCCUUGUUGCCCCUGCUUCAUCAUCGACGACUCAAUCAAUGUGAUCAACGACUAGAGCCCGACACCUCACAUCACAUCACACCCCUUUUGUUGCUCGACUCUGCAGAGUUACCAUCGAGUGCCGAGGGUGGAACCUCAUACAUCACUCCUGAUGAGGUCUCUAUAGUGUAGCUAUUCAGUCGUGGUCAUCGAGGGUGAUUUCCUCCUUAACAACUUUCGAUACGACUCUGUCAUGCAACCCCUCAAGUGUGAACCUCGAGGGUGGUUCCUCUUACGUUCACCUUGAUGAUUACAUCGAGUGGAAUCCAUCGAGGGUGGUUCCUCAGGGUUUCUCUUGGUGUUAGACACACAGUUACUAUGGUUACUAUGACUUUACACUGAACCAUGUUACUAAAGACGGGUCGGCCCUGAGGGGUACCCGCGCGAACUUAAUUGCGAGUGAUGUGGAGUCGGGUUGACCUAGAAGGUGCCCGCGAGAUACUUACGAGGCGUGGCCCGGCAUUCUUAGCCCUUGCCGCAUGUACUCGAGACGGGGUAACGGGGUCACAACUUUCGUGAGUCUCUGCUCGUGACCGCACUACCAACACACUAAUGGUUAGGAUAUUUGAUCUGAGGGGCCUCUGGCCUGAUAGCACUAACCAUCACAUGGGCAUAGUAUGGGCGUUCUACGUCGUAUGCAUCAGCCGAAGCUUAAUAGACGUCAGCGACUGAGCGGUGCGCGCCGGGUUGGACUGCGUAAGCACCUGCCUUAUUAAAGGAGGUAGCUAGGUCUGCUCACCGGUCGCCCAUGCAACAUGCAGGAGUUCCCAGGGAGAUGGCCCAAGACCCCAGGGAGCAUAGGUUUAGUCCGGCGUGUUGACCUCUCUAUUAAGCCUAGGUCGGGUUAUAGCGUAUCGUUUGGCCGAGGCCGGGCAUGACCAGGGAAAGUGUGUCCGACCGGAGUUAAUCGAGCGUGGUGGGUAAGUUGGUGCACCCCUGCAGGGAAGAAAACAUCUAUCGAUAGCCUGUCCUAUGGUAACGGACACUUGGAGUUGUAUCCCGAUCGAUACAAAUAGAACUGGAUACUUGUGAUGAGAAAUGGAUAGUAUGGAUCUGGGAUUGCUUCCUCGUAGGGGGUCGAGGAAGGAUCUCUGGGCGAGGUUGAUGACACUCCUACUACUUUACUUUAUGAUAGUCUGCACUCUUCUAAUGCUGCAAGGCCGCUGAAGAUGCUGAAGAUGCUAGUCUUCGAUAGGACUAGGCUUUCCCCUUCUCUUCUGGCAUUCUGCAGUUUAGUCCACAAAUACAGCCCAUUUCCUUUGAUACAGAUGCAUACUUAGUUUAGAUAUGAUGUAAGUCUUGCGAGUACUUUGGAUGAGUACUCACGGUUGCUUUACUACUUCUUUUCCCACCAUACCUGAUUGGUUGCGACCAGAUGACGGAUCCCAGGAGCUAGAUGACACCACUGAUGACUACUACUACCCUGAGGGUGCCUACUACUACGUGACGACCGCUGAUGACCUAGAUUAGUUAGGAGGCUCCCAGGCAGGAGGCCUGGCCUUUUCGAUCGUUGUUCCUUUUAUGCUAGCCUUCUUAAGGCAGACUUGUUUAACUUAUGUCUGUACUCAGAUAUUGUUGCUUCCGCUAACUCUUGUGUAGUUGAGCUUAUGUAUUCAAGCCGUCGAGGCCCCUGGCUUGUAAUAUAAAGCUUGUAUUAUUUUAAUUUGUGUCUAGAGUUGUGUUGUGAUAUCUUCCCGUGAGUCCUUGAUCUUGAUCGUACACAUUUGCGUGUAUGAUUAGUGUAUGAUUGAAUCGAGGGCGUCAUAGGCGAAGACUGCUGAAUGUGUAGAUCCUUAGAGGUUGUUACAUCAAGGUUUUGAUUUCUACUGUACGGUCAUGAUCACCGCUGAAUUCACAUAGGCUAGAACUCAAUUAUUCUACAUAUGCUCAAUCAUGCCUGACUACCUACAGUUAGAAAACACGGUGGUGUUUCCUUGUCAGGGUCACAGCUAUUUGUGUGAAGUUGUAAUUCGAGAAUAGUUGUACAGAAAAAUUAGUGUUGUCUGUAUAUAUUUUCUUUAAUUAAAGAUAGAUCCACUGGUUGUCUGAUUGUGGUCGGUUUCCUGAAGGAAAGCCUUCCUAUGCUUGUCAACAUCUGAACAAAAAUUCCGAACGAGUAUGCUGAAUAAUGCAAUUUACAUGACAGGUACAUGGCGUCAACUCUUAAGUAGCAGGCCGAUGUACAAGAACUGAGUGGUAAAACAAACUAUAUGGCAAUUGAACUAAAAUUGUUUCGGAAAGUUAAAUUUUUUAGCAGUAAUCCAUCCAGGUCUCACGAGCCGGUGUCCGUGACGGAGAAAACAGAACAAUGAAAAAUAGGCGAAAAAUUUGCCUCUUUAGUAUUAGAGAAGAUAGUAAAAAAAAUAAAAAAUAGUAUUAGAGAAGAUAGAUUUAUUUAUCGGUUAAUCUAACAAGGGGACGUGCCCCACAAAGUAAUUCCAUCCGGCGCUUCCCGGUAUUGGAGAGGGACCAAAUCAUGUAUGCAUGCACGGAAUCUUUCCUUAAUCCGAAACUUCAAAAUAAAUCAUCUCUUAAAUCGUUAAUCCAAAUGAAAAUCCAUUUUCACCAUUGGGUUUGUCUCGAUGAGUACUUUAAAACAAGAUCCCAUCUUAAUAUGUUUUGACAAACUUUUUUUUUCGUCGUCGCCAGGCUAUAAUAUUGUAGUUACCAUAUUAGUGAUUAACAGUUACCAUACAAAUAAUACAUAGUAACCAGGUAAAUUUUAUAUGUCUUAAUCAUAACCAUGAUGUACAUGUCCGUAUUGUUUCACAAACCUUUUUUUCGUCGCCAGUUACUAGGUUAUAACAUUGUAGUUACCAUAUUAAGAGUUAAUAGUUACCAUCUAAACAACACAAAGUUACCAGAUUAUUUGCACAUGUUUAUUUGUCAUAGCGAUGAUCUACAAGUCAGUAGUGAGUAUUCGAUCCACUCUGAGCACCCAAAAUACGUGAUUAGUAUCAGAAAAGGCUUACAUUGGUAAGCAGCAAAGUGAAAAAAAAUCUGGCAACCAUUUGAUUUUAACCUGGUAAGCAACUUGACUAUACAUAGUGACCAAGUGGUGACCAAGUGAUUGUAAUCUGGCAACUAGUGUUGGAAAAAAGUUAUCAGAACAUAUCAACAUGGAAUCUAGUUUCCAAGAUCUCAUCGCGAAAAAGCUAACCGUGAAAAUGGAUCUGAAUUUCGACAUACAGUUAAAGAGAUAAACAUUUUAAAGUUCGGAAAUCAACAGAAAUCUCAUGUUGCAGGUACUGCAUGCAUGGAGUAUUUAACCAAAAAUUACCACAUUUCAUACAAACGUGUCCAGAAACUACUACUUUACAAAUUUAUGCCAAAAACUACCAUUUUUUACUAACUCAUAGCAAAAAACUAACACUUUUGGAAAAUGACCAAUUUAGAAGAUUUAAACACGUUUAUGACAAGUGGGGCCCUGAUGACCCACAAGUAUAGGGCAUCUAUCGUAGUCCUUUUGAUAAGUAAGAGUGUCGAACCCAACAAGGAGCAGAACGAAAUGAUAAGCGGUUUCCAGCAAGGUAUUCUCUGCAAGUACUGAAAUAAGUGGUAACAGAUAUUUUGUGAUAGAAUAAUUUGUAACGAGCAACAAGUAACAAAGGUAAAUAAAGUGCAGCAAGGUGGCCCAAUCCUUUUUGUAGCAAAGGACAAGCCUGGACAAACUCUUAUAUAUAGAAAAGUGCUCCCGAGGACAUAUGGGAAUAUCGUCAAGCUAGUUUUCAUCACGCUCAUAUGAUUCAUGUUCGGUACUUUGAUAGUUUUGUAUGCGGGUGGGCCGGUGCUUGGGUACUGCCCUUACUUGGACAAGCAUCCCACUUAUGAUUAACCUUUAUUGCAAGCAUCCGCAACUACAACAAAACUAUUAAGGUAAACCUAACCAUAGCAUGAAACAUAUGGAUCCAAAUUAGCCCCUUACGAAGCAAUGCAUAAACUAGGGUUUAAGCUUCUGUCACUCUAGCAACCCAUCAUCUACUUAUUACUCCCCAAUGCCUUCCUCUAGGCCCAAAUAAUGGUGAAGUGUCAUGUAGUCGAUGUUCACAUAACACCACUAGAGUAGAGACAACAUACAUCUCAUCAAAAUAUCGAACGAAUACCAAAUUCACAUGACUACUAAUAGCAAGACUUCUCCCAUGUCCUCAGGAACAAAAGUAACUACUCACAAAGCAUAAACAUGUUCAUAAUCAGAUGGGUAUUAAUAUGCAUAUAGGAUCUGAACAUAUGAUCUUCCACAAAUUAAACCAACUAGCAUCAACUACAAGGAGUAAUUAACACUACUAGCAACCUACUAGCACCAAUCCCGGACUUGGAGACAAGAUUGGAUACAAGAGAUGAACUAGGGUUUUGAGAGGAGAUGGUGCUGAUGAAGAUGUUAAUGGAGAUUGCCCUCUCCCGAUGAGAGGAGCGUUGGUGAUGACGAUGGCGAUGAUUUCCCCCUCCGGGAGGGAAGUUUCCUCGGCAGAACAGCUCCGCCAGAGCCCUAGAUUGGUUCCGCCAAGGUUCCGCCUCGUGGUGGCGGAGUUUCGUCCGAGAAGAUGGAUUGUGAUUUUUUCCCAUCAAAAGACUUCAUAUAGCAGAAGAUGGCCACCGGAGGGCCACUAGGGGGCCCACGAGGUAGGGGGCGCGCCCCCACCCUCGUGGUCAGGGUGUGGCCCCCUGGUGAAUUUGUUCCGCUGAGUAUUUUUUUAUAUAUUCUGAAAACGUCUUUCGUGAAGUUUCAGGACUUUUGGAGCUGUGCAGAAUAGGUAUCUAAUAUUUGCUCCUUUUCCAGCCCAGAAUCCCAGCUGUCGGCAUUCUCCAUCUUUAUGUAAACCUUGUAAAAUAAGAGAGAAUAGGCAUAAGUAUUGUGACAUAAUGUGUAAUAACAGCCCAUAAUGCAAUAAAUAUCGAUAUAAAAGCAUGAUGCAAAAUGGACGUAUCAACUCCCUCAAGCUUAGACCUCGCUUGUCCUCAAGCGAAAAGCCGAAAUCGAAAAAUAUGUCCACAUGUUUAGAGAUAGAGGUGUCGAUAAAAAUAAAAUACGGACAUGAGGGCAUCAUGAUCAUUCUUAGAACAGCAACUUAUAUAAUUAUUGUCAUGUGAUUUCUUAUGCUAGAGUAAUAAUUCAAUCACAAUUUCAAGUAUGAGUCGUAAACUUCAUUGAAAACUAACAAACUAUAAUCUCAGUCAUUGGAGCAAUUGCAAUUUAUCAUAACAUAGGAAAGAGUUAACAUAUAAGAGCUUUUCAGCAAGUCCACAUACUCAACUAUCAUAUAGUCCUUCACAGAGAAAGAUAGGGGCUUAUAGUUUUGCCUCCCAACAUCUUACCUCAAGGGUAAUGUCAAUAGUAAUAGUUCAUGAAAACUCACUUCCAAUUAGCCAUAUAUACCAGGAUCUUUCCAACAUACUGUGCUUGCCAAGGGAAUAAAAUGUAAAAAGGAAAGGUGAAGAUCACCAUGACUCUUAUGCGGGGUAGGAGAUAAAAGUAAAAGAUAGGCCCUUCGCAGAGGGAAGCAGAGGUUGUCAUGCGCUUUUAUAGUUGGAUGCACAAAAUCUUAAUGCGAAAGAACAUUACUUUAUAUUGUCACUUGUAAUAUGGACCUUUAUUAUGCAGUCUGUCGCUUUUAUUUCUUCCAUAUCACACGAUCGUAUAAAGCUUAUUUCUCCCACACUAAUAAGUCAUACAUAUUUAGAGAGCAAUUUUUAUUGCUUGCACCGAUGACAACUUACUUAGAGGAUCUUACUCAAUCCAUAGGUAGGUAUAGUGGACUCUGAUGGCAAAACUGGUUUAAGGGUAUUUGGAAGCACAAGUAGUAUCUCUACUUGGUGUGAUGAAUUUGGCUAGCACGAGGGGGAAAGGCAAGCUCAACCAUGUUGAAUGAUCCAUGACAAUAUAAUUUAUCUCAAAUGUAAGAAAACACAAGCCAUUAUGUUGUCUUCCUUGUCCAACAUCAACUCUUUUAGCAUGUCAUAUUUUAAUGAGUGCUCACAAUCAUAAAAGAUGUCCAAGAUAGUAUAUCUAUAUGUGAAGACAUCUCUUUCUUUAUUACUUCCUAUUAAUUGCAACGAUGACCAAAACUAUGUUUGUCAACUCUCAACAACUUUUAUUCAUCAUACUUUUUCUAUGUGAGCUCAUUACUCUCCAUGAGAUCCAUAUGAUCUCUUUGUUUCUUUUUAUUUCUUUCUCUUUUUUUCUUUUAUUCACUUAAGAUCAUGGCAAAAGAAUCAAGCCCUUGACUCAACACUAAUCUUUAUUAUAUAUAUAGCUCACAGACUCAAUUACAUAGAAGAAUUAUAAAGCAAAACUCACAACUAGAUCAUACUAAGAACUUUUAUUCUACUAGAUCAAGAUAUUACCAAAAGGAUCGAACUAAGAAAACGAUAAACAUAAAAGUGAUGGUGAUACGAUACCCGGGCACUCCCCCAAGCUUGGCAGUUGCCAAGGGGAGUGCCCAUACCCAUGUGAUUAUGUCUCUCUUUUCGUGGGUGGUGAUGUGAUGUUCUUGGCGAUGAUGCCCCUCAGGAUAUGAUUCUCCUCCUCGAGCUUAUUGACUUGCUGCUUGAGGUCCAUUAGUUCCAUUGGGAGUUUUCCUGUAACAGCCAAAGCUCCCUGCACCCAAGGGUGCUGCAUAGUUGCGGGAGAACCAGUGACACUCUUUUUCAUAUUCUCAUAAUAAAGAAAUCUAACAUUGGAAGGGAUAACCGAGUUUGGAAUAGCCGAGCUCUGCAUUUCUCCCAUUGUGAAUCCAGCUCGGGAGCGGGAAGUGACUUCUUGAUCCUUUUCCGUGGCAUCUAUCCUCUUCAAUUCGGCCUCCAUCUCUUCCUCCGUUGCUGGCCCAAAGAGGUCAACAUUGUUGUUUGUCAUUGAUCUCGGUGCCAGAUGAGACACCCGGCUCUCCCCGACUGACUCUUGCAAAGACAUCUUGCUCUAAUCUGCAGCAGCAACAGCUCAAAACACAAAACAGAGGAUAAUUGCUUGAUACGGGAGUCAAAACCUCCGGGAGAUUAUAUAAUGAAUUUUUACCGACCAAAAUAUGUAACGUGUACGAAAACGAAGUCCGGAAAGCGCACGAGGUGCCCACGAGGUAGGGGGCGCGCCCUCCACCCUCGUGGAGCCCUCGUGUCCUUCCCGGACUGCUUCUUAUUUUUCUAUUUUUCUAAAUAUUCCAAAACGUAGAAAUAUUGCCUUAAAAACUGUUUUGGAGUCGGUUUACUUACCGCACCACAUACCUAUUCCUUUUCGGAGUCUAAAACGUUCCGGAAAGUGUCCCUUAUGUAUUCCUCCGGGGUUACGGUUUCAAUAAUAUUGGUUUCAACAUUUAUGGGAUUACCUGAGAUAUAAUGUUUAUUUCUUUGACCGUUCACCACCUUUGGAUUUGUGCCUUCGAAGUUGUUGAUUUUUAUGGCACCGGAACUAUAGACCUCCUCGAUAACGUAAGGACCUUCCCAUUUAGAGAGAAGUUUUCCUGCAAAAAAUCUUAAACGAGAGUUGUAUAGCAGUACAUAAUCACCUACAUUAAACUCACGCUUUUGUAUCCUUUUGUCAUGCCAUCUUUUAACUUUUUCUUUAAACAACUUGGCAUUUUCAUAGGCUUGGGUUCUCCAUUCAUCAAGUGAGCUAAUAUCAAAUAACCUCUUCUCACCAGCAAGUUUGAAAUCAUAAUUGAGUUCUUUAAUAGCCCAAUAUGCCUUGUGUUCUAGUUCGAGAGGUAAGUGACAUGCUUUUCCAUAAACCAUUUUAUAUGGAGACAUACCCAUAGGAUUUUUAUAUGCAGUUCUAUAGGCCCAUAAUGCAUCAUCAAGUUUCUUGGACCAAUUCUUUCUAGAUCUAUUAACAGUCUUUUGCAAAAUUAAUUUGAGCUCUCUAUUACUCAAUUCUACUUGACCACUAGACUGAGGAUGAUAAGGAGAUGCAAUUCUAUGAUUAACAUCACAUUUAGCUAGCAUUUUACGGAAAGCACCAUGAAUGAAAUGUGAACCACCAUCGGUCAUUAAAUGUCUAGGGACUCCAAAUCUUGGAAAAAUAACUUCUUUAAGCAUUUUAAUAGAAGUGUUAUGAUCAGCACUACUAGUUGGAAAAGCUUCUACCCACUUAGUAACGUAAUCAACAGCAACUAAAAUAUGUGUAUAGCCAUUAGAGGAAGGAAAAGGUCCCAUAUAAUCAAAGCCCCAAACAUUAAAUGGUUCAAUAACGAGUGAAUAGUGCAUAGGCAUUUCUUGACGUCUACUAAUAUUACCAAUUCUUUGACAUUCAUCACAAGAUAAGACAAACUUACGGGCAUCCUUGAAGAGAGUAGGCCAAUAAAAACCAGAUUGCAAUACCUUAUGUGCAGUUCUAUCUCCAGCAUGGUGUCCUCCAUAAGCUUCGGAGUGACACUUGCGUAGGAUCUGUUCCUGUUCAUGCUCAGGUACACAAGGUCUAAUAACACCAUCUACUCCUUCUUUAUAAAGAUGUGGGUCAUCCGAAAAGUAAUGCCUCAAAUCAUAGAAGAACUUUUUCUUUUGCUGGUAUGUGAAACUAGGUGGCAUAAACUUAGCAACAAUGUAAUUAGCAUAAUCAGCAUACCAUGGAGAGUAUGAGAAGUAUUUAUGACAUUUAAUUGCUCAUCAGGAAAGCUAUCAUCAAUAGGUAGUGGGUCAUCAAGCACAUUAUCUAACCUAGACAAGUUGUCUGCAACAGGGUUCUCAGCUCCCUUUCUAUCAACAAUAUGCAAAUCAAAUUAUUGUAGCAAGAGAACCCAUCUAAUAAGUCUAGGUUUAGCAUCUUUCUUUUCCAUAAGAUAUUUAAUAGCAGCAUGAUCAGCGUGAAUAGUUACUUUAGAAUCAACAAUAUAAGGUCUGAACUUAUCACAAGCAAAUAUAACUACUAAGAAUUCUUUUUCAGUAGUAGCAUAAUUUCUUUGAGCAUUGUCUAGGGUUUUACUAGCAUAUUGAAUAACGUUUAAUUUCUUAUCAACUCUUUGCCCUAGAACAGCACCUACAGCAUAAUCACUAGCAGCACACAUAAUUUCAAAGGGUAAAUUCCAAUCAGGUGGCUGAACAAUAGGUGCAGAGAUUAAUGCUUUCUUAAGUAUUUCAAAUGCUUCUACACAAUCAUCAUCAAAAACAAAUGGUAUAUCUUUUUGUAAUAAAUUAGUCAGAGGAGGAGAAAUUUUUGAGAAGUCCUUAAUGAACCUCCUAUAAAAUCCGGCAUGACCAAGGAAACUUCUUAUACCUUUGAUGUCCUUGGGACAUGGCAUCUUUUCAAUAGCAUCAACCUUGGCUUUAUCAACUUCAAUACCUCUUUCAGAAACUUUGUGCCCCAAGACAAUACCUUCAUUAACCAUAAAGUGGCACUUUUCCCAAUUCAAGACAAGAUUAGUUUCUUCACAUCUCUGCAAAACUAGAUCAAGGUUGCUCAAGCAAUCAUCAAAAGAAGAUCCAUAGACAGAGAAAUCAUCCAUGAAAACCUCACAAAUAUUUUCACAAAAGUCAGAGAAUAUAGCCAUCAUGCAUCUUUGGAAGGUAGCAGGUGCAUUACAUAGACCAAAAGGCAUACGUCUAUAAGCAAAAGUACCAAAAGGGCAAGUAAAAGUAGUCUUUGAUUGAUCUUUUGCUGACACGGGUAUUUGAGAGAAACCAGAAUAACCAUCUAGAAAGCAAAAAUGUGUAUGUCUGGAUAAUCUUUCUAGCAUUUGAUCAAUAAAAGGUAAGGGGUAAUGAUCCUUUUUAGUUGCCUUAUUUAAUUUGCAGAAAUCAAUUACCAUCCUAUAACCUGUAAUAAUUCUUUGAGGAAUCAAUUCAUCUUUAUCAUUAGGAACGACAGUAAUACCUCCCUUCUUAGGGACACAAUGGACAUGACUUACCCACUGACUAUCAGCAACGGGAUAGAUUAUACCUGCCUCAAGGAGCUUUAGUAUUUCCUUUCUUACCACUUCUUUCAUUUUAGGAUUCAGCCAUCGUUGAUGAUCACGAACUGGUUUAGCAUCUUCUUCCAAAUUUAUUUUAUGUUGAUAUAGAGUGGGACUAAUGCCCUUAAGAUCAUCAAGAGUAUACCCAAUAGCAGCACAGUGCUUCUUCAGAGUUUUCAAUAAUCUCUCUUCCUCAUGCUCUGAAAGGUUAGCACUAAUAAUGUAGCGACCCGACCCGAAUGGGUCAAGUCUCUGUGCUUAAGUGUCAUCCCUGGAUCGGUAUGCUGACACACACAGUACUCGAGGAUUUAUAACAGAGGUAAAUCACAUGUAAAAGUAACGUAAAUACUAUUACCUCAAAUCCAAAAUAGCGGAAGUAACAAGGUUGUGGAUUCCCAUCAACACCAACGGCAAAGUUGAGUGUAGAAAUCGUAACCCUAACUUAUCACUUACUCGUCGUAAGAUAAUCCUGCAACAUGAGACGUUGCAGCCACAGAGGGUCAGUACAUUGAAUGUACUAGCAAAUUCACACCAUAGAGAAUGAUGAAUAAAGGCUAUCACUACAUGCAUAUUUGGCUGGUGGGAAAGCUCUAUGGUUAUAAGGUUUUUGCGUAAAGCCAAUUUUUCCCUACUGCAAAGGAAUACAUUUUAAUUAACUAUCAUGGUGGUUGUUGAACAUUGAGAAUGGUUGACAGCAUUCUCAAUCCCAAUUAAGCAUCAUCAUUAAAACCCAACCAAGUUAAUUUAAAGUAACGUGAUGAGAUCAACAGGAUAAUCCAAGAACUAGAUACUCAAGAUGUCCAUAACCGGGGACACGGCUAAUCAUGAUUAGUUUAUACACUCUGCAGAGGUUUGUGCACUUUUCCCCACAAGACUCGAUCGCCUCCGUUGGAUUUCUCGCACUACAUGGUGUUUGAGAAACGGAUGACCGAGACACAGUCUUUCAGAAGCACUAGCACCUUACGACGGAUAGACCGGUACACCUACUUUCCCCUACAUCUACUAGUCUACCCUAUAAGAGUUCGCACAACUUAGUCAACUAUGCCAGAGCCCAUAAUAGCUUGUGGCUGCACACGGAAGUUUCUAGUAUGAAUAAUCUCAUGAUCCCUUUGAGCCUGGGUGGCGGUCCAAAAGAAAACAGGCAAGUCCUAGAAACCCCAGGUGCCUCAAUCCACCCAGAUGUGUGUUAGGUUGCCACCUUAGAUAAACCCUUAAUUAACAAUCUCACAUCUGUCAUGGAUUUCACUCACCCAAUCCACGUCUACUAGCAUAGCAUGGCAUAAUAAGCAAACGUAGAAGUAACUCCCAAAGGUUUGAUAAUAAACAGGUAAUAGGUACUACCUCAUCUACUACCCAUCCCACAAUUUAAUUAGAUCCUGAUCAUGCAGUGUGUGAAGAUUGAUCUAAUGCAAUAAAACUGGGUUGUAGAAAAAGUACGAUCAAAGUGUGAACUUGCCUGCAAUGUUGAUGAAGAUGAUUCGCACUCAAAACUCUUGAUAGAUCUACUCGUCACACUCCGGUCAAUCUAUCGUAAGCAAGCAAUAGUAACCACACAUAAGCAAUCACUCAAAAGAUCAGAAAGAUCGAAGAAGUCGAUUCGGAAAACAUCGAAACCAAGUAAAUAACUCUUGCAACAUAAAACAAUUUCUAACAGUACCAAAAUUAUGUGAAUUUGGCCUUAUUAGAAGGUUUAGGUCAAGAGCUUCGAUAUGCAAAAAGAAUCAACUCAAACGGAGCUAUGAAACUCAAGUUAUGAUCAAAUGAAGUUUGAAUUCAAAUCUGAUCUAAUUCAAAUUUUAAACUUUUCAAAAACAUGUUUAAGUUGUUUAUCCGGAUAGAGGGGAUCAUAACGAAGACGUGGGCGUUGGUUUCGUUGGAUUUGGACUAACAAGCAAGAACUUACGAGUGUUUGAAGUUUAGGGACUAAACUGUAAAGAAAACUCCUCACAUAUAAGUCCCUGGCCGAAAUUAAAAUAGAAAAAGAAAAAGACUAAAUUGCAAACGUUCGUUACCGAACGAUAACGGAUGGAUUCCUUCACUCCGAAGGGAUAGACAGCGAACGUUCUCUGUAUAGGACUAACCACAAAAAACGAUCUAAAAGAAAAACCGAAGAAAACCGGAUCAGGUUUUUUUUGUGGGUUUUACCUGUUCGCGACGGGUUGGCGGUUUUCGGAGAGAAAACCGGUGGCAGCGAUGGCGUUCUCCGGCGAGACAGGACGGCGGCAGCGUCUCGGGUCCGGCCGGGGCGGCGGCUCCGGUCGUCCAGGAGAGCGGCGAAGGGGUCGGGGUGGGGCGGCGCGGCGAGGCGAGGCGAAUGGCGGCGUCGGCGGCGGUCAACGGUGACGGGACGGAGCGGGGCGGCGGUGCGGAUCUCGUCGGAGUUGGAAACUCUGGCGAGCGCGUUUCGCUGGCUGCGAGGGGCCCCGAGUGUGCGAUUUGAUGAAAAAGACGGCUGGGGUCGGGGGUAUUUAAAGGAGGGAGGCGUGGAGGAGGGGCAAUGCGAGGGGAGGCGCCCGCGUCGGGCACGACAGCGGCGGCGAACUCAUGCUGGAGAUGGACUCUGGCUGGAGGACAGGGACGAACCCGACAGGUGGGUCCCACCUGUCGGUGGCUGAGCGAGGCGGCGGCCGAUAGCAGGCGCGAGCGGGCGAGCGAAGCGGAGCGGCUUCGGGUGCCGCUGGGCUUCGGCUGGGCUGGGCUGGCCUGGCGCGGGGAGAGAGAGAGCGAGUGCAGUGCUGGGCUUCGGCCUGGCACUGUUCGGAGAGUUUUUUAAAAAAAAAACACAGACAAAUGAAAAUAAAACAAAAGCAAAUAAAAUAUUAUAUAGGCAUAUUAUAUAUCAAAAUUUUUAGAAAAAGAUUUUCUACGCGGUGAACAUUUUUAUAACUUCAAAUAAACUCCACACAAAUACAGAUAAAUCAAAGAGUGCUACUGGUUUAUUAAAAUCCAACUAAAAUCAUUUUAAAAAUACCAAAAUGAUUUCAAAUUAAUUUUUCUCCAAGUUUCUAUUGUAGGGAAUCAUGUUACCCUAAUUUCCGUAUAUUUUAUUUUUGGAGAAAAAUAAUUUGAAUAAAACUCAAAUAACUCCAAAUUGAAAAUAAAUUCAAAAGAACUUUGAAUUUAAUUCUUUGAAACUCCCAACUCAUAUUUCAUAUAAUUUGAAGAAGUCAUUUUAUCUUCUCUCAUGAAAAUCAUUGAGUUGCAUAAAGUUCCAGAUUCGGAAAUAUUUUCAACACCCCUUGUCAUUUAAAUAAAUGGAAGAAGUCAUGUAAUCUUCUCUCCGGGGUUUUGUGUUUGAAAAGAAUUUGAAUUCAUGGAGAUCAAAAAGCAAAUAUGAAAGUUUUGGAAAGUCCUUUUAUUCCCUCUCAUUUAACUUUCAAAAGUUUCGAAUUCACUCACUUUCAGACAAUCAAUCAAACAAUCAAUCAAAUCUAUCUAUUUAUUAUAACAUUCCAAAAUUUAGAAUUUUGGGAUGUUACAAACCUACCACCCUUAAAAUGAAUCUCAUCCUCGAGAUUCGGAGAGGCUAGCAAGAAAAGGUUAGGGUUUGGGGGUCUCCUCAAAAUCCAUCGAUCAUCAAAGGGGUCUGGGGUGCUACCACCCUUAGAAACAUGGUUACGGUCCCAUCAAUACUCAUAUACUCCAUCCUUAUUCUUGACGGGGCUGGUCUUCUCAGAUUCUCGGCAAAUUCCUUCUCUGGGCUCUUCCAGUAGCGGCAUAACCUUUUCCUCAAUUCUUAUGUCCUUUCAUCUUGGUAAGGUUAUUCCGAGACUGGGUCUUCUUAGCUGACGGGUCGGGCGCCAAAACUAAACAACUAUCGAUAUCUCAUGGUGGUCAACAAUUUAUGGUUUCUCCUGCAGGAAAUGGGUCUGGGUUGAUCCUCACCGUAUAACCUACGGUUGGCAAAAAGCUGCCGUGUACAAGGGAAAAUUCUUAUACCAUUCUAAGGUUUAACAAGGUUUAAUAUCGUUGUCUCUCUAUUAUAGGUAAGUCACUCAGAUUUACCAUCCCAUAUAGCAAGGCGAAUAAUAAGAGUAAGUCGGUAUGGUGAUCAAUCCAUCCCGCACCCAAAUCAUUACCUUGUAUAUGGUUUAGCGAAUCUCGCAUUCUAACACUCGGUCAUCCUCACAAGCAUUGCAGAAUUUCUCUUGUCGAAGAACCAAGUUCGAAUAAAUCCAUAGAUUCUGCAAGCCAAACAACCAUCUAUCGUUCCUUCACAACUCUCAGGUUUUGCGUAACUCCUAUAAGAUCGUCUGUCGAUAAAAUCGUAACUUCUUUUAGGGUUUUUCCUUCAGCGAGAAUGUGCUUGCUUCUUGGCAGGUCCUGGGGCCUGUGGGUUAUGGCCCAUCUCAUCACUUGUAGUCCUUGAACUUAUCAUCGGGCAACUGAUCAUUGUUCCAACUUCCUAGUAUUCUUAAAUCCAUCCAAUUGUACUGUCUUCCUUCCUUCUAUUGGCACCAAACCAAGACGUGAGUACUCAGACUUGUCAUGGGGUUGCCAUUGCUCCAUAUUACCAACAUCAUACCUCCUUUAUAUCCAAUAGUACUUCAUCUCUUCAUCAUCGUGGGAUUUCCCACAUACCGAGGUAAAAACUUAUACUUAUGAAGUCCAUACUCUACUUCGUGGAACAUCAUUAUCCUUUCCAGGGUCAAGCGUCCUUACAGGGGAAUAUUGGCCAUCUCUGCAUGGCACUUCUUCAACUGGGAAAUGUGAAACGCAUCAUGAACUCCUGACAGUCCUUCGGGUGACUCCAACUUGUAGGCCACUUCUCUCAUACGCUCCAAAACUCGGUAUGGUCCUACAAAUCUCGGGGCUAACUUUACCUUAACUCCAAUUCGUUUAACUCCUCGCAGAGGGAAACACAUGAAGACAUGCUCUGUCUCCAAUUUCAUAGACUACCUCCUUGCGUUUUUUUAAGUCUGCAUAACUCUUCUUUCUGGACUGAGCUACCUUCAAUCUAUCUCGAAUCAACUUAACAUUCUCUUCUGACUCCUUGAUCACAUUUGGUCCAAACAACUGAUGGUCUCCAACUUCAUCCCACAUACUCUUGGGGUAUCACACAUAUCGAGACAAAAUUCAUAUUCAUUUUGUCCGAAAUCCACUCAGUGGAGUAGCCUUAUCUUUCCCAGGGGUCAACGGUUCUUACAGGGUACUACCACCCUUAAAAUGCACAAAUCUUCCAUAGACCAUAUUUCUCAUAUCCCCAGAAUGGCCAAAAUUCUUCUUCAUAGAGUAACAACUCAUAAAACCCAAAUCUUUACCAACGAUGCUAACUUUAUUGAUUCUCCAAUGAUCACAAUCUCUCGCUUUUCCAUUACAUGUCUCAACUCAGCACCUCAAUAUAAAAGAGAAUGUUCUCACUUCUACUACUCCAUUUCUUUUGUUGCAAACUCAACUAUCUAGCACAAGUUUCCUUCUCCUUGGGGCAUUCUCUGGCAAAGUGCCCUACUCCAUUACAACUAAAACAUAUUACUUCUGACAAGUAUCGUGGUUUCUUGUAAUUACGUAGCCUACUUGGGUCCUUGGCUUCCUUUUUGGGCAAUUGCUGAGGUAGUGCCCUGACUCCUUGCACCUGUAACAGGUGAUAUGACUCAGGUCCUUCCUGGAAUCAAAUCUGCUUCUCUUCCUGGACUUUUCCAUUCCAAUCAGGGCUUCUAUCUCCUGUGGGUCAUAUUCUACUUCCUCUGUCGGGAAUUCUACUAGAUCCCCAUUCAAACAAUUUUGGGAGAUGUGUCCUUCUUCUCCACAUGAAUAGCAAGACUUGGUGCAGGGUUUACUUAGUUCUUCUUUGGGUGUGUCCUCCACAUCUUCCUUCAUCACAGGUUCUUCUGAACUUUCCAUAAGGGCUCCUUUCGUUGCAUCUUUCUUUUCCUGGAUGGUUCUUUGUACCAUGGGGUAAAUGUGACACUGAGUAGGAUAGUGGGUAGUCCCUUCACACAAGAAACAAGUGAUCUGCCUAGUUGGGAAUUCUUCAGCUGGGUGACUUCCUUCACAAUUAGGGCAUUCAUCCUUGUGUUCUUUAUGGUUGUGUCCUAUUUCUCCACAAAGCUUGCAUGCACAAGUUUUUUUCAUAUCCAUUCCAUAAGGCUUCAACUUCUGGGACACAAAUCGAGACUUUGGCAAAGUCAACUUUAAUUCUUCCCAAGUGGUUACUCCUUGCCAUCCAUUCAUGGUUUGGUACAUCCUCCACCAAGUAGCAGCACCUCUUUCAAAGCACCGAAGAGCAUGCUGGGUCAUAUCAUGUCCAACUAUAGGGUUAUUCUUCAUGUGAUCCUCCAUGUUCGGAAUCCAUCGGUCCAUCUCCAACUGACUCAUCGGUCCAGAAAAUACAAGCUCAUCUUCAUUCAUCCUCUAUUGGGUCCAUGGGUUUGGGGUAAGAUAAGAGAGAGGGAUAGGGAUACACACAAUGCAAACAACAGUUUUGAAAAAGACAGAUUUUUGUUGUGGCUGUCGAAAAAAACAACAAACAAUUGACAGCUCACAAUCGUCGCAUCUAACGUAGGUGUAUAACAGGGGUUUGGUCUUCUAAGGUCAACGUCGCCAAACUCUUCAAGUCUUGUUCAUGCCUCCAAUGGCUUCUUCCGAUUGUGUUUGUCCUUCUCAAUUUCUUCUGCCAGAUCCCCUCUGUUGACAAAAAGUUUCUCGUGACGUCCUUUAAUAUUUCUGGAGUGCAUUUCAAACUUCUGGUUUCAACAUCCUUCACAUGAACCAUGGUCAUACUGUCCUUUAGUUCCUGAAAAUUCUCCGGUAUCUCGAGGUUGUAGCUCCUCCAGCUUGGCUCCUCUCAUUUUCAGGAUCCUGAGUUCUUCGUGAAAUACUUCCUUGUCUAAUACGACUUCCUGGAGCUCCAUUUUAAACUUCUUGAUGUACUACUCUAGAUCCUGGUGAUACACCGGCUAAGGUUAAAACUUCAUCUUACUAAUAGGUGCUCCAUCAGCCUUCUUCCAUCAAAUCCAUUCUGAAGAAAUGCAUCCUUAACUCAGCACGGUGACAAUAGCAUCAGCGGGUGAUGACAUCACGGAUAACCGUGUUUCUGCUCUUGUCAUUCCCAUGAGUUAUCAUUCCAUAGUUGAUAUCUCCUGCCUUAGGGUUUUCUUUGACAAAACUUCGAGUUCUCAUGCUCCUUGUUUCAGUCUUUCUCUGAUACACCUUGAUCUCGGGUAUUGACAACUUCCAUAGUCCGCCAAGUUCCAUAAGGGUAGCCUUCCUAGGUCAUACAAAUCUGGGGAUUCUUCAGAGCCUUCAAAUUCUCCUAGUCUUCGGAGUCUUCAACCGUUGUAGUUUCCAUUAUCAUAAUGUAUGGUAAAAUCUUCUUCAUUCCGAAUGGUCUUACUGGUCUGAUAUCCUGUACUUCUUGGCGUGGUCUCAUUAGUCGAAUCUUCGAGUGGUCAAAAGGGAAAGGGGUGUGGUUACACUAAAGGGAAUUUUUGAAUAAGCUCAGAAGAGAAGAGAGGUAAAAGAUCUUUCUGAAAAUGAAGUUGUACAGAAAAAUCUUUGCUAUGGGCUUCCCAGUUUCUAGGGUCACGUCCUACAGUCAACAUGUGCUCUGAUACCAUCUUGUAGCGACCCGACCCGAAUGGGUCAAGUCUCUGUGCUUAAGUGUCAUCCUUGGAUCGGUAUGCUGACACACACAGUACUCGAGGAUUUAUAACAGAGGUAAAUCACAUGUAAAAGUAACGUAAAUACUAUUACCUCAAAUCCAAAAUAGCGGAAGUAACAAGGUUGUGGAUUCCCAUCAACACCAACGGCAAAGUUGAGUGUAGAAAUCGUAACCCUAACUUAUCACUUACUCGUCGUAGGAUAAUCCUGCAACAUGAGACAUUGCAGCCACAGAGGGUCAGUACAUUGAAUGUACUGGCAAAUUCACACCAUAGAGAAUGAUGAAUAAAGGCUAUCACUACAUGCAUAUUUGGCUGGUGGAAAAUCUCUAUGGUUAUAAGGUUUUUGCGUAAAGCCAAUUUUUCCCUACUGCAAAGGAAUACAUUUUAAUUAACUAUCAUGGUGGUUGUUGAACAUUGAGAAUGGUUGACAGCAUUCUCAAUCCAAAUUAAGCAUCAUCAUUAAAACCCAACCAAGUUAAUUUAAAGUAACAUGAUGAGAUCAACAGGAUAAUCCAAGAACUAGAUACUCAAGAUGUCCAUAACCGGGGACACGGCUAAUCAUGAUUAGUUUAUACACUCUGCAGAGGUUUGUGCACUUUUCCCCACAAGACUCGAUCGCCUCCGUUGGAUUUCUCGCACUACAUGGUGUUUGAGAAACGGAUGACCGAGACACAGUCUUUCAGAAGUGCUAGCACCUUACGACAGAUAGACCGGUACACCUACUUUCCCCUACAUCUGCUAGUCUACCCUGUAAGAGUUCGCACAACUUAGUCAACUAUGCCAGAGCCCAUAAUGGCUUGUGGCUGCACACGGAAGUUUCUAGUAUGAAUAAUCGCAUGAUCCCUUUGAGCCUGGGUGGCGGUCCAAAAGAAAACAGGCAAGUCCUGGAAACCCCAGGUGCCUCAAUCCACCCAGAUGUGUGUUAGGUUGCCUCCUUAGAUAAACCCUUAAUUAACAAUCUCACAUCUGUCAUGGAUUUCACUCACCCAAUCCACGUCUACUAGCAUAGCAUGGCAUAAUAAGCAAACGUAGAAGUAACUCCCAAAGGUUUGAUAAUAAACAGGUAAUAGGUACUACCUCAUCUACUACCCAUCCCACAAUUUAAUUAGAUCCUAAUCAUGCAGUGUGUGAAGAUUGAUCUAAUGCAAUAAAAUUGGGUUGUAGAAAAAGUAUGAUCAAAGUGUGAACUUGCCUGCAAUGUUGAUGAAGAUGAUUCGCACUCAAAAAUCUUGAUAGAUCUACUCGUCACACUCCGGUCAAUCUAUCGUAAGCAAGCAAUAGUAACCACACAUAAGCAAUCACUCAAAAGAUCAGAAAGAUCAAAGAAGUCAAUUCGGAAAACAUCGAAACCAAGUAAAUAACUCUUGCAACAUAAAACAAUUUCUAACAGUACCAAAAUUAUGUGAAUUUGGCCUUAUCAGAAGGUUUAGGUCAAGAGCUUCGAUUUGCAAAAAGAAUAACCUCAAACGGAGCUACGAAACUCAAGUUAUGAUCAAAUGAAGUUUGAAUUCAAAUCUGAUCUAAUUCAAAUUUUAAACUUUUCAAAAACAUGUUUAAGUUGUUUAUCCGGAUAGAGGGGAUCAUAACGAAGACGUGGGCGUUGGUUUCGUUGGAUUUGGACUAACAAGCAAAAAGUUACGAGUGUUUGAAGUUCAGGGACUAAACUAUAAAGAAAACUCCUCACAUAUAAGUCCCUGGCCGAAAUUAAAAUAGAAAAAGAAAAGGACUGAAUUGCAAACAUUCAUUACCGAACGCUAACGGAUGGAUUCCUUCACUCCGAAGGGAUAGACAGCGAACGUUCUCUGUAUAGGACUAACCACAAAAAAACGAUCUAAAAGAAAAACCGAAGAAAACCGGAUCGGUUUUUUUGCGGGUUUUACCGGUUCGCGACGGGUUGGCGGUUUUCGGAGAGAAAACCGGUGGCGGCGAUGGCGUUCUCCGGCGAGACAGGACGGCGGCAGCGGCUCGGGUCCGGCCAGGGCGGCGGCUCCGGUCGUCCAGGAGGGCGGUGAAGGGGUCGGGGUGGGGCGGCGCGGCGAGGCGAGGUGAAUGGCGGCGUCGGCGGCGGUCAACGGUGACGGGACGGAGCGGGGCGGCGGUGUGGAUCUCGUCGGAGUUGGAAACUCCGGCGAGCGCGUUUGGCUGGCUGCGAGGGGCCCCGAGUGUGCGAUUUGAUGAAAAAGAGGGCUGGGGUCGGGGGUAUUUAAAGGAGGGAGGCGUGGAGGAGGGGCAACGCGAGGGGAGGCGCCCGCGUCAGGCACGGCAGCGGCGGCGAACUCGUGCUGGAGAUGGACUCCGGCUGGAGGACAGGGACGAACCCGACAGGUGGGUCCCACCUGUCGGUGGCUGAGCGAGGCGGCGGCCGAUAGCAGGCGCGAGCGGGCGAGCGAAGCGGAGCGGCUUCGGGCGCGGCUGGGCUUCGGCUGGGCUGGGCUGGCCUGGCGCGGGGAGAGAGAGAGGGAGAGCAGUGCUGGGCUUCGGCCUGGCACUGUUCGGAGAGUUUUUUUUAAACAAAACACAGACAAAUGAAAAUAAAACAAAAGCAAAUAAAAUAUUUUAUAGGCAUAUUAUAUAUCAAAAUUUUCAGAAAAAGAUUUUCUACACGGUGAACAUUUUUAUAACUUCAAAUAAAAUCCACACAAAUUCAGAUAAAUCAAAGAGUGCUACUGGUCUAUUAAAAUCCAACUAAAAUCAUUUUAAAAAUACCAAAAUGAUUUCAAAUUAAUUUUUCUCCAAGUUUCUAUUGUAGGGAAUCAUGUUACCCUAAUUUCCAUAUAUUUUAUUUUUGGAGAAAAAUAAUUUGAAUAAAACUCAAAUAACUCCAAAUUGAAAAUAAAUUCAAAAGAACUUUGAAUUUAGUUCUUUGAAACUCCCAACUCAUAUUUCAUAUAAUUUGAAGAAGUCACUUUAUCUUCUCUCAUGGAAAUCAUUGAGUUGCAUAAAGUUCUGGAUUCGAAAAUAUUUUCAAAUGAAAUUCAAAUAUUUUCAACACCCCUUGUCAUUUAAAUAAAUGGAAGAAGUCAUGUCAUCUUCUCUCCGGGGUUUUGUGUUUGAAAAGAAUUUGAAUUCAUGGAGAUCAAAAAGCAAAUAUGAAAGUUUGGGAAAGUCCUUUUAUCCCUCUCAUUUAACUUUCAAAAGUUUUGAAUUCACUCACUUUCAGACAAUCAAUCAAACAAUCAAUCAAAUCUAUCUAUUUAUUAUAACAUUCCAAAAUUUAGAAUUUUGGGAUGUUACAAAUAAUAACAGGAUAUAUCUUUUUCUCAUCAAGAUAAGCAUAUUUAAGAGUAUCAGAUAAAGGUUUAAGCUCAAACACGGGAUCACCCUUGGGUGGAGGAGGAUCCCCUAGGAUUUCAACAGGUAAAUUGUUUUUCAGAAUAGGUUCCUGUUUAAAGAAUACUUCAUCUAUUUCCCUUCUUUAAUUCAUAAACAUGUCAUUUUCAUGGUCUAGCAAAUAUUGUUCUAAAGGAUCACUAGGAGGUACGGCAAUAGAAGCAAGACCAAUAAUUUCAUCCUUACUAGGUAAUUCUUCUUCACGAUGUUGUCUACUAAAUUUAGAGAAAUUAAAUUCAUGAGUCAUAUCAUCUAAACCGAUAGUAACAACAUCCCUUUUGCAAUCUAUGGUAGCAUUAAUAGUGUUUAAGAAAGGUCUACCAAAUAUAAUGGGACAAAAGCUAUCUUGUGGGGAACCAAGAACAAGAAAAUCAGCAGGAUAUUUAGUUUUCCCACACAAGACUUCAACAUCUCUAACAAUUCCCAUCGGUGAAAUAGUAUCUCUAUUGGCAAGUUUAAUUGUGACAUCAAUAUCUUCUAUCUCAGCAGGUGCAAUAUCAUGCAUAAUUUCUUUGUAUAAGGAAUGAGGUAUUGCGCUAGCACUAGCACCCAUAUCACAUAAGCCAUGAUAAUAAUGGUCUCCUAUUUUAACAGAAAUAACAGGCAUGUCUACCAUAGGUCUAGUUUUAUCUUUAGCACAUGGUUUAGCAAUUCUAGCAGUUUCAUCAUAGAUAUAAAUAACAUGCCCACCAAUAUUAUCAGACAAGAGAUCUUUAACAAUAGCAAUAUUAGGUUCAACUUUAACUUGCUCAGGAGGUGUAUAUGUUUUAAUAUUGCUUUUACGAACCAUAGUUGAAGCUUUAGCAUGAUCCUUUAUCCUAACAGGGAAAGGUGGUUUCUCAACAUACGUAGUAGGAACAAUAGGAUCAUUAUAAGUGAAAAUCUUUUCUUCAACUUUAAUAGGUGCAGCUACUUUUACUUCUAUGGGAGGAUGAUAUUUAAACCACUUCUCCUUGGGGAGAUCAACAUAAGUAGCUAAAGAUUCACAGAAAGAAGCUACUCUCUCAGAGUCAAGUCCAUAUUUAGUGCUAAGUUUACGGAAAACAUCGUUAUCCAUAAAAGAUUUAACACAAUCAAAACUAGGUGUCAUACCUGACUCCUUACCUUUGUCGAGGUCCCAAUCUUCAGAGUUGUGUUUAAUUCUUUCCAAUAAAUUCCAUUUGAAUUCAAUAGUCUUCAUCAUAAAAGAGCCAGCACAAGAAGUAUCAAGCAUGGUGCGAUUGCUAUCAGAAAGCCCAGCAUAAAAUUUUUGAAUAAUCAUUUCUCUUGAGAGAUUGGGGCAUGAAUAUAACAUUGAUUUAAGCCUCCCCCAAGCUUGAGCGAUGCUUUCUCGUUCGCGAGGCCAAAAAUUAUAUAUAUAAUUGCGAUCAUGAUGAACAAGAUGCAUAGGAUAAAACUUCUAAUGAAAUUCCAAUUCCAAUUGUUUGUAAUUCCAAGACCCCAUAUCAUCAGAUAGCCUAUACCAUGUCGAUGCAUCUCCCUUCAAAGAUAAAGGGAAGACCUUCUUCUUAACAACAUCUCCGGGUACACCUGCAAGCUUAAAUAAUCCACAAACUUCAUCCACAUAUAUUAGAUGCUCAUCAGGAUGUUUUGUUCCAUCUCCUAAAAAAGGAUUAGCUAGCAGUUUUUCUAUCAUACCCGAAGGAAUUUCAAAGCAGACAUUUUCAUUUUCAGUAGGUUUAGUAGGUUGAGGAGCAACUCUUUGCUCUACUGGUCGGGGUGAAGAUACCCCGAACAAGCCCCUCAGUGGAUUACUUUUCAUAGUAACAAGUGACAGUAAAUUUCAGCACACUAUAUAAAUUUUUCCUUACCAAAUUCCACCUACCAAAGGCGCUUCACUCCCCGGCAACGGAGCCAGAAAAGAGUCUUGAUGACCCACAAGUAUAGGGGAUCUAUCGUAGUUGAGGGAGCCCUGGAUUAGGGGGUGUUCGGAUGGCCGGACUAUACCUUCAGCCGGACUCCUGGACUAUGAAGAUACAAGAUUGAAGACUUCGUCCCGUGUCUGGAACGGACUUUCCUUGGCGUAGAAGGCAAGCUUGGCGAUACGGAUAUGUAGAUCUCCUACCAUUGUAACCAACUUUGUGUAACCCUAACCCUCUCCGGUGUCUAUAUAAACCGGAGGGUUUUAGUCCGUAGGACAACAUUCAGAACAACAAUCAUACCAUAGGCUAGCUUCUAGGGUUUAGCCUCUCUGAUCUCGUGGUAGAUCUACUCUUGUACUACCCAUAUCAUCAAUAUUAAUCAAGCAGGACGUAGGGUUUUACCUCCAUCAAGAGGGCCCGAACCUGAGUAAAACUUCGUGUCCCUUGCCUCCUGUUACCAUCCGGCCUAGACGCACAGUUUGGGACCCCCUACCUGAGAUCCGCCGGUUUUGACACCGACAGUAGUCCUUUCGAUAAGUAAGAGUGUCGAACCCAACGAGGAGCAGAAGGAAAUGAUAAGCGGUUUCCAGCAAGGUAUUCUCUGCAAGUACUGAAAUAAGUGGUAACAGAUAGUUUUGUGAUAGAAUAAUUUGUAGCGAGCAACAAGUAACAAAGGUAAAUAAAGUGCAGCAAGGUGGUCCAAUCCUUUUUGUAGCAAAGGACAAGCCUGGACAAACUCUUAUAUAGAGAAAAAUGCUCCCGAGGACAUACGGGAAUAUUGUCGAGCUAGUUUUCAUCACGCUCAUAUGAUUCACGUUCGGUACUUUGAUAGUUUGGUAUGUGGCUGGACCGGUGCUUGGGUACUACCCUUACUUGGACAAGCAUCCCACUUAUGAUUAACCUCUAUUGCAAGCAUCCGCAACAACAACAAAAGUAUUAAGGUAAACCUAACCAUAGCAUGAAACAUAUGGAUCCAAAUCAGCCCCUUACGAAGCAACGCAUAAACUAGGGUUUAAGAUUCUGUCACUCUAGCAACCCAUCAUCUACUUAUUACUCCCCAAUGCCUUCCUCUAGGCCCAAAUAAUGGUGAAGUGUCAUGUAGUCGAUGUUCACAUAACACCACUAGAGGAGAGACAACAUACAUCUCAACAAAAUAUCGAAUGAAUACCAAAUUCACAUCACUACUAAUAGCAAGACUUCUCCCAUGUCCUCAGGAACAAAAGUAACUACUCACAAAGCAUAAACAUGUUCAUAAUCAGAGGGGUAUUAAUAUGCAUAUAGGAUCUAAACAUAUGAUCUUCCACCAAUUAAGCCAACUAGCAUCAACUACAAGGAGUAAUUAACACUACUAGCAACCUACUAGCACCAAUCCCGGACUUGGAGACAAGAAUUGGAUACAAGAGAUGAACUAGGGUUUUGAGAGGAGAUGGUGCUGAUGAAGAUGUUGAUGGAGAUUGCCCUCUCUUGAUGAGAGGAGCGUUCGUGAUGACGAUGGCGAUGAUUUCCCCAUCCGGGGGGGGGAGUUUCCCCUGCAGAACAGCUCCGCCAGAGCCCUAGAUUGGUUCCGCCAAGGUUCGGCCUCGUGGCAGUGGAAUUUCAUUCGAGAAGAUGGAUUAUGAUUUUUUCCCAUCGAAAGACUUCAUAUAGCAGAAGAUGGCCACCAGAGGGCCACCAGGGGGCCCACGAGGUAGGGGGCGCGCCCUACCCCCUGGUGAAUUUCUUUCGAUCAGUAUUUUUUAUAUAUUCUGAAAACGUCUUCCGUGAAGUUUCAGGACUUUUGAAGCUAUGCAGAAUAGGUCUUUAAUAUUUGCUCCUUUUCCAGCCAAGAAUCCCAGCUGCCGGCAUUCUCCCUCUUUAUGUAAACCUUCUAAAAUAAGAGAGAAUAGGCAUAAGUAUUGUGACAUAAUGUGUAAUAACAGCCCAUAAUGCAAUAAAUAUCGAUAUAAAAGCAUGAUGCAAAAUGACGUAUCAGGCCCACCGUCAGGGCUGGCGUGGCAAGUCAACAAGCGCACAAGAUGACGAUGAGCACGCCCGGCGGCAGCAUGCGAUGAUGACACACUGAUCGGGCACUCCUACGGACACACGCUGCUCGACCGCACGCGACCACCCAGCGCUAGCUUGCUAGCACCAACGAGCAAGUAUGCAUGGCUUGCCGACCAGCCAGCGCGAGCACGUAUGCACCGCUUGGCGACCGGCCAGCGCAAGCAUGCGGCUCGGUGACCAGCGCGUGCUUGCGGCCUGCGCGUGGCUUGACGGCUGUGCGAGCACCCACGGGACGGCUAUGGCGGCCCGCCCGCACUUCUGCGUGCGACAGCUACGGCGGCGAGCUCGGAUGCCGGCCCACAGGCGACCGCAACAACAGCCAGCCCGCCCACCCGCGCUCCCGCAUGCGACGAUGAUCGGCCAGCGUGACCAGCAUGUGCUCGCGGCCUGCGCACGGCUCGACGGCUGCGCGAGCACCCUCGCGGCUGCCGUCUCAUGCCUGCUCCGGCGCUACCUCCAUCAUCCUCGACCCAUCAGCCUCUAGGUGGGCGACAUGGAUGACACAAGUGCUCGCCGUGGGGCAUGAAGACGAGGUGUUCGUUGAACUGGGCAAGAGAGUAUAGGAGCAGGAAGAAGAAGAUAGAUACUGACGUGUGGGGCCCACUUGUCAUAACGGUCAACUUAACAGUCAACAUAAACGGUGUUGACAUUUCUGCCACGUCAGCCCUGACGGGUGGGCCCCACUUGUCAUAAACAUGUUUAAAUCUUCUAAACUGGUCAUUUUUUGAAAGUGGUAGUUUUUUGCCAUGGAUUAAUAAAAAGUGGUAGUUUUUGGCACAAAUUUGUAAAGUUAGGCACGUUUUCAUGAAAUGUGGUAAUUUUUGGUUAAAUACUCGCAUGCAUGCAUGUAUUGCUAGGUUACCAUAUUAAAACCGUGCCCACGGAAAGCUAAUCAAGGUCCUAAAUUUAUUAUAGUUGUGGGGAUAUAAAAGUCAGACGAUCUCGUUCCCAUCGGUCCCAUCCAUGCACAUCCGCCUCUCCUCUAGUCCUCUCCGCGGCCGCUAGGGUUUGCUCUCCUCUCUACCGCCCGCAGCUAUUUACCUUCCGGCGUCGGGCUCGUCGCUGUCUGGUAAGUGCUUAUCUCAUACUUUUUUGUCUCUGUUGUUUCGCCCUUGUAGGAAUAUAGGCAUUGUAUCACAUGCGAUCACGUAGGAUGUUUACUUCCAUACUUGCCUCCUCUUGAUAUCUUUCCUUGUACAUAGAGAUAGAGUCUUGGAGGUCAAGUAUUCUUGUGUAUAUAUGUAAUUUCCCUAUGGAUCAAUACAAUGCGCUGCAUAUUCCCAAUUAUUCAAUCCUACAUGGUAUCAGUUUUCUCUUUCCCGUGACCUCUUUCCGCUGCUCAUGCCUGAACCACACCCUCACCUGACGCCCUAGCUGCUACUGUCCUCAUCAACCGCCAUAGCCAUGCAUCCCUUCGGAGACUUCUUCUCCAACCCCAGCUCCAAUCCCUUCGCCUCCAACCCCUCCUCCAGCCACUCCACCCCAUCUGGCUCCACCCCCAGCUCCAACCCCUUCGCUGACUCCACUCACCCAGCCGCCCCUAGCACCACCGCCGUGCAACUCAUCAACAUCCGCAGCCAUGUUCCCGCCACCCUUAGCUUCGAUGAGUCCAACUUCUUGAUUUGGCAAACUUUUUUCCACCUCACCUUCCGCAAGCUCGGUCUCGUCGAUCAUGUUGAUGGGUCGACCAAUGCUCUAAUGAUGUUCGUUGAUGUUGAGUGGACCCAGAUCGAUCAGUGCAUCAUCUCGUGGCUCUACACCACCGCCUCUCCUGACAUCCUGCAUAUCAUCAUCAGGCCCUCCGACACUGCCGCCAACGCAUGGACGGUCAUCUCCAUGCUCUUCCUUGACAACCGUCUACAGCGCGCCAUAUUCGCCAAGCGGGAGUUUCACAACAUCGUUCAGGGUGACCUCUCCGUCACUGCCUUCUGCAGCCGUCUCAAGUGUCUCUCUGACACUCUUCGGGACGUCGGCUCGCCGGUCUCUGACCAAGACAUGCUGCUGGCUCUUGUCAACGGGAUGAACGACGACUUCGGCCAUUGCAUUGCAGCGCUCAUCGUCAACCCCACCGGCCUCACCUUCACACGGGCCCGUGGUGUUCUUCUUCAGGAGGAGCGCCGCCUCUCCUGUGGCGGUCACCAUGCCCGGCUGACGACUCUCAUCACCGGUCAGUCCCGCCCGACCACUGCUACUUCGACUCCACGUCCAGUUGCCCACGGUGCCCCUGCUGCGCCCUCUCCCAAUGGCGGCCGCAAUCGCGGCAAGAAGAAGAAGCAGGCCGCUCCUCCUGCCAGCCCUAGCAGCACGACGACUCCUCUUCCGGACGCACGCAACACCCCAGCAUGGCCUCUCGGGGGCUACCCCCUGUCGGGGAUGUUCGCAGCCUGGCCCCCGAACUAGCGUGCGCCCGGUGCUGGCCUGCUCGGGCCUCGACCCAGCGCCUCUUAGCCGCAUGUGUAUGCAGCCUAGCUAGGGCAGGUGGCCUGCACUGCUACCCCUCUGGUCCCGUCUACCCUGGCUAUGUGCUGGUCCCGCCUCUUCAUCAACCUUCGGCUUGAGACCAAACGCAACUACACGCCGCCCUCAAAAAUCUAUCCAUCAGUGGUGGCGGCAAUGGGGCUGACUGGUUCCUUGACACCGGUGCUACCUUGCAUAUUGCGAACCAUCCCGGUAUCCUUUCUCACCCUCAACCAUAUUCUACUUCCACCCGUGUCAUCAUCGGUAAUGGGGAUUCUCUCCCGACCACCCACACCGGUAACGUUUCUUUUCCCACAUCUUCUUUUCCUAUUCAUCUUCGUAAUGUUGUCAUUACUCCUCAUAUCAUUAAAAAAUUUAUUUCCGUUCGUCGCCUUACUCGUGAAAAUCCCAUUACUGUUGAGUUUUACAUGUUUGGUUUUUCUAUCAAGGACCUUCACACACGACGAGUGAUUCUAUGAUGUGACAGCCCCGAUGAACUUUAUCCACUUGCAUCCAGGCCUCAAGCUCUCCUUGCCGAGACCUCCGAUCUUUGGCACCAAGGGCUUGGACAUCCGGAACAUGCUGCUCUCUCCAAAACAUUAUCGUCUUUUGAGUUUUCCUGUAAUAAAGCUAUGUCUACAACAUGUCAUGCUUGUAGGUUGGGCAAGCACGUUAGCUUACCUUUCAAACAAUCAGAUUCUCAGACUAGUUUCCCCUUUGCUCUUAUGCAUUGCGAUGUAUGGACAUCUCCAAUAAAAAGUGUCUCCGGUUUUCUCUAUUAUCUUGUCAUUCUUGAUGAUUUUUCUCACUAUACUUGGACUUUUCCAUUACGUCGCAAAUCUGAAGUUUUUCCGCUUCUCUCUCAUUUUCAUGCGUUUGUUGCUACGCAAUUUCAGCGCAAUAUUCUGAGUUUUCAAACGGAUAAUGGCAAGGAAUUUGAUAAUAAUGCGUCUCGUGAUUUCUUUGCUUCUCACGGCAUUCACUUUCGGCUUUCUUGUCCAUAUACCUCUGAACAAAAUGGCCACGCCGAACGCAUUCAUUGGACUUUGAAUGAUAGUGUCCGUACUAUGUUAUUUCAUGCUCAUCUUCCUCCUUGAUUUUGGGUUGAAGCUCUUAACACUACCACGUACCUACUCAAUCUUCGUCCUUGUCGUCCUCGCCACCAUCAAACACCGCAUGAGCUUCUCUUUGGUUUUCCUCCUGAGUAUCAACAUCUUCGUGUUUUCGGUUAUCUAUGUUAUCCUAACACCUCUGCCACCGCUCAACAUAAGCUUGCACCUCGAUCUGUUGCUUGUGUUUUCUUUGGCUACCCUCCUGACCAUCGCGGCUAUCAAUGUUAUGAUCCCGCCUCCCGUCGCAUACUAACAUCACGCCAUGUCAUCUUCGACGAGUGUGUUUUUCCUUUCAGGGAAUAGGAGGAAUCGUCUACAUCAUUGGCUGACCAGGCACUCCUUUCGAUUGAGAGCAUGGCGCUCCCGUCCAUAGCCACCGCCCCUUGAUAACCCACAAGUAUAGGGGAUCGCAACCGUUUUCGAGGGUAGAGUAUUCAACCCAAAUUUAUUGAUUCGACACAAGGGGAGCCAAAGAAUAUUCUCAGGUAUUAGCAGCUGAGUUGUCAAUUCAACCACACCUGGAAACUUAAUAUCUGCAGCAAAGUAUUUAGUAGCAAAGUAAUAUGAUAGUAGUGGUAAUGGUAGCAAAAGGUAAUGAUAGCAAAAGUAAUGGUUUUAGUAUUUUGUAGUGAUGAUAGCAAUAGCAACGGAAAAGUAAAUAAGCGGAGAACAAUAUAUGGAAAGCUAAUAGGCAAUGGAUCGGUGAUAGAGAAUUAUGCCGGAUGCAGUUCAUCAUGUAACAGUCAUAACCUAGAGUGACACAUAACUAGCUCCAAUUCAUCAAUGUAAUGUAGGCAUGUAUUUCGAAGAUAGUCAUACGUGCUUAUAGAAAAGAACUUGCAUGACAUCUUUUGUCCAACCCUCCCGUGGCAGCGGGGUCCUAGCGGAAACUAAGGGAUAUUAAGGCCUCCUUUUAAUAGAGUACCGGACCAAAGCAUUAACACAUAGUGAAUACAUGAACUCCUCAAACUACGGUCAUCACCGGUAAGUAUCCCGAUUAUUGUCAUUUCGGGGUUAACGGAUCAUAACACAUAAUAGGUGACUAUAGACUUGCAAGAUAGGAUCAAGAACUCUCAUAUAUUGAUGAAAACAUAAUAGGUUCAGAUCUGAAAUCAUGGCACUCGGGCCCUAGUGACAAGCAUUAAGCAUAGCAAAGUCAUAGCAGCAUCAAUCUCAGAACAUAGUGGAUACUAGGGAUCAAACCCUAACAAAACUAACUCGAUUACAUGAUAAAUCUCAUCCAACCCAUCACCGUCCAGCAAGGCUACGAUAGAAUUACUCACGCACGGCGGUGGGCAUCAUGAAAUUGGUGAUGGAGGAUGGUUGAUGAAGACGAUGGUGAUGGAUUCCCCUCUCCGGAGCCCCGAACGAACUCCAGAUCAGCCCUCCCGAGAGGUUUUAGGGCUUGGCGGCGGCUCCAUAUCGUAAAACGCGAUGAAUCCUUCUCUAUGAUUUUUUUUCUCCGAAACCAAAUAUAUAGAGUUGGAGUUGAGGCUGGAGGAGCUCCAGGGGGCCACGGGGUAGGGGGCGCGCCCCCCACCCUCGUGGACAGGUGGUGGGCCCCCUAGUCUUCAUCUUUUGCAAGGAUUUUUUAUUAUUUCCAAAUAGACGUUCCGUGAAGUUUCAGGUCAUUCCAAGAACUUUUGUUUCUAUACAUAAAUAACACCAUGCCAAUUCUGCUGAAAACAGCGUCAGUCUGGGUUAGUUCCAUUCAAAUCAUGCAAGUUAGAGUCCAAACCAAGGGCAAAAGUGUUUGGAAAAGUAGAUACGACGGAGACGUAUCAACUCCCCCAAGCUUAAACCUUUGCUUGUCCUCAAGCAAUUCAAUUGACAAACUGAAAGUGAUAAAGAAAAACUUUUACAAACUUUGUUUGCUCUUUUUGUUGUAAAUAUGUAAGGCCAGCAUUCAAGUUUUCAGCAAAGAUUAUGAACUAACCAUAUUCACAAUAACGCAUAGGUCUCAUGUUUACUCAUAUCAAUGGCAUAAUCAACUAGCGAGCAAUAAUAAUUAAUCUCGGAUGACAACACUUUCUCAAAAUAAUCAUAAUAUGAUAUAACAAGAUGGUAUCUCGCUAGCCCUUUUUGAGACUGCAAAACAUAAAUGCAGAGCACCUUUAAUGAUCAAGGACUGACUAGACAUUGUAAUUCAUGGUAAAAGAGAUCCAGUCAAGUCAUACUCAAUGUAAACUAAUAGUAAUGAAUGCAAAUGAAAGAGGUGCUCUCCAACUGGUGCUUUUUAAUAAGAGGAUGAUGACUCAACAUGAAAGUAAAUAUAUAGGCCCUUCGCAGAGGGAAGCAGGGACUUGUAGAGGUGCCAUAGCUCGGUUUUGAAAUAGAGGUGAAUAGUAUUUUGAGCGGUAUACUUUCAUUGUCAACAUAACAACCAAGGGAUGGCGAUAUCUUCCAUGCUACACACCUUAUAGGCGGUUCCCAAACAGAAUGGUAAAGUUUAUACUCCCCCUCCACCAACAAUCAUCAAUCCAUGGCUUGCUCGAAACAACGAGUGCCUCUAACUAACAAGAGUCCCAGGGGGAGUUUUGUUUGCAAUUAUUUUGAUUUGAUUUGCAUAAAGCAUGGGACUGGGCAUCCUGGUGACUAGCCAUUUUCUCGUGAGUGAGGAGCGGAGUCCACUCCUCUUAAGAAUAACCCGCCUAACAUGGAAGAUACAGACAGCCCUAGUUGAUACAUGAGCUAUUCAAGCAUACAAAACAGGAUAUUUAUUCGAAGGUUUAGAGUUUGGCACAUACAAAUUUACUUGGAACGGCAGGUAGAUACCUAUAUAGGUAGGUAUGGUGGAAUCAUAUGGAAUAACUUUGGGGUUUAUGGAGUUGGAUGCACAAGCAGUAUUCCCGCUUAGUACAGGUGAAGGCUAGCAAAAGACUGGGAAGCGACCAGCUAGAGAGCGACAACAGUCAUGAACAUGCAUUAAAAUUAAUCAACACCGAAUGCAAGCAUGAGUAGGAUAUAAUCCACCAUGAACAUAAAUAUCAUAAAGGAUAUGUUGAUUUUGUUUCAACUACAUGCGUGAACAUGUGCCAAGUCAAGUCACUUAAAUCAUUCAGAGGAGGAUACCACCCUAUCAUACCACAUCACAACCAUUUUAAUAGCAUGUUGGCACGCAAGGUAAACCGUUAUAAGCUCCUAGCUAAUCAAGCAUGGCAUAAGAAACUAUGAUCUCUAGUUGUCAUUGCAAACAUGUUUAUUCAUAAUAGGCUGAAUCAGGAACGAUGAACUAAUCAUAUUUACAAAAACAAGAGAGGUCGAGUUCAUACCAGCUUUUCUCAUCUCAGUCAGUCCAGCAUAUAUCAUCAUAAUUGCCUUUCACUUGCACGACUGAAUGAUGUGAAUAAUAUUAAGAGUGCACGUGCAUUGGACUAAGCUGGAAUCUGCAAGCAUUCAAUAAACAGGAGAAGACAAGGCAAUAUGUGCUCUUUUGUCAGAUCAACAAUAAUGCAUAUAAGAGCCACUUCAACAAUUUAAUCAUGGUAUUCUCCUAUUGACCUCCAAAGAAAAGAAAAGAAAUAAAACUAUUUACAUGGGAAAGCUCCGAACAAGCAAAAGAAGAACAUGAAAUCUUUUUGGGUUUUCUUUUUAAUUACUACUAUAAGCAUGGAAAGUAAAAUAAUUAAAAGCUACAACUAAAUUUUUUGGGGGGUUUUCUUAAGGUUUAUUAAACACACAAGAAGAAAACAUAAAAAGGAAAAUAAACUAGCAUGGAUGAUACAAUGAAAAAGUAUGAGCAUCGACAUCUAGCAAUGAGUGUGUGAACAUGAAUGUAAUGUCGAUGAGAAAUACGUACUCCCCCAAGCUUAGACUUUUGGCCUAAGUUGGUCUAUGGCCACGGCUGGCCUGGCGGAUAUCCAUAAUAAUAGUUUGGGUCGUACUACGAUGAAGAAGACUCUGAUUGCCACUGGUUGGCAAUCAUCUCCGGAUCCCAAUGGUAAUUAGACUGCCGUGGAGUAUCAACUUGUGGUUCCAACUCUGGCUCUGUGGCUGAUGUAGGGUUCCGGUAGGCGUGGAUAGCCUCUAACAGAACAAGGUACUGGCCUGAAGAUAAAUCAAACAAGGAAGGAGCGGGCAUGGUAAUAGUCUCAGGAUGAUGUUGAUGAAAGAACAAUUUGUAUUUAUGCUCCCCUUCCCUAUUCUUAACAAUAAAAUCGUGUGCCACCAUACUCUUAUAAUCUAAAUAAACACAAGGCAGCAAUUUUUCUUCCUUCUCAUAAUGCCUAAUAGGUAUGUUAAAAUGUGCAGCUAGGCGUGAAGCAUAGAUGCCUCCAAAGAUGGGCCCCUUUGUACGGUUCAGACUUAACCGUUUAGCAAUAAUACCGCCCAUACUAACAGAGUAAUCACUGAAUAAACUGUGGAAAAAUAAUAAUAUCAGGAACACUAAGGUUUCCACAGUUUCCAUGACCAAUUAAGCAACGACUAGCAAAUAUUGCAAAGUAGUGUAAAACAGGAAAAUGUAUGCUGGCGAUUCGUGCAUUGAAAACCUUCCUUGUUUCCCCUACAGUGAUGCUAUCAAUAAACCCAUCCACAUCGCCGCGAUGUGGUUCCUCUGUCGUGCCGUCGGAAGGGACCAAACAAACCUGACAAAAAUCAUAAAGUGACAUCUCCUUAUGCUCAUCAUAUAAAUAAAACUCCACCGUAGGUGGUGAGCUCCUAGAAUGGAAAUGAAAGUUUUGCACAAAGAUAUUGGUGAGUAAGAGAUACUGGUCGCGUUGGUCGUGGAAGAAGGUGGUGAGGCCUGCAUUCUCAUCCAAUUGAUAAAAAUCAUCAUAAAUCCCGGCUGCUCUCAAGAAAUCAUCAGAGGGCCAUUCACACGGCCUAACCUCCGCGGUGCGAGGCAGAUUAUAUUUGGGCUUCUUUGCUUCUUCAUUUUUCUUUUCCUUCGAGCUUCGGCUUGAUGAGCCCCUCAAAAAUCUCUUCAUUAUUCUCUAAAAAAUUCUGAAAUUUUUAGUAACUUCAAACAAAAGUGAACCAAGCUCAACAAAAUUGAUAGCAACAACUCCUACAAGUGCCUAGAGCCUAUAUCAUGCAUCAAAACUACUUUUGACCAUAUAAAUUUGACAUGCAAGCUCAAGAACAGGGUCACCUAAGCAGCACAAACUUGCAAUGAAUAAAGCACUAUAACAAAAACUAAUUGGACCAAUGGAGGAGUCACAUACCAAGGAACAAUCCCCCAAAGCAGUUUUGUGAGAGGUGCUUUGAGCAAGGAGAUCGAAAAUCGCAGCAAAAUGAGCUAGAACUCGUGCUUGAGCUGGAUAUUCAUGUUUGUGGGAGGAAGGAGUGUGUGGAUGCAGGAAUAAGUGGAGGAGGGCCACCAUGGGCCCACGAGGCAGGGGGCGCGCCUAGGGGGUAGGGCGCACCCUCCACCCUCGUGGUCAGGUGGAUGCCCCCUGAUGUGUUCUCAGUGCCAAAUAUUCUCAAAUAUUCCAGAAAACAUAUUUAAAUUUCAGGGCAUUUGGAGAACUUUUAUUUUCGAGGUAUUUUUAUAUUGCACGGAUAAUUCAGAUAACAGACGGAAAAUACUUAUUUUAAUUUUUUUUAAUAUAAAUAAAAGAAAGUAAAAGGAGGGUAUAGAAGGUUGUGCCUUCUAGUUUCAUCCAUCUCAGGCUCAUCAAAAGGAAUCCACUAACAAGGUUGAUCAAGUCUUGUUAACAAACUCAUUCUGAAGAACAUGGAACCGGAGAAAUUUCGAAUAACACUAUGUUACCUCAACGGGGAUAUGCACAUCCCCAAUAAUAAGAAUAUCAUAUUUCUUCUUGACAGUAGGAAGAGGAAAUUCAAAACCUCCAAAUAUAAUAGACGGAAUUUUUCCAAUAGAGUUGAUACUAUGAACUUGAGGUUGUUUCCUCAGAAAGUGUACCGUAUGCUCAUUACCAUUAACAUGAAAAGUGACAUUGCCUUUAGUGCAAUCAACAACAGCCCCUGCAGUAUUCAAAAAGGGUCUUCCAAGAAUAAUAGACAUACUAUCGUCCUCGGGAAUAUCAAGGAUAACAAAGUCCGUUAAAAUAGUAACGUUUGCAACUACAACAGGCACAUCCUCACAAAUACCGACAGGUAUAGCAGUUGAUUUAUCAGCCAUUUGCAAAGAUAUUUUAGUAGGUGUCAACUUAUUCAAAUCAAGUACGAUAUAAAGAGAGAGGCAUAACACUAACACCGGAUCCAAGAUCACAUAAAGCAGUUUUAACAUAGUUUCUUUUAAUGGAGCAUGGUAUAGUGGGUACUCCUGGAUCUCCAAGUUUCUUAGGUAUUCCACCUUUAAAAGUAUAAUUAGCAAGCAUGGUGGAAAUUUCAGCUUCCGGUAUCUUUCUCUUAUUUGCAACAAUUUCUUUCAUAUACUUAGCAUGAGGAUUCAUUUUAAGCAUAUCAGUUAAUCGCAUACGCAAAAAGAUAGGUCUAAUCAUUUUAGCAAAGUGCUCAAAAUCCUCAUCAUCCUUUUUCUUGGAUGGGUUGGGAGGAAAAGGCAUGGGUUUCUGAACCCAUGGUUCUCAUUCUUUACCAUGUUUCCUAGAAACAAAGUCUUUCUUAUCAUAACGUUGAUUCUUUGAUUGUGGGUUAUCAAGAUCAAUAGCAGGUUCAAUUUCUAUAUCAUUAUCAUUACUAGGUUGAGCAUCAUCAUGAACAUUAUCAUUAACAUUAUCACUAGUUUCAGGUUCAUUACCAGAUUGUGUUUCAGCAUCAGAAAUAGAAAUAUCAUUUGGAUUCUCAAGUGGUUGAGAAAUAGGUUCACUAGAAGCAUGCAAAGUCCUAUAAUUUUCUUUUUCUUCCUUUUAGAAGGACUAGGUGCAUCUAUAUUAUUUCUCUGAGAAUCUUGCUCAAUUCUCUUAGGAUGGCCUUCAGGAUACAGAGGUUCCUGAGUCACUCUACCAGUUCUAGUAGCCACUCUAACAGCAUAAUCAUUAUUCUUGCUAUUCAAUUCAUUGAGCAAAUCAUUUUGAGCUUUAAGUACUUGUUCUACUUGAGUGGUAACCAUAGAAGCAUGUUUACUAAUAAGUUUAAGUUCACCUUUAACAUUAGCCAUAUAAUCACCCAAGUGUUCAAGCAUAUUUGAAUUGUAUUUCAAUUGUCUACCAAAAUAAGAAUUGAAGUCUUCUUGCUUAACCAUAAAUUUAUCAAACUCAUCUAAGCAUGGGCUAGCAAACUUAGUAAAUGGGAUUUCAGCUUUAUCAUAUUUAUAGAGAGAAUUUACCUUUACUACCUGUGUCGGGUUAUCAAGACCAUGAGUUUCUUCAAUAGGUAAUGGAUUAAGAUCAUAUGUUUCUUCAACAGGCGGUAAAUUAAGACCGUGUAUUUCUUCAAUAGGAGGUAAAUUCUUAACAUCUUCGGCUUUAAUACCUUUUUCUUUCAUAGAUUUCUUUGCCUCUUGCAUAUCUUCAGGACUGAGAAAUAGAAUGCCUCUCUUCUUCGGAGUUGGUUUAGGAAUAGGCUCAGGAAGUGUCCAAUUAUUUUCAUUUGUGAACAUAUUAUUCAAUACAAUUUCAGCUUCAUCCGGUGUUCUUUCCCUGAAAACAAAACCAGCACAACUUUCAAGGUAAUCUGUGGAAGCAUCGGUUAGUCCAUUAUAAAAGAUAUCAAGUAUUUCAUUUUUCUUAAGAGGAUGAUCUGGCAAAGCAUUAAGUAACUUGAGAAGCCUCCUCCAAGCUUGUGGGAGACUUUAUUCUUCAAUUUGCAAAAAAAUUAUAUAUAUAUAUAUAUAUAUAUCCCUUAAAGCAGCUUGUUUCUUAUGAGCAGGGAAAUAUUUAGCAGAGAAGUAAUAAAUCAUAUCCUGGGGACUACGCACACAACCAGGAUCAAGAGAAUUAAACCAUAUCUUAGCAUCACCCUUUAAUGAGAACGGAAAUAUUUUAAGGAUGUAAAGUGGCGAGUUCUCUCAUCUUUAGUGAACAGGGUGGCAAUAUCAUUUAAUUUAGUAAGAUGUGCCACAACAGUUUCAGAUUUGUAGCCAUGAAAAGGAUUAGAUUCAACCAAAGUAAUUAUAUCAGGAUCAACCGAGAAUUCAUAAUCCUUAUCGGUAACACAGAUAGGUGAAGUAGCAAAAGCAGGGUCAGGUUUCAUUCUAGCAUUAAGAGAUUGCUGCUUCCAUUUAGCUAAUAACCUCUUGAGUUCGUAUCUAUCUUUGCAAGCUAAAAUAGCUAGAGCAGCUUCUUUUUCAAAAACAUAACCCUCAGGAACAACAGGUGAUUCAUAUUCAUUAGAAGGAGAGUCUUCAUCAUCACUUUCAUCAAUAUUAACAGAUUCAAUAUUUUCACUCUCUCUAACCCUAGCAAGUUGUUCAUCAAGAAAUUCACCAAGUGGCACAGUAGUAUCAAGCAUAGAUGUAGUUUCAUCAUAACUAUCAUGCAUAGCAGAAGGGCAUCAUCAAUAACAUGCGACAUAUCAGAACGAAUAGCAGAAGCAGGUUUAGGUGUCGCAAGCUUACUCAAAGCAGAAGGUGAAUCAAGUGCAGAGCUAGAUGGCAGUUCCAUACCUCCCCUCGUAGUUGAGGGAUAAAUCUUGGUUUUUGGAUCUCUCAAGUUCUUCAUAAUGAUAAGCAGAUAUAAAUCCCAAGUGACUCUAAGAAUAGACCUAUGCUCCCCGACAACGGCGCCAGAAAAUACUCUUGAUAACCCACAAGUAUAGGGAUCGCAAUAGUUUUCGAGGGUAGAGUAUUCAACCCAAAUUUAUUGAUUCGACACAAGGGGAGCCAAAGAAUAUUCUCAAGUAUUAGCAGCUGAGUUGUCAAUUCAACCACACCUGGAAACUUAAUAUCUACAGCAAAGUAUUUAGUAGCAAAGUAAUAUGAUAGUAGUGGUAACGGUAGCAAAAGGUAAUGAUAGCAAAAGUAAUGUUUUGGUAUUUUGUAGUGAUGAUAGCAAUAGCAAUGGAAAAGUAAAUAAGCGGAGAACAAUAUAUGGAAAGCUCGUAGGCAAUGGAUCGGUGAUAGAGAAUUAUGCCGGAUGUGGUUCAUCAUGUAAUAGUCAUAACCUAGAGUGACACGGAACUAGCUCCAAUUCAUCAAUGUAAUGUAGGCAUGUAUUCCAAAUAUAGUCAUACGUGCUUAUGGAAAAGAACUUGCAUGACAUCUUUUGUCCAACCCUCCCGUGGCAGCGGGGUCCUAGCGGAAACUAAGGGAUAUUAAGGCCUCCUUUUAAUAGAGUACCGGACCAAAGCAUUAACACAUAGUGAAUACAUGAACUCCUCAAACUACGGUCAUCACCGGUAAGUAUCCCGAUUAUUGUCACUUCGGGGUUAAUGGAUCAUAACACAUGAUAGGUGACUAUAGACUUGCAAGAUAGGAUCAAGAACUCUCAUAUAUUGAUGAAAACAUAAUAUGUUCAGAUCUGAAAUCAUGGCACUCAGGCCCUAGUGACAAGCAUUAAGCAUAGCAAAGUCAUAGCAACAUCAAUCUCAGAACAUAGUGGAUACUAGGGAUCAAACCCUAAAAAAACUAACUCGAUUACAUGAUAAAUCUCAUCCAACCCAUCACCGUCCAGCAAGCCUACGAUAGAAUUACUCACGCACGGCGGUGAGCAUCAUGAAAUUGUGAUGGAGGAUGGUUGAUGAUGACGAUGGCGACGGAUUCCCCUCUCCGGAGCCCCGAACGGACUCCAGAUCAGCCCUCCCGAGAGGUUUUAGGGCUUGGCGGCGGCUCCGUAUCAUAAAACGCGAUGAAUCCUUCUCUCUGAUUUUUUUUCUCUUCAAAACCAAAUAUAUACAGUUGGAGUUGAGGUCGGAGGAGCUCCAGGGGGCCCACGAGGUAGGGGCGCGCCCUAGGGGGGCAGGCGCACCCCCACCCUCGUGGACAGGUGGUGGGCCCCCGGAUCUUCAUCUUUUGCAAGGAUUUUUUUUAUUAUUUUUAAAUAGAUGUUCCGUGAAGUUUCAGGUCAUUCCAAGAACUUUUGUUUCUGCACUAAAUAGCACCAUGGCAAUUCUGCUGAAAACAGCGUCAGUCCAGGUUAGUUCCAUUCAAAUCAUGCAAGUUAGAGUCCAAAACAAGGGCAAAAGUGUUUGGAAAAGUAGAUACGAUGGAGACAUAUCAUCCCCUGGACCUCGGCCAGCCCCAGCCACUCCAGGUCGGGUCUCACUGGCCGGCCGGCAUGCUAUGGUCACGCUGUCACCACCUCAGGCGUCGUCGCUACCUCAGGCAUCGUCUUCGGCAACUCCUUAGGCGCCCUCUACUUCACCUCCUCGGGCGGUGUCUUCGUCGACUCCUCGAGCGCCCUCUACUUCACCUCCUCGGGCGCCCCCAAUGUCGUCACCGUCUGCUGCCAUGCCCGUGGCUCCCUCACCAACAUCGCCACGUUUGGCUGCCACGGCCGCUAGUUCGGUAGACCCUGCAGCCAAUUCGGCUACCACGACAGCUGUUUCACCUGGUGUUUUGGCUGCCAUGACUGGCGUUUCUUCGCCUACUUCAGCUGCCACGGCGGCGCCGGUUGUUGAUGCGACCACCUUUGACAACGACCUCAGCGCCUCGACAUCCUCAUCAGCGCCCGCACCACAUGUUACUCAUGGUGCUCCAUGGUUGCGACCCUCUGCCGUGUCUAUGCACACCAUGGCCACUCGUGCUCGACGGGGCAUUGUUCAGCCCUCGCGACGCUAUGAUGACUAUGAGCAGGCCCAUGUGGCCUCUGUUGCAUUGUCAACCACUGUCUGUGUCAGUUUGCGUGGCUCUUCGAGAUCCUUCCUAGGGUGCCACGAUGAAGGAGGAAUUCGAUGCUCUACAGGCCAACCGCACUUGGACCCUUGUACCUCGCCCUUGUAGUACCAACAUCGUCACCGGCAAGUGGGUUUUCCGUCAUAAGCUCAAACCCGAUGGUUCUCUUGAUCGCUACAAGGCCCGUUGGGUUGUCCGUGGAUUCACUCAACGCGCCGGUGUUGACUUUGGAGAGACAUUUAGCCCUGUGGUGAAGCCUGCUACCGUCCGCACUGUACUCCAUCUUGCCGCCUCUCGUCAUUGGCCAGUCCAUCAGUUAGAUGUCUCCAAUGCUUUUCUUCAUGGUGAGCUACAGGAACGAGUUUAUUGUGGUCAGCCUACAGGUUCUGUGAUGAGGACAUCAAUACCAUAGUUACACCCGCAGCCCCUACUGUUAUACAUACUGGACCAAUUACUAGAGCUCGCGCACGCCAAUUGAAUUAUCAGGUACUUUCGUUUCUUGGUAACGAUUCUAAUGUUCAUGAGAAUAUGAUGCUACCUAAAUUGGAGGCAUUUGCUUUGCUUACAAAUGAAGGGUCUAGCUUGGACAAGAAAGAUGAUCCUUGGAGCAAGUUCAAGCAUGGAGAUGAUGGCAUGCGCAAGGGGAACAAGAACGGAGUUACAAGUGAUGAUUCCAGGACUUUGAAGCCACCAUAAUGAGUGCAUGAAGCGUUGGACAAAAUAUACAAGAUGCCACUUCAUAAAUUUCGUCCAGAGGCUAUUAUAGGUGUUGUGUCACCUUAUUUUUGGGCCAGGCCCAUGUAAUUUUGAAAUACUUGAGUAUAGGCAGUUUUUAGAGUCCAUAUGUGUGCAGAAACAAGACUUAGGGUUGGUUUCGGACCCCUCCUCCAAGGGCCACGAAAUUCCCCCCUCUCUUCUCCAUAUAUACAGCCCUUAGGGCAUCGUUAGACUUUGGGUUUUAUUUAGAUUAAAAGUUUGCCAUAGCUACAACUUCGCGUACUUCGUUUGUGUCCAACGACCAGACCAAGACGUCACAGAACCCCACCUUCAUUAAUAAAACUUUCCACUUUUAUUCGCAAUAUCCAGAUUGCAAUCUCAGUUUCUUGCUUGUUCUUCGUUUGCUCGCAGGAAAUAGACCCUCGUGGUCAGGUUGAUCGUGCUCCGGCAUGGUCAAUAACCCUCGGAAGUUGUUUUAGCGAUUGCUAAGGCGCGACAUCUUCGCACGUUCGUAGUCGGAUCGUCAAAGUCGACUCCCACAGAAAACGAUAUCUAUCUCAUCAAAACAUUGGGACACCUUCGCCUCUAUCAAGUGGUAUCAGAUUUCCAGGUUGCUCGGUGAGAUUUUACAGUUUUUCGUAGUUUAGAUCGAGUCUGUUCUUCAUACCUACAUUCCACGAAAAAUCCAAAAAAAUUAGGGUUAGUUCAUCAUAUCCGAACCAAUCUAAGCCUUUGCAUAAUCUUUUUAGGGUUUUGCAUUGUUGAAUUUGCGGUUGCAUUGUCGUGUCUGGUUGCUGGUCUUAGUGUCUAGUCCUUUAGAGUUUCGAGUUCUGUUCACAAGUAGUCACGCCGCCGCCGCAUCAUCAUCAUCACCGCUGCCAUAUACCACCAUCGUCAUCACCGUUGCCAUAUACCACCAUCAUCAUCACUGCUGCCAUAUACCACCAUCGUCAUCACUGCUGCCAUACACCACAUAUCCACCACCAUCACGAUAAUCCGAGUCCACCUCCAUCAUCGAUUCGCCACCAGUCCGAGUUCCACCGCCCUACAUAUAUCCACCACCAGUUCGAGUUUCCACCAGAUUCAUCUCUGCCACCAGUCCUAGUCCGAGUCCAGUAUUUCUUGCUUUGUUUUCGAGUUCCAGAUCACGCGAUACUCCGAGUCGUGACAUAGUAGGACUCCCGUACUUUUGUGCUACCCGCAGUAGUUCCAAACUCAAAAAAACUAAGUCUGGAAAAUUCUAGCUAGGCAGUUUUUAGACCAUUUGUAGACUUCUUCAAAAAAAAUUGUUGCGGAGCAAAAAAAAGAGGGAAAAAGUGCAAAAAAAAGUGAAAAAAAUCAGAGCGUGCUCCUCCCUUGUUUACAUGCAGUGUCGUGAUUUUGUUAGUGGUCUAGGCUUGCGUCUCUAGCAUGGUCUAGCCUAGGACCAGCACAGUACCGUCGUUGAGCGUUUAUUCAACUUUGCAUCUCUGAAUUGAUUAUUGCUGACCCUUUUUGCUACCAUAUUAUAAGCCUUCCAAGCUCCACAUACAUCUACGUCGUGUGUUUGACUCUCCCUGGUAAUCGCUCUAUCCAAGCUCUGAGAGUUUUGACUACGACGGUUGCCGAUCACCACCUGCUGCUGGGUAAGAACUGGUAAGAAUUUGAGAUUUGCUUGACGGAUUUGUGACACCCACCACCACCUCUUGUUAGUAGUCUGUAGGAUCAUAUUCUUGUGUGUUUCUAUUGCUGCUAACCAUGGCAGAAUCACAAGUCGACGAGACUGACUGGGAGAACAUGACGAAUAAGGAGUUGCAUGAUAAAUUUCAGCAAAUGAUGAGUGGGCAGGUGCAAGAUGUGCUAAACAGGUUUGAAGAGGCCAUGGAAAAGAUAGAUGGGAUGGAGAAGACGUUCGAAACAAAGCUCGAUAACAGGUUUAAUGAAUUGCCCGCGCGUCUUUCACCACCACAACCAGCUGCACCUCUACCACAACAACGACAAUGACAACGACUACCUCCAUGUCGCGAAACAGCCCUUCGCCGAGCGAGCCGUGUCCCUCUUGUGCCUGGCCAAACAGUUGGUGCUGCUAUUGAUACUUCUGUGGCUCCUGCUGCUGAUGCGGAGGAGGAUGAUUAUGUGGGAGAUUACGAGGAUGAGGUUGAUCAAAAUCAGAACUAUGUGCAACCACAAGCACCACAACCACCAGGUCAUCCACAUGCAAAUAAUGGCAAUGGUAGGGCUCUUCCUCAGGUACGAGAUCAUGACCAUCUCCCUAAAUUGAAAUUGAAUAUUCUACCAUUUGAGGGUAGAUAUGUUCCUGAUAUAUAUCUUACUUGGGAAUUAGAAACAGAACAACGAUUUACAUGUUUACAAUAUCCUGAGGAGAGACGUGUUCCUGCUGCUGUUUGUGUUUCACUAGCUUUACAUGUGUUUGGUGGUCUGAACAUUGUAGAUUAUAUCGUAUUCCAGCUACUUGGGCUGCUUUGAAAACUGCUAUGCGUACUCGUUGGGUUCCACCAUAUUAUCAACGUGAAUUACUUCAAAAAUUGUAGCGUUUAAGACAAGGAAAAAUUCUGUAGAAGAAUAUUAUCAGGAAUUACAGACUGGCAUGAUUAGAUGUGGUAUUGUUGAGGAGAAUGAAGCUAUGCUUGCACAUUUUAUGGGUGGAUUAAAUAUAGAGAUUCAGACCAUUCUAGAGUAUAAGGAGUAUACUAAUAUCACCCAUUUAUUCCAUCUUGCUUGUAAAGCUGAACGUGAAGUGCAGGAUCGACAGGCAUUGGCGCGAACUAAAUGUUCUGCAGGUCGAUCUUCAUCAUGGACACCACGUGCAUCCUCUACUUCCAUUGCACCAGCAUCUCCAUCGGGUUCCACCUCCAGCCGUGAUACAAGAAAGCAGGCACAACCACCACUAUCUGCCAAGAGCACACCUGUCGGGCCUACGCAGAGCUCUUCUUCUUCCAUGGCAUCAACAUGGCACACAAGUGAUAUUAUUUGUCGUCGUUGUAAGGGAAGAGGACAUUUUGCAAGAGAAUGCAAAUCUCAGCGUGUGAUGAUUGCUACUGGGGAUGGUGGGUAUGAGUCCACUAGUGACUAUGAUGAGGAGACUUUAGCUCUUAUUACACAUGAAGAACACGGUGGAGAUGAUUCUGAUCAUGAGAUGCAAUACAUGGCUGCUGAAGAUGCUGACAUGUAUGAAUGUUUAGUUUCUCAACGUGUUUUGAGUGUGCAUGUUACACAAGCUGAGCAAAAUCAGAGGCAUAAUUUGUUCCAUACAAAGGGAGUUGUGAAGGAACGUUCUAUUCGCGUCAUCAUAGAUGGAGGGAGCUACAACAACUUGGCUAGCAUGGAGAUGGUGGAGAAACUAUCUCUCACCACACAACCACAUCCACAUCCUUACUACAUCCAAUGGUUCAACAACAGCGGCAAGGUUAAGGUAACACGUAUUGUUCGUGUGCAUUUUAGUAUCUCUACAUAUGCUGAUUAUGUUGACUGUGAUGUGGUACCCAUGCAAGCAUGUUCCUUAUUACUUGGUAGACCAUGGCAAUUUGAUAAAAAAUUCUAUACAUCAUGGUAGAAAUAAUCAGUAUACUCUUGUUCAUAAGGAUAGCCAUAUUAAUUUGCUUCCUAUGACUCCUGAAUCCAUUUUGAAAGAUGAUAUUAAUAGAGCUAAUAAAGCAAAAUAGGAGAAAAAUAAGAGUGAAAAUCAGAUGGUGGCAAAAGAAUUUGAGCGACAAAUGAAACCUAAUAAUAAACCAUCUAGUGUUGCUUCUGAAAUUAAAUUGAGAAGUGCAUGUUUACUUGCCACCAAAUCUGAUAUUGAUGAGUUAGAUUUCAGUAAAUCUCUUUGCUAUGCUUUUGUGUGCAAAGAGGCAUUAUUUUCAUUCGACGACGUGCCUUCCUCUUUGCCUCCUGCUGUCACUAACAUUUUGCAGGAGUUCGCUGACAUCUUUCCACAAGACGUGCCACCGGAAUUACCACCUAUUCGAGGGAUUGAGCAUCAAAAUGACUUAAUUCCCGGUGCAUCAUUACCCAACCGUGCGCCAUACCGUACCAAUCCAGAGGAGACGAAGGUGAUUAUGCGUCAAGUACAGGAGCUGCUCGACAAAGGUUAUAUACGCGAAUCCCUUAGUCCUUGUGUUAUUCCUAUCAUUUUAGUGCCGAAAAAGGAUGGUACGUCGUGUAUGUGUGUUGAUUGUAGAGGCAUUAAUAAUAUUACUAUUCGUUAUCGUCAUCCUAUUCCUAGGCUAGACGACAUGCUUGAUGAAUUGAGUGGCUCUACAAUAUUCUCCAAAGUUGAUUUGCGUAGUGGAUACCAUCAAAUUCGUAUGAAACUGGGAGAUGAAUGGAAAACAACAUUUAAAACUAAGUUUGGAUUAUAUGAGUGGUUAGUCAUGCCUUUUGGGUUAACUAAUGCACCUAGUACUUUCAUGAGGUUAAUGAACGAAGUUUUACGUGCUUUCAUUGGACGAUUUGUGGUAGUCUAUUUUGAUGAUAUACUGAUUUAUAGCAAAUCUUUGGAGGAACAUUUGGAACAUUUACGUGUUGUUUUUAUUGCUCUACAUGAUGCACGUUUGUUUGGUAACCUUGGGAAGUGCACCUUCUGCACCAACCGAGUAUCUUUUCUUGGCUAUGUUGUUACUCCAUAGGGAAUUGAAGUUGAUAAAGCCAAGAUUAAAGCUAUUGAGAGUUGGCCGCAGCCUAAAACGGUCACACAACUGAGGAGUUUUCUUGGCCUUGCUAGAUUCUAUAGGCAUUUUGUGAGAGAUUUCAACACCAUUGCUGCACCUCUCAAUGAUCUUACAAAGAAGGAUGUGCCUUUUGUUUGGAGUACCCCACAGGAAGAAGCCUUCACGGUAUUGAAAGAUAAGUUGACACAUGCUUCCUUACUCCAACUUCCUGAUUUUAAUAAGACUUUUGAGCUUGAAUGUGAUGCUGGUGGAAUUGGAUUAGGAGGUGUGUUAUUACAAGAUGGCAAACCGGUUGCAUACUUUUCUGAAAAAUUGAGUGGGCCUAGUCUGAAUUAUUCUACUUAUGAUAAAGAAUUAUAUGCUCUUGUUCAGACUUUAGAGACAUGGCAACAUUAUUUAUGGCCCAAAGAAUUUUUUAUACAUUCUGAUCAUGAAUCUUUGAAACAUAUUAAAAUUCAAGCUAAACUGAAUCAUAGACAUGCUAAAUGGGUUGAAUUCAUUGAGACUUUCCCUUAUGUUAUUAAGCACAAGAAGGGUAAAGAAAAUGUUAUUGUUGAUCCAUUGUCUUGUCGCUAUACUAUGCUUUCACAACUUGACUUCAAAAUAUUUGGUUUGGAGACCAUCAAAGAUCAAUAUGUGCAUGAUGUUGAUUUUAAAGAUGUAAUGCAGAACUGUAAAGAAGGAAGAAUGUGGAACAAGUUCGUCGUUAAUGAUGGAUUUGUGUUCCGUGCUAACAAGCUAUGCAUUCCAGCUAGCUCCAUUCGUCUUUUAUUGUUGCAUGAGGCGCAUGGAGGAGGACUAAUGGGACACUUUGGCGUGAAGAAGACGGAGGACGUACUUGCUACACAUUUCUUUUGUCCAAAGAUGAGACGGGAUGUUGAGCGUUUUGUUGCUCGCUGCACUACAUGUCAAAAAGCUAAGUCAGGACUCAAUCCUCAUGGUUUAUAUAUGCCUUUGCAUGUACCUAGUGUUCCUUGGAGGGAUAUAUCUAUGGACUUUUCAUACAUCUCCAACAUAUCUAUAAUUUUUGAUUGUUCCAUGCUAUAUUAUAUUCUGUUUUGGACAUUAUUGGGCUUUAUUAUACACUUCUAUAUUAUUUUUGGGACUAACCUAUUAACCGGAGGCCCAACCCAGAAUUGCAGGUUUUUUGCCUAUUUUAGGGUUUCGCAGAAAAAGAAUAUCAAACGGAGUCCAAACGGAAUGAAACCUUCAGGAACGUGAUUUUCGGAACGAACAUGAUCCAGAGGACUUGGACCCUACAUCAAGACAUCAACCAGGAGGCCACGAGGUAGGGGCGCACUUACCCCCCCCCCUCUAGGCGCACCCUCCACCCUCGUGGGCCCCCUGUUGCUCCAUCGACGUACUCCUUCCUCCUAUAUAUACCUGCGUACCCCCAAACUACCAGAUACGGAGCCAAAACCCUAAUUCCACCGCCAUAACUUUCUGUAUCCAUGAGAUCCCAUCUUGGGGCCUGUUCCGGAGCUCCGCCGGAGGGGGCAUCGAUCACAGAGGGCUUCUACAUCAACACCAUAGCCCCUCUGAUGAAGUGUGAGUAGUUUACUUCAGACCUACGGGUCCAUACUUAUUAGCUAGAUGGCUUCUUCUCUCUUUUUGGAUCUCAAAACAAAGUUCUCCCCCUCUCUUGUGGAGAUCUAUUCGAUGUAAUCUUCUUUUGCGGUGUGUUUGUUGAGACCAAUGAAUUUUGGGUUUAUGAUCAAGUUUAUCUAUGAACAAUAUUUGAAUCUUCUCUGAAUUCUUUUAUGUAUGAUUGGUUAUCUUUGCUAGUCUCUUCGAAUUAUCAGUUUGGUUUGGCCUACUAGAUUGAUCUUUCUUGCAAUGAGAGAAGUGCUUAGCUUUGGGUUCAAUCUUGCGGUGUCCUUUCCCAGUGAAAGUAGGGGCAGCAAGGCACGUAUUGUAUUGUCCAUCGAGGAUAACAAGAUGGGGUUUUCAUCAUAUUGCAUGAGUUUAUCCCUCUACAUCAUGUCAUCUUGCUUAAAGUGUUACUCUGUUCUCUUGAACUUAAUACUCUAGAUGCAUGCUGGAUAGCGAUCGAUGUGUGGAGUAAUAGUAGUAGAUGCUGGCAGGAGUCGGUCUACUUGUCUCAGACGUGAUGCCUAUAUACAUGAUCAUACCUAGAUAUUCUCAUAACUAUGCUCAAUUCUGUCAAUUGCUCAACAGUAAUUUGUUUACCCAUCGUGAAUACUUAUGCUCUCGAGAGAAGCCUCGAGUGAAACCUAUGGCCCCCGGGUCUAUCUUCUAUCAUAUUAAUCUCCCAAUACUUAUUUAUUUCCUUUGCCUUUUAUUUUACUUUGCAUCUUUAUCAUAAAAAUACCAAAAAUAUUAUCUUGUCAUAUUUAUCAGAUCUCACUCUCGUAAGUGACCGUGUAGGGAUUGACAACCCCUUAUCACGUUGGUUGCGAGGAUUUAUUUGUUUGUGUAGGUGCGAGGGACUCGUGCGUGGCCUCCUACUGGAUUGAUACCUUGGUUCUCAAAAACCGAGGGAAAUACUUACGCUACUUUGCUGCAUCACCCUUUCCUCUUCAAGGGAAAACCAACGCAAGUGCUCAAGAGGUAGCAAGAAGGAUUUCUGGCGCCGUUGCCGGGGAGUCUACGCAAAAGUCAACAUACCAAGUACACAUCACAAACCCUUAUCUCCCGCAUUACAUUAUUUGCCAUUUGCCUCUCGUUUUCCUCUCCCCCACUUCACCCUUGCCAUUUUAUUCUCCCUCUUUUCCGUUCGCCCUUUUUCCGUUUGCUUUAAUCUCUUGCUUGGCUCAUUUGCUCGUUUGGUUGGAAUAGUUGUUUAUUUAUUACUAAACAGAGAACCUAAGAUCUAUGGAUCCUCAUCCGCUUGCUAAUCUUUUUAAGAGAUCCAAUUAUGAUGAACCAAUUGCUAGUGAGUUUUGUGCACUAGAUUAUCUUUAUGAAGUUUUGCUUGAAAUUCGUGAAUCUAAAAAUUGUGAUGAAGUACUUUAUGGAGUGAUUCACGAUAGAUCAUUGAAUAAAAAGCACGAUUGCAAUGAUUUUACUAUAAAUUCUCUUGAUGUCAAUUGUGCUAAUAAUAUGCAAAACCCUAAGCUUGGGGAUGCUAGUUUUGCUAUGUCUACUACUUGUUGUAGUGAUCAUAAUUGGGGUGAUUCUCCUUUUGAUCUUGAAAAUUUAUUUAAGCCCCAUGAUGAAUAUGAGAUUGAUAAUAGUGUUUGCAAUAUUAUUGAAAGUGGGUUUGGAAGGGUGUCAACUUUAGAUCCCACAUAUUUGGAGAAUGUUCAAUCUUAUGAAGUUUUUGAUAAAAGUGGGUUUGGAGAGGUCAUGACUUUAGUUAAUGUUAAUCCCACUAUUUUGGAAGAGUGUCAACUUUGCAUGCAUGUGGAUCGUGUUGAAAAUAUUUUAUGUGAUAGCUAUUUUGUUGAAUUUUCUUAUGAUCCUACAUGUAAUUAUUAUGAGAGAGGAAAAUAUGGUGGUAGAAAUUUUCAUGUUACUAAAUUACCUCUCGUUAUGAUUGCUAUUGUUUCUUUCCGCUUCCUUGCAUAUGCUAGUUUUUGCUUGCCUUGAUAAUUUGUUUGCCUAUAAGAUGCCUAUGCAUAGGAAGUAUGUUAGACUUAGAUGCAUUCAUCACGUGUUUUAUGAUGCUCUCUUUGUGCUUCAAUUCUUGUCUUUCAUGUGAGCAUCAUUGAAAUAUUAUGCCUAGCUAUAAGGCUUUAAAGAAAAGCACUUGUUGGGAGACAACCCAAUAUUUUUCCUUGAUGUUAUUCAAUAAAUAAUUUAUCUAGCCUCUGUUUUUGGUUGUGUUUUUUUGUUUAAUUAGUGUUUGUGCCAAGUAGAACCGUUGGGAAGACUUGGGGAAAGUCUUUUUAAUCUUGCUGUAAAAAACAUAAAAUUUAGCGCUCAUGAGAAUUGCUGCCAUUUUUAUUUGGAAAGUGCUAUUUAGUUAAUUCUUUUUGCACAUGAUUAAUAGAUAAAUUCUCACGCCCAGAAAUUUAUUUUAGAAUUUUUGGGGUUCCAGAUCUUGCGUUAGCUACAUAUUACUACAGACUGUUCUGUUUUUGACAGAUUCUGUUUUUCGUGUGUUGUUUGCUUAUUUUGAUGAAUCUAUGGCUAGUAAAAUAGUUUAUAAACCAUAGAGAAGUUGGAAUACAGUAGGUUUAACACCAAUAUAAAUAAAUAAUGAGUUCAUUGUAGUACCUUGACGUGGUGUUUUGUUUUCUUUCGCUAACGGAGCUCACGAGAUUUUAAGUUUUGUGUUGUGAAGUUUUCAAGUUUUGGGUGAAAGAUUUGAUGGAUUAUGGAACAAGGAGUGGAAAGAGCCUAAGCUUGGGGAUGCCCAUGGCACCCCAAGAUAAUCUAAGGACACCUAAAAUCCAAAGCUUGGGGAUGCCCCGGAAGGCAUCCCCUCUUUCGUCUACUUCCAUCAGUAACUUUACUUGGAGCUAUAUUUUUAUUCGCCACAUGAUAUGUGUUUUGCUUGGAGCGUCUUGUAUGAUUUGAGUCUUUGCUUUUUAGUUUACCACAAUCAUCCUUGAUGUACACAACUUUUGAUAGAAACACACAUGAUUCAGAAAUUAUUAGAAUACUCUAUGUGCUUCACUUAUAUCUUUUGAGUUAUAUAGUUUUGCUCUAGUACUUCACUUAUAUCUUUUAGAGCACGGUGGUGGUUUUUGUUUUAUAUAAACUAUUAUUCUCUCAUGCUUCACUUAGAUUAUUUUGAUAGUAUUAAAUAGCAUGGUAAUUUACUUAAAUAAUUCUAAUAUGCUAGGUAUUCAAGACUAGUAAAAACUUUCUUAUGAGUGUAUUGAGUACUAAGAGAAGUUUGAUGCUUGAUGAUUGUUUUGAGACAUGGAGGUAGUGAUAUCAAAGUUGUGCUAGUUGAGUAGUUGUGAAUUUGAAAAAUACUUGUGUUGAAGUUUGCAAGUCCUGUAGCAUGCACGUAUGGUAAACAUUGUGUAACAAAUUUGAAACAUGAGGUGUUCUUUGAGUGUCCUCCUUAUGAGGUACGGGCGGGGACGAGCGAUGGUCUUUUCCUACCAAUCUAUCCCUCUAGGAGCAUGCGCGUAGUGCUUGGUUUUUGAUGACUUGUAGAUUUUUGCAAUAAGUAUGUGAGUUCUUUAUGACUAAUGUUGAGUCCAUGGAUUAUACGCACUCUCACCCUUCCAUCAUUGCUAGCCUCUUCGGUACCGUGCAUUGCCCUUUCUCACAUUGAGAGUUGGUGCAAACUUCGCCGGUGCAUCCAACCCCCAUGAUAUGAUACGCUCUUUCACACAUAAACCUCCUUAUAUCUUCCUCAAAACAGCCACCAUACCUACCUAUUAUGGCAUUUCCAUAGCCAUUCCGAGAUAUAUUGCCAUGCAACUUUCCACCGUUCCGUUUAUCAUGACACGUUCAUUAUUGUCAUAUUGCUUUGCAUGAUCAUUUAGUUGACAUAGUAUUUGUGGCAAAGCCACCAUUCAUAAUCCUUUCAUACAUGUCACUCUUGGUUCAUUACAUAUCCCGGUACACCGCCGGAGGCAUUCAUAUAGAGUCAUACUUUGUUCUAGUAUCGAGUUUUAAUCAUUGAGUUGUAAAUUAAUAGAAGUGUGAUGAUCAUCAUUUUCUAGAGCAUUGUCCCAAGUGAGGAAAAAAGGGAGAAAGGCCAUAAAAAAGAGAAGGCCCAAAAAAUGAGAGAAAAAGAGAGAAGGGACAAUGUUACUAUCCUUUUUACCACACUUGUGCUUCAAAGUAGCACCAUAAUCUUCAUGAUAGAGAGUCUUUUGUUUUGUCACUUUCAUAUACUAGUGGGAACUUUUCAUUAUAGAACUUGGCAUGUAUAUUCCAACAAUGGGCUUCCUCAAAUGCCCUAGGUCUUCGUGAGCAAGCAAGUUGGAUGCACACCCACUUAGUUUCUUUUUGUUGAGCUUUCAUAUAUUUAUAGCUCUAGUGCACCCGUUGCAUGGCAAUCCCUACUCCUUGCAUUAACAUCAAUUGAUGGGCAUCUCCAUAGCUCAUUGAUUAGCCUCGUUGAUGUGAGACUUUCUCAUUUUUGUCUUCUCCACAUAACCCCCAUCAUUAUUCUAUUCCACCCAUAGUGCUAUAUCCAUGGCUCACGCUCAUAUAUUGCGUGAAGGUUGAAAAAGUUUGAGAUUACUAAAGUAUGAAACAAUUGCUUGGCUUGUCAUCGGGGUUGUGCAUGAUGAGAGCAUUCUUGUGUGACGGAAAUGAAGCAUGACUAAACUAUAUGAUUUUGUAGGGAUGAACUUUCUUUGGCCAUGUUAUUUUGAGAGGACAUAAUUGCUUAGUUAGUAUGCUUGAAGUAUUGUUUUUUUAUGUCAAUAUUGAACUUUUAUCUUGAAUCUUUCAGAUCUGCAUAUUCAUACCACAAUUAAGAAGAAUUACAUUAAAAUUAUACCAAGUAGCAUUCCACAUCAAAAAAAUUGUUUUAUCAUUUACCUACUCGAGAACGAGCAGGAAUUAAGCUUGGGGAUGCUAUAUUAUAUUCUGUUUUGGACAUUAUUGGGCUUUAUUAUACACUUUUAUAUUAUUUUUGGGACUAACCUAUUAACCGGAGGCCCAACCCAUAAUUGUUGUUUUUUGCCUAUUUUAGGGUUUCGCAGAAAAAGAAUAUCAAACGGAGUCCAAACGGAAUGAAACCUUCGGGAACAUGAUUUUUGGAACGAAAAUGAUCCAGGGGACUUGGACCCUACGUCAAGACAUCAACCAAGAGGCCAUGAGGUAGGGGGAGCGCCUACCCCCCCCCCCAGGCGCGCCCUCCACCCUCGUGGGCCCCCUGUUGCUCCAUCGACGUACUCCUUCCUCCUAUAUAUACCUACGUACCCCCAAACUACCACAUACGGAGCCAAAACCCUAAUUCCACCGUCGUAACUUUCUGUAUCCACGAGAUCCCAUCUUGGGGCCUGUUUCGGAGCUCCACCGGAGGGGGCAUCGAUCACGGAGGGCUUCUACAUCAACACCAUAGCCCCUCCGAUGAAGUAUGAGUAGUUUACUUUAGACCUACGGGUCCAUAGUUAUUAGCUAGAUGGCUUCUUCUCUCUUUUUGGAUCUCAAAACAAAGUUCUCCCCCUCUCUUGUGGAGAUCUAUUCGAUGUAAUCUUCUUUUGCGGUGUGUUUGUUGAGACCAAUGAAUUUUGGGUUUAUGAUCAAGUUUAUCUAUGAACAAUAUUUGAAUCUUCUCUGAAUUCUUUUAUGUAUGAUUGGUUAUCUUUGCAAGUCUCUUCGAAUUAUCAGUUUGGUUUGGCAUACUAGAUUGAUCUUUCUUGCAAUUGGAGAAGUGCUUAGCUUUGGGUUCAAUCUUGCGGUGUCCUUUCCCAGUGACAGUAGGGGCAGCAAGGCACGUAUUGUAUUGUUGCCAUCGAGGAUAACAAGAUGGGGUUUUCAUCAUAUUGCAUGAGUUUAUCCCUCUACAUCAUGUCAUCUUGCUUAAAGCGUUACUCUAUUCUCUUGAACUUAAUACUCUAGAUGCAUGCUGGAUAGCGGUUGAUGUGUGGAGUAAUAGUAGUAGAUGCAGGCAGGAGUCGGUCUACUUGUCUCGGACGUGAUUCCUAUAUACAUGAUCAUACCUAGAUAUUCUCAUAACUAUGCUCAAUUCUGUCAAUUGCUCAACAGUAAUUUGUUUACCCACCGUGAAUACUUAUGCUCUCGAGAGAAGCAACUAGUGAAACCUAUGGCCCCCAAGUCUAUCUUCUAUCAUAUUAAUCUUCCAAUACUUAUUUAUUUCAUUUGCCUUCUAUUUUAAUUUGCAUCUUUAUCAUAAAAAUACCAAAAAUAUUAUCGUAUCAUAUCUAUCAGAUCUCACUCUCGUAAGUGACCGUGUAGAGAUUGACAACCCCUUAUCGCGUUGGUUGCGAGGAUUUAUUUGUUUGUGUAGGUGUGAGGGACUCGUGCGUGGUCUCCUACUGAAUUGAUACCUUGGUUCUCAAAAACUGAGGGAAAUACUUACGCUACUCUGCUGCAUCACCCUUUCCUCUUUAAGGGAAAACCAACGCAAGUGCUCAAGAGGUAGCAACUUUGGUUUAGGUUUACCUCGAACAAAGAAGGGGAGGGAUAGCAUAUUUGUUGUCAUGGAUAGGUUCUCGAAAAUGGCACACUUUAUACCAUGUCUUAAAAGCGAUGAUGCUGUUAAUGUUGCUGAUUUGUUCUUUCAUGAAAUUAUUCACUUGCAUGGUGUGCCAAAUACUAUUAUUUCAGAUCAUGACACUAAAUUUCUUAGCCACUUUUGGAGAUGUUUAUGGGCUAAGUUGGGGACUAAACUGCUUUUUAGUACUACUUGUCACCCCCAAACUGAUGGACAAACUGAAGUAGUCAAUAGAACAUUGUCUACUAUGCUUAGGGCUGUUUUGAAGAAUAAUAAGAAAAUGUGGGAAGAAUGCUUGCCUCAUAUUGAAUUUGCUUAUAAUCGUUCAUUGCAUUCUACAACUAAGAUGUGCCCUUUUGAAAUUGUGUAUGGUCUCCUACCUCAUGCACCUAUUGAUUUGUUGGCUCUUCCAUCUUCGGAGAAGGUUAAUUUUGAUGCUAAAGAAUGUGCUGAAUUGAUUUUAAAAAUGCAUGAGUUAACUAAGGAAAACAUUGAGCAUAUGAAUGCUAAAUAUAAACUUGCUGGAGAUAAGUGUAGAAAACAUGUUGUGUUUGGACCUGGAGAUCUUGUUUGGUUACUGUCGGUGUCAAAACCGACGGAUCUCGGGUAGGGGGUCCCGAACUGUGCAUCUAGGCCGGAUGGUAACAGGAGGCAAGGGACACGAUGUUUUACCCAGGUUCGGGCCCUCUUGACGGAGGUAAACCCUACGUCCUGCUUGAUUAAUAUUGAUGAUAUGGGUGUUACAAGAGUAGAUCUACCACGAGAUCAGAGAGGCUAAAUCCUAGAAGCUAGCCUAUGGUAUGAUUGUAUGUUGUGAUUGUUGUCCUACGGACUAAAACCCUUCGGUUUAUAUAGACACCGGAGAGGGUUAGGGUUACACAAGGUCGGUUACAAAGAAGGAGAUAUCCAUAUACGUAUUGCCUAGCUUGCCUUCCAUGCCAAGUAGAGUCCCAUCCGGACACGAGACGAAGUCUUCAAUCUUGUAUCUUCAUAGUCUAACAGUCCGGCCAAUGGAGAUAGUCCGGCUGUCCGGAGACCCCCUAAUCCAGGACUCCCUCAGUAGCCCCUGAACCAGGCUUCAAUGACGAUGAGUCCGGCGCGCAGUUGUCUUCGGCAUUGCAAGGCGGGUUCCUUCUCCGAAUACAUCACAGAAGAAUUUGAAUACGGGGAUAGUGUUUGACCCUGCAAAAUAAGUUCCACAUUCCACCAUAGAGAGAAUAAUAUUUUCGCAGAUCUAAUUCGCUAGCUUGUUUUGGCAACAUGACGUUACGUCAUGGCCCGAUGAUUAUUCGAACCAUUUCUUUCAACCAGCCCCGCACAUAAUGCGAGGCCGUUUUUCGACACGUCUUGUCAAAGCAGAGAUCGUGUCCCCUUAUUACGGGAUUCUCAUCAAUACGGGUGUGGGUAACCCAACCGCUCCAUCAAUUACGGCGCUUGGGGGAUAAGCGAGUUUUACUAGGCAAGUAGGGACGCUUAGUUUUGUCCGCCCAUAUAAAGGGAUAAGGAUUCACCUUUCUAUCCACGCCUUCUUCCUCCUCUGCUCAUCCGCUCCCGCACACUCGAGCUCUAGCGCCCAAGUCCUCACUUCCAUCUCAACCUUCUCCAACCAUGUCUGGAGCGGGAGGCAAGUGGAUGGUCUCCUCCGUCACGGAGGGAGACGUCAAGAAACUGAGGAGAGCUGGAUACCUGCCCGACGACAUCGAGCACCGGCUCCCAGAUGAGGGGUAACUCAUUCCCACCCCCAGGCCCCAUGAGAGGGUUGUAUUCCUCACCCAUUUCCUUCGCGGACUGGGAUUCCCUCUCCAUCCCUUCAUCUGGGGGCUCAUGUUUUAUUACGGCCUGGAUUUCCACGAUCUGGCCUUGAACUUCAUCCUCAACAUCUCGGUGUUUAUCGUCAUGUGCGAGGCCUUCCUCCGCAUCAAGCCCCACUUCGGCUUAUGGCUGAAGACCUUCAAUGUUAAGCCGAAGGUAGUGAGGGGCCGCCAGGCAGAGUGCGGAGGCGCCAUGGUGGGCAAGAUGCCCAACAUAACAUGGCUCGAGGGCUCCUUCGUGCAUACCAUAAAGGGGUGGCAAUCGGGGUGGUUCUAUAUCACCGAGCCGCGCGACCCCGCAUGGGUAGCGGCCCCCGAGUUCCGAUCUGGCAUCCCCAUGCGGCUCACCUCCUGGAAAGAGAAGGGCCCGUCCUGGGGUAAUUCAAAAGAGCUGACCAAACUCCAGACAUGUAUUUAAAACAUGGUGGACAAGAAGCUCAACCUCGUCAACAUAGUCCAGGUCAUGCUCAUCCGCCGGAUACACCCGUGCCAACAAUGGGAGUUCACCUUGUGGGAGUUCAACCCGGCGCAGCACCGAACUCUGAACAGGCUCUUCGACAUGACUCAUGAAGAUGCCUGGAGGGUGCUGUUCAAGAGCGCCGCGGUCCCUCCCCCCAUUACUGAGGAUCGCAGAUUCAGCGCGAAGCGCCAAGGCAGUGUGGUAAGUUGUUUUACCUUUCACUGGAUACUUGUUUUCUAUAUAGAUUGACUCUAUGCGGGAUGUAAACUCCCGUGCCUCUGACAGGACUAGCAGAAGAUGGACAGACAGACCGACUGUCCGGCUCCUUUUCCCGAAGGCCCCGCAGACGCCCUUCUGGCGAAGAUGUUGACUCCGGCCCCUUAUAAGGUGCCGGAGAAGACCAAGAAGGCCAAGGGAGCUCGAAAGAGUUCCCGACACCAGGCGUCAUCGGACUCACCGUCCGAUGACUCUGCGGCGCACUCUUCCCCUGAAAACAAGGAAGAGGAAGAAGAAGCUCCCCCACCAACUGAGGGAGACAAGAAAAGGAAGGCCGCCCCAACUGGGGAGGCCUGGGGGUCCAAGAAGGGAAGGACUCCCCUUCCGGACAGCUCCACCGCCGCCAACGAAAGCAAAGACGAUUGGUUGCCCAGGGCCAAGCCCCCGGGGAGAUCGUAAGUAUUCUGAUACCAAAGUUACCCAUAGGAUUCCUUUGUCGCACUUACUUUUCCUAACGCCGAACACAAUUGUGCAGGCCGCCCCGGGCCGAUAUCGAGGUAUCAUCGAACGGCUACCUGGGCUCGUCGGACAUGGAUAGCGAUCCAGUCCCGACUGCCACCUCCCCUCAUCCUGCCGACGAUGCCGAAGUGUUGUCUCAAGAGGCACUGGAUCGAGGGGGGACCGUCCCGGAGGCGCCUCAAGGUGACUGACGGUGUCCUGGACUAGGGGGUACUCACCACAUCGUCUCCCAAUCUAUUAGAUUGGGCCGAGGACCCCCGUGGCUGUAUACUCAUGGGCCAGUUCGGACGGCUACCGCAUACAAGGAAGAUUCCACAAGACUUGGCGAUCAAGACAAGGACUUCUCCCCACCGGCGUAUUCGGCUAGGACUCUUGUUAUCCUAGGCCUCCGGUGCAUUAUAUAAACCGAGGCCAGGCUAGUCGAUAGAUAUACAAUACACAACAUACAAUCAUACCAUAGGCUAGCUUCUAGGGUUUAGCCUCUCUGAUCUCGUGGUAGAUCUACUCUUGUACUACCCAUAUCAUCAAUAUCAAUCAAGCAAGACGUAGGGUUUUACCUCCAUCAAGAGGGCUCGAACCUGGGUAAAACAUCGUGUCCCCUGCCUCCUGUUACCAUCCAGCCUAGACGCACAGUUCGGGACCCCCUACCCGAGAUCCACCGGUUUUGACACCGACAUUGGUACUUUCAUUGAGAGUUCCGCUAUGUGAUCGACAAAAGGAUCGAUGGCUCGCCUGCAGAUCAACUGCGACUUCGGCAUCUUCGUCACCAGCUCGACUGGUCACCUUGGUUCAACCAAGAAUUGCGCCCCGUGUUCGGAUCACCAUGUCCGGACGAGGGCCUUCAUCAAACAUCAACUCCGAUCUCUAUCAAGAUCACGGAGGAAUCAUCUAUGGAGCUCGGGGGCUCAACGUCAACAUUGCCCUCGAGCGACCAUGCUGUUUUUCUGGACAGUGAACUCGUAUCUGCCAUCACCACCUCCUCGAGUAUCGCUUUCACUAUCGCUUUGGUGAAAUUGUGCAGAAUUGAGUCUACAACAACCCUCGAAAAUUUCGUCGAGUUCCAAUGGAGGAAUCUCUGGCAAUCCACGAUAUACCGGAGCCCUGUCAAAUCUGGAUGGGAAUUUGGAUGAGUUUAGGGCGUGGUGUCCAGCUUCUAGCUCGGACGUCCGUUGGAAGAUCCAACCGUUGAUCGGCUGCAGAAUUCCUAUAUCUACCACCUCUCAAAAUUUCGGCUCGAUCCGACCGUCCAAACUCCGGGAACCUUCCGAUUAGUGCAUCACUUUUCGGAUCUGUUUUCUGCGUGAAAACGAAUCCGACCCGAGUUCAUCUUUUUUAUGAACAGGAUUUCGGACAUCCCUUUUGAAGGAAGUUUUGUAUGGGGUAUUGUGUUUUGUUCCCGAACACAUUCCACUAACUGUAAGAUCUUUUGAACAUGAUCGUCAACAUCAUGCUAAUGUCAAACCAGUCCGGCAAUAUUACUCCACGGCUGCCGACCUGCGCUAGACACGGCGUCACUUUGUUGAGCCGAGCUCAACUUCUUCGGAUCAUCAUCUCGGCAAGCCGAACAAGAGCCCCGCGUCGCGAAGGAUAAAUCAUCACCAACAUCGCCGCCCCACGGAUUACACGGAGCGGGCAUACCGGCAUCACCGCACGGUCGCUUUAUCAAGCCGGCAUCGACCACGUCACGACCUGCAUCAACGGGGCCGCAUUAUUGCUUCUUCAAGCUGGUGUCCAUCACACGGACCUACUUCGACUCAUCGGCUGACAUUGAGGCUUCGACAUCUCGGCUGGACCGGGGGCUUCGCCAUCUCUUCAUCAACCUACUUCGGACACUUCGGCGUCACUAGCCGACCAGCUCCGUCACGUUAGCUGGGCCGAGGGCUUUGCCUCGGCGAGUCAACCUUUACCAGCAUUGCCAUGCCAUCGUUUUAUCGCCCAUCAGGCAAUGGGUGUGCGGAGCGGGUCCCAAUUUUAGGAAUCACCUUCCUUCGGAUUGCUACAACAAAUAAACCAUGUGCUAUUAAUCCCAGUAUUUUUUGCUUGUUUGGGUUCAUUUUUCCCAAGGAAUUAUUACUCUGGUUUGUCUGUCAUAUGUACACAGGUCUAUCAAAUGGUGGCCACAUUAACGACAGUCGCAUGGUGGUUCGGUCAGUUUCCGUACAUAGUCCGGCGAACGCCGCACUCGGAGCAUGGACCGACCUGCGAAUUCAGGCUUUGCCACGCCUUUACCGCAUCACGCCGACGCCCUGCAUCGACAUUGACUUCGGCGCCAGGCCAUAUUUCUUUUAUUACUCACUUUGCAUAAAUUAUUUAUUAUGCAACGAUUUUUUUAAUUAUCAUUACUACUAUUAUCUCCGGUUUGCACUAUUUUUUGUGCACAGGAAAAUGAUUCGGGGACUUCGGCGUCACUCUGCCGGUCUGCAUUGAUCAUGCUAUGUCACCACUUCGGCGUGUCAAGCUCUCCGCUCCGCCACCUCGGGACCAGCUUGAGGGAUGGAACCUUGCCCCGCAUCAAGCUCGGACCGCGUCAUCAAUACCGAACACAUUAACCAGCUAAGUCGCUUUCAUGCUCAAAGCUUUAAUUUCUAACUUGCAUUUGGUUCGACCAAGCAUUAUAUUUUUUUGGAAAAAAGUUUCUUCUAAAAAAUUUCCUUGUCCAAACUUUGUUUGUGACGCAUAAAUUCAAAUACCCCGUUUACUUGGGGGCUUCCUUUAUGAAGCUUUUCCUGUUGCAUAUGAUUAUACUUGUACGGCUUCGUUCCUUGUUCAUGUAUUACGCCACAGUAUGCACCAUAUGGACUUAAGCGAUUUGCAAGCUGGGUUGCCUCGCUCCUGUGUUUACCCCUACGUUCCCGAUUGUUCGGCUAGGGAGUAAAGGGAGCACCUCUGCGAUUGUCACGAUCGGGUCACCCGAGCCGGACCUCAGACUGGGUGAAGCAGAAAGCUAGCGCUCUUAUAGUUAUUCAAUGAUGGUCGGCACACAAUGGAACUCAUGAGUUCAAAAAAUCUAUUGCACAAGUCUCAUAAUAACAAUGAGCACCGAAGAAAGGUAUCAGUGGGGGUACUAUUUUCUUCGAAGAUGCUUCUUACUCUUCGCAGUAAUAUAGCAUAAGUUCCCUAAGCGCGCUUUGUCUGUUACAGCCUUAUGGCCUGAUUGUCUGGUUAUUGGAAACACCGUCGAUAUUCUCGACCGAUGGAGUACAUAACACUUUUCGGUCCUUAACCGAAGAGGGAGAAGCCGACGGUCGGUUAAGACGUGUUUAAAGUUCGGUUGAACAUAGAUAUGAUAUAAGUACUUUGGUACAUGCAAUCAUUCUUCUACCCAAGUCACUUGGGGGCUCUUAAGUUUAUUUGAGCCGUUUUAUAAUAAGUGUUCUUCUUCUCAGUUGUUGCAAAGUUCUAUUAUUAUUAUUAUUAUUAUUUAUCACUCCUUUUUUCGACGCGAGUGUGCGGUCACUAGCCGGGGAGCCUAAUUUCUCUCUCAAAGCCACUAGAGUUUAGUUUGCUAAACUGUCCUAAUGAGAAGUACUCCGCCCUCGGGAUAGGAGGUUGAAGCCGUGGGCUGACCCGCUAGAAGUCUUGAGAUAGGAUGUGUCAUCUUAAAGGACGACAGAAGCACUUCUUUUUUCUAAGACCAAUUUUUGGAUUGGCACCGAACACUUGAUCUUGUUCGGACGUCAUGUUUUUACUGAUGUUUCUUGGUUUUUCAAGCUUUUUGGCACUUUUAAACUAUUUGUGCCUUUCCAGCAUUAGUCUCGCAGUGCAACGCCGGACACCUUUAGGGAUUCGGAAAAAACACUCUCAGAUAUUGCUAUAUAUGCAUCGGUUUCGAAUUGUGUCUUCGGUCAAUAGUUGGGUUGCCCGGCUCCUGCACUUGCUUCCUACAUUCCAUUUUGUUCGGCUAGGCGUGCAAAGGGAGAACCACUGCGAUUGUGCUUCCAGCUCACAUGGUUAAGCACCUUAGUGGAGAAAGCCGAAAACUGACUGUCACAAUAAGCGUAAACUGGUCAGCGAUCUGAUGACUAUGACGGGCCAUUCAUAACAUUGGCCGAAGUGUUUACGGCUUGACCUCGACUGUCGCCGAACACUAUCGGGGGCUAUUAACUGGCCUCCCAAACUAAAUCCUCGAUAUUUUGCUCUUACAUUCGAGUUGAGGUUUCAUGAUCAUGCUUAGCAUGACAACCCAAAGAAAGGAACCGAUAGCGGGACUAUUUUCUUUGGAAUACAUUUCUUCUGUUAAACAGUAAUAUAACAUAUCUCUCUGCGUACCUUUGUUUAUAAAACCGUGUGGCCAGAUUGCCUUGUUUGUCGUAAAUCUUUGCCCUCAUAAAGGCUUUAUAAAGUAGGACAAACACUCCUCGGCUACUGGUCAAGGAGGUGGAAGCCGAUGGUCGGUCAACAAAGUUUUGUACAAUGCGGAUCUGAGAAUUAAUGACAAAAAGUACUUGGAUACAUAGAGUCAUUACACAUAAUUUGUGAUUUUACUAUGGAUAUUGAUCCUUAAUUCGGCCACCCGUGCCCGCAUUAAGGCUCGGGGGCUAAUGGGCUUCGGGCUUAUUAUUUACAAAUAUUAAAGGGGCACAUCGAUCCCCUGAUCUGGUGUUGCCACCCAACCAGUGUCUCGGGGGCUACUGCAUUGCUUGUCCAAUGCAGAAAAUUUUAUGUGCAAUAUAGUUUCCGAGGAGAUUUUGAUCCUCAAGUUGGUCGGCCGCACCCAACCUAAGUCUUGAGGACUAAGCACGCCGCUUUUGUGUCCCGAAGUAUUCUGCCGAGCUAGGACUUGAUCCUCAGGCCGAUUUUGCAAAUCAACCUAAGUCUCAGCGGCUACUGGGAUCAGCGGUCUUAUGUCAUCCUUCAUGUGCAUCUUGGGUUUUAGAUCGAUACACACCUUGAGGGCUACUGGCUAUAUAUCUCGGCAGAGAAUAAAUUGCACCAAUAAAAAAUAUUGACAAAAAAUCAGCCCAUAGUCGGGGUGGUGCACCACCUCGGAAGCAGUCCGGCAUAAAGCUCGGGCGCUAGUGGCUGGCUCCAUAGAGGGCAUUUCCGGCAUUAAGCUCGGCUAAACUCCUUCAACUUUUUUGAACCAAGGUGAUAUGACACCUCGGAUAUAGUCCGGCAUUGGAGCCUGGACAUAGUCUGGUGUUGGAGCUCGGAUAUAUUUCGGCGUUGGAGCUCGGAUAUACAGUCCGGCAUUGGAGCUCGGAUACAUAGUCCGGCAUUAGAGCUUGGAUACAUUCCGGCGCUAGAGCUGGGAAGCGGUCCGGCGUUGGUGCUCGGCUGCAAAAGAUACCUCGAAUGCAGUCCGGCGUUGGAGCUCGGACGCAAGAGGACCCUGCCUCCCGAGAACAACUUCAAACCCGAGGUGUGGCAUAAAAAUAAACAAGGCAUUGAUAAAGGCCAGAAACUUAAAGGGGCUCCUCGGAUACCCGACGUGUAAACUCGUCGAAUGCAUUUCGGCGAUCCUCAAGAUCGAAGAUAAAGAAGAUUUGUUGAACCAGUUUUCAAGACCGGCAACCGAAGAUGAAGAACAGUUCGGAAGAAUCGACGAGCGUCCCUAACUUGAAGACCGGUUCAGGGGGCUACUGACGGUGUCCUGGACUAGGGGGUACUCACCACGUCGUCUCCCGAUCUAUUAGAUUGGGCCGAGGACCCCCAUGGUCGUAUACUCAUGGGCCAGUUCGGAUGGCUACCGCAUACAAGGAAGAUUCCACAAGACUUGGCGAUCAAGACAAGGACUUCUCCCCACCGGCGUAUUCGGCUAGGACUCUUGUUAUCCUAGGCCUCCGGUGCAUUAUAUAAACCGAGGCCAGGCUAGUCGAUAGAUAUACAAUACACAACAUACAAUCAUACCAUAGGCUAGCUUCUAGGGUUUAGCCUCUCUGAUCUCGUGGUAGAUCUACUCUUGUACUACCCAUAUCAUCAAUAUCAAUCAAGCAGGACGUAGGGUUUUACCUCCAUCAAGAGGGCCCGAACCUGGGUAAAACAUCGUGUCCCCUGCCUCCUGUUACCAACCAGCCUAGACGCACAGUUCGGGACCCCCUACCCGAGAUCCGCCGGUUUUGACACCGACAGCGACCUUCCGGACUCCGGGAGCCGAGGGGACGGGGUCCCCGAGAGCUCUGAGUUCAGCCCUCAGCCGAACACCACGCCGGAUCCUCCAACGGUUCCGGACUCGGGUAGGCGGUCCCCUUCUAAGAGGGGCGAAACGCCAGUGCCGGUGACCUCCGCCCAUCCAGAGGCACCGGACAGCCUGCUGGAAGCGCUUCGCAGCGCUUCCAUCGACGAGGAGCACCGCACCAUCAUGAGUGCGGUGAUUCAGAAGGUUCAGUACGCCAAGAGCGGAUUGACUAAAACCUGUGCCAGCCUUCUAACAGGCUUCGAGGUAAGUUUUUUAAAAUGUAGUAGAAGUAUUACCAUAUAGACAGUAGCCCCUGAUGCUUUGUUCGGUGUUCACAAAGAAAAGCCGAAAAGAGGAUCCAAUAAUAUCGUAGGAGUUUAAUAUAAGUAUGUCAAUAUGCAUAUGUAGGCUUCUCUGCUGGCGUCCACCGCACUAACUGCGGAGGUCGCCAUACUGAAGCAGGCCCUCAAUGGGUCCAAGAAAGAACUCGGCCUUGCCAAGAGGCAGCUCGAGGAGAACGAGGGUAAGUAAUACCCCAUCUAUAGAUAUGUGUAUAUAAAAAAGGACGCAAUUGCAAAAUGACAGGGUCAUUGUAUGUUUUGCCAGGGGCCACGACCGAGGUGGCGACCCUGAAGCAAGCACUGACCAAGGCCGAAGAUACAGCGUCCAAGGAGCGCACCGAGCGAGAGAGGCACGAGGCUCGGGUGGGCGAGGUGCAGCAAGAGCUCCAGACUCUCGUGAUGAAGCACGAGGCGUUGGAGCUUGACUUGAAGACGUGAGAGUCUGAGCUGUUGGAAAUAUGCCCUAGAGGCAAUAAUAAAAGUAUUAUUAUUAUAUUUCCUUGUUCAUGAUAAUUGUCUUUUAUUCAUGCUAUAAAUGUAUUAUCCGGAAAUCGUAAUACACGUGUGAAUACAUAGACCACAAUAUGUCCCUAGUGAGCCUCUAGUUGACUAGCUCGUUGUGAUCAACAGAUAGUCAUGGUUUCCUGGCUAUGGACAUUGGAUGUCGUUGAUAACGGGAUCACAUCAUUAGGAGAAUGAUGUGAUGGACAAGACCCAAUCCUAACACUAGCACAAAAGAUCGUGUAGUUCAUUUGCUAGAGCUUUGCCAAUGUCAAGUAUCUCUUCCUUCGAGCAUGAGAGCGUGUAACUCCUGGAUACCGUAGGAGUGCUUUGGGUGUAUCAAACAUCACAACGUAACUGGGUGACUAUAAAGGUGCACUACAGGUAUCUCCGAAAGUAUCUAUUGUUUUAUGCGGAUCGAGACUGGGAUUUGUCACUCCGUGUAAACGGAGAGGUAUCUCUGGGCCGACUCGGUAGGACAUCAUCAUAUGCGCAAUGUGACCAAGGAGUUGAUCACGGGAUGACGUGUUACGGAACGAGUAAAGUGACUUGCCGGUAACGAGAUUGAACAAGGUAUUGGAUACCGACGAUCGAAUCUCGGGCAAGUAACAUACCGAUAGACAAAGGGAAUUGAAUACGGGAUUGAUUAAGUCCUUGACAUCGUGGUUCAUCCGAUGAGAUCAUCGUGGAACAUGUGGGAGCCAUCAUGGGUAUCCAGAUCCCGCUGUUGGUUAUUGACCGGAGAACAUCUCGGUCAUGUCUACAUGUCUCCCGAACCCGUAGGGUCUACACACUUAAGGUUCGAUGACGCUAGGGUUAUAAAGGAAGUUUGUAUGUGGUUACCGAAUGUUGUUCGGAGUCCCGGAUGAGAUCCCGGAUGUCACGAGGAGUUCUGGAAUGGUCCGGAGGUAAAGAUUUAUAUAUGGGAAGUCCUAUUUUGGCCACCGGAAAAUGUUCGGGAUUUUUCGGUAUUGUACCGGGAAGGUUCUAGAAGGUUUCGGAGUGGGGCCCACCUGCAUGGGGGGACCCACAUGGACGUGGGUAGUGGGGGCAAGGCCCCACACCCCUGGUCAAGGCGCACCAAGAUCCCCCCUUAGAAGGAAUAAGAUCAUAUCCCGAAGGGAUAAGAUCAAGAUCCCUAAAAAGGGGGGAUAACAAUCGGUGGGGAAGGAAAUAAUGAGAUUUCUUUCCUCCCACCUUGGCCAACGCCCCAAUGGACUUGGAGGGCAAGAAACCAGCCCCUCCACCCCUAUAUAUAGUGGGGAGGCGCAUGGGAGCUAUAGACGAACUUCUGGCACAACCCUACCUCUCUCCCUACUCCUCCUCUCCCAUGGUGCUUGGCGAAGCCCUGCUGGAUUGCCAUGCUCCUCCACCACCACCACGCCGUUGUGCUGCUGUUGGAUGGAGUCUUCCUCAACCUCUCCCUCUCUCCUUGCUGGAUCAAGGCGUGGGAGAUGUCACCGGGCUGUACGUGUGUUGAACGCGGAGGUGCCGUGCGUUCGGCACUUGAUCAUCGGUGAUUUGAAUCACCACGAGUACGACUCCAUCAACCCCGUUCACUUGAACGCUUCCGCUUAGCGAUCUACAAGGGUAUGUAGAUGCACUCUCCUUCCCCUCGUUGCUAGUCUCUCCAUAGAUAGAUCUUGGUGACACGUAGGAAAAUUUUGAAUUUAUGCUACGUUCCCCAACAGUGGCAUCAUGAGCUAGGUCUAUUGCGUAGAUUCUUUGCACGAGUAGAACACAAAGUAGUUGUGGGCGUUGAUGUUGUUCAAUAUGCUUACCGUUACUAGUCCAAUCUUGUUUCGACGGUAUUGUGGGAUGAAGCGGCCCGGACCGACCUUACACGUACUCUUACGUGAGACAGGUUCCACCAAUUGACAUGCACUUGGUGCAUAAGGUGGCUAGCGGGUGCCAGUCUCUCCCACUUUAGUCGGAACGGAUUCGAUGAAAAGGGUCCUUAUGAAGGGUAAAUAGCAAUUGGCAUAUCACGUUGUGGUCUUGCGUAGGUAAGAAACGUUCUUGCUAGAAACCCAUAGCAGCCACGUAAAACAUGCAACAACAAUUAGAGGACGUCUAACUUGUUUUUGCAGGGUAUGCUAUGUGAUGUGAUAUGGCCAAGAAGAAUGUGAUGAAUGAUAUGUGAUGUAUGAGAUUGAUCAUGUUCUUGUAAUAGGAUUCACGACUUGCAUGUCGAUGAGUAUGACAAUCGGCAGGAGCCAUAGGAGUUGUCUUUAUUUAUUGUAUGACCUGCGUGUCAUUGAAGAACGCCAUGUAAACUACUUUACUUUAUUGCUAAACGCGUUAGUCAUAGAAGUAGAAGUAGUCAUUGGCGUGGCAACUUCAUGAAGACACGAUGAUGGAGAUCAUGAUGAUGGAGAUCAUGGUGUCGUGCCGGUGACGAUGAUGAUCAUGGAGCCCCGAAGAUGAAGAUCAAAAGGAGCAAAAUGAUAUUGGCCAUAUCAUGUCACUAUUUGAUUGCAUGUGAUGUUUAUCAUGUUUAUGCAUCUUGUUUGCUUAGGACGACGGUAGUAAAUAAGAUGAUCCCUUACAAAAUUUCAAGAAGUGUUCUCCCCUAACUGUGCACCGUUGCUACAGUUCGUCGCUUCUAAGCACCACGUGAUGAUCGGGUGUGAUGGAUUCUUACGUUCACAUACAACGGGUGUAAGACAGUUUUACACAGCGAAAACACUUAGGGUUAACUUGACGAGCCUAGCAUGUGCAGACAUGGCCUCGGAACACGGAGACCGAAAGGUCGAGCAUGAGUCGUAUGGUAGAUACAAUCAACAUGAAGAUGUUCACCGAUGAUGACUAGUCCAUCUCACGUGAUGAUCGGACACGGCCUAGUUGACUCGGAUCAUGUGAUCACUUAGAUGACCAGAGGGAUGUCUAUCUAAGUGGGAGUUCAUAAGAUGAACUUAAUUAUCCUAAACAUAGUCAAAAGACCUUUUGCAAAUUAUGUCGUAAGCUCGCGCUUUAGUUCCACUGUUUAGAUAUGUUCCUAGAGAAAAUAUAGUUGAAAGUUGAUAGUAGCGAUUAUGCGAUCAGUAGAAAGCUUAUGUCCUUAAUGCACCGCUCAGUGUGCUGAACCCCAACGUCGUUUGUCGAUGUUGCGAACAUCGGACAUACACGUUUUGAUAACUACGUGAUAGUUCAAUUAAAUGGUUUAAGUAGAGGCACCAAAGACGUUUUCGAAACGUCGCGGAACAUAUGAGAUGUUUCGAGGGCUGAAAUUGGGAUUUCAGGCUCGUGCCCACGUCAAGAGGUAUAAGACCUCCGACGAUUUUCUUAGCCUACAAACUAAGGGAGAAAAGCUCAAUCAUUGAGCUUGUGCUUAGAUUGUCUGAGCACAACAAUCACUUGAAUCGAGUGGGAGUUGAUCCUCCAGAUGAGAUAGUGAUGUUUCCCCAAAGUCAUUGCCACCAAGUUGCUAGAGCUUCGUGAUUAACUAUAACAUAUCAGGGAUAGAUAUGAUGAUCCUUGAAAUAUUCAUGAUGUUUGACACCGCGAAAGUAGAAAUCAAGAAGGAGCAUCAAUUGUUGAUGGUUGGUGAAACCACUAGUUUCAAGAAGGGCAAGGGAACAAAGGGAUACUUCAUGAAACGGCAAUUCAGCUGCUGCUCUAGUGAAGAAACCAAAGGUUGAACCCAAACCCGAGACUAAGUGCUUCUGUAAUAAGGGGAACAACCACUGGAGCAGCAUUACCCUAGAUACUUGGUAGAUGAGAAGGCUGGCAAGGUCGAUAGAAGUAUAUUGGAUAUACAUUAUGUUAAUGUGUACUUUACUAGUACUCCUAGUAGCACCAGGGUAUUGGAUACCGGUUCGGUUGCUAAGUGUUAGUAACUCGAAAUAAAAGCUAUGGAAUAAACGGAGACUAGCUAAAGGUGAGCUGACGAUAUAUGUUGGAAGUGUUUCUAAGGUUGAUAUGAUCAAGCAUCGCACGCUCCCUCUACCACCGAGAUUGGUGUUUGCGUUGAGCAUAGACAUGAUUGGAUUAUGUCUAUCGCAAUACGGUUAUUCAUUUAAGGAGAAUAAUGGUUACUCUAUUUUUGAAUAAUACCUUCAAUGGUCUUGCACCUAAAGGAAUGGUUUAUUGAAUCUCGGUCGUAGUGAUACACAUUUUCAUGCCAAAAGAUAUAAGAUAGUAAUGAUAGUACCACUUACUUGUGGCACUGCCAUGUAAGUCAUAAUGGUAUAAAACGCAUGAAGAAGCUCCAUGUUGAUGGAUCUUUGGACUCACUCGUUUUUGAAAAGUUUGAGACAUGCGAACCAUGUCUAUUGGUGUAUAUGCAUGAAGAAACUCCAUGCAAAUGGAUCAUUCGGACUCACUUGAUUUUGAAUCACUUGAGAUAUGCAAAUCAUACCACAUGGGCAAGAUGACUGAAAAGCCUCAUUUUCAGUAAGAUGGAACAAGAUAGCAACUUGUUCGAAGUAACACAUUUUGAUGUGUGCAGUCGAAUGAGUGCUGAGGCAUGCAGUGAAUAUCAUUAUGUUCUUACUUCACAGAUGAUUCGAGUAAAUGUUGAGUAUAUUUACUUGAUGAAACACAAGUCUGAAUUAUUGAAUGGUUCAAGUAAUUUCAGAGUGAAGUAGCAGAUCAUUGUGACAAGAGGAUAAAAUGUCUAUGAUAUGAUCAUAGAGAUGAAUAUCUAAGUUACGAGUUUUGGCACACAAUUAAGACAUUGUGGAAAUUGUUUCGCAAUUAAUAUCGCCUGGAACACCAUAAUGUGAUGGUGUGUCCGAACAUCAUAGUUGCACCCUAUUGGAUAUGGUGCGUACCAUGAUGUCUCUUAUCGAAUUACCACUAUUGUUCAUGGGUUAGGCAUUAGAGACAAUCACAUUCACUUUAAAUAGGGCACCACGUAAUUCUGAUGAGAUGACACCGUAUGAAUUAUGGUUUAGAGAAACCUAAGUUGUCGUUUCUUAAAAGUUUGGGGCUGCGACGCUUAUAUGAAAAAGUUUCAGGUUGAUAAGCUCGAACCCAAAGCGGAUAAAAUGCAUCUUCAUAGGAAACCCAAAACAGUUGGGUAUACCUCCUAAUUUAGAUCCGAAAGCAAUAUGGAUUGUUUCUAGAAUCGGGUCCUAUCUCGAGGAAAAGUUUCUCUCGAAAGAAUUGAGUGGGAGGAUGGUGGAGACUUGAUGAGGUUAUUGAACCGUCUCUUCAACUAGUGUGUGACAGGGCACAGGGAGUUGUUCCUGUGGCACCUACACCAAUUGAAGUGGAAGCUUAUGAUAUUGAUCAUGAAACUUCGGAUCAAGUCACUCCCAAACCUCGUAGGAUGACAAGGAUGCGUACUACUUCAGAGUGGUACGUAAUCCUGUCUUGAAGGUCAUGUUGCUAGACAACAAUGAACCUACGAGCUAUGGAGAAGCGAUGGUGGGCCCGGAUUCCGAUAAAUGGCUUGAGGCCAUAAAAUCCGAGAGAGGGUCCAUGUAUGAAAAAAAGUGUAGACUUUGGCAGAACGGCUCGAUGGUCGUAAGGCUAAUGAGUACAGAUGGAUUUCAAAAGGAAGACGGACAAUGAUGGUAAAUGUCACCAUUAAGAAAGCUCGACUUGUCGUCAAGAUGUUUUCCGACAAGUUCAAGGAGUUGACUACGAUGAGAUUUUCUCACUCGUAGCGAUGCUAAGAGUCUGUUGGAAUUAUAUUAGCGAUUACUGCAUUAUUUAUGAAAUCUUGCAGAUAGGAUGUCAAAACAUUGUUUCCUCGACGAUUUUAAUGAGGAAAGGUUGUAUGUGAUACAACCGGAAGGUUUUGUCAAUCCCGAAAGAUGCUAAUAAGUAUGCAAAGCUCCAGCAAUCCUUCUAAGGACUGGAGUGAGCAUCUCGGAGUUGGAAUGUAUGCUUUGAUGAUGAUCAAAAAUUUUGGGUUUGUACAAAGUUUAUGAGAAACUUGUAUUUCCAAAGAAGUGAGUGGGAGCACUAUAGAAUUUCUGAUGAGUAUAUGUUGUUGACAUAUUGUUGAUCAGAAAUGACGUAGAAUUUCUGGAAAGCAUAUAGGGUUAUUUUGAAAGUGUUUUUCAAUGGAAAGCCUGGAUUAAACUACUUGAACAUUGAGCAUCAAGAUCUAUAAGGAUAGAUCAAAAUGCUUAAUAAUACUUUCAAAUGAGCACAUACCUUGACAUGAUCUUGAAGGUGUUCAAGAUGGACCAGUCAAAGAAGGAGUUCUUGCCUGAGUUGUAAGGUACGAAGUUAAGACUUAAAGCUCGACCACGGCAGAAUAGAGAGAAAGGACGAAGGUCGUCCCCUAUGCUUAAGACGUAGGCUCUUCAAUAUGCUAUGCUGUGUACCGCACCUGAAGUGUGCCUUGCCAUGAGUCAGUCAAGGGGUACAAGAGUGAUCCAAGAAUGGCUCACAGGACAGCGGUCAAAGUUAUCCUUAGUAACUAGUGGACUAAGGAAUUUUCUCGAUUAUGGAGCUGGUAAAAGAGUUCGUCGUAAAGGUUACGACGAUGCAAGCUUGACACCUAUCCGGAUAGCUCUGAGUAGAGAGACCGGAUACAUAUAAUGGAGCAAUAAUUUAGAAUAGCUCCAAGUAGAACAGUUGUUUGGAAUAGCUCCAAAUAGAGCGUGGUAGCUGCAUCUAGGAGAUGACAUAGAGAUUUGUAAAGCACACACGGAUCUGAAAGGUUCAGACCCGUUGACUAAAACCUCUCUCACAAGCAACAUGAUCAAACAUAAAACUCAUUGAGUGUUAAUCACAUAGUGAUGUGAACUAGACUACUGACUCUAGUAAACUCUUGGGUAUUAGUCACAUGGCGAUGUGACCUGUGAGUGUUAAUCACAUGGCGAUGUGAACUAGAUUAUUGACUCUAGUGCAAGUGGGAGACUGUUGGAAAUAUGCCCUAGAGGCAAUAAUAAAAGUAUUAUUAUUAUUAUAUUUCCUUGUUCAUGAUAAUUGUCUUUUAUUCAUGCUAUAACUGUAUUAUCCGGAAAUCGUAAUACACGUGUGAAUACAUAGACCACAAUAUGUCCCUAGUGAGCCUCUAGUUGACUAGCUCGUUGUGAUCAACAGAUAGUCAUGGUUUCCUGGCUAUGGACAUUGGAUGUCGUUGAUAACGGGAUCACAUCAUUAGAAGAAUGAUGUGAUGGACAAGACCCAAUCCUAAGACUAGCACAAAAGAUCGUGUAGUUCAUUUGCUAGAGCUUUGCCAAUGUCAAGUAUCUCUUCCUUCGACCAUGAGAGCGUGUAACUCCUGGAUACCGUAGGAGUGCUUUGGGUGUAUCAAACGUCACAACGUAACUGGGUGACUAUAAAGGUGCACUACAGGUAUCUCCGAAAGUAUCUAUUGUUUUAUGCGGAUCGAGACUGGGAUUUGUCACUCCGUGUAAACGGAGAGGUAUCUCUGGGCCCACUCGGUAGGACAUCAUCAUAUGCGCAAUGUGACCAAGGAGUUGAUCACGGGAUGAUGUGUUACGGAACGAGUAAAGUGACUUGCCGGUAACGAGGUUGAACAAGGUAUUGGAUACCGACGAUCGAAUCUCGGGCAAGUAACAUACCGAUAGACAAAGGGAAUUGAAUACGGGAUUGAUUAAGUCCUUGACAUCGUGGUUCAUCCGAUGAGAUCAUCGUGGAACAUGUGGGAGCCAUCAUGGGUAUCCAGAUCCCGCUGUUGGUUAUUGACCGGAGAACGUCUCGGUCAUGUCUACAUGUCUCCCGAACCCGUAGGGUCUACACACUUAAGGUUCGAUGACGCUAGGGUUAUAAAGGAAGUUUGUAUGUGGUUACCGAAUGUUGUUCGGAGUCCCAGAUGAGAUCCCGGACGUCACGAGGAGUUCCGGAAUGGUCCGGAGGUAAAAAUUUAUAUAUGGGAAGUCCUAUUUUGGCCACCGGAAAAUGUUCGGGAUUUUUCGGUAUUGUACCGGGAAGGUUCUAGAAGGUUCCGGAGUGGGGCCCACCUGCAUGGGGGGACCCACAUGGACGUGGGUAGUGGGGGUAAGGCCCCACACCCCUGGUCAAGGCGCACCAAGAUCCCCCCUUAGAAGGAAUAAGAUCAUAUCCCGAAGGGAUAAGAUCAAGAUCCCUAAAAAGGGGGGAUAACAAUCGGUGGGGAAGGAAAUAAUGAGAUUUCUUUCCUCCCACCUUGGCCAAUGCCCCAAUGGACUUGGAGGGAAAGAAACCAGCCCCUCCACCCCUAUAUAUAGUGGGGAGGCGCAUGGGAGCUAUAGACGAAGUUCUGGCACAGCCCUACCUCUCUCCCUACUCCUCCUCUCCCAUGGUGCUUGGCGAAGCCCUGCUGGAUUGCCACGCUCCUCCACCACCACCACGCCGUUGUGCUGCUGUUGGAUGGAGUCUUCCUCAACCUCUCCCUCUCUCCUUGCUGGAUCAAGGCGUGGGAGACGUCACCGGGCUGUACGUGUGUUGAACGCGGAGGUGCCGUGCGUUCGGCACUUGAUCAUCGGUGAUUUGAAUCACGACGAGUACGACUCCAUCAACCCCGUUCACUUGAACGCUUCCGCUUAGCGAUCUACAAGGGUAUGUAGAUGCACUCUCCUUCCCCUCGUUGCUAGUCUCUCCAUAGAUAGAUCUUGGUGACACGUAGGAAAAUUUUGAAUUUAUGCUACGUUCCCCAACAUGAGCUUGCCGCGGCCCGUGAGAGCGCGGAGAGUGCCAAGGCCGAGGCCCAGAAGGCCCUUUAGGAGAUCGACGCAAUGAAGAAGAUAGCGGCGGGUAAGGCUUUCUAUAUGCAAAGCAAGCAUGUAAAAGUGAAUUACCGAUUACUUACCCGAAUCCGGAGCUCUUCAGGAGCAUUCGCAGAUUUGCCCCGUAGUGUGUCUGAUGCCGCACAAUUCUACCAGGCCGAGGACGGAAGCUCGACGGAGAAGCUGUUCUGGUCUCAGUAUGCUGAGGCCGAACAUCCGGUGCCAAUGAGCGACCAGCUGAAGCAGAUGGUCGAGCUACAUAAGGCGGCCGAUCAGGCCAUGAAGGGCUUCAUAGUCUGUUUGUGGCCUGGCGACGCCCUUUCGAACAGCUUCUUCGGCCUGGUGAGGCAGCUUGUGGAUGUCUGCCCCCGGCUGGAGGUCGUCAAGCGAUCCGUCUGCAUAGAAGGUGCACGCCGGGCUUUCGCCCGUGUAAAAAUGCAGUGGGUCAAGCUAGACGCCGUGAAGCUGAUUAAGGAGGGGCCACCGGAGGGCAAGGAGCACCGCCACCCCGAGAUGUACUACGAGGGUGUUCUGCCGGGUGCCUGUCUUAUCGCGGAUGAGUAUUCGCAAAAUGUAAUAUUUGAAUGAGACUUGCUCGUGUUGUCCUGUAUGUAUGAAAACUUGUAUCAUGUUCGCUAUGCAACGCUUGUUAGAAUUUAAAAUAUUACCUUCUGUUUGGCUAUUUAUCCAAUCUGAGAGAUGGCUAGUCCUCGGCUUCUGCCCCCAUGCCACGAGUGCUGGGGUGUUCGGGAUAAACCUGAGCACUCUUGUUCCCAUGUUUGGGUCCUUCGAGGGAGGUGCUCAGCACAACAAACAAGGCAACUGGACUAAUAAUGCUUUAUCACUCUCACUUAGCCAUAGAAUUCUAUAAUUUUAAAUUUCGGCGAAGCCCCUGGUAUUCGGAAGGCCGAAUUCGGGGCGCGAUACACGCCUGUAAGCUGGACAGAGCCGGCCCCUCGCCCUAAGCGGCAUAAGUCUUUAGGGACUCAAAAAACCUCGCCGAACAGCGACCAGUCUCUCGCCUUAUCAUGACAGUCAUUUUUAGCUUUCUCUACUGAGGUGCUCAGCCCGGCAGAACUGGGGCACAAUCGCAGUAGUUCUCCUAGCGCUACCUUAGCCGAUAGAGUGGAACUUAGGUACCAAAACAUAGGAGCCGGGCAAACCCAACAUUUGACCAAAGACAUGAUUCGGAGCUGAUGCAUAUAAUGCUAUAAGUUCGGGUGCCGCACUUGUGAAAGUGUUCGGACUUUUCACACCAUAUUGUGGGUACGUAAGCCCCUGGUGCAUUGGCCGUACCAGAGUGUACGGUUGCAAGGCGUCAUUAAUGAACACACACAUAUAUAUAUAUAACAGAAAUGAAAUAAUAGUCGUAAUGUCAUGCAUUGUUUAUUAAAAAAUUGCAAUAAAGCAGAGUGAUACAGAUAGUGCAAUAAGCAAAAGAGUAGGACUAUGUCCCUUCCAAGGGCGAGCUGAGGAAUGAUAUGAAAUCUGUAAUCAACCUAGGAAUUCCGUUGUAUAACGCAGUUGUCUGCCUCCUUGGUUGUUGUAUCAUGUGUUCGGCAAUAGAGCUGCCGGACAGCGUUUCCAGAGAUUAAAGUCCUGAAAGAAAGAAAAAUAACCAAACGGGAAGCCCCUAGUGCGGUUUAGGCCGCGUCUUGGGGCGUGCCGCAGUUGUGCCCCCCCCUCCCCACCUGUGCCCAUGGUAUUUUUAGUUCGUAAUUAUGUACGCGCGGCAUGAAUAUCGCCAUUGGGCUGGGAUUGGGGUGGCCGCCGAAUUGCUAAGCGAGCUCAGAUCGCGCUAGGCGGUCUAUUUGCCGACUGCUCCAAGCGCGCUUGAAGGUGUCCGGGCUUUGAAACGCCAAACUGGUAGGUUGCCUUGAGAGGCUGCUUUGCGCUUUUGCUGCAAGGGCCGCGGUGUGCUCCUCUAUUCGGAGAGAGCGCUCUGUGUUUCCAUUGACUGUAAUUACUCCGCGAGGUCCUGGCAUCUUGAGCUUGAGGUAUGCAUAAUGUGGUACCGCAUUGAAUCUAGCAAAUGCGGUUCAUCCGAGCAGCGCGUGAUAACCACUGCGGAACGGGACUAUAUCGAAGAUUAACUCUUCGCUUCGGAAGUUAUCCGGGGAUCCGAAGACCACUUCCAGUGUAAUUGAGCCUGUGCAGUGGGCCUCUACACCUGGAAUGACGCCCUUAAAGGUCAUUUUUGUGGGUUUGAUCCUUGAGGGGUCUAUACCCAUUUUGCGCAAUGUGUCCUGAUAAAGCAGGUUCAGGCUGCUGCCGCCAUCCAUAAGGACUCGGGUGAGGUGAAAUCCGUCGAUGAUUGGGUCUAGGACCAGUGCGGCGAAUCCGCCAUGACGGAUACUAGUGGGGUGGUCCCUGCAAUUGAAGGUGAUCGAACAGGAGGACCAAGGGUUGAACUUUAGGGCGACUGGCUCCAAUGCAUAUACGUCCCUGAGUGCACGCUUCCGCUCCCUCUUGGGAUGUGGGUUGCGUAUAUCAUGUUCACCGUCCGCACUUGCGGGGGAAACCUCUUCUGUCCUCCAGUGUGCGGCUGUCGGGGUUCGUCCUCGUCAUCGCUAUGCGGCCCCUUGUCCUUGUUUUCGGAAAUUAACUUGCCGGCUUGAUUGAACACCCAACAAUCCCUGUUGGUGUGAUUGGCUGGCUUGUCUGGGGUGCCGUGUAUUUGACAUGAGCGAUCGAGUAUACGGUCCAAGCUGGACAGACCCAGCGUACUUUGUUUGAAUGGCUUUUUCCGCUGACCGGGUUUAGAGCCUUUGAAUCUGGCAUUGACUGCCGUAUCCUCAGUACGUUCGUUGUUAAUGCGGUGCUUAUGCUUGUUGCGACGUGACCUGUUAUUGUCGUCCUUGGUAUCUAAGGUACCAUGGUUCUUUGAUAUGUUAUUACUGCGAGCCAGCCAGCUGUCUUCUCCCGCACAAAAGCGGGUCAUGAGCGUCGUGAGGGCUGCCAUAGAUUUCGGCUUUUCCUGACCAAGGUGCCGGGCUAGCCACUCGUCUCGGAUGUUGUGCUUGAAAGCCGCUAAGGCCUCCGCAUCCGGACAGUCGACGAUUUGAUUUUUCUUUGUAAGGAACCAAGUCCAGAAUUGCCUGGCCGUCUCUUCUGGCUGCUGAAUUAUGUGGCUCAAGUCAUCAGCGUCUGGUGGUCGCACAUAAGUGCCCUGAAAGUUAUCGAGGAACGCGGCUUCCAGAUCUUCCCAACAGCUAAUGGAGUCUGCUGGCAAGCUAUUAAGCCAAUGCCGCGCUGGUCCUUUGAGCUUUAGUGGGAGGUAUUUGAUGGCGUGUAAGUCAUCACCGCGGGGCAUGUGGAUGUGGAGGAGGAAAUCCUCAAUCCAUACCGCGGGAUCUAUUGUGAUGUUGUAUGAUUCAAUAUUUACGGGUUUGAAACCUUCUGGGAAUUGAUGUUCCAUUACUUCGUCUGUGAAGCAUAAGGGGUGUGCGGCGCCUCUGUAUUGGGCUAUAUCGUGACGCAGGUCGAAUGGGUCCUGCCCGCUGUGUUCGGCCCGGCCGGAUUUGCUUUUACUGUAUCCACGUGACAUUUACCGUCUCGUAGAGUGGUGCGCCCUCGUGAUCCAUAGAUCAAUCUUGAAUGCUUUGCUUUGUCCUCCAAUAUGUCUCGCAGGUCUGGCAUAUCUCCCCAUGCCUUUUUAUUUGGAUGGCGUUGGGGUGGAGGCUGAGCUUUUGGCUGGAAUGCCUCUCUAUCGCGGCCACGAGGUGGCCGAUCAGCCGUAUCAUACGCUUCUUCCUCCAGUCGGGGUAGUAACCUGCGCCUUGGGUAACUCUUGGAGGGACGCUUGAGUUUAUAUUCCUCGGCCACGAGGACUUCAGUCUAUUUGUCAGCUAGCAGAUCUUGAUCAGCUUGAAGCUGCUGCUGCUUUUUCUUCGGGCUAUUUGCCAUGGCCAUAAGCUUGCGCUUGAAGCGCUCUUGUUCGACGGGAUCCUCUGGUACGGCGAAUUCAUCGUCGCCGAGGCUUGCCUCGUCUUCGGAGGGGGGCAUGUAAUUGUCAUCCUCCUCCUCUCCGCCAGCCGCUCUCUCAGGAGAGCUGGCUCCUUCAUCCUCCUGCUCUAAAUCUUGCUGGAGGGGAUUGUUGUUGUCUUCGGCGCUAUCCGGAGUGUUAUUAUCUCCUGUGCCGGUAUCACCACUUUUGCUUUGGCGGGACUUAGAGUGGCGCCACUGACAUAGGCGCUUGGGUUGCUUCUUGGAGGGAUCAUCCUCCGCUAUCUCGUCGCCAUUGCCUUCAUUGGGUGUAUCCACCAUGUAUAUGUCAUACGACGAGGUGGCUUUCCAGUGCCCUAUAGGUGCUGGUUCAUGUUCAUCUCCUACAUCGUCGUCCAUACCGUCGAUGUCUUCGGAGUCGAAGUCGAGCAUGUCGGUUAAAUCAUCGACAGUGGCUACAAAGUGGGUGGUGGGUGGGCGUCGAAUUUCUUCGUCGUCCGCAUCCUAAUCCUGUUGGCCAUAAUCCGGCCAGGGCUCUCCUGACAAAGAGAGAGACCUUAGUGAAUUCAGAAUGUCAUUGAAGGGCGAGUGCUGAAAGAUAUCCAUGGCGGUGAAUUCCAUGAUCGGCGCCCAAUCGGAUUCGAUUGGCAGGGGCGCGGAUGGUUCGGGAUCCGGAAGAGAGUCCGGCACCUUGGAGUCACGGGCUGCGCAGAGGAUUAUGCUGGUGUUUGGCUCGAUCGCCGUCGAGACUGCAGCCCCUGAGGCGGUGUCUAGCCACCCAUCCUCGAUUGGCGCAGCUGGCUCCGAGCUAAGGGUCGGAGCUGAUGCGGGCGCGACCUCUGGGGUACCGUCCGGUGGCAGAGCUAGGUCAUACCCAUCGCGACAGUGCGGUGCGCCCGGCUGUGGCUUGAAUCCGUUGAAAAUCAAGUCCCCAUGGAUGUUGGCCGUGUAAUUCAAACUUCCAAAUCUGACCUGAUGGCCAGGGGCGUAGCUUUAAAUCUGCUCCAGAUGGCCAAGCGAAUAGCCCGCAGUGCAAAGCCGCCGAAUACGAAAAUCUGUCCGGGGAGAAAAGUCUCACCCUGGACCGCAUCGCUAUCGAUGAUAGUACGAGCCAUCAAGCCUAACGGCGACGACAUAGAGGAACUCUCAAUGAAAGCACCAAUGUCGGUGUCAAAACCGGCGGAUCUCGGGUAGGGGGUCCCGAACUGUGCGUCUAGGCCGGAUGGUAACAGGAGGCAAGGGACACGAUGUUUUACCCAGGUUCGGGCUCUCUUGACGGAGGUAAAACCCUACGUCCUGCUUGAUUAAUAUUGAUGAUAUGGGUGUUACAAGAGUAGAUCUACCACAAGAUCAGAGAGGCUAAACCCUAGAAGCUAGCCUAUGGUAUGAUUGUAUGUUGUGAUUGUUGUCGUACGGACUAAAACCCUUCGGUUUAUAUAGACACCGGAGAGGGUUAGGGUUACACAAGGUCGGUUACAAAGGAGGAGAUAUCCAUAUACGUAUUGCCUAGCUUGCCUUCCAUGCCAAGUAGAGUCCCAUCCGGACACGAGAUGAAGUCUUCAAUCUUGUAUCUUCAUAGUCUAACAGUUCGGCCAAUGGAGAUAGUCCGGCUGUCCGGAGACCCCCUAAUCCAGGACUCCCUCAGUUACAUUUGUGUAAGGAUAGAUUUCCUAAUUUGCGCAAAUCAAAGCUAAUGCCACGUGCUGAUGGUCCUUUUAAGGUGUUAGAGAAAAUAAAUGAUAAUGCAUAUAAACUUGAGUUGCCUGCAGAUUUUGGGGUUAGUCCCACUUUUAACAUUGCAGAUUUGAAGCCUUAUUUGGGUGAGGAAGAUGAGCUUUCAUCGAGGACGACUUCAUUUCAAGAAGGGGAGGAUGAUGAGGACAUCAAUACCAUUGUUACACCCACAGCCCCUGCUGUUAUACAUACUGAACCAAUUACUAGAGCUCGCGCACGCCAAUUGAAUUAUCAGGUAUUUUCGUUUCUUGGUAACGAUUCUAAUUUUCAUGAGAAUAUGAUGCUGUCUAAAUUGGAUACAUUUGUUUUGCUUACAAAUGAAGGGCCUAGCUUUGACAAGAAAGAUGAACCUUGGAGCAAGUUCAAGCAUGGAGAUGAUGGCAUGCGCAAGGGGAACAAGAACGGAGUUACAAGUGAUGAUUCCAGGACUUUGAAGCCACCAUAAUGAGUGCAUGAAGCCUUGGAUGAAAUAUACAAGAUGUCACUUCAUAAAUUUCGUCCAGAAACUAUUCUAGGUGCUGCGUCACCUUAUUUUUGGGCCAGGCCCAUGUAAUUUCGAAAUACUUGAGUAUAGGCAGUUUUUAGAGUCCAUAUGUGUGGGGAAACAAGACUUAGGGUUGGUUUCGGACCUCUCCUCCAAGGGCCACGAAAUUCCCCCCUCUCUUCUCCAUAUAUACAGUCCUUAGGGCAUCAUUUAGAUUUUGGGUUUUGUUUAGAAUAAAAGUUCGCCAUAGCUGCAACUUCGCGUACUUCGUUUGUGUCCAACGACCAGACCAAGACGUCACAGAACCCCACCUUCAUUAAUAAAACUUUCCACUUUUAUUCGCAAUAUCCAGAUUGCAAUCUCAGUUUCUUGCUUGUUCUUCGAUUGCUUGCAGGAAUAGACCUUCAUUGGAGAACUCCAUUGCGUCAUUGAGAAGGCCACAGUGGAAUUUUGUGAUAACAUCUCUGCUUAUCUCUCAGCUAACCAUGUUCAUCAUCGCCGCACCAAGCACAUCGAGUUGGAUAUUCAUUUUGUUCAUGAGAAGGUGGCCUUGGGACAAUUUCAUGUUGUUCAUGUCCCGACUGAUCAUCAACUGGCCGACAUCAUGACCAAGGGUCUUCCGACUACUUCAUUCGAAGCCUUUCGCAGGAGUCUUGGGAUUCACUCCGAUGAUGCUUCGACUGCGGGGGCGUAGGAAUAUAGGCAUUGUAUCACAUGCGAUCACGUAGGAUGUUUACUUCCAUACUUGCUUCCUCUUAAUAUCUUUCCUUGUACAUAGAGAUAGAGUCUUAGAGGUCAAGUAUUCUUGUGUAUAUAUGUAAUUUCCCUAUGGAUCAAUACAAUGCGCUGCAUAUUCCCAAUUAUUCAAUCCUACAGCCCUCCCAAUCGACUGCCCCCUUGUGCCCUUCCGGGUUCUGCCCUCCGGUCCUCAUCGGUUCCUCGAGCAGGGAAACUCGAAGUCGGCGUCCUGCCGUAUCAACUCCGCCGAUCCCCAUAGUCUUUCCGUCCGCCGCCAGGUCGGGUUAGGCCCUUCGCCGUCUCAGACCCCCUCUCCUCACCUUCGCUUUUCCUCGUCUCCGCCCCCGCGAGGUCGGAAUCGGAUUAGGCAGGCCCAUCGACGUCUCCUUUGGCAUAUCUCAUUAGUCGCUAACAGAACGAUUUAUUUUAUCUUUUUAUUAAGCAAACUACGCUUGGGGGUUAGCCACCUGAAUUCAUUCGUUUCUAUUAAAUGAAAUUUAUUUAUUUUAUCUAUUAUUAUGCAGGAGAAGAUGAUAUCCAAAAUGCAUGAUAUGCUUUUGCCAGUGUUCUCUCUGUUCAAGUUUCGUUUAGAUGCUCCACGUAUCCACAGUAUGUUCCUACUCAUUUUGAUGGGUCCAAUUGUGCGGAGCUUGUUAUUAUGCAUCUGUCUUUUUUCAGUACUAUUCUAGGCCAGGUUUUAUCUUCAGGAUACUAUGGCUGGAACAAAAACGUGGUGACUAAAAAUUAUUAGAUUGACCUCUUGUGCAUUCUAAUGAUCUUUUAGCAUUGAUUUUUUUUCGUAGGCUCCUCACCACUGUCUUGUCCACCUCAUUGUGGAAUGUCGUAGUAGUUCUCAAAAGUUUGCACGGCAAGUAGCAUAUGAAGUAUCAAUGCUAAAGCAGAUUUCAAUAUUUUAUCAACAGUUACGUGGCAUGGAAAUAGUUUCUUGUUGACUUCUUUCCUUUGAUUACUAUUCAUUGUGUACAGUUAAGUGGCAUGGAACUGAAACCAUACUUUGUUGUUGACUUGUUUCAUUGUGGACAGAUUUUCCUUGUUAAGUUGAGAUAUUAGCAUCUUACUAGAUCUUGAUUACUAUUCAUGUUAUGGUGUCUUUGGAUUUAUCUUAGCUCAGCAGGACAGAGUCAUGAAGGGUUCAUCCUUACACUAGUUUGAUGCCAGCUGCUUACAUUUACCAAUAUUUUUUAAUAUGGUUUAAGUUCAUGCAUAUCUGAUUUUAUGAGUUUCAGUAGGCGUCAUCAAGUCAUGGGCUGUGGCUUCAAUCCCCGGAUUUUUUGUUUGCAUGUGCUGUGCUGCUAUGAAGCAUUGCUUAGCAAACAAUGUUUUGGGAAUUUCUUCCCGUACCCAGGUUUGUUUUUAUUAGUUAUAUUGUGUAUUUCUAAGAAUUAUGAGCACUUUCUGGGUGGUGUUCACUUCAGUUAUGGUCAGGGUAGCUAAAUUUUUUUUGCUCCAAUAAAUGUCAUAGAUCUUUUUAGUGAACUUUUGGUGAUAAUAUUGUCAGUGGGUUCGUUUUUAGUUUAAUAGUUCAACUAAUCUGAUCUGCAUUGUUAUGCACAUCACGUGUUCCCAUCCGCAGAUGCUGCCUCCAUGCUUUUCAUUGGCGACACUGCAAUAUCUGGUUAGUAAUAGAAUAUAAGUUCUUUUGUUUGUGCCAAAUUACAUUUUCGGUUUGUUCUUCUGAAACUUGCAAUUAUUAUAGAUAUGUGGUUAGUAAUAGAAUAAAAGUAACAUCAGCUUCACAAUGACUUGUGCGUGUCAACUUCAUUUGGCAUAAUCACCUGUAUUUACAGUGAGACCUCAGUAAAAUUUUCGCAUCAUUGCAGCUCUUUCUCUUGUUGGUCUACGAGGACGAAAUAGUAUUUAUCAGCAUUUUCUUAUUCUUGUUGAUCUAAGAGAACAUUCUAUCUUUUGUUUAUUCUUUAGUAUUAGUACUAGGGAAAAGUGCAGAUUUGAAACUAGAACGUUUCCAAUUCUUGUUCAGAUGCGCCCUGCUUGCUUGGCUGUUUUACUUGCUCGAUUGCUCUAUAUGGGAUCCAUGCCACUCUUUUGCUGUUGCCGGUAUGAUUAAAAAAAAUUGUGGCCCAAGGGGCCGAGACAGUAUGCACAAAGAAAAACAAAUUAUUUUGAAGUUUGAACUUCCUCUUGGAUUAACUAUUGUAUUAAAUUCUGCAUAUUGGAGCAGUUGCUGCAUCACUCAGCACAUAAUAAGGAUUUCUGCUUUUUGGUUCCAGGUAUAUGUGUUGCACUUGCCCUCUGUAUCGCUGUGCCAAGAGCUAGCAAGAACCGUUUCUUUAAUUACGCAUUUUUGCGAUACACUGUAAUUAUCAUCAUACUGAACUGGUUUCAAUCCACACAGGUGAGUUAUGCUACUUGAGUUGCACCUGAUAUUAUCUUGAAAAUAAAAUGCCCUGUUAUAUAUGCUCAUCUCAUCUUUUUUUUCAGGGUGGGGGGCAGCCUGCUCUACAAUACGUUGCUUGUGGCGUGAUUAGUUUUGUUAUUGUUCACUGUUUGUGGAAUGUAGAAGUAAAACAGGUAAGGUCGGUCCAUAUUGUUGUUUGUACUAUAGAUAUGCCUAUUGCCAGUCCCAAGUGUGUGGUGGUUGAUGACAUUCUGUAGUGACAUAUCAUAUUUGCUAAUAUCUCUUUUUUCCCCUCGCUUGAGGGUGACAACAAUCAGCCGAUGAGUGAAGUGUGGGAUUGGAACAUGUAUGGAACCAAACUGAAGUUUCAUGGAUGGUUUAUUAACACUGCCAAUGAGGAUGGUGACGGAGGUGAGGAUGGUGACGGAGGUGAGGAUGAUGCUUCAUUUGCCGCGGAGCAUUCCGAUGAUGAAGAUUUGACGGAGGUGUCAAUUUUACGUGCGGUGCAAGUGUUGGCCAUUCGUGCAAACUUUCGUAUUAGCCGUAUGGACGCCCAUGACUGGUACCAAAGUUUUGUCAUCUAUGUGGCGCUCGAGGGGGAAGUACAAGAGGUAUACACUAGCUACCGUAUGUUAUAUCUACUACAUGCUUUAUGCCUCUUUACAUGCAUUAUAUAUUGUAAUAAAUUAAAAUCCUUCAC